RNAcentral lists this long non-coding RNA (210311 nucleotides) under Gossypium barbadense (sea-island cotton). Its description in RNAcentral is "long non-coding RNA (GBAR_LNC016635)". The stretch from base 154149 to 154194 matches the Rfam family "Histone 3' UTR stem-loop". Lineage: Eukaryota; Viridiplantae; Streptophyta; Magnoliopsida; Malvales; Malvaceae. The record is from RNAcentral.
AGAUAUCUUUAAGAUUCCACAAAGUUGAGGGUAUUGUAGAACUCAAUUUGUUGGAAUCUAAGUAAAGAUAUCCCAAAGAAGUAAUAUUACCCAAACAAGAGGGUAUGGAUCCAUGCAGCUUAUUCAACCCUAAAUACAUCUUGUAUAGUCUCUCCAAAUCACAAAGGCUUUAUGAGAUGGGCCCUCCUAAUUUAUUAGAGGAAAGAUAUAGACCUUGGAGAUUUCUCAUUCCUCCUAUUGAUGCUGGAAUCAAUCCACUUAAUUUAUUAUAGUCAAGUUGUAAAAGCAAUAGGUUGGUUAAGUUACCUAUUUCCAUAGGAAUAAUGCCUUGAAGCUCACACUCAUCGGCAUAAAAGUAUUGAAGGGAUUUUGAAAGGUUCCCAAUAUAAGUAGGAAGAACGCCACUCAAUGGAUUUCCUGAAACACCUAUUUUUCUCAAAUUCCUACAAUUCGUCAAAGAAGAAAGAAAGCUCCACUCAUGAUCAGUAGCAGAUCCUGUGAUCAAAUUAUUGUCAAAGAUUUUGAGCACUUCAAGGUGUUUUAAGCUGCCAAGCAUUUUAGGGAUUGGGCCAGAGAAUAAGUUUCGUGACAACUCUAGUUUCUUAAGCAUGGAAGCAUUGGAGAUAGAGUUGGGAAUGUUUCCGCUAAGUUUAUUUCUCCACAAUAAAAGAAUCUCAAGCUUUGGAGCAUUGGUGAUUGGUGGUAAAUCACCUGUGAAAUAGCAUCUUUUAGUAUACACAUUCAUUGAAUACCAAAUUCACAAAAUAUAUAAUACAUUAAAAUAAAAACUGUAAAACUUUAAAUCAAUUAAGAAUAAAAUUUUGGCAUGGAAAAAUGUGAUGAAAUCAAUUAGAAAGUUGAGACAUAAUAAGAAGUUUUGAGUAGUAAUUACUCAUGAUUUCUAUAGACAAAACAUAUAAUACACUGAUAAUUUUUUAAAAAAUAUUGUAAAACCUGAAAUAAAAUAAAAAAUAAAAGUUUGGCAUGAGAAUGUGGCAUCUAAUCAUUCUUAAAAAUAAGACUAACAUUGAAUAAUAAUUAGUUAUGAUUUGAGAAACAAAAAUGUUAAAGAUGUAAACUGGUAUGAUUUUUAUCUAUUGGGUUAAUUAUUUAUUUUUAUUAAAUUAUAUAUAGUGUAAAAUUUAAAGAUUAUUAUUUGCUCAAAAUUUUUGUAUUUUUCGUAUAUUUGAAAUUUAAUCUUUAUAUUUUUUAUUUUCUGUGAUUUAGUCUCUCUACUUUUUGAAUUGAAAAUUUUAAGUUUAUUUAUUAACACUGUUAAAAAGUUUUUGUGUUAGUAUGGCAUUUUGAAAAAUAAAAUAAAAUUGAUAUCUAUGUUUUUAAUUAUUCCAAAUAUUGUUUUACUAUUUCAAGAUAAACUUUUUGUGUCUAUACCAAUAUCUUAAGAACUAUUGUUGCAUGUUUAAUUAUUCUAAAGAUUUGUUGAUUGAGUCUUGGUUGAAGUGCAUUAUUCUCCUAUUUAUGAAUUGGGGAGUUGAUAAAGUACUUUAUUUUAAUAUAUUUUAAAAUAUUAAAAAUUUAUUAAAAUAUUUUUUAUAAAACUUGAUUGUACCACAAUAUACAAUUUUAAUAUCAAAUUUUUAAUUGUUUUUUAAAAAUAUUAGCGAAUAUAUACUUUAUUUCAAGUUACACAAUUUUUACUAGCUUUUAACUUUUUUUAAAAUUUUUAUCGUCUUUUAUAAUUUCUAAUAAUUUUUUAUAAUUUUUUACAAUAUUUACAAUUUCUAACAAUUUUUAAUAAUUUUAUUAUUUAUUUCAAAUUUAAAAAUUAACAAAUUUUUAUUUUUUUAAAACAAUUAUAUAUUUAUAAUGUAGUUAUUUUUUUAUAAUUUUUUUUUGAAAUUUAAAGAUUUUUUUGGUUUUUUUUUUCUAGAUGAUGAUGCCAUCAUGAUGCCAUCAUAUGCCACAUGCCUUCUAAUUUGUUGUCAUAUAGACAUAUUUCUUCGAGCGUAGUUGAAUUAAAAAUACUUGAUGGAAUCUGACCUGCACACAUAGUCGAAAAUUGAAGUGAAAAGCAUACCUUCUAAGCUGUUAAACUAAAAAUACUUUAAGCAUAUUUUAUUUUCCAUCAAAUUAACUAUUUUGCCUUGAAUGAAAUAAAAUGUUCUUAUUUUUGUUAUCUAUUACAAAUCAAACUCUUUUAUGAAAAAACUAUUUUAAAUUAAAGAAACAAAGAAAAUUCAAUAUCUUCUAAGUUAUUCCACUCCAAAUAUAAUCUUCAGUGAAGAAAUCUUGAAGAUGGAAGAUGGAACCUUACCAGAUAAUUGAUUGAAUCCCAAGCUCAAGGACUCUAGAUUAGACAUGUUAACAAGUGUUUCAGGGAUUGUGCCUAUAAAGUUAUUAUUUUUCAUUUUCAGCCUUCGAACUCCCUGUAAGUUCCCAAGCCAUGAUGGAAUUUCCCCAUUAAGACUGUUGUAUUUUAAUCGAAGGAUCCUCAAACGAUGCAAUUGGCCCAAUUCUUUAGGGAGAUGGCCAUAGAAAUGGUUUCUACUCAAGUCGAGAGAGAGUAGAAAUGAAAGAUUUCCAAGGUGUGGAGGGAUACUACCCCUAAGAUUCAUGCUUUUAAGUUUCAAAGCUAUAACUCUUUUAUGGAGGAUGCCACAAGAAACACCAAUCCAAUUGCAAACAGAGGUUGAGGCCGUCCAAUUGUUUGCCAAGACAUUUUGAGGACCGGCAAUGCGAUCCUUAAACUCGAGAAGUGCAAACUGAUCGGAGUUGAGAUUCCUGACUGUCAUACCCCAGCAAAGUCCGGAACAUGGUACGAAUAAAGCUAAAAGAAGAUGAAAGCAAGUGUUGUAGUUCAUGAUAGCAAGACGGAAUAAGCCAAGAAAAUAAAAAAAAGUAGGACAAGGGAAGUUGAGUUGAUAAAAUAGUUUGGAUGAUGAAGAAAAGCCCAGAGAGCAUGCUUUAAUAUGUUUUGAAGAAAUUUCAAAAUAAAUUUCAAAAUAAAUUUCAAAAUAAAAAUUUAAAAAGGAAAGCAAAGUUUUGAAGAAAUUUCAAAAUAAAUUUCAAGUCUUCUUCUUUAAAAAAUACGUACAAAGAGCGAAUUUUCAAAAUUUCUCCUAAAUUUUCUUCACAUUACUCCACAUAAUCCAUUAAAAAAACUUAAAAAAUAUAUUUUAUUAAUUACUAUACAUUCUUUUACUUUCAGAAUAAUAAAUUGUUUAAAAUUUGCUAUUAGUCCCUGUAAUUUAAAAGUUAAAAAAAAAAUUCAAUCCUCCUACUUUUCUAAUUUAAAAAUUCUAGUUCAAUCAAUUUUAAUUUUAAAAUCUUUGUAUAAAAGGUGUUUUUUUUUUGUGACCGAUCACACUUAACCAAUAUUUAAAAAUUAUUAAAAAAUAUUUUUUUUUGAAAUUUAAAGUGAUCUAAAAACAUAUUUUUAAGUACUUUGGACAGUCUAUUGUUGAUUUCCUUAUUAUAUUAAGUGUUUGCAAUCACUCCUAAUAUAUUGUGCUUGAGUUGUGACAAAGUCGAUCAUCAAAUUGCCAUAAUGAUCUAUUGAUGCUGAAAUUAAAGUUUUUGUUAUAUUGAUAGAGCUUGUCCUUCAACGCGUACAACGUGUUUGUUAUUUUUCUCCCUUCAAAUUGUAUGAUCUUAUUCAUUAAAUGAAUUAAUGAAUUUCCCUUUUAAAAAGAUAUAUUUUUAAAAAUUAAAUACUUUAUAAAAUAUUUAAAAAUUUGUAAGCCUUAAAACAAUCAACAAAAUAUUUUUGAAAUUUUAUAAAUAUAUUUUAAAAUUAUAGUAACGCUACAAAAUAUAUAUAUUUACUAAUUAUAUGCACCUUUUUUAUUUUUUUUCCUAACAUAUCAUUAUUUUCAACACUAUCGUAAUCCUGUUUUGAUAAUUCCCUUUCCAUACAUCCUUUUUCUACAUAGAAUUUCAAAAGAAAAUGUGAAUUAAUGUAAACGUGAGAAGACUUAAUUACAUUUAUUAGUUUAUCAAUCAAAACUUAAUUAGAAUCCAUCAAUAUUUCACACAUCAAAAACCCAAACAUAAAAUUCACUUUUAAAUUAUUUGAAGAUACAUUUGUAUUAUAGGAAAUGGAUUAAAUUAGUCUUUUAUUAUUAAAUGUAUUAUUUUAAUCUUUGUAUUAGGUAUGAAUUGUAUCUCCUAGAUUGAAGCCAAAGCUAUUCUUGAAAGACUGAAAUUAAGAUUCAGAUGUGUUGAGAUGGAAAGUGGCAACACAAUGUUGAUUGAAACUAUUUAUAACGGGUUGGCUACAAUAAGUAGUGCUGCCGAAGUAAGACAGAUUCACGAUUGGUGUUCCAAAAAUUGGGAAGUCAAAUUUCGACAUAUUCAACGAAAUGCCAAUAAAGUUGUUGAUUGCAUAGCUAAGGCAAAUGGAGGCGUAAUUGAGCAGCUGGUUAUCUUGGAAGAUCCUCUGCAUUAUGUGAGAUGCUAGCUUGAAGAAGAUAUUAGACAGUCACUAGUGACUGAUGAUAAUUUUCAUUUGGACUGAUGAGCGCUUAAUUUUCUAAGCUUAUGUUCAACAAAAAAAAAUUUAAAUACGUCUAAAUUGUAAUAGAGUUAACAUUUAGUGUUUAAAAAAUAUCUUAAAAAUUAUUUUUUUCCAAUUGCAGUUCAAUUCCACAAAUAUCGACGAUGAACCCGGACAUAAAAAUUACAGAAAAAAAAACACAUCUAUUAUCAAACCAGCAAUCCAUGUCUAAACUUAAAUUAACAAAAUUUGCCACACAACGCCCGGUACACUAUUAUAUAUCUAUACUAGAUUUAUUCUAGAUGCACAUGUUUUAUUAUAUUUAAAAAUUAAAAUGUAUGGUUGACUAAGUUUUAGUUGAGUUAGUAUUGAUAUUAUUGUCAGUGUAGGAAAAUGUGAGUUUAAUCACGCUCAAAUGUGUUUUAUCCUCCAAUUCAAGGGUUAGGAAAAGGUUAUUGAUAAUUAAAUUAUACCAACUUUUAUAAUAUUAAAAAAAAGGAUUUAUAAAUAAUAUAAGGAAAAGAAAAAAAGAGAAACAUAUUCAUAUUGAUGGGCUCUUUCAAUAUUAGACUUUUUUUUCUAUCACAAGUAAAAAUAUCAAAGGUGAUAAUAAUUAAAUUAUAAAAUUUAAAUUGAGAAAAUAGGGGAUAAAAUUUAUAAGUUUUAAAGUAUAAAGAAUGAAUUUAUAACUAACAACAUAUUUUAACCACAUAAUAAAAGUAGUUAUGGAGAGGAUCAUAUAAAAUGCAAAAAUGAAAUAAUAGAAAAGAAAUAAGUGUUGGGUAUAGUGGCAAUGUAUAUUAUACUUCUAAGGGGAGAUCAAGAUUUUAGACAAGGGAAGAAUUUUAAACCUGCUUUUUUCUCUAGAACUCAACGCAAACCUCAAAUUUAUCUUUUUAAAAGAAUUUAAAAAUAUCUAUAUAAAAGGUGAUUUUUUACCGAUCACACUUAACAAAAUUAAAAAAAAAUUGAAAUUUAAAGUGAUCUAAAAACAUAUUUUAAAGUGCUUUUGACCAUCUUGUGCUGAUUUCUUUAGUAAUUUGAUUUGUUCAAUAUAGAUUUUGGUGACUUAAAACAAAAUUAAUAAAAAAAUAUUUUAUCAGAUAUCUUUUUAAUGUUUAAUAAUAAGUUAAUUUAUAAAAUAUACUUUCAUUGGACACAGGGCCUCCAAGGCGGUGAACCACUAAUCAAAUUAAUUUUGAGAUACUUAAAUUUGUUUUCAUCAAUUAAGAAAUUAAAAAAAUUUGUUGAGACCUCAUGAUUAUGUUUUAUAAUUUCAGGCUUAUCAACUAUUUUGAAAAACAACAAAACGUCUUACACCAAAAACUAAAAAAAUAAAAACGUCGACAUUAAAUUUGUUGCCAUGCAAUCAAUUUUAAGAUGGUUUUUGGAGUUAUAUAUCACCUUAGCAUUGACUUACUUUUCUACACUUAGUCUUCUCCAACAAGUUAAAUAUUUCAAUUUUAACAACAUUGACAGGUCUUUGGGGUAGGGUCGAGCAAAACUCAAUAUAGGCUGAGUUGGCUCGGCCAAGUCGAGUCGACUUGUUCAAAUUAUUUAAAUUCGUAAUUUUUAAGGUGCAGUUAGAAUUUUUUGUUUUGAGAUGCUAAGAUUAAAAUAUUUCAGUUGCUAAAACAAAAUAUUUGUAUUUAAAAAGGCAUAAAUUAAAUAAUUAAGUUUUUCGAGUUUCCAUUUAAUCAAAGGUUAAAAGGACUAAAUUGAAGCUUUUUAUUUUUAAGAAAGGCUGAAUGACAAAUUGCCCAAAGCCAUGCCCCUAGCUAUACAACUAACUUCUCUAUGAUUAGUCCUUCGUUUGCUUUGGGUGAAAUCUUCCAACUAGCCUCAUCCUUGGUUUUACUUUCCAACAAUUAGUGUAUCACGAGUUUUGUUUUCUUUAAAAAAUAUUUGUGGAUAUUAGGAGAUAAUGAAAAUUAUUUUACUAUGAAAUUUUAAUAAAACUGGAAAAUAAGUAAUUUAUUUUAAGAGGUCGCAAUUAAACGUUAGAUUUCCAAUUUUUAAAUUUUAAUUUUUUUUUGACAAUUGCAUAAUAUUUUGAGUGUUGUAGGAAUGCCAUAAUAUAACCUUCCCUAAACAUAAUCGACUCUUGAGCAUGAUGGAUCCUAGAACUUCUCCUCUAUUCUCGUACCGCAAAUUGCUUCAAGUGUGGGUUCGAACAAUCACAAAUUAAACACAAAACCAGAAAUGAUUUAUUACUUUCAAUAGCAAGGUAAUUCUCUCUCAAUAGAAACCAAUAGAAGUGUAAUUCUUAGAAAAUAAAAUUUAUUUUUUGAAAAUAUAUUCUCACUACUUUCUAGCAGAAUAACAAUAUGUGAAACUUAUGUCUUGUGUUAAUAGCUCUACCAGUACUCUCUAUUUAUAGGGAGAGAUACGAGAAUCCUGGUUGAAUUAGUAAAACACGAAUAAUAUUUAUUUCAUAGAAAACAAUAUUCCACCCUAAGUAGAUCAAGUUUGUAUGACGCAUGGAUCAAAGCUCAAUCUAGGAGGAAAAAAAUAAAGGAAUUUUCUUUGUAAAGAAAAUUUGAGAUUGUACUAUUUUCAAAGUUAUAAAUAAAAUUAUACGCCAAAUUUUUAAGUCAAUUUCAACUCCAAUUUUGUAUGCACAAAUUUCUAGUACACUUGGUGGGACAUUCUUUGACUUUUAUCUAUUCUCUCAAAAAGUUAAAGUUCAAAGUUACAUUAAACUCAAAGAAGAUAAUCAUUAGUAAACCACCUCACAAGCCUGCUCAAACUAAUCCUACAACUCAUUCCACUUCAUCAUCAAACACCAAUGUUCUUGCUUAUCCUUAUGGAAUUAAACAGUCUCAUUUUCUGCAUUUUGGGUACACACCUGGUUUUAUUUGAUGCUAAAACAGUCCCCGAGCACUCCAAAGCCUAUAAUUGAACAAAUAAUACUAAUUUAAUCUUACAUAACAUGAUCCCAAAUUGAACUUGUAUCGAGGUUUUAACCCAUAAGUGACUAAACCUUACCUUCAACCGAGUGAACAGUAAUUCCCACACAAACUAAGACUCCGAUUGAAGAUUACGAGCCAUUGAAUCCUCCCCUAAUUGGCAUAAACAAAACACUUCAAAAGAAAGUCAACAAAUGGAGACAAAUCACUUAUCUAAAACUUACCGAACGAUCACAGACAAACGUGAAGCGACACGAGGCAGAGUGGGAAAAGAAAAAUCAAGAGGAUGAAGGGUGAAAGAGAGCAGAAAUUCGGUAGCAAUGAAGAGAAAAACGGCAAGAAAGUGGAGGGAUUUUGGGGAAAGUAAAAAAAAAGAUGAAUAGAAUAUUUGAUAACUACCCCAAUCCCUUAUUUCUCUCUAUCAAACUCCCCACUAAAUCCACUACUCAAAUUUUUAGUCCAUCUCAAACUCUCCUGGACGCACGAGCAAAAAAUAAUGCCCAUGCCAAAAUUUAAACAAAAGACCUCCUUCACACCAACACUCCACUUAUCCACCAGACCAAUAGGCUCAUUCUUUUAAUUAUUUUCCAACUUUUACUUAAAAGCCUACUGACCAAAGAUAGGGCUUAUUCAUAAAAAUACCAAAUUUUGCCCAAGACCUGGCUUGAACUUGGGACCUCCCAAACACACCCAGAACACAUAACCACUAAAGCAGACAUAAAUUUUGUGUCACACAUUCACAAUACCCAAAAUUAAAAUUUUAGGGCGUUACAAAAACACAUUAAAUAAUAUCGCAUAAAAUAAUCACAGUUAGAUAACAGUUCAGAAUGUCGAUUUUACAAUUUAACCACCAAUAGUAUCACAGUAUUCACAGUUGUAAUUUCAGAAUAUCAAAUUUCCACAUGAUUCACAAUAUUCACACAUAUAUAAAUAUAUCAUAAUAGAAUUCCAGAUUUGUAUGCACAUGAUUUAGAAGAUGCCAUACAAUUUUGGUUUUUAACAGAAUAAAUCCUACCCCACGUUACAUACCAUAAUGGGAGUUCCCCUAAACUCCCUUCUCCAACACACUAGGUUAUGGAUAAACCACUAUUGGUUCACAAAUAAUAACUGUCAUUUGGCUGUGGACACACAGCAAGUCCCCACAAUUGGAUUCUAGAUUUGGUUGUGGAUUCACAGCAAAAAAAUCCUACAAAUGAAGCCUGCUUUUGCCUGUAGAUUAUACAACAUAUACCCGCAGUUGGAAUCUGUCUUUGGCUGUGGAUGCAGUGUAACACCGCAAACUCGACCUGGACAUUAUGGCUGAAUCUUGAUGAUUUACUUUAACUCGCUAGAAAACCCACGAAUUUACUUUAAAAUCAUGUGGUUAAACUAGUGUUCACUUUGAUAAAUUGUUUUCCAGUUUUAGAGAAAUUUCUUGUUAAAACUGUUACUUUAUUACAAUAAAACAUUAAAGUAAUUGUAUCAUUUUGUAGUGGAAUCUACUAAGCUAUAAGGUUUUGAAAAUCGUGAUUUAGUUUGCAACAAAUCAUUUUGCAAAUAGAAAUUUAAUACUACUUAAUUUGGAAAAUCACGCUAAAACGAAAGCAAAGUCCAAAAUAAUUUACGGUUUGAAAUUCUAAAAAGCCCAAAUUAGACAUAAAGUCUAUUUAAACCAAUUUAUUGAAAGUGUAACACCCUAAACCCGGCCUAUAUGUUAUGGCCAAAUCUAGAUGUGUUACGAAAAAAAGUUUAUAAAAUGACUUCCUUGUUAUUGGCAAACCAUCGUAACCAUUAUUACUUAGUAUAUCUGAUUUGUUUGGAAAACUUAUUGAUAUACUUAUUUGAUUUAAAAUCGUUGCUCGCUUAUGCCUUUUUAUUAAACCAAAUAUUUUGCAGCGGAGUUUCUUUACAACAUCAUAUUUUGGAAAAUCAAAUUGUUUCUUGAAAAUCGUUAUUUUAGAAAAGUUUUCAUUUUCAGAAAAAUUAUUUUAUCAGUUGUUAUGCUGAGAAAACAAAAUAAAAUCCAAAACCAAAAAUAAUCGCAAAAAGUCUAGAGAGUCCCAAAAUGACAAUACUCUUAAAACUAGACAAGCUUAAACUAAUUUUAAAAGAAUGAAAUUUUACAGAAAUGUGGACACCACUGAGCUUCCGUCGCACCGACCCACCUAAAUCUGAGGGUUACUUGAACAGAACAAACAAACAGAGAGUGAGUUUUGAAACUUAGUGUCUAACGCAUAUAUAAACAAAAAUUCAGAAUCAAUCUCAUGCAGAACAGAUACAAGUGUAAACCUUUUAUAAAAUUAGAAUUGUACAGAUACAAAUAUGCAACAUCCUACCCUCAUCCUCUACACACCAACUCCGACCAUCCUAUCACACCACGUGGGGUAUAAAAUACCCAUCCAGCCCUACACACCGUAUAGUGUUUAUAUGACACUUUUUGGAAUAAUCGCAGCAGAGUUGCCAGUAUAUAUGCGAGAUAUCACCUCACAUAGAACACUUCCUCCUCAUAAUACAAAUCCCGCCUCAUAGCUAGAUACAGACAAAAUAUGAUGUAAAAUAAAUUAACAGAUACUAGAGUUAACAUAUCACGCGUGAGCGUAUAAUAGAUAUUACACAUGCUUAUGCAUAACAAAAUAGAUCAUACAUAUUGUAUUCCAUAAUACUCAUAUAAAUGUUAUUUACGUCAAUCUCAAUCUAACAGAGUAGCAGAUUUCAUGCUUUAACGCUUAUACCACACAUAUAGACCCUAUAGAAGGCCCACAGUCGAUCGAGACAACAUGUAUGUCGCUAGGGAAAAAAUUUGUAAUUUGGGCCCAUAUACAUGUAUGAGCCCACACACCCAAAAUGGCCUUGCCCAUGUGGCUCACCAACCUAGCACUCAGCCCAUACGGUCCAAAAUGGCCUAGGUCGUGUGUCACACACAGCCGCAUGUUGCACACAGCCUACCACAUAGCCAGUCACAAAACUGUUUGGAGUUGAAAAGCCCAAUUUUUGGCUUUCGUCAAUCAUCAUUUUCUUACGUUUUCAUUACACACCUGGUUUGAUUCUGACGCAAAAGCAACCCUAUGUCCACCGAAACCUAAAAAUAGCAUUCCAACGCCCAAUUUCAGUGAACAUUUACAAAACUCAAACAAAAACUAUCCAAAAACAUAGCCUCACAAUAGCAUCCAACGCACUCGCACACUUAUCGUCAACAAAUAGGAAACACCCAACACUCAAUUCGUUGGCGGAGCACCAAUUAUGAUAAUGCAAAAAUUUUAUGGAUUCUCAACACUAUCGAUCCGAAUGUAAGAUUGAUGCUUUCCAAUUAUGAUAAUGCGAAAAUUUUGUGGGAUGGUUUACAUGAAUUUUUUUUGUUGUCAACGAUCAACGUAUUCAAUAAUUAAAAUAAAAUAUUAGUCGUUUUUAGAAAACCAAGACUAUGAGUGUUGUAGUUUAUUUCAGUAAAUUAAAGGUUUUGUGGGAUGAACUAGAUAAUCAUGAACCAUUGAUUUGUUGCAAGUGUGGACAAUGUUUAUGUAACUUAGGGAAGGCGCAUGAACAAUGUCGUGAGCAUGAUUGACUUCAUCAAUUACUUCUUGCUCUCUAUUGUAAUUGUUAUGCUCAAACUAGGUUUACACUGUUUUACCAAGAUCCUUUGCCUUCCUUAAAUCAGGCAUUCCAACAAAUUACUUAGGAGGAACAUGUACGUGGAAUUACACUGAUUAAGGAAGAGAAGUCUGAUAUUUUAGGCUUUGCUAUGCGUACAGAGGGUCAUAACAAAGGCCGAGCUAAUUGUAUUGAUAAGUCAACCUUGUUGUGCACUCAUUGCCAUCGCAAAAGGCAUGAGAUGGCUACCCAUUUUGAAUUACAUAGCCACUUGGAUUGGCGGCUUAAGAAGUAUGGGAAGCCAGAGAAGAAAAGUGAUGAUCGUGGUGGUAAGACAAGUGCCACAUCUUCCACGUAAGUGUUUUAUUUCAAAGGAUCACAAUUAAACAUUAGAUUUCUCAUUUUUAAUUUUUUUAUUUUUUUAACAGCUACGUAAUUAACGAGUACCAAUUUUGGGUGUUGUAGGGGUUCUAUAACUUUCCCUAUAUGUAAUCGACUCUUGCACCCACUUUUUUUUCUCUAGAAUUCAAUGCAAACCUUAGAUUUAUCUUUUUAAAAGAAUUUUAAAAUCUCUUUAUAAAAGACGAUUUUUUUAGGUGACCAAUCACACUUAAGAAAAACAAAUCGGUGGCAACUCCUUUCUAAUAAAUGUAAAAAACUUUUUAAACAAAAUAAGGUUGAAAUAAUCUAGUUGUCGUUAUACUUUGAUAAAAUUUUAGAUUUAGUCCUUAUACUUAAAAGGUUAAAAAUUAAGUCUUGUUUUUAUUUAAAAAUCUUAGUCCUAUCGUUAAUAUUGUUUUUUUUUGUCAAAAUUUGUCAAGUUGACAUAUUAAUUAGGUUUCUCUUAUAUAUCGUGGUAUAUGACUAACACAAAAUAAACAAGUUGACAAAAUCUACAAAAAAUAUCAAAGAUGAUAAUAGUUUAAUUAAAAUUUUUAAAUUAAAAAAGUAAGGGAUUAAAUUUAUAACUUUUAAAGUACAAUGAAUGAAAUUAUUGAAAUACAAGAACUAACAACAUAUUUUAAAAUAUUACUAGUAAAUUAUAUAUCUACAACAAGAAUUGUAACCUCUUAUAUUAUAUUCUUGUAUCUAUUUUUGCAUCUUUCAUUAUAAUAUGAUUUAUUAAUUUUAAUAUUUUUAUAGAAUAAUAUGCUUUAAAUAGUUUUUUGUAUAAUUUAUAAAAAUUAUAAUAAACUUACAAAAUAAUUUAAUGAUAUUUAAUUAUUAACCAAAAAAAAUGAUAUCAUAUAUAUUAUGUAUAUAUUAAGAUUCCGAAUCAUUAAUUAUAUAUCUACGCAUUAUAAUAAAUUCAUCUUUCAAAAUUUUCCUUAUAAUUAAAGCAUAAAUUAUAUUUAUAAUAUUAUAAAUAUAUUUUAUCAUAAAUAUUCUUUCAAAUAUUUUUUAAUGUUUAAUAAUAAGUUAAUUUAUAAAAUAUUUUUUCAAUAAAUUAAUGUGAUGAGAUCGUUAGGUGCUUGGAUUUGGUGAAGGGGGAUGAAGAGAAAAGGGAUGGAAGUGAAUAAAAAUGUUGAGAAAUCGAAAGGGUUAGCGAGGGAAGCCGCCAUGAAAGGUGGUUCAAUGGAUAUGAACCAUCAAGCUUUUGUGGAUGAUGUUACUCAAGGUUGUUGCAAGUAAAUUAAAAAAUAUUUUUUUAAAUUAUUUUUUUGUUAAAAAACAUUUUUUAUUUUUUAUGUGGCAUGCCACAUUAUCAUAGUAUCAUGUGACAACUUCUGGUGAUUUCUGUCUGUAACAUUAGUCAAAUCAACAGUUAAAUCGUUCAACUCACAGUUUUUGUUAAAUGAAGAGGUCAAUUGGUUUUUUUGGAAUCAUUGAGUACUCAAUUGGUGCACUUUUAUCAUAAAGGCUAAAUUAAUUUUUUUAAUUUGUUAUUGUUGAGGGCUAUAACAAUAAAAAAAUUAAUGUAAAAUGAAAAAAAUGUUAGAGCUAAAUUUGUCAUUAUAACUAAAAUGUAAAACCAAAAUUUUUUGAAAAAUGAAAAAAAUGGAAAAUCACAAAUUCUAUCACUUAUGUUUGCUUAAAAUUAUAGUUUUGGUCACCAAUCUUUUGAAGUAAAUAUAUGGUCACCAAUAACUCACCUUAAAGUUAUACCCCUACGCAAGAAAGGAUUAAAUGACAUUGGAAUACCAUAAAACUUGUAUCUUUUUUUAUUCAUCUAAUACCAUUUUAACAUUUUCAUUUUAAAAAAUUGACAUAUCAUUUUGAAUUUGAUCUUUUUCAUGGUAUCUCAAAUUCAUUUAAUCUUUCCCUCUCUAAAAAAGCUAAUGUAACACAUUAAUGACAUCAUUUCAAACAAAGUUUUAGGUCAAAUUAUUCAUCUAGUCCUUGUAAUUGUUUUUAUAGGUGAAUUUCAUUAUUAUUCUUUUAUUUUCUUAGGCUUAAAUACACAUUUACCCCUAAUUUUAUCCCAUUCUCCUUAAUUGGUAUUUAUGGUUUAGAAAAUUUUAUAAAUAUAUUAUUUUUUAAGAAAUUAUAAGAAGAUUACAAAAAUUCCAAAAUAAUAUAAAAAAGCCAAGGAAAACCUAGAAAUUCAAAAAAAAAAAAAAAACGUCGACAUUGAAUUUGCUGUUUCACAUUCAAUUUUUGGAGAAGUAGAAUUUUCUAACUUAUUUUCCAUCAACUUGACUUCAAUUUUCAAUCACAAUCAAUUGCAUUCAAGAGCACCACAUCUGUUUGGAUGAAACAAACCUCUCAAUUUUAAGAUAAACGGGUCUUUAGGGUUAUAAAUUGAGGGCCUUUUCCACAAUUGCGGGUGAUUCGUUGAUAAUAACCUCAACAUUUCUGUAUCACAUUUCAAUUUUUAAUUUUUAGAGAGAUGAUUGGGUUACAAGACUGGUUUGAAGUGAAGAUAUUUCAAAAGAAGAUCGAAUACUCUACCAAUAGUCAUAAUUUAAAAUUCAGGUUAUGUUUCAUUUCAGCUAAGUUAAAUGUUAAGAUUGAGGUUAAACCUUUUAGAGGUUGCUCACAAAAGGAUCAAACCUUUAUAAAAUUGCCUAAAUGAAGGUUAAACCUUUUAAAAUAGACAAAUAAGGGCCUAACCUUUUAAAAGGUGUUCAAAUAAGGGUUUCUCAAACGUUGUAUAUCAGGUUAUGUGUUUUACUCUAAACACAUCGACAUUUACCUAUUUUUUCUAUAAAUUUGGUUGAAGUGCAUGAAAAAUCCUUAUUUGAGCACUUUUGUAAAGGUUAAUCUCUUAUUUGACCAUUUUGAAAGGUUUGAUCCUUAUAUAAGUAACCUCUAAAAGAUUGAGCACUAAUUUGACAAGUUUGAGAAAUAUCUAAAUUUGUUUUCAUGAAUCAAGAAAUUAAAAAAGAAAUGUUGAGAAAUAUUUUAGAGAUUCUUAGCUUUGACAAGUUCCCUCCACCAUCUCCCUGCCUCCAGUCCCACCUCUUCUCUUAUGCUCCUUCCAGCUUCUUGCCUUUUGUGUGUUGAAAAUUCAAAGGAACAAAAUAUCAACCUACAUCAUAAGGCACGAUCGCCAGAACUUUACUUUCUAGCCUGUCGAUCCGAUCCAAUCCAAUGAAAGAAGAACAAGGAGUCUUAAGAUCUGUCAACUUUAUUUCAUUUUCAUUUUCUUUGUCAUUUUCUAUGUUUCAUGUCGAAUACAAUGAAAGAAGAACAUAGAAAAAUGUGGCCUAUUUAUUUCCCAAUCAUCAUGAAAUUACUUGCCAUUGACUUAGAAUUUUCUCACCAAUUUUCAAGCAAUCUGACAUGAUUUCUCAAUCACAAUUAAUUGAAUUCAAGAUCUUUUUAGAUGACACAAACAUUUCAAUUUUAACACAAACCAAUAUUUCGGUUAUACUUCAGUGCUUGACAAGCACUUUCACAUUUGUGGGAUAAGAACUCUUAACAUUUUAGGAUCACAUUUAAUUCAAUUGCAUUUAAGACCUCAUGGUUUUAUUCUAUAAUUUCAGUCUUAUCAGCCUUUUCGGAAACAAUAAAACGUCGACAUUAAAUUUGUUGUUGAUGCAUUCAAUUUUUUGAGGGGUCUUUGGAGUUAUAUGUGACUUUAGCAUUGACUGACUUUUUUAUAAUUUAUCUUUUAUAAUAAGGUAAAUAUAUUAAUUUUAAUAACAUCGACAUGUUUUUUAGUAGGGUCGAGCAAAACCCAAUUAAAAUCGAUGAUAUUGGCUUAGUUGACUCGGUCAAGUCCAUUAGAUUGAUAAAAUCAUUUUUAAAAUCAGUUAUAAUGGAUAAAGGUAAUUAAUUAUCGAGUAAUGAAAUACAUAAUCAAAUCAAUUGAUUUUGUUAGAAACUAAAAGAAAAAGGGCUAAGCUGAAAAUUGAUUGCCCUUUAUUAAAAUUAACGAAUCUGUCUUUUACGUAUUAGAUAAUAUGAACAUCGCAUAUAUAAUAAGAAAAAUUACGUAUGAUUAUUUAUUAUCAUAAAAGGUUAGUUUAAAUUUAAAGUAAUCUAAUAUGUUUAUUGAACUUCAACUAUUAAAUAAAGUAUAAGCUAAAUAAGUAUAAAUAUUCUAGAAACCAUUUCUAACUGAUGAUAGGCUAAUUCGAUUAAUUUAUAAAAACUAGAUAGUAGGGUUAUAGUCCUCAAACUACACCUAAUUUAAUAACAUUUAUAUUUUUUUUAGCCUUAAACAUUUAUAGUUUUUGUUAAUUUGGUCCUUACUCUUUAAAAUUACAUAAAAAUUGCAAAAAAAUUAAAAAUUAAUUUUUAUCAUGAUUUUAAUAACAUUUAUAUUUUUUUUGUGGUUUGGUAACUUAUCAACUUGACUCUUACUUGUAACCAACUUUUCUAACCUUUUUCGUACCCUUAACCUAAGUCCCGUUACAAUUUCUAAAGACCUCUUGAUUGGUGUAUCAUCUCGAUUUGUUUUUAUAGUGGUGGAGAUUUGUUUUUUGUAGUGGCAUGAUUGCCAGAACUUUACUUUCUAUCCUGUCGAUCCGAUCCAAUGAAAGAAUAACAAAGAGUCUUAAGAUCUGUCAACUUUAUUUCAUUUUCAUUUUCUUUGUCAUUUUCUAUGUUUCUUGUCACAUACAAUGAAAGAAGAACAUAGAAAAAUGUUGCCUAUUUAUUUCCCAAUCAUCAUUCUAACAGGCCGAAUUAGCCCAGGCCCAAACAUUAAUAAAAUGUCCAGAUUACAAAAUAACCAACCAAAAAUUAAAAGCCCAAAAUAAUAAAAUAAAACCCAUUACAUUAACCCAAAACUCCAGCCCAAUUACAUUGAAGCCCAAAAAAAUAGUUUUUAGAAACCCCUAGGGUUUCUGGAACAAUCCGCGCCGCUCCUCCAUCCGCUUCUCCACGCACGCUGCACCUUUCCACGUGCGCCUCCAGCUGGCAGUGUACCUCCAAUGCAACAAACAAAGCAACAAGCAGCAAAAGAAAUGGAAAAACAACAAAAAAAAAAAGAAAGGAGCAACAAUGUAUAACAGAUUGAUAACAAAUAAUAGAAAAAAUAGCAGUAAAUAGGAAAAAAAAUUAAAAAAUAAUGAGGGUAAUUUCAUUUUUUUCUCUGUUUUGGCUAUAAAGAGAGCCGGUCAAAAUCUCUAAAGGGGGAUUUAGAAAUCAAUCAGAAAACAAGUAUUUUGUACCAACAAUUAGAGAAAAAAAAUACAAAAAUAGGGAUUGAAGGUUUUUUUUUCUUUCGUUUCGAUUUAUUUUAAAAUAGCAUAGAAAAUAAAAAGAAGGCUUACCUUGCGACGCCUUCAGAUCCUCUCGAAAAGGGGCUAAAAGGCCCUAUGUGGCACAGAUUUGACCACUGUUCACGGUGGAACCGCAGCGGAGGCGCAGAGGAUUGGCAUCAAUUUAGGCAGGGUUUGAAACCCUAGCAGAGAAAAAAUUAGGGUUGAUAGAUUUUUUUUAAAAAAAUGGCAAAAUGUUGUUUUAAAAAAUUUUGUUUUAAAAAAAAUUGUUGCUUUUAUAAAGGGUGUAAAACGGCGUCGUUUAGGGCAUGUUUCGAUGGCCCCAAAACGGCGCCUUAUAAGGCAACCCCCGACGACCCGACCUGCUCCAUGGGGGAUCCGCGUGGUUUUUGUUAAAUGGGUUAUGUCUAACCCUGGCCCUUCUACUUUUUAUACUUGUUUUAAUUUGAUCCUCUUUUUAUUUAUUUUUAUUUCUUUAAAUUAAGCCUGAUAAUUUUUUUCCAUUACAUUUUAAUCCUUAAUGAAACGGCGCGUUUUAGAGGAGAAGGGAAAAUUACCCUUCUAGUCCCUUCUUGUUAUUCGAGUGUUCAGAAGGGUCCUUUUUUGUUUAUUUUUUAUUUGCCCCAAAAUUUUGUUUUAAAGCUUAAUUUAGUCCUAUUUUGUUAUUUUAGCUAUUUUAUUAUUAGAUUAAUUAAUUUAAUAUUAUUAUUACUGCUAUUAUUUUACCCCUAUUAUUUAUAUAUUUAUUAUUAUAACUAUAUCAUUAAAUCAAUUAGUUUUUACAUUAUUAUUUCCAUUCUGUUUUUUAUUUACUUACUUAAAUACUUUAAAUGCAUUUAUUUUAUUUCUUAUUUUUUUAUGAAAUUUCAAAACUUUAGACUAUUUUUUUGUUACUAUAACCCUAAUUUCAUUCAUUUUAUAAUAGUUUUUUUUUAAAAUAUUUCUUAGAUUAAUUCCCUCGAUGUUAUUUUGUAUAUUUAUUUAUCUUUUUAAAUUUUCGAUAUUGUCUUAUUGUAUUAUUGUUGUUACUAUCAUUAUUCAUUAUUAUUGUUGAUUUUAUUCUUCUUUGAUUAAUGUUUAUGUUAGAGUAAUAGGUGUUAUGUGAUCAUUGUUAUUAUAUGUUAUAAUUUGUUGACACUCGUAUUGUAGUCAUUCGUCAGCUUAAUAUUUUGAGUAACAUUUUAAAUAUUACAUUAAUUUUGACCCAAAUGCAUAAUUUUUUAAUAAGUAAUAUUUCGUAUUGUGGAAUUUGAGAGAUCAUUCCCUAACUUACGGGGUCUCGAUUUUUUUGAUAAAUCUGAAUAUAAGAACUAUUUUAAAAAAAUACGUUUUAAAAUUAUCUCGGGAAUUUAAAAAGAAGCGUGUUCUAACUUACGGAAUAUGAUCUUUUUUUAAAAAUCGAGAUAAUCAAAUAUCUUUCAAAUAAAUAAACUUUUCGUGUUUAUUCUCGUUUUAGGAUUUAAGAUAUUGUGUCCUAACUCACGGGACACAAUUCUUUUUCUCGAUUAACGUGAAAUACGCCCUUUUUAAUUUUAUCUUUUUAAGUGAUUUUAACAAAAGGAUUGUAUUUUAAAUCUCUUCAAAAUUUUCAAUUUUUCGACAUUGAGACAUUAACUAAUCAAUUAGGUACCAAUUUUGGGCGUUACAAGGGUGUUAACCCUUCCUUGUACAUAACCGACUCCCGAACCUAUUUUUCUGAAUAUUAUAGGCCAAAAUUGUUUUAAUAAAUUAAACCCUUAAGAGGUGACUCGAUCACAGCUCAUAAAAAUUAUCGGUGGCGACCCUUGUUUUAAAAAAGGUGGUUUCAACAGCUUGGCGACUCCGCUGGGGACAAAAAUAAGAGUCAAGCCGCGAGUUGAUUAUUUCUUAUCUUUUUGUCAGAAAUUGUGAAUUCGAUUUAAAUUUAUGAUCUUUUCAUUGCAUUUUAUGGUCUGCAUCAUUUUUAUAUGCUUGCUUUACUACUUCGAGUCUUUUAAUCUUCGCAUAUUGUAUUGCAUAACCGUUCGGUUAUACCCUUUUAAGCGGGAGUGAGAAAUUAUUCUUUCGUGAGGUUUUCACCUUCGUAUAGGAUAGUGGAUUACUUUCAGGAUACAUCCAUACCUAUGUCUUCGUGAGAUUCUCAUCUCCGUAUAGUCAUAGGGAAAUGUAUUCCCCUGAACUGAACUCAGUCCGUAUGAGCCUAUAAUGGGUGAGGAUUGAGGAAUCUGCUGGUUCAGGUACCCUUUCUUUAGAACUAAACCGCAUGUAGUGAGCCCUAAGAGCAUACCCUAGGUAGAACCACUCCAAACCCCUAGUGGUCACCCAAAUAGGUGCUCUAUUUAUUUUUGCUUGCUUGUUUUUGCCUUGUACUAACCUAUUUGUUAUGGUUAUGAGUGCAUUGCAUUUUUAUCAUAAAAAAGAUGUGUUGAUUCACGUUCAGUUGCUAAAUAGAGAGCUUGUCAUGGAAAACGAAUUUCUUGAUAAAGUGGAAGACAAUGCGGUUGUCCGGAUAUGGUCCAAGAAAAUGUGAAGAAAGAAGGGUGAUAGUCUAAUGGAGGACUACACGACCUUGCUUUGUUGCCUGAUGAUUCAAGUUGACAAAGAUUAUUCGAGAGUCUUCAAUGUCCCGACCUUUUUAAAGAAGCUAACGAGCGUCACGAGGAUGAGCGAGUAAUGAGUUGCGGCCCGGAUCAAGCAAAAAAAAGAUAGAGGAGACACCCUUUUUGAAGAGUUCACGAGAUUUAUCUUAACAUCUAGACGAAGAAAAAGAUCAAUCUCUUUGCCUAGAGUAUGAGGGCAAAGCCGUAUAUAUCCGCUUUAUGUAAAUAAAUUUGUUUUCUAGUAAAGUUUUUCUAAUAGGAUUGAAUCAGAAUCAACGUCUCUUUUUGCAUUCAUUCCAUUCAUCUGCAUUGCAUUUCAUUGCAUCUAGAAUUUCACAAAAGGACCCUAAUUAAUCGAAAUUGUUAUAGCUACCUUGAAAAACUAACGAAAAUUUACCAAUUAAAUAUUCCUAUGGUACCCAUUGCAAAACUAAAGUAAUGGAUCAAAUAUUAGAAAGAUUAGAACAAAUGCUGAAGGAUAAACAUAACUGCUUUGGCUUAGGGUACAAGCCAGAUACAAGACAAAGAAGAAAUAGGAAAGGAGAACACGUUUGAGCGGGGAUGAGGUCAAAUGGGAGGGAUUAUUCAUCCCAGGCGAAGAAUGCCAAGAGAAGAAAAUAUUGAAAACAUGUUGGGAAACGUUCACAUCAAUGCCAUAUACGAAGAAGCAAUUGAAGGAGUGACCUUGUUAGAUAUCCGCCCUUAUGAACCUAAGAGUGUGCUAAACAAUUGGACUGCAGAAGAAAUUCUUGUAGUGUUUAGAGCUUACUCAUAGUAAUGUUCAGAACACACUUGUUGCUUUUAGCCUAGAAGUGAUAAGAAUCCCUCUGUGAAAUAGGCUCAUGUAUAAACAUCAUUAUUUUAAUGAAGUACAUCUUUGCAUUCAUUUUGAGCAAAUAUUCUUUUAUUCUUUUCAUACGAGUAAUUAUUUUGGAUUCUUUAAUUCUUUUGGGAUUUUCUUCCAAAAUCAUUCUUUUAUUACAUCCAUAAUCAUACUGUACAAAUAAUGUAAUAGCCUGAAUUUUCAGUGGUGUCGGAAUGGUGAUUCAAGAUCACUAAGUCUGACAAAUGAGUAGAAAAUAUUAUUAAUUUAGUAAGAAUAAGUAAAUGUGAAGUUAGGAAAAUUUUUGAAAUAGUGAAUAGUGUACUAGGAAUAAAUAUUAAAAUAAUUAAAAUAAAAAAUGAGGUAUCGAGACCUCGAAGAUUUUAAACCAAGCCAUAAGUACUUUUAGAAGUAUUUUUAGAGUGUCAUUGAGUUGGUAUUAAAGUUUCGUUAGAAAAUUUUAACGCUCGGAUAGUUAAUUAACCAAAAAGGACUAAAUUGAAAAUAGUGUAAAAUUUGUUAAAUUGUGAUUAAAUAGCUUAAGUGAUUAAAAAGGAGGGAUUUAAAAGGCAAUUAGGCCCAAAUUAUAUGGGCUGGACGGUUGGGUAAGAAAAAUCAGCAGAAUGUAAGGAGAAACAGGGGCAAAAUUGGAAACUUAACAAAUUAAACAUAUAAAACAAAGACAAAAGUGAAAAAUCUAGAGAUCUGCUCACAAUUUAUCAGCAAAAAUGCCAUAGGAGGUCUGAAAGAAGCUGGUUUUUCAUAUAUUUGAAUCAUGUAAGUUUAAUUCUUGAUUAUUUCUUCUAAUUUUUGUGAUUUUGAUACUUUUACAAUUAGGUCCAACUAAUUAUUUCAUUAGUUUUUGAUUUCAUGGCUGAUUUUGAAAGUUACCAUUGAUGAGUGUUGGAUUUUUAUGAUGAAUAAACAUGGAAUUAAAGCUUUAAUUUUGUUAUAUGAUGAUUUUAUUAAGUAAUUUUGAUAGAAAUUGAUUUUUGGGACCUAAUUGUGAAAAAGUUUGGAAUUAGGGUUUGGUGUUGCGGUUUUGAAUAUGAAAGUCUAUGUAGUAGUCUAAAAUAGUUGGAAAAGGUGUUAAUUGAGAAAAAUUAGAUCAAUUGAGGGGUUAAUUGAGUAGGACCAAAUUGUAAAAACUGUAAAGUUUGAGGUAAAAGUGUAAUUUCGAAAAUUUAAGGGCAUAAAUUGUGAAGUGAAUUAGAAUAGAAUUAUAUGCUGAUGAAUGAAUAAAUUUGUAUUUUAGAUCGAGAACCCGAAGCAAGCCGAGGAAAAGAAAAAGUAGUUGAUUAGUCCCUGAACUUUUACAAAUUCUGCAAAUCGACCCAGGUAAGUUCAUAUGGCUGAAAUUUAAUGAUUAAAUGUUAAUUUCAUGAAUUAUGUAAUGUAUGAUGAAAUGUAUUUAGUGUUGAAAUGAGAGUAAAAUAAAAAUGCGAAAAUCGAAUAAAUGAUCAAAUUAAGCGGAACGCCGGAUUUGAGUACUUCUGAUCAAGAGACAAAGUGAUAAGUGGUAGCUUUAGCUACACUUAUCUGAUCAAGUGAAAAAGUGAUAAGUGCUACACUUAUCUGAUCAAGAGACAAAGUGAUAAGUGGUAGCUUUAGCUCACUUAUCUGAUCAAGUGAAAAAGUGAUAAGUGCUAUACUUAUCUGAUCAAGUGACAAAGUGAUAAGUGGUAGCUUAGCUACACUUAUCUGAUCAGGGCCAAAUGAUAAGUGAUCAUACGUAAGACCAUAGUUAUACUAUGGCCAAGUGAAAGUGAAGUACUCAAUUUUCCGUAACCGUUCCUUAAUUUUGAUCAAGGAUGGUAAGUGACAAAUAGGCCCAAAGAAAUUAUGGUAAAAGAAUAAGUAGUAGUGAGUUUAUACCAAGGAACUCUCCAAAGAUUGUGGUUGACAAGUAAACUUAGUAAUGGUGUAUAUUGUAUAAGUGUACAAAUGUUUGGUAAGAUUUAUGUUUGUGCCUAUGAACUUACUAAGCUUUUCUAUAAGCUUACAUGUGUGUGUUUAUUGUUUUUCUAGAUUAACGUAUUUAUACAUUCGGAGGAUCGGAUCUACUUCGAGAAUCACACUAUCCAGAUAUACUCCGGUAGAUUUUGUUAAACAACUUUUUGGAUUUAUAUGGCAUGUACAUAGAAUUGAAGUAAAAAGUAAUAGAAUGAAUGACUGAGUAUGCAAAGUAAAUUUGAAUGUGAUGGUUGUGUUAGAUAUUGAAAAAUACAUGUUUUUAGUUUGAAAUGGUUGAUUGGCUGAACUUCGUUAGUAUUCAAGUGAAGUAGUUGAAAUACUGGAAUUGGUUGUGAUUUGAAAUUUGCAGGGAAGGUUAGAUAAAUAUAAAGGGGUUAUAUUGAUUUUUUUUAAAAAUUUCAAUGGAAUAAUUUUUGGACAGCAGCAUUGAUGUAACUUUUAAAAAUCACCAAAAAUAGUGGAAAUAGAAUUAGAAGUUGAAUGAGAUAUGAAAUUAAAUCUGAAUGAGUCUAAUUUCACAUGAAAGAAGUAGAAUAAGAAAAAGAGUUAUAUAUUUUUAGAUAUUUGAAUUUUAGUGAAACAGGGCAAGAAUGUUUUUGAAGUCCCCUGUUCUGACUUUAGAAAUUUAGUAAAAAUUGUACAAAAGGAAUUAUGAAUUAUAAUUUAUAUGUUUAAAUUCCGUAAUGAGUAUAUUUUAAGUAGAAAUAAUUGGAACCACCAUAUGAAGUCUUUGCAAUGAGAUAAUUGAAUUUUAGCGACAAGAGGUCAGGAUAGUCAAUUAGUGAAAUAGGGGAGACUUCAACUAAUAAACUGUAUUAAUUUGCUAAACCAAAAAUUCUGAAAAAUUUAUGGUGAAUAUACAUAUGAGUCUAGUUUGAGGGAAAAUUUACGGAUCUAAAUUUUUAGUUUCGUAUCUUGAGUUAUAAUUAUUUUAGUGACUACUGCGCAUGUGGACAGCUUUGUUGUGAAUGGUGAAAUUAAUUUUUAAAGUAAAUUUUUAUGCCCCGAACUUUUAAGUUCAGUCAAGUAACGCCUUAUGCUCGACUCCGGCAACCGUCUUGGGUAAGGGGUGUUAUAAAUAAUUAUUCUUAAAUUCAUACAUUCUUUGUAUAUUAUUUUGUACCUACAAUAGGUCCCUAGAUAUUAACAACAUGAGUGACGUUGCUACAGACUCAGAAUUUCCUUUUAAACAAGACAUGUGUUUAGAGGGAUCCCAUGGCUUUGAAGAUGACGUAGACUGUGGCUUAUCUCUGAAUUUGUUAAGGAUGGUAAAACAAGAGGAGAAGCAAAUCCUACCUCACAAGGAAUCAAUGGAAAUUGUGAGCUCAGAAGGGGGAAAAGAGGUGAAGAUUGAGACUAACAUUGCCACAAAGACAAAGCAUGACCUCGUUGAGUUACUCCAAGAAUUUAAAGAUGUCUUCGCAUGGUCAUACCAGGAUACUCCCGGGUUAAGUACUGGCAUUGUAGUACACUACCUUCUUAUAAAAGAAGAUUGCAAGCCAGUUUAGCAGAAACUCUGAAGGAUGAUGCCUGAUAUUGUGCUAAAAAUAAAAGAAGAAGUUAAAAAGCAAUUUGAUGUUGGGUUCUUACAAGUGGUUAAAUAUUCAGAAUGAGUAGCCAACAUCGUCUCAGUCUCUAAAAAAGAUGGGAAAGUACGAAUGUGCAUAGAUUACAGAGACAUGAACAAGGCCAGCCAAAAAGAAAAUUUCCCAUUGCCUCACAUUGACACUUUGGUGGAUAAUACAGUAGGCUACUCACUGUUUUCCUUCAUGGACGACUUCUCUGGAUACAACCAGAUAAAGAUGCAUCCCAAAAACAUGGGAAAGACUACAUUCGUGACCCUAUGGGGAAUGUUUUGCUAUAAAAUGAUGUCAUUCGGAUUAAAGAAUGUGGGAGCGACGUAUCAAAGGGAAUGGUAACCUUGUUUCAUGACAUGAUGUACAAGGAAAUCGAGGUUUAUGUUGGCGAUAUGAUUGCAAAAUCCAGAACAGAAGAGGAACAUGUGUAGGCCCUAAGAAAAUUAUUCUUAAGACUGAGAAAGUUCCAGCUCAAGCUUUCCAACGAAAUGCACAUUCAGAGCUAGGUUAGGAAAGCUGUUAGGCUUCACAGUUAGUGAAAAAGGAAUCGAGAUCAACCCAGAUAAAGUCAAGGCGAUACGAGAUUUACCUCUACCAUGCACUCAGAAGGAAGCUCGAGGUUUCCUAGGAAGACUGAAUUACAUUGCUCGAUACAUUUCACAACUAACCGAAAAAUGUGACACCAUAUUAAAAUAAAAAUAGAUUAAAUUGUAAGUAAAACAUAAUUUAAACAUAUGAAUACAUCAAAUUAAUAAUACUAAAUGAAUACAGUUAUUUAUGAUGAUGUUGUUGCCAAUUCCUAAUUUGGUGUCUAGUUAAUUUGUGACAUCAUAAAUUUAAGUGAUAAAUUUAAGGUUUUAUGUAUUGAUGUGGAUUCAAAUAUCACCAUAAUUUUUGUAAAUAAAAAACUAAUAAGAUAACUUAUAUUAAGUACGAAAGGGUAUUUUUAUAAUUUCUCUAAUCGAGUUGGUGCCCGGUUGACUCAUGACACUAACUCAAUCAGAAGCUUUAAUAAUAAUAUAGAUAUUCAUGUUAAAAAAACAAAAAAAAAGUACUUUAGUUCCAAAUAAUUAUAUAACAAGUAAAUUUAUAAUUGAUGAAUAAAUUUAUAAAUAAUAUAUUUAUAUGAUCUAAUAUAUUAUAUUUAUAUUAAUUAUAUAUCAUCUACAAACUUUGAAGAUCAAUUUAUUAAGUAAAAAUGAAAUUGUUAACACUAAAUCAAUUUUUAGAUUUUGUAUAGAUGAUUUAGUGAUGAUAAAAACAUUAUUAACACUAUUUUUUAAUUAACAAAAAAUUAGUGAUAUAUUUAAAUUAUAUUUAUCAUUUAUUAUUUUUAAUAAUAUUUUUUAAUUAUAUGAAGUAAAAUUAUAUUGUAUACUAAAUAUGGUACAUAUACUCUAAUUAUAACUUGAAAUUUUAUUAUAUAAAUUAAUAUAAAUUUGAAUAACAAAAUAAAAAAAAACUAAUUAGAAUAAUUUUAAAAAACAUUAUUUAAAAGUAGUUAAAAAUCACGUGCAACAGGUGAGAUCAAUGGUCUUUAGAGAAGAAAUGUUGAAGAUCAAAGUUGGAAUCUGGCCUAUAAGGCCUUUAAUUGCUUUAAUAUUAAGCAGUUCCAAACCAAGAAGAUUACCGAUUUCCUCAGGAAUUUGACCUGCACACAUGGUCGAAAAAUCAAUGUGUCAAACUACCUAUUUUGUUAGCAUAAGUCAAAGAGGUUUUCUUUUCUAUUCUACAUAAUUUGCAGAUGUUAGAUUUUAAUAUUUUUAAGCAUAUUUGUUUUCAUCAAAUUAACUAUUUUGAACUAUUUUGCCUUGAAUGAAAUAAAAUGCUCUUACUUUUGUUAUCUAUUACUAAUCAAACUCUUUUAUAAAAAAAAUACUUUAAACUAAAGAAACCAAGAAAAUUCAAUACCUUCUAGGUUAUUCAACCCCAAAUAUAAUUCUUUGAGUCGUGUCGGAUUUCCAAUACUUCUUGGAAUGAUCCCCAUCAAUUGAUUAUAGGAAAAUGACAAAAUUUUAAGGUUGUUGCAUUUGCUUAUACUUGACGGAAUGUUACCAUAUAAUUCAUUCCGACUCAAGUAAAGCCCUUCAAGCUUGGAAAGAUGUGACACAUAUCAUUAGGCAAGCUACCUGAUAGGCUAUUGUUGGAGAGAUCAAUGGCCUUCAGAGAAGAAAUGUUGAAGAUCGAAGUUGGAAUCUGACCUGUAAGGCCUUUAAUUGCUUUAAUAUUAAGCAGUUCCAAACCAAGAAGAUUACCGAUUUCCUCAAGAAUUUGACCUGCACACAUGGUCGAAAAAUCAAUGUGUCAAACUACCUAUUUUGUUAGCAUAAGUCAAAGAGGUUUUCUUUUCUGUUCUAUAGUAAUUUGGUGAUGUUAGAUUUUAAUAUAAUUCAGCACAUGUUUUUCAUCAAAUGAAAUAAAAAGUUUUUCCUUUUGUUAUCUAUUACAAAUCAAGCUCUUUUAUUAAAAAAAUACUUUAAAUUCAAGAAAUCAAGGAAAUUAAUUACCUUCUAAAUUAUUAAACCCCAAAUAUAAUUCCUGGAGUCGUGUUAGAUUUCCAAUACUUCUUGGAAUGAUCCCCAUAAAUUGAUUAUGGGGCAACAACAAAUUUUUAAGGAUGUUUCAUUUGCCUAUGCUUGACGGAAUGUUACCAGAUAACUCAUUGCUAUGCAAGUGAAGCCCUUCAAGCUCGGGAAGAUGUUGACACAUAUCAUUAGGCAAACUACCUAAUAGGCUAUUCCUGGAGAGAGCAAUAGUCUUGAGAGAAAAAUGUUGAAGAUCGAAGUCGGAAUCUGAUCUGUAAGGCCUUUAAUUGCUUGAAUAUUAAGCAUUUCCAAACUAAAAAGAUUACCGAUUUCUUCAGGAAUUUGACCUGCAGACAUAGUCGAAACAUCAAGGUGUUAAAUUUCCUAUUUUGUUAGUGUAAAUCAAAGAGGCUUUUUAUUUUUUUUCGUUAUGAAAUAAUAUGGAUAUGUUCGAUUCUAAUCAUAUUUAAGUAUAUAUUAGUUCUUGAAAGAAUGAGUUCUUAUUUUUGGUAUUUAUAUUGCAAAUAUAUAUUUUUUUAAAUUUAAAAGAAGGGAGGGGGCAAAUGUGUUUAAACUAAAGACAUCAAGGAAAAGGCAUACCAAGUAUAAUUGUUUAAGUUGUGUCAAAUUCCCAAUGCUUUUUGGAAUGAUCCCACUAAAUUGAUUAAUAGACAAUUCCAAAAUUUGAAGGUUGCAGCAUUUGUCUAUACUUGAUGGAAUAGAACUUGAUAAUUCAUUUCUACUCAAGUAAAGCUCUUUCAGCUUGGGAAGAUGGACACACAAAUCAUCGGGCAAGCCACCAGAAAGACUAUUAUCACAAAAAUGAAUCCUUUUCAAAGAAGAAAUGUUAAAGAUGGAAGAUGGAACCUGGCCAGAUAAUUGAUUGAAUCCCAAGUUCAAGAUCUCUAGAUUGGACAAGUUGACAAGUGUUUGAGGGAUCGUGCCUGUGAAGUUAUUAUUUCUCAUUUCCAACCUUUGAACUCUGUGCAAGUUCCCAAGCCAUGGUGGAAUUUCCCCAUUAAGACGGUUGUAGCUUAAUCGAAUGAUCCUCAAACGAUGCAAUUGGCCUAAUUCUUUAGCCAGAUGGCCGUAGAAAUUGUUGUUGCUCAAGUCGAUAGAAAAUAGAAAUGAAAGAUUUCCAAGGUGUGGAGGGAUAGUACCCCUAAGAUUCAUGUUUGUAAGAUUAAUCAAAGCUACAACUCUUUCAUGGAUGAUGCCACAAGAAACACCAACCCACUUACAGACAGAGGUAGAGUUCGUCCAAUUGUUUGCCAACACAUUUUGAGGAUCGACAAUGCGAUCUUUAAACUCAAAGAGUGCAAACUGAUCGGAGUUGAGAUUCCGGACUGUCAUAGCCAAGGAAACAAUAGAACAUUGUAUGAAUAAAAGUGAAAGAAGAUGAAAGCAAGUGUUGUAGUUCAUGAUGGCAAGACGAAAUAAGCCAGGAAAAGGGAAGUUGAAUUGAUGAAGAAAUAGCCAGCCAACAUGCUUAAAUAGGCUUCAACCCUUGCACACUUCUCAUACAUAAAGUUCGCUGCCAUUACAACAAGAAAACUCAUAUCUCCAUUCGUACCUAUCCAUACUUUAUUUGACUAACUUUUCCCUAACAAGUGUUCAGUAAGGAGAUAAAUCAGUUUGGAGCUAUUCACCGGCUUCUCCAAUCUUGGUUUCAAACUCCUAACCCAUCAAUUCACUUUAAUUGAAACGAUAUACACGAGUCUUUCGGCUUAUAUUUUUAAUUUAAUUUUUGUUACUUUUCAUAAUAUUUUUUGAGAAAUCCAAAUAUUCCAGUCUGAAAUUUCUUCAUUGCCACGUCUAUCUCCUGGGUAAGUCCGUGGUUAGGCAGCCCACUUUGGGAGCAGGAUUGUAAUUGUAAUUCUAUCCGACUCAUUUUACUAUUUAGAAAUAUAAAAGUAAUAUUAUAUUAUUUUUUAUAUUUUUAUAAAUUUAAUUUUAAUUAUAAUUUUUAAACAAUAAAACGAGUCAUUUGUAUUUGCCUAGUCUAAAUUGAAUCAGGAGUCAAAAAAAUUUUAAUCAUAAUUUACUAUUAUUUUAAUUAAUUAAAAUUUAACCUACUACAACUAGUAGUUGCAGAAAAAAUGUCAUUCCUUUAGAAAAACGAAAAUCCUUUAGAAAAAUGAGAACUUAUGAAGCAUUCAAUAAGAGUCAUUGGAAUAAAUGGUAACGAAAUCAUAAUUCAAUAUAAAGCUAAAAAAUGUACCAAUCUAUAUAAAUAAUGUAAGAUUUGUGAUACCUAAAUUAUUAUAUUUUCCAUAAAUAUAUGAAGAUAUUUUAUUAGGAAAUAAUUUUAUAUAUAAAAUUUUUUAUUUUCUUUUGAUAGAAAUUUAAUUAUGUUAUCUGUAGAAAAAAAUAUUUAUAGAAAUAUUAUUAGUAGAAAAUCAUAAAUUUGUGUGUGGCAAAAAAAAUUCACCACCAAGAAAGGGGCAAAUUAAACAACUUGAAACAAGUCAUUGGUUGUUUAAAAUAUUAGAUAAUAAUUUCAGUGAAGAAUCAUUAAAAUUAUGACAAAAUAACCCUAGAUAUUGUAGUAUUAAAUUGGAAAAUCUCAAUAAUAUUAUUAGAGUAAAACCUAUGAUCUAUCUAAACAAGAUAUAGAAGAUUUUGAUAUACAAAUUAAGGUUAGAAAUCAUGCGGAAAUAAAAAAGAAAAAAAAGCUAGUAUGGUCAUUAAUUAUAAAAGAUUAAAUCAAAAUAUUAUUUUUUUAUAGUUACUUGAAUUAAUCAGGCUAAACAAACAAAAUAUUUUAGUAAAUUUGACUGCAAAUCAGGAUUCUAGCAAAUCAUGAUAACAGAAAAGUCCAAACCUUUAACGGCUUUUAGUGCACCCAAUGGACAUUACCAAUGGAAAGUGAUGUCAUUUCAAUUAUGUGAUGCACCACAAAUCUUCCAAAGACGAAUGGAUUUUAUAUUUAAUAAAUAUAAAAAAAUUCUAUGUAGUCUACAUAGAUGAUAUUUUUUAUAUUUUUAGAUACACUAGAAUUACAUAAGAAACAUUUAAAUAUUAUUUCUUAAGAAUUCAUAAAAUAUAGAAUCAUAUUAAACCCUAAAAAUAUAGAGUUAGAAAAAAGAGAGAGAAUUUUUAUAAUAGUGGAAAUAAAAAAUUGUCCUCAAAAGAUUGAAGAAAAAAAGAACUUCCAACAAUUUCUAAUAUAUUCCUCCCAAAUUUUCAGUUUCAAUUUUAUUACAGAAUUUCUUUGCCGACAAUAAGAAAUUAAGAGCGCUCUUUAAGUUGAAUAUAGUCCGUCAGAUAUGGCUAUCUAUAACAUGGAACCUUUGGUUUUCAAGCUGAAUAGGAGAAUUGAUUCACUUGAUAAGUAUGAAAAAUUGAAACUGCUAAAUUUAAGUGCACUAACUCUGGAUAUCAUCAUUAUUUUUCUGUACAUUAAAGUACCUGUUUGAUAUGCGAUUUCUGCCUCAAACUAUCAACAUCUUUAACAUCCUUUUGCUAUAGUUAGCAUGGGUACUUCCUUUUAGAUUAACAGUUAGGUUUGAACUGUGAAUUAGAUUUCUGUGGCUGCUGGGAUUGAAGAAGUUAGUAUGCGAAUGACAUUGGACAAAUUUGGCAAAGUCUUCUCCAUCAGUGAAGAAAACCCCUUGGCGUAUGAAAAAUGUUCACCAUCUUAGACAUUUGUUUUCUUAUUGUAAGAAUAUUUUUAACAUUGUAACUUUUAACAUUAUUGUAAGAAUAUUUUGAAUUAUACUUCAGUUAUCAAUUUAUAUCAUAUAUCUUUUGUUGAAUUUGAAGUAUAAUUUAUAUUUGCUGUUUUUGGUUAGAUUUCAUGCUAUAGGAAGGGUUGUAUAUGGAUAGAAAUUGAAUGUUACAAAUCUGCCAAAGUUAGUGGCGUUUUUUCAUAAGAGCUGCUAAAGAAUGCUAUUUUUGGCGGUGUUUGUAAUAAAAGAGCCGCUAAAGGUCAUGUUCUUUAGCGAUGUUUGUGGGUAAAGCGCCGCUAAAGAUCAUGUUCUGUAGCGGUGUUUGUGGAUAAAGCGCCGCUAAAGAACAUGACCUUUAGCAGCGUAUUUUCACAUAAACGCCGCAAAAUUUAGCGGCUUUGUCUAUAGCGACUUUUUUUGCAGCGCUUUAAGUUUUAGCGGCGCUUUUAGGCCUAAAAAAGGGCCGCUAAAAGCCUGUUUUGCUGUAGUGAGCAUAUUUACAUUUUCGUCCCAAUUUCAACUAACACCCCAUCUAUUUCCCACUUCCCUUUUUCGGGCAAUUUCAACUAACACCUUCAUAUCAAACAUAACUAUUUUUCAAUUUUUCUUCUUUAUUUCAUUAAUAAAAUUAUCAAUCUAUUUGUUUUUAAAUAUAUAAUUUCAUUAAUAUUUUUUAAAUUAUAAUAUAAGAGUUGUUGUUUAUUUAUAGUUUUAUUACAUUAUUUACUCUCUCUUUUCUAUCAAGUUUUUUAAAUUAUAAUAUAAGAUUUAUUUUAUCAAUUUGUGGCUUAUCCAGUAUUCAUCUAUUUUAAUAAUAACUUGAGUUCCAGUCAUUAUCAUACCAGAAAGAGUUCCAUUUAUUCUUUAUCGUAAAUUUUAUAAAAAAAUAUACAUUUUAUUAUAAUACUAUAUGUGUUACGAAUAAUAUUUUAUUGUGGAUGCCCAUAAUUUUCAAAGUUGUAACCUCUAAUGUAGUAACCUUAAUGAAAUUAUGAGGCUUUUAUAUUGUAAUCAAGCCUCUAUUUAUUCUUUGUAACUUAAACAGAAGCAUAUUUUCUAUUAUAUUGAUAUUUUUUAUAGAUAUAUAUAUAUAUAUAAGGAAUCAAAUAAAAAGUUAUUUACCUUUCUAUUAUAUUGAUAUUUUCUAUUUGAUUUGUUCUUUUCUUUCACUAUUCCAUAAUAUAUUAUCAGUACGAUUUUAACCAAGAGUAACAUGUUAUUAGAUUGUGUCAAAAUUUUGUUGAGAAUCAUUAGAUUGUUUCCUUUUUCUUCUAUUUAGCCCCAAAUUGCACCCCUACACAAAAUUCAACAAAAACAUGGAAAAAUUAGUGGUGCACUCUCAUAAAUUAACCAAUUUAAUUACAUAAAAUAUGUAACUUUAGCAUUUUAUCAAUCAUGUUCUUUAGCGGCAUUUGUGGGUAAAGCGCCGCUAAAGGUCAUAUUCUUUAGCAGCGUUUGUGAUAAAAGUGCCACUAAAUAUCAUGUUCUUUAGCGGCGUUUGUGGAUAAAGCGCCGCUAAAGAACAUGACGUUUAGCAGCAUUUUUUUACAUAAACGUUGUAAAAUUUAGCGGCGUUGUCUAUAGCGACGUUUUUUGCGGUGCUUUCAAAUAGUUUUAGCGGCGCUUGUAGGCCUAAAAAAAUGCCGCUAAAAGUCUGUUUUGCUGUAUGAGCAUAUUUACAUUUUCGUCCCAAUUUCAACUAACACCCCAUCUAUUUCCCACUUCCCUUUUUCGGCCAAUUUCAACUAACACCUUCAUUUCAAACGUAAUUGUUUUUCGAUUUUUCCUCUUUAUUUCAUUAAUAAAAUUAUCAAUCUAUUUGUAUUUUAAAUAUAUAAUUUUAUUAAUAUUUUUUAAUUAUAAUAUAAGAGUUUUUGUUUAUUUAUAGUUUUAUUAUAUUAUUUACUCUCUUUUUUCUAUCAAGCUUUUUAAAUUAUAAUAUAAGAUUUAUUUUAUCAAAUGGUGGCUUAUCGAGUAUUCAUCUAUUUUAAUAAUAACUUGAGUUCCAAUCAUUAUCAUACCAGAAAGAGUUCCAUUUAUUCUUUAUCGUAAAUUUUAUAAAAAAAUAUAUAUUUUAUUAUAAUACUAUAUGUGUUAGGAAUAAUAUUUUAUUGUGGAUGCCCAUAAUUUUCAAAGUUGUAACCUCUAAUGUAGUAACCUCAAUGAAAUUAUGAGGCUUUUAUAUUGUAAUCAAGCCUCUAUUUAUUCUUUGUAACUUAAACAGAAGCAUAUUUUCUAUUAUAUUGAUAUUUUUUUAUAGAGAUAUAUACAUAAGGAAUCAAAUAAAAAGUUAUUUACCUUUCUAUUAUAUUGAUAUUUUCUAUUUGAUUUGUUCUUUUCUUUCACUAUUCCAUAAUAUAUUAUCAGUACGAUUUUAAUCAAGAGUAACAUUUUAUUAGAUUGUGUCAAAAUUUUGUUGGACUUCAAGUAUUGGAAUUUAAUUGUUUAAGUUAAGAAUCAUUAGAAUCAAUGGCUAUUUGAGAUAUGCUUGAGGAUGAUCUCAUUCUCUUCAUCACAAAGGUGGAGGUUAGAAAAUCUUUAUGUUUAAACAUUUAUAGCUUUAAAGUUAUUUUAACCUCUUAUUGUGACCUUAUAAUAUUUUGUAAUUUUUUGUAUUAUGGUAUAUAAAAAAAAUCUAACCAUAGUGAUUGAUUAGUAAUAUGAAUUUGUUAUUUGUUAUGUUUAAUAUAUAUUUUAUUUAUACUUAUUCAUUUUAUUUUUAUAUGAGUAAAUGAAGUGUUUGAAGAUUCGAAAUUUUUAUCAUCCAAGUUGAAAAUAAGUGCAAAAGUGUACAUUAUUUAAAAUAAAUUACGCAUUCAUUAAUGUUAUAUGAUAAAAUCAUUACAUGUUCUAAAGAACUAAUAUUGCAUCAAACUGUAAAAAGCUCUUGAAGAGUUAAUAUUUUACCUCCUUGUGAUACAAAAUCAUAUACAAUAUGAUAUUAUUUUUCAAAUCGAGUAGAUAUAUGUUGAGGGAAAUCUUUAUGUGGUUUACAUUAAAACCAUGGAUAGAAAUGACAUGAGAUACUCGUGUAUUUUUAUUAUAAAUAUUCCUUGAAGGAAGACACUUCACUUGUAUGAUUGACAUAUGAGAUAGUGGCAAGAAGUUCAUAGUGUUGGUAUGGUCGUCUAGAUCAUCUCAAAUCAAUAAUGAUGCAAAAUAAUUUGAAGAGAAUUUAUAUGAUUUUAUUGAAGAAUGAGAAGAUAUUUUCAUUUUGAUAAUUGUCAUCAAUACUAGUUCUUUGGAAAAAAAAUAUUGAACUAACAUAAAGUUAGAGGUUGGUUGCAUUUUUUGAUGAUAUCCAAAUAAUAUAUGAGCUCAUGUAUCACAUGUAUGCAACCCAAAGUUUACAGUAUUAUUUCUUGAAAUAAUUUGAUUCUACACAAUCUCUAUAGUAUGCAAUUUGUGCUAACAACGUUGGUGCAUUAUAUCCUAAGCUUGAUUUUCGUAGUUUUAGCUGAGAUAAUAUUAAGUUGUCUAUGCCUAUAUAUGUUAUACUUAAUGGUUAGCAAAAUUGUGCCUCCAUUUAAUUGCUUAACCAUUAAUAUAAGAAUAACUUUAAAAUAAGCAUGUAAUUUUAUUUGCAUAGAGUCAACAUGUAAGAAACAUUUGCCCCAUGAGAAUUGGCUUUCAUUUAUAAGCCAAUAGGUUUCAUAUGACUAUUUGGAUGUAAAAUAUCUAUUUUAUAUUCCACCAUAAUGCACUAAGAUGGUCCAUCAAGUAUGAAGUUGAGAAAAUUUAGAAUUUUUAUUUGAUGGUAAAAGUUGAAAAGAGAUAUAUACUUAUAAUUUUGAAAAAAAUAGUCAUGUUGCAAAUUUUUCUCAAUAUUAGGGGGAGACAAGUUGGACAAAUAAGGAUAAUUAUGUCAUCACUUUUUGUGAUCCCUCACUAAUAUUAUGUGCACAAAGUUUGAAGGAAAAAAGUAUUUGCUAGACAUGUUUAGUGAUGACACUUAGAGAUUGUAUAUACUAGAUGAUACAUAUACCAGCUAAAAUGUUCCAAAUAAUUAUGAGUCCUAGAAGGACAUAGUGAUAAAAAUAAUUUUUGGGCACGCUAGAAGGAUAAAAAACUAGUUCAUUCUAUAAAUCAAAAAAUUCUUGAAAGAAAAGAGUAAGAAAUGAAGCUGGCCACACAUUAAAGGAAACGAGUACUCAUGAAGAGACCUAAGGCAUAACUUUUAAUAAAACCCCAAAAGAGGUUCAAUACAUGGAAUUAUGAAUAUAAUAAGAUAUCUCGAUUAGUUAUAUCAUAACUAAAGAUGAUGGGGUUGAUAAAAGGAAAUUGUUGUUAACAACGAUAAUCUAAGUAGAACAUUUCAAUAUUAUGGUAAAAUGAGUAUUUUGAAUGAAAAUAUACUUGAAAGUAUUUAGAUGGGAACAACUCAUCAAAAUAAAUAGACGUUUCUAUUAUAACUUAUGAAAUGUGUCUCGGACAUGAAGUCCAAACAUUCGACAGGUGUAAAGCCAAGUGGAGUAUAUGUUAGCAUAAUAGUGAAAAAAUACAAAUCAUAAUAUAUAAAAUUGACUUGUAAGACAAACUUUCCCAAGACACUUGAUUUUGAUUAUGAAAAAUGAUUAAUUUGUGAUCUUAUCAAUUGAACAUACUUUGUAUAAUCAACAAAUUAUUAAUUAACCUCAUUUAACCAAUUUCCUUCAACACAUUUCAAAUCAAAUUAAUGUGUUGAGCACGCCCUUAACCCUUUUUCUUGAUUCAUUGCAUAGUCUAUUUCCAAGUACCAUAAUCAUCAACAUUUCAAUAUAUAAAGUCAUAACAUAAUGAAUCAUAGUUAGAAUUUUUUUUACCCUAUUAACCAAGUAUGGAACAAAAAUAAAAACCUAAUUUGUCAAGCUCAUUCAAUCAGCUUAUAUAUUAUAAGAAGAGCCUAAGUAUAAAUCCUAUACAUGAUUUCAAAUUCAACUAUUUAUAUUUGAGAUUCAAUUUAAAAUUCAUACUGAAAUUAUCAAAUUAACUCGUAAGCUACUCACGCUAAACAUUAAGGUACUCGAAUUCAAGUGGCUAGAUAUCAUAAACACUUUUAGCUUGUAAAACUAUUUCUAAGGGUCAGCCCAGAAUCAUGGUUGAACCCAAAAUCUGGUAACAAAAAUUUAAUUGAGCCAUCAGCCUAAAACAAAUAAGGCUUAAAAGGUUGGCACCCGAACAAUCAAAGAUAAACACCACCAUAUGCCACUCCCUGAAUCCGAUACAUACAAUAACACCCUUCACCACUUUUAUUCUUCUCCUUUUUUUUAACCUCAAUUUGGAUGGUCGCAUUUCUCUUUUUAGUGCUUUAUAGGGUUUGGGCUUUCAGAAUCCUCAGAGAUGCAAUUCAUGGAUCCCUCUAAGAAAUGCAAGCUUGAUGAAAAUGGUAUUAUUUCAACGGCAUCAGAACCUGACCCAAUCACCAAACUAACCCCACAAGAUGGCCGCAAGCUAAUCGAGCAAUUUAUCGUCGAUCAACUCCUUGACGUCCUCCAAGAUGCUGUUUGUUGUCACCUUGAUGUUCUUUCCGCCGUACACUCUAUUGCCGAUCAAGAUCCAUCUCAAAGGAAGCUUUUCAUCCGUGGUUGGGUUGGGAUACUACAACCCAACCCAACCCACAUUAGCAUACUACCAUGCGGUAACUUCUAGUGAUUUCUGUCUGUAACAUUAGACAGGUUAACAGUUAAAUCGUUCAACUGAAAGAUUUCUUUGAAGGAAGAGGUCAAUUGAUUUUUUUUGGAAUCAUUGUGUACUCAGUUGCAUUUAAGACGGGUAUCAUUCAUAAAGUAUAUAUCUACAUCAAGAAUGGUAGCCUCUUAUAUUAUAUUCAUGUAUUUAUUUUGCAUCUUUAAUUAUAAUAGGAUUUUUUUUGUUUAUUUAUAGUUUUAAUUAUAAUAUUUUUUAAAUAUGCCAAAGUAAAUUAUGUACCAAUUUUAAACUUCUCCUAGGUAAUUUAACGUAAGGGCAUUUAUGUUAUUUUACCACUUAUGAUAAAACUAACCUAAUUUUAGAUCUAAGUGUUUACCAACCUUCUUUUAGUCAAAUUAUGCAAGCCUAAAAUUUUUAGCUUAAUUUGAGUUUGUUUACUAUGUCUAAUUCAAGUUUUAUUAUUAAGAACUAAAUUGUAACUUAAACAAAUUAGAAUACCAAUUUAAAGAGACAAAAAUUCAAAGCCCCAAAACCCACACGGGCAUGUGGGUAAGUGACACAGGCGUGUGGAAACUGGAGCUAUCACACACGGGUGAGUGGGACUGAAAAAUAUGAAAUAAAUUAAUCCAUUUAAAUUUCCAACAACCAUGCUAUACUACCAAACCAAAUAAUGUUAGAAGCUUUGAAUAGGGGCGAAUCUUAAAAAAAAAUAGAAGAAUUAGAAUUAAAUUAUAAAAUUUUGAGAAGUUGUCAUGUAUUAAUUUAUUAUUUUUUAAAGGGUCUUAAUAGAUUUUUUUUCCCCAUUUUGGUUUGGCCAAUACCCCUGUCUGCCUCUUUCAAUUUGCUUCAACCCUUAGCCCAAUAUUCGAUUUGUUGUGGAAGUUUGACGCAUAAAAAUUCCUUUUUUAGAGGUUUAAAUUAUAAAUUUUUAUUAACAAAAUAUAAAAGAAAAAAACAUGUGUAGACAAGCCAAGAAACCUUUGGGAUCAUACAGGUGAUUUUGAGAUGUUCAUGGUUAUUUUGGUGGAGAGGGUAAAAAAGAAACAAAUGAUUCAUUAUAUAUGAUAUAAUUAUGAAAUUCAAGCCAUAUAUUGUAUGUUUCAUCCAUACAAAUUUCUUGUAGCAUUAAAUGACUCGUAGGCUUGCUGAAUUUCUUUGAAAGGCCCAAAGGCAAUUUAACAUUCACAAAAUAAUCUCUAAAUAGUGUAAAGACAAAUCAAAUCCACAGUAGCAUUAGAGUUGAUUAAGCUAAGCAUUGGCAAAUAUUACUUUGAUUUUGCAUGCAAUAUUGGCAAAACCCCCUCUUACAUUAGAAAAACAACAUAAUCCAUGAAACAUUGAUAGCCCAAUACAAAUUUCAUCGAGAAAAAAGUCUCUUUGUUUUGUAGAACAUGAUAGUAAAGAUGUGGAGUUUCGUUCUUCUUAUUGGCCUCCUUUAGUUUUCCUUGAUCAACAACCACUAGCCAAAAACACAAUUAGAUUAGAUUAUGAAUGAUACUUUCAACUAUGACAAUAUUAAAUACAAACCACUCUAAAUAACUCUAAAUAAAUGGAAAGCAGCAAAUUACCAGACGAGGCAAGCUAGCUCAAUUAAGACCAUUGUGUUAUACUUGUCUCUGAAUUGAAAAAUUUAGAAGGAAAUAAAGAGAAAGACUUAGAAAAUACUUGAAAACAGAAAAAAAAAUUAUGUCAUUUAAAAUAAAAAAUUUCUAUUCAAGCCAUUUAAAAUUUGUAAGAUUUUUAAAAUUUUAAAAUGAUAAAGGUAAAAUUGUACUUUGGCACCCCAAAAAUGAUAAAACUUUGAUUUAAUUAUUUAAAAAUUAUAAAAAUAUAGGCUAUUAAAAUGGUGAAAUUAUAUUUUUACUAUAGUAAAAAUUACAAUUUAAUUUCACCCCUAAAAGGAUUUUCUGGCUUCGCACCUAAUAAAAUCUUUGGCAAAAGACUAAAAUAAAAUUAUACCAUGAAUGGAAAAAGAAACUAAUAAAAUCCAAUCUAACAAAGAAAAUAACUUGAUGUCCAAAAGCUACCAUAAACCGUAAUUCAUGGGAAGGCUUGUUGCUUAUUUUAUUGGUUUCCAUUUUGAAAGAAGUUUGAAUUUUGAAGAGAGCCUACUACGUGAAAGCAAAAGAAAAAAAAAUAGUUUAUAUGAUUAAAAUUCCAGAAUAGAUUAAAAAUGUUGAAUUAAAGAUAAAAUUAAGUGUGAAUUAAUAACCACAAGUGUACUCUUUACUCACCAUCUCUGUUAAAAAUGUUGGAUGUUGUUUAGCAACCUUUGUUUGAUUUUCUUCAGCUCAACCACAACAUCUUUCAUAUCUUUUCUUUCUUCUGGUAACUCAGCUGAACAAUUCAAAGCCAACUCCAUGAUAGAUGAAAUACAAUUUGCUUUAACAACAAUGUACUCAUCCUCUCUUCUUAAUAAAUCAACAUCUGCAAUUUCUAUCGCUCCUUUAGGCAAUGAUCUUUCCAUCCAAUGCCUUAUACUCUCUUCUUCAACAAAAACCUUAUCAGUUGGCUUUUUCUUUGUGAAAGUUUCUAUAAGGACGAUCCCAUAACUAUAGACGUCAGAUUUUAUAGAAACAAUUCCUGCUGAUCCAAAUUCUGCAUUUCAAGUAUAAUUAGAACAUCAUUCAUCCUCAAUUAUUUCUAAAACGCUUAUUCAAAUAUCUAUCCACAUACACGUGAAACAAAAAUAUAAAAUACAAAUUAGGAAAAUAAUCAUACAAAAAUAAAAAAAAGAAUUCACCUGGUGCCAUAUACCCAAUAGUUGCAAGAGUCAUGGUUUGCUUCAUUACUUCACCUUCUCCCAACAAUUUGGCAACGCCAAAAUCUCCAACAUGUGCAACCAUGUCUUCAUCUAGUAAAAUAUUGCUUGGUUUUAUGUCACAAUGAAUUAUAGGUGUUGGAUGUCCAUUGUGGAGGUGUUCUAUAGCUACCGCAACAUCUAUCAUUAUGUCGACCCUUUGUAUGAUACCAAGGAAACAAUUUUCAGAAUGUAACCAUUUCUCAAGGUUUCCAUUAGACAUGUAAUCAAGCACCAAGGCUUUGAAGUCAACACUUGAGCAGUAAGUAAUGACCUUCACAAUAUUACGAUGAACUAUAUUAAGCAUAGCAUCACAUUCAAUGUCAAAACUCCUAAAUGCUCCCUCUGUUUGCAAAUUGAAAACUUUUAUUGCAACUUCCAUUCCAUCUGAAAGCCUCCCUUUAUAUACAUAUCCAAAACUCCCUGAACCAAGCGUAUUGCUUUCCUCAAAUCCAUUAGUUGCUCGUGAAAGUUCAGCAUGUGAAAUUCUUCUCAGUGUCUUCAAAGACAACAAAUCAUCUUUAACUGGUAGAGCUGUACUCCUUUGGCAUCUUCUAUACAUAAUAGUUAAGACUAUUAGUACUAGGACAAUACCAAUUGUUGGUAAACCAUACCUAAAAGCAUGCAAUAUAAUCAUUUGGGAGUUUUUGUGGAUGUCAUUUUUGCAAGGUGGGACUAGCAAUCUAGGUGGACCACAAAGUGCACAAUUAUUCAUGAAUGAUGUGCUAGAAAAGUUUGAAAAACAUCCUUUGCUGGGAAUUUCCCCUUCAAGUCUAUUGAAAGACACAUUAAAAUACUUUAGAUAUAAAAGCUUUUCCAAAGAUUUGGGAAUGACUCCAGAGAGAUUGUUAUUGCAUAAAUCCAAGAAUUCCAAACUAAUCAACCCUUCAAAUGAUUCAGGGAUAUGACCAUAUAGUAUGUUAUUUGAUAAAUCUAAUGAAACCAAAGUUAUAAGACCCCCAAAUGUGGAUAAGAUAUCGCUCGUGAGAAGAUUCCUUGAUAAAUUUAGUCUCAGUAGACUCCUAAAAUUUCCAACAUCAAUAGCAUGUGAAUUGUGAAGACGGUUUGAUGAUAAAUCUAUUUCUAAGAUAUCUUUAAGACUCCACAAAGUUGAGGGUAUUGUAGAACUCAAUUUGUUGGAACCUAACCAAAGAUAUCUCAAAGCAGAAAUAUUACCUAAACAAGAGGGUAUGGAUCCAUGCAGCUUAUUCAACCCUAAAUACAUCUCGUAUAGUCUCUCCAAACCACAAAGGCUUUCUGGGAUAGGCCCUCCUAAUUUAUUAGAGGAAAGACCUAGAAUUUGGAGAUUUCUCAUUCCUCCUAUUGAUGCUGGAAUCAAUCCACUUAAUUUAUUAUACCCAAGAUCUAAAAGCAAUAGGUUGGUUAAGUUACCUAUUUCCAUAGGAAUAAUGCCUUGAAGCUCACACUCUGUGGCAUGAAAGUAUUGAAGGGAUUUUGAAAGGUUCCCGAAAUAAGUAGGAAGAACGCCACUCAAUGGAUUUCCUGAAACAUCUAUUAUGCUCAAAUUCCUACAAUUCGUCAAAGAAGAAAGAAAGCUCCACUCAUGAUCAGUAGCAGAUCCUGUGAUCAAAUUAUUGUCAUAGAUUUGGAGCCAUACAAGUUGUCUUAAGCUGCCAAGCGUUUUAGGGAUUGGGCCAGAGAAUGAGUUAUCUCCCAAGUCUAGUUCCUUAAGCAUGGAAGCAUUGGAGAUAGAGUUGGGAAUGUUUCCGCUAAGUUUAUUUCCCCACAGUAAAAGAAUCUGAAGCUUUGGAGCAUUGGUAAUGGGUGGUAAAUUACCUGUAAAAUAGCAUCUUUUAGAAAACAUUCACAAAAUAUAUAAUACAUUAAAAUAAAAACUUUAAAUCAAUUAAGAAUAAAAUUUUGGCAUGGAAAAAUGUGAUGAAAUCAAUUAGAAAGUUGAGACAUAAUAAGAAGUUUUGAGUAGUAAUUAGUCCUUGUGAUUUGUAUAGACAAAACAUAUAAUACACUGAUAAUUUUUUUAAAAUAUUGUAAAACCUGAAAUAAAAUAAAAAAUAAAAGUUUGGCACGAGAAUGUGGCAUCUAAUCAUUCUUAAAAAUAAGACUAACAUUAAAUAAUAAUUAGUUAUGAUUUGAGAAACAAAAAUGUUAAAGAUGUAAACUGGUAUGAUUUUUAUCUAUUGGGUUAAUUAUUUAUUUUUAUUAAAUUAUAUAUAGUGUAAAAUUUAAAGAUUAUUAUUUGCUCAAAAUUUUUGUAUUUUAGGAUUUUAGGAUCGCAUUUAAUUCAAUUGUAUUUAAGACCUCAUGAAUUUAUUCUAUAAUUUGAGUCUUUUCAACCUUUUGGGAAAUAAUAAAACAUCGACAUUAAACUUGUUGUUGAUGCAUUCAAUUUGAUUUUUUGAGGGGUCAUUGGAGUUAUAUGUGAAUUUAGCAUUGAUUGACUUUUUUAGAAUUAAUCUUUUAUACCAAUUUAAUAACAUCGACAUGUUUUUGGGUAGGGUCGAGCAAAACCCAAUUAAAACCGAUGAAAUUGGUUUAGUUAACUCGGUCAAGUCCAUUAGAUGGAUAAAAUCAAUUUUAAAAUCAGUUAUUAUGGAUUAAGGUAAUUAAUUAUCGAGUAAUGAAAUACAUAAUCAAAUCAAUUGAUUUUGUUAGAAACUAAAAGAAAGUGGGAUAAGCUGAAAACUGAUUGCCCUUUUUUAGAAUUAAGGAAUCAGCCUUUUACAUGUUAGAUAAUAUGAACACCCCAUAUAUAAUAAGAAAAAUUAUGUACGAUUAUUUAUUAUCAUAAAUGGUUAGUUUAAAUUUAAAGUAAUCUAAUAUGUGUGUUGAACUUCAACUAUUACAUAAAGUAUAAGCUAAAUAUGUAUAAAUAUUCUAGAAACCAUUUCUAACUGAUGAUAGGCUAAUUUGAAAUUAAGAUUAAUAUAUAAAAACUAGAUAGUAGGGUUAUAGUCCUCAAACUACACCUAAUUUAAUAAAAUCUAUAGUUUUUAUAGCCUUAAACAUUUAUAGAUUUUGUUAAUUUGGUCCUUACUCUUUAAAAUUACAUAAAAAUUGCAAAAAUAUUUUAGAAAUACAAUUUUUUCGUAUUUUUAAUAACAUUUAUAGUUUUUUUUUUGGUUUGGUAACUUAUCAACUCGACUCUUAAUUGUAACCAACUUUUCUGAUUUUUUCGUACCCUUAACCUAAGUCCCGUUACAACUUUCUAAAGACCUCUUGAUUGGUGUAUCAUCUCGAUUUGUUCUUAUAGUGGUGGGGAUUUGGUUUUCAAGCAAGCCUAUGCUAAUCACAUUUUUCGUUCAACUAUUGAGCACACAGUACUUGAACCUUAAACACUUUGAGUGCUUUGAGUGAAUCUUAGUUAGGGUAUUGAUUAUUGUUGAGUUUGAAUUUUAGGUAAUUAUUGAGAUGGAGGAGAUGCCUAUUUUUUUGUGCUUUACAAAUUUCUGCUUAGAUUGCUUUUAUUCUUUAGUUUCAUGCUAGUUUCAAUUUCCAGUGCAUGAUUAUCUAUAGAUUAUUCAUAAGGCAUUGUCGGUGAAAACAAUAAAUUGAGGGAGAUUAACUUGAAAUAAAUUGAGGGAUAUUAACUUGAAUAAAGGUUGAGAAUUUUGCUUAAGGACAAACAAAUGCUUAAGUGUGGGGAUAUUUGAUAAGUGCUAAAAUUGAUAUGUUUUAACAUCAUUCUUAAUGUGUUUUUGGUUGAUUAUUCGAUGUUAAUGAUGCUCCUAAUCCUUACAAUUCGUGUUUUUAUGCUUAAUAGAACAUUUGGGAGGAAAAUGAGCUAAAAAUGAACGAAAACCUGAAAAUGGGGGCAAACUAUAGGACAUGGGCUGACCUAUUCCUCAUGACCGUAUGACUCACACGAUCAUGUGGUAGGUUGUGUCGAUUUCGUAGAUUUGCACUCUGAACUGUAAAAAAAGAAAAUUUUAGAUUUUUUGAGCAUUUUAAUACGUAUAUAUGAAAAAAAUAAGAAGAUAGGAGAGAACCUUCCUAGAAUAUUUAAGAAAACAACUCCAAAGACACUAUUGAAGUCGACUCUGAAGCAAAUUUUCCUCAAGAUUGAAGAUUCCCAGUUGGUUUCUUAAGAGAUUAUCAUGAGUUUCUUUAUUUCUUCUGGUUAUACUGCCCUUUGGAUGUUUUUAUUUUUAAGCAUGAACUAAUUUUCUAAAUACCGAAUUAGAGAGAUGAACCCUAUGAUAGAUUGUGACACCCCAAACCCAACCGGAUAGACCCGCCCGAAUUCAAAGCAUUUCAUUAGCCACCUAAGUGACUCUCCAGCUAACGACCACCCAAGACACACCUCGACCUUAUAACACCUCAAUCUUAUCUAAUUACUAGUUAUUUAUUAAUGUAGAAGUAAAUUAAUAUGAGCCAAUUUUAAACUUUUUCUAGGUAAUUUAACCUAAAGGCAAUUUUGUCAUUUUACCACCUAAUGUAAAACUAACCCGAUUUUAGAUCUAAGUGUUUACUAACCUUCUUUUAGUCAAAUUAUACAAGCCUAAAAUUUUCAGCUUAAUUUGAGUCCGUUUACUAUGUCUAAUUCAAGUUUUAUUAAUAAGGACUCAAUUGUAACUUAAACAAAUUAAAAUACCAAUUUAAAGAGACAAAAAUUCAAAACUCCAAAACCCACACGGGCAUGUGGGUAAGUGACAAGGGCUUGUGGGAUUGAAAAAUAUGAAAUAAAUUAAUCCACUCAAUUUUCCAACAACCAUGCUAUACUACCAAACCAAAAAAACACUUGAAGUUUUGAAUAGGGGCGAAUCUAAAAAAAAUUAGAAGAAUUAGAAUUAAAUUAUAAAAUUUUGAGAAGUUAAAAUAUAAUUUUAUCAUGUAUUAAUUUAUUGUUUUUUAAAGGGUCCUAAUAUAAUUUUUUUCCCAUUUUGGUUGGGCCAAUACCCCUGCCUGCCUCUUUAAAUUUGCUCCAACACUAAACCCAAUAUUCGAUUUGGAUUAACAACAACAUAUAGGUUAGUAUUUGUGGGAGUUUGACGAAUAAAAAUUCCUUUUUUAGAUGUUUAAAUUAUAAAUUUUUGAAAGAUUAAAAUAAAUUUGUAUUUUUUUAUUAACAAAAUAUAAAAGAAAAAAAAAUAUGUUUAGACAAGCCAAGAGAACUUUGGGAUCAUACAGGUGAUUUUGAGAUGUUAAUGGUUAUUUUGGUGGACAGCGUAAAAAAGAAACAAAUGAUUCAUUAUAUAUAAUAUAAUUAUGAAUUUCAAGCCAUAUAUUGUAUGUUUCAUCCAUAAAAAUUUCAUGGGAGGUCCAAAGGUAAUUAAAUGACUUGUAGGCUUGCUGAAUUUCUUUGAAAGGCCCAAAGGCAAUUUAACAUUCACAAAAUAAUCUCUAAAUACUGUAAAGACAAAUCAAAUCCACAGUAGCAUUAGAGUUGAUUAAGCUAAGCAUUGGCAAAUAUUACUUUGAUUUUGCAUGCAAAAUUGGCAAAACCCCCUCUUACAUUAGAAAAACAACAUAAUCCAUGAAACAUUGAUGGCUCAAUACAAAUUUCAUCGAGAAAAAAGUCUCUUUGUUUUGGAGAACAUGAUAGUAAAGAUGUGGAGUUUCGUUCUUCUAAUUGGCCUCCUUUAGUUUUCCUUGAUCAACAACAAUUAGCCAAAAACACAGUUAGAUUAGAUUAUGAAUGAUACUUUCAACUAUGACAAUAUUAAAUACAAAACACUCUAAAUAAAUGGAAAGUAGCAAAUUAAGACCAUUGUGUUAUACUUGUCUCUGAAUUGAAAGAUUUAGAAGAAAAUAAAGAGAAAGAGUUAGAAAAUACUUGAAAACAGAUAAAACUUAUAUGUCAUUUAAAAUAAAAAAAAUUUCUAUUUAAGCCAUUUAAAAUUUUUAAGAUUUUUUAAAUUUUAAAAUGAUAAAGGUAAAACUAUAUUUUGGUACCCAAAAAUGAUAAAACUUUGAUUUAAUUCUUUAGAAAUUAUAAAAAUAUAGGCUAUUAAAAUGGUGAAAUUAUAUUUUUACUAUAUUAAAAAUUACAAUUUAAUUUCACUUGCUAAAAGGAUUUACUGGCUUCGCCCCUAAUAAAAUCUUUGGCAAAAGAUUAAAAUAAAAUUAUACCGUGAAUGGAAAAAGAAACUUAAGAAAACCCAAUCUCACAAAGAAAAUAACUUGUCCAAAAGCUACCAUAAACCGUAAUUCAUGCGAAGGCUUGUUGCUCAUUUUAUUGGUUUCCAUUUUGAUUUUGCAAAAGAAGUUUGAAUUUUGAAGAGAGCAAAAGAAAAAAAUAGUUUAUUAAUUUUUUACGAAUACCGACAUAUUAUAUACAUGAUUAAAAUUCCAGAAUAGAUUAAAAAUGUUGAAUUAAAGAUAAAAUUAAGUAUGAAUUAAGAACCACAAGUGUACUCAUUACUCACCAUCUCUGUUAAAAAUGUUGUUUAGCAACCUGUGUUUGAUUUUCUUCAGCUCAACCACAACAUCUUUCAUAUCUUUUCUUUCUUCUGGUAACUCAGCUGAACAAUUCAAAGCCAAUUCCAUGAUAGAUGAAAUACAAUUUGCUUUAACAACAAUGUACUCAUCCUCUCUUCUUAGUAAAUCAACAUCUGCAAUUUCUAUUGCUCCUUUAGGCAAUGAACUUUCCAUCCAAUGCCUUACAGUCUCUUCUUCAACAAAAACAUUAUCAGUUGGCUUUUUCUUUGUGAAAGUUUCUAUAAGGACGAUCCCAUAACUAUAGACGUCAGAUUUUAUAGAAACAAUUCCUGCUGAUCCAAAUUCUGCAUUUCAAGUAUCAUUAGAACAUCAUUCACCCUCAAUUAUUUCUAAAAUGCUUAUUCAAAUAUAUAUCCGCAUACACAAGAAACAAAAAUAUAAAAUGCAAAUUAGGAAAAUAAUCGUACAAAAACAAAAAAGAAUUCACCUGGUGCCAUAUACCCGAUAGUUGCAAGAGUCAUGGUUUGCUUCAUUACUUCACCUUCUCCCAACAAUUUGGCAACGCCAAAAUCUCCAACAUGUGCAACCAUGUCUUCAUCUAGUAAAAUAUUGCUUGGUUUUAUGUCACAAUGAAUUAUAGGUGUUGGAUGUCCAUUGUGGAGGUGUUCUAUAGCUACCGCAACAUCUAUCAUUAUGUCGACCCUUUGUAUGAUAUCAAGGAAACAAUUUUCAGAAUGUAACCAUUUCUCAAGGUUUCCAUUAGACAUGUAAUCAAGCACCAAGGCUUUGAAGUCAACACUUGAGCAGCAAGUAAUGACCUUCACAAUAUUACGAUGAACUAUAUUAAGCAUAACAUCACAUUCAAUGUCAAAACUCCUAAAUGCUCCCUCUGUUUGCAAAUUGAAAACUUUUAUUGCAACUUCCAUUCCAUCUGAAAGCCUCCCUUUAUAUACAUAUCCAAAACUCCCUGAACCAAGCAUAUUGCUUUCCUCAAAUCCAUUAGUUGCUCGUGAAAGUUCAGCAUGUGAAAUUCUUCUCGGUGUCUUCAAAGACAACAAAUCAUCUUUAACUGGUAGAGCUGUACUCCUUUGGCAUCUUCUAUACAUAAUAGUUAAGACUAUUAGUACUAGGACAAUACCAAUUGUUGGUAAACCAUACCUAAAAGCAUGUAAUAUAAUCAUUUGGGAGUUUUUGUGGAUGUCAUUUUUGCAAGGUGGGACUAGCAAUCUAGGUGGACCACAAAAUGCACAAUUAUUCAUGAAUGAUGUGCUAGAAAAGUUUGAAAAACAUCUUUUGCUGGGAAUUUCCCCUUCAAGUCUAUUGAAAGACACAUUAAAAUACUUUAGAUAUAAAAGCUUUUCCAAAGAUUUGGGAAUGACUCCAGAGAGAUUGUUAUUGCAUAAAUCCAAGAAUUCCAAACUAAUCAACCCAUCAAAUGAUUCAGGGAUAUGACCAUGUAGUAUAUUAUUUGAUAAAUCUAAUGAAACCAAAGUUUGAAGACCCCCAAAUGUGGAUAAGAUAUCGCCCAUGAGAAGAUUCCUUGAUAAAUUUAGUCUCAGUAGACUCCUAAAGUUUCCAACAUCAAUAGCAUGUGAAUUGUGAAGAUGGUUUGAUGAUAAAUCUAUUUCUAAGAUAUCUUUAAGAUUCCACAAAGUUGAGGGUAUUGUAGAACUCAAUUUGUUGGAAUCUAACCAAAGAUAUCUCAAAGCAGAAAUAUUACCCAAACAAGAGGGUAUGGGUCCAUGCAGCUUAUUCAACCCUAAAUACAUCUUGUAUAGUCUCUCCAAACCACAGAGGCUUUCUGGGAUAGGCCCUUCUAAUUUAUUAGAGGAAAGAUCUAGACCUUGCAGAUUCCGCAGUCCUCCUAUUGAUGCUGGAAUGAAUCCACUUAAUUUAUUAUGGUCAAGUUCUAAAACCAAUAAGUUGGUUAAGUUACCUAUUUCCAUAGGAAUAAUGCCUUGAAGCUCACAAUUAUAGGCAUGAAAGGAUUGAAGGGAUUUUGAAAGGUUCCCAAUAUAAGUAGGAAGAACGCCACUCAAUGGAUUUCCUGAAACACCUAUUUUUCUCAAAUUCCUACAAUUCGUCAAAGAAGAAAGAAAGCUCCACUCAUGAUCAGUAGCAGAUCCUGUGAUCAAAUUAUUGUCAGUGAUUUUGAGCACUUCAAGGUGUUUUAAGCUGCCAAGCAUUUUAGGGAUUGGGCCAGAGAAUGAGUUAUCUUCCAAGUCUAGUUUCUUAAGCAUGGAAGCAUUGGAGAUAGAGUAAGGAAUGUUUCCGCUAAGUUUAUUUCCCCACAGUAAAAGAAUCUGAAGCUUUGGAGCAUUGGUAAUGGGUGGUAAAUUACCUGUAAAAUAGCAUCUUUUAGAAAACAUAUUCAUUGAAUACCAAAUUCACAAAAUAUAUAAUACAUUAAAAUUAAAACUUUAAAACUUUAAAUCAAUUAAGAAUAAAAUUUUGGCAUGGAAAAUUGUGAUGAAAUCAAUUAGAAAGUUGAGACAUAAUAAGAAGUUUUGAGUAGUAAUUACUCAUGAUUUCCAUAGACAAAACAUAUAAUACACUGAUAAUUUUUUUAAAAAUAUUGUAAAACCUGAAAUAAAAUAAAAAAUAAAAGUUUGGCAUGAGAAUGUGGCAUCUAAUCAUUCUUAAAAAUAAGACUAACAUUGAAUAAUAAUUAGUUAUGAUUUGAGAAACAAAAAUGUUAAAGAUGUAAACUGGUAUGAUUUUUAUCUAUUGGGUUAAUUAUUUAUUUUUAUUAAAUUAUAUAUAGUGUAAAAUUUAAAGAUUAUUAUUUGCUCAAAAUUUUUGUAUUUUUCGUAUAUUUGAAAUUUAAUCUUUAUAUUUUUUAUUUUCUGUGAUUUAGUCUCUCUACUUUUUGAAUUGAAAAUUUUAAGUUUAUUUAUUAACACUGUUAAAAAGUUUUUGUGUUAGUAUGGCAUUUUGAAAAAUAAAAUAAACUUGAUAUCUAUGUUUUUAAUUAUUCCAAAUACUGUUUUACUAUUCCAAGAUAAAUUAUUUGUGUCUAGACCAAUAUCUUAAGAACUAUUGUUGCAUGUUUAAUUAUUCUAAAGAAUUGUUGAUUGAGUCUUAGUUGAAGUGCACUAUUCUCCUAUUUAUGAAUUGGGGAGUUGAUAAAGUACUAAAUUUUGAUAUAUUUUAAAAAAUUAAAAAUUUAUUAAAAUAUUUUUAUAAAAAUUAAUUGUACCAAAAUAUACAAUUUUAAUAUCAAAUUUUUAAUUUUUUUAAAAAUAUUAGCGAAUAUAUACUUUAUUUCAAGUUACACAAUUUUUACUAGUUUUUAACUUUUUUUUUAAAUUUUUAUCGUCUUUUAUAAUUUCAUAUAUUUUUUUAUAAUUUUUUACAAUAUUUACAAUUUCUAACAAUUUUUAAUAAUUUUAUUAUUUAUUAUAAAUUUAAAAAUUAACAAAUUUUUAUUUUUUUAAAACAAUUAUAUAUUUAUAAUGUAGUUAUUUUUUUAUAAUUUUUUUUGAAAUUUAAAGAUUUUUUUGGUUUUUUCUAGAUGAUGAUGCCAUCAUGAUGUCAUCAUAUGCCACAUGGCAAUUUAUAAUUAGUUGACUAUCUCAAUCUAUUUUUUUAACGUCCAAUGGACUAAAACAAGAACACCUGAUAAUGUUAGAGACUACACUAGGAAUGUUUGAUAAUAUUAGGUACUAAAGUGGGCAAAAAAAAUUAAGGACUAUAUUAAAAAUAUAUCUAUAAUAUAUAUAAAUGCAUGGAUUUUGAGAAACUUUUGAAAUGACAAAUAUAUAGUCUUUGUUUUUUUUUACUAUAUUAUUGAAUUUUUUAUUUUAAAUAUUUUUUUAUUACUUUUAAGAUUUAUCAUAUGUAUGGAUAAAAAUUUUGGUUUUACUAAAAUAUUUGGUUAAAUAAAUUCACUUUAUAAAAAAAUUUAGCAUCCUUAUAAAUAACAAUUUUGAUUCCAUUAAAAAAAUUAUUUAAAAAUAUAUAAUAAAAAUUUAAAAUUUAUAUUGAAUCACUUUAUACUUAAAUUAUUAUUAGAAACUUUAUCAUACACAUAUGUGUAUGAGAACCACGUUUUCAGAACUUAAAUUUGUGUUCUAAAAUAACUUAUGAUAAAUAAUUAAAUGUAUAAUUUGAAAUUAUAUUGAAAUAAAAAUAGAUUAAAUUGUAAGUAAAACAUAUAUAAUUUAAACAUAUGAAUACAUCAAAUUAAAAAUACUAAAUGAAUACAUUUAUUUAUGAUGAUGUUGUUGUCAAUUCAUAAGUUGGUGUCGAGUUAAUUUGUGACAUCAUAAUUUUAAGUGAUAAAUUUAAGGUUUUAUGUAUUGAUGUCGAUUCAAAUAUCACCAUAAUUUUUUUAAAUAAAAAACUAAAGCACCCUCAAAUAAUAUAACUUAUAUUAAAUAUGAAAGGGUAUUUUUGUAAUUUCUCUAACGAGUUGGUGCCCGGUUGACUCAUGACACCAACUCAAUCAAAAGCUUCAAUAAUAAUAUAGAUAUUCACGUUUAAAAAAAGUACUUUAGUUCGAAAUAAUUAUGUAACAAGUAAUUUUAUAAUUGAUGAAUAAUUUUAUAAAAAUAUAUUUAUAUGAUCUAAUAUAUUAUAUUUAUAUUAAUUAUAUAUCAUCUACAAACUUUGAAGAUCAAUUUAUUAAGUAUCAGGAAAAGAAAAAAUGAAAUUGAAUUAACACUAAAUCAAUUUUUAGAUUUUGUACAGAUGAUUUAAUGAUGAUAAAAACAUUAUUAGCACUAUUUUUGAAUUAACAAAAAAUUAGUGAUAUAUUUUAAUUAUAUUUUUUAUUUUUUAUUUUUAAUAAUAUUUUUUUAAUUAUAUGAAGUAAAAUUAUAUUGUAUACUAAAUAUGGUACAUAUACUUUAAUUAAAACUUGAAAAAGUAUUAUAUAAAUUAAUAUAUUUUAAUUAUAUUCAACCAUUUGAAUAACAAAAUUAAAAAAAAACUAAUUAGAAUUAUUUACUUUUUAAAGUUUAAUGGAAAAUAAAAAAUAAAAAAUAAAUCAAUUCAUAUAAAUCUUAUUGUUUAUUAUCAGAUUAAAAUGAUAAAAGUAUAUGACAUACAUAGAAGAAACAAAUUCAACACCAUGUUUUUGGAGUUUGGAAAAAAUUAAAGUGAAAAACCUACCUUCUAAACUGUUGUUAAAUAGAUCUAUUUCUUCGAGCGUAGUUGAAUUAAAAAUACUUGAUGGAAUCUGACCUGCACACAUAGUCGAAAAUUGAAGUGAAAUCAAACUCUUUUGUGAAAAAAAUAUUACCAGAUAAUUCAUUCCAACCCAGGUAAAGCCCUUCAAGCUUGGGAAGAUGUUGACACAUAUCAUUAGGCAAACUACCUGAUAGGCUAUUGUUGGAGAGAUUAAUGGUCUUCAAAGAAGAAAUGUUGAAGAUCGAAGUUGGAAUCUGACCUAUAAGGCCUUUAAUUGCUCUAAUACUAAGCCUUUCCAAACUAAGAAGAUUACCAAUUUCCUUAGGAAUUAGACCUGCAGACAGUCGAAAAUUCAAUGUUUUUCAGCAUAUGUUUUUCAUCAAAUGAAAUAAAAAGUUCUUCCUUUUGUUAUCUAUUACAAAUCAAACUCUUUUAUAAAAAAAAUACUUUAAAUUCAAGAAAUCAAGGAAAUUGAUUACCUUCUAGAUUAUUAAACCCCAAAUAUAAUUCUUGGAGUCGUGUUAGAUUUCCAAUACUUCUUGGAAUGAUCCCCAUAAAUUGAUUAUAGGACAACGACAAAAUAUUAAGGUUGUUGCAUUUGCCCAUGCCAAAUGGAAUGUUACUAGAAAACUCAUUGCUAUCCAAGUAAAGCCCUUCAAGCUUGGGAAGAUGUUGACACAUAUCAUUAGGCAAACUACCUGAUAGGUUAUUGUUGGAGAGAUCAAUGGUCUUCAAAGAAGAAAUGUUGAAGAUCGAAGUUGGAAUCUGACCUGUAAAGCCUUUAAUUGCUUUAAUAUUAAGCAUUUCCAAACUAAGAAGUUUAAAUCAAUUAAGAAUAAAAUUUUGGCAUGGAAAAAUGUGAUGAAAUCAAUUAAAAAGUUGAGACAUAAUAAGAAGUUUUGAGUCGUAAUUAGUCCUUCUGAUUUGUAUAGACAAAACAUAUAAUACACUAAUAAUAAUUAGUUUGGCAUGAGAAUGUGGCAUCUAAUCAAUCUUAAAAAUGAGAUGACACUGAAUAAUAAUUAGUUAUGAUUUGGGAAACAAAAAUGUUAAAGCCAUUGCUUUUAAUGUAAACUAGUAUGAUUUUUAUCUAUUGGGUUAAUUAUUUAUUUUUAUGAAAUUAUAGUGUAAAAUUUAAAGAUUAUUUUUAUCUAUUACAAAUCAAACUCUUUUAUGAAAAAAAUAUUUUAAAUUAAAGAAACAAAGAAAAUUCAAUAUCUUCUAAGUUAUUCCACUCCAAAUAUAAUCUUCAGUGAAGAAAUCUUGAAGAUGGAAGAUGGAACCUUACCAGAUAAUUGAUUGAAUCCCAAGCUCAAGGACUCUAGAUUAGACAUGUUAACAAGUGUUUCAGGGAUUGUGCCUAUAAAGUUAUUAUUUUUCAUUUUCAGCCUUCGAACUCCCUGUAAGUUCCCAAGCCAUGAUGGAAUUUCCCCAUUAAGACUGUUGUAUUUUAAUCGAAGGAUCCUCAAACGAUGCAAUUGGCCCAAUUCUUUAGGGAGAUGGCCAUAGAAAUGGUUUCUACUCAAGUCGAGAGAGAGUAGAAAUGAAAGAUUUCCAAGGUGUGGAGGGAUACUACCCCUAAGAUUCAUGCUUUUAAGUUUGGAAACAAAUUCAACACAAUGUUUUUGGAGUUUGGAAAAAAUUAAAGUGAAAAACAUACCUUCUAAUUUGUUGUCAGAUAGUCCUAUUAUUUCGAGCAUAGUUGAAUUAAAAAUACUUGAUGGAAUCUGACCUGCACAUAUAGUUGAAAAUUGAAGUGAAAAACAUACCUUCUAAACUGUUCAACUAAAAAAACUUUAAGCAUAUUUGUUUUUCCAUCAAAUUAACUAUUUUGCCUUGAAUGAAAUAAAAUGCUCUUACUUUUGUUAUUUAUUACUAAUCAAACUCUUUUCUAAAAAAAAACUUUAAAUUAAGAAACUAAGAAAAUUCGGUACCUUCUAGGUUAUUAAACCCUAAAUAUAACUUCUGGAGUCGUGUUAGAUUUCCAAUACUUCUUGGAAUGAUACCCAUAAAUUGAUUAUAGGACAACGACAAAUUUUUAAGGUUGUUGCAUUUGCCCAUGCCAAAUGGAAUGUUACCAGAUAAUUCAUUCCAACUCAGGUAAAGCCCUUCAAGCUUGGGAAGAUGUUGACACAUAUCAUUAGGCAAACUACCUAGGUUAUUGUUGGAGAGAUCAAUGGUCUUCAAAGAAGAAAUGUUGAAGAUCGAAGUUGGAAUCUGACCUGUAAGGCCUUUAAUUGCUUUAAUAUUAAGCAAUACCAAAUCAAGAAUAUUACCGAUUUCCAAACCAAGAAUUUAUAGAAGAAACAAAUUUAACACAAUGUUUUUUGAGUUUGGAAAAUGUUAAAGUGAAAAACAUACCUUCUAAUUUGUUGUCAGAUAGUCCUAUUAUUUCGAGCAUAGUUGAAUUAAAAAUACUUGAUGGAAUCUGACCUGCACAUAUAGUUGAAAAUUGAAGUGAAAAACAUACCUUCUAAACUGUUCAACUAAAAAAACUUUAAGCAUAUUUGUUUUUCCAUCAAAUUAACUAUUUUGCCUUGAAUGAAAUAAAAUGCUCUUACUUUUGUUAUUUAUUACUAAUCAAACUCUUUUCUAAAAAAAAACUUUAAAUUAAGAAACUAAGAAAAUUCGGUACCUUCUAGGUUAUUCAACCCCAAAUAUAAUUCUUUGAGUUGUGUCAGAUUUCCAAUACUUUUUGGAAUGAUCCCCAUCAAUUGAUUAUAGGACAAUGACAAAAUUUUAAGGUUGCUGCAUUUGCCCAUGCCAAAUGGAAUGUUACCAGAUAAUUCAUUCCGACUCAAGUAAAGCCCUUCAAGCUUGGGAAGAUGUUGACACAUAUCAUUAGGCAAACUACCUGGUAGGCUAUUGCUGGAGAGUUUAAUAAUCUUCAGAGAAGAAAUAUUGAAGAUGGAAGAUGGAACCUGACCAAAUAAUUGAUUGAAUCCCAAGUUCAAGAUCUCUAGAUUAGACAUGUUAACAAGUGUUUCAGGGAUUGUGCCUGUAAAGUUAUUAUUCUUCAUUUCCAGCCUUCGAACUCUCUGUAAGUUCCCAAGCCAUGAUGGAAUUUCCCCAUUCAGACGGUUGUAGCUUAAUUGAAGGAUCCUCAAACGAUGCAAUUGGCCAAAUUCUUUAGGGAGAUGGCCAUAGAAAUGGUUGCUACUCAAGUCGAGAGAGAGUAGAAAUGAAAGAUUUCCAAGGUGUGGAGGGAUAGUACCCCUAAGAUUCAUGCUUGUAAGAUUCAAAGCUAUAACUCUUUUAUGGAGGAUGCCACAAGAAACACCAAUCCAAUUGCAAACAGAGGUUGAGGCCGUCCAAUUGUUUGCCAAGACAUUUUGAGGACCGGCAAUGCGAUCCUUAAACUCGAGAAGUGCAAACUGAUCGGAGUUGAGAUUCCUGACUGUCAUACCCCAGCAAAGUCCGGAACAUGGUAUGAAUAAAGCUAAAAGAAGAUGAAAGCAAGUGUUGUAGUUCAUGAUAGCAAGACGGAAUAAGCCAAGAAAAUAAAAAAAAGUAGGACAAGGGAAGUUGAGUUGAUAAAAUAGUUUGGAUGAUGAAGAAAAGCCCAGAGAGCAUGCUUUAAUAUGUUUUGAAGAAAUUUCAAAAUAAAUUUCAAAAUAAAUUUCAAAAUAAAAAUUUAAAAAGGAAAGCAAAGUUUUGAAGAAAUUUCAAAAUAAAUUUCAAGUCUUCUUCUUUAAAAAAUACGUACAAAGAGCGAAUUUUCAAAAUUUUUCCUAAAUUUUCUUCACAUUACUCCACAUAAUCCAUUAAAAAAACUUAAAAAAUAUAUUUUAUUAAUUACUAUACAUUCUUUUAUUUUCAGAAUAAUAAAUUGUUUAAAAUUUGCUAUUAGUCCCUAUAAUUUAAAAGUUAAAAAAAAUUCAAUCCUCCUACUUUUCUAAUUUAAAAAUUUUAGUUCAAUCAAUUUUAAUUUUAAAAUCUCUGUAUAAAAGGUGUUUUUUUUGUGACCGAUCACACUUAACCAAUAUUUAAAAAUUAAUAAAAAAUAUUUUUUUUUGAAAUUUAAAGUGAUCUAAAAACAUAUUUUUAAGUGCUUUGGACCGUCUAUUGUUGAUUUCCUUAUUAUAUUAAGUGUUUGCAAUCACUCCUAAUAUAUUGUGCUUGAGUUGUGACAAAGCCGAUCAUCAAAUUGCCAUAAUGAUCUAUUGAUGCUGAAAUUGAAGUUUUUGUUAUAUUGAUAGAGCUUGUCCUUCAACGCGUACAACGUGUUUGUUAUUUUUCUCCCUUCAAAUUGUAUGAUCUUAUUCAUUAAAUGAAUUAAUGAAUUUCCCUUUUAAAAAGAUAUAUUUUUAAAAAUUAAAUACUUUAUAAAAUAUUUAAAAAUUUGUAAGCCUUAAAACAAUCAACAAAAUAUUUUUGAAAUUUUAUAAAUAUAUUUUAAAACUAUAGUAACGCUACAAAAUAUAUAUAUUUACUAAUUAUAUGCACCUUUUUUAUUUUUAUUUCCUAACAUAUCAUUAUUUUCAACACUAUCGUAAUCCUGUUUUGAUAAUUCCCUUUCCAUACAUCCUUUUUCUACAUAGAAUUUCAAAAGAAAAUGUGAAUUAAUGUAAACGUGAGAAGACUUAAUUACAUUUAUUAGUUUAUCAAUCAAAACUUAAUUAGAAUCCAUCAAUAUUUCACACAUCAAAAACCCAAACAUAAAAUUCACUUUUAAAUUAUUUGAAGAUACAUUUGUAUUAUAGGAAAUCGAUUAAAUUAGUCUUUUAUUAUUAAAUGUAUUAUUUUAAUCUUUGUAUUAGGUAUGAAUGAUAUCUCCUAAAUUGAAGCCAGAGCUAUUCUUGAAAGACUGAAAUUAGGAUUCAGAUGUGUUGAGAUGGAAAGUGACAACACAAUGUUGAUUGAAACUAUUUGUAACAGGUUGACUACAAUAAGUAGUGCUGCCGAAGUAAGACAGAUUCACGAUUGGUGUUCCAAAAAUUGGGAAGUCAAAUUUAGACAUAUUCAGCGGAAUGCCAAUAAAGUUGUUGAUUGCAUAGCUAAGGCAAAUGGAGGCGUAAUUGAGCAGCUGGUUAUCUUGGAAGAUCCUCUGCAUUAUGUGAGAUGGUAGCUUGAAGAAGAUAUUAGACAGUCACUAGUGACUGAUGAUAAUUUUCAUUUGGACUGAUGAGCGCUUAAUUUUCUAAGCUUAUGUUCAACAAAAAAAAUUUUAACUACGUUUAAAUUGUAAUAGAGUUAACAUUUAGUGUUUAAAAAAUAUCUUAAAAAUUAUUAUUUUUUCCAAUUGCAGUUCAAUUCCACAAAUAUCGACGAUGAAUCCGGACAUAAAAAUUAUAGAAAAAAAACACAUCUAUUAUCAAACCAACAAUCCAUGUCUAAACUUAAAUUAACAAAAUUUGCCACGCAACGCCCAGUACACUAUUAUAUAUAUACUAGAUUUAUUCUAGAUGCACAUGUUUUAUUAUAUUUAAAAUUUAAAAUAUAUGGUUGACUAAGUGUUAGUUGAGUUAGUAUUGCUAUUAUUGUCAGUGUAAGGAAAUGUGAGUUUAAUUGCGCUCAAAUGUGUUUUAUCCUCCAAUUCAAGGGUUAGGAAAAGGUUAUUGAUAAUUAAGUUAUACCAACUUUUAUGAUAUUAAAAAAAGGAUUUAUAAAUAAUAUAAGGAAAAGAAAGAAAGAGAAACAUAUUCAUAUUGAUGGGCUCUUUCAAUAUUAGACUUUUUUUUCUAUCACAAGUAAAAAUAUCAAAGGUGAUAAUAAUUAAAUUAUAAAAUUUAAAUUGAGAAAAUAGGGGAUUGAGUUUAUAAGUUUUAAAGUAUAAAGAAUGAAUAUAUAACUAACAACAUAUUUUAACCACAUAAUAAAAGUAGUUAUGGUAAAAUAAUGACCUGAAUAAUUUUAAACGUCUCAUCCUUGCAAAAAUGAAAUAAUAGAAAAGAAAUAAGUGUUGGGUGUAGUGGCAAUGUACAUCAUACUUCUAAGGGGAGAUUAGGGUUUUAGACAAGGGAAGAAUUUUAAACUUGCUCUUUUCUCUAGAACUCAACGCAAACCUCAAAUUUAUCUUUUUAAAAGAAUUUAAAAAUAUGUAUAUAAAAGGUGAUUUUUUUACCGAUCACACUUAACAAAAUUUUAAAAAAAAAUGAAAUUUAAAGUGAUCUAAAAACAUAUUUUUAAGUGCUUUAGACCAUCCUGUGCUGAUUUCUUUAGUAAUUUGAUUUGUUCAAUAUAGAUUUUGGUAACUUAAAACAAAAUUAAUAAAAAAUUAUUUUUUUAGAUAUCUUUUUAAUGUUUAAUAAUAAGUUAAUUUAUAAAAUAUACUUUCAUUGGACACAGGGCCUCCAAGGCGGUGAACCACUAAUCAAAUUAAUUUUGAGAUACUUAAAUUUGUUUUCAUCAAUUAAGAAAUUAAAAAAAUUGUUGAGACCUCAUGAUUAUGUUUUAUAAUUUCAGGCUUAUCAACUAUUUUGAAAAACAACAAAACGUCUUACACCAAAAACUAAAAAAUAAAAACGUCGACAUUAAAUUUGUUGGCAUGCAAUCAAUUUUAAGAUGGUUUUUGGAGUUAUAUAUCACCUUAGCAUUGACUUACUUUUCUACAGUUUGUCUUCUCCAACAAGUUAAAUAUUUCAAUUUUAACAACAUUGACAGGUCUUUGGGGUAGGGUCGAGCAAAAUUCAAUAAAAACAGAUGAUAUAAGUUGAGUUGGCUCGGCCAAGUCGAGUCGAUUUGUUCAAAUUAUUUAAAUUAGUAAAUUUUAGGGUGCAAUUAGAAUUUUUUGUUUUGAGAUGCUAAUUAGAUUAAAAAAUUUCAGUUGCUAAAACAAAAAAAUUGUAUUUAAAAAGGCAUAAAUUAAAUAAUUAAGUUUUUCGAGUUUCCAUUUAAUCAAAGGUUAAAAGGACUAAAUUGAAGCUUUUUAUUUUUAAGAAAGGCUGAAUGACAAAUUGCCCAAAGCCCAUGGCCCUAGCUAUACAACUAACUUUUCUAUGAUUAGUCCUUGGUUUGCUUUGGGUGAAAUCUUCCAACUAGCCUCAUCCUUGGUUUUACUUUCCAACAAUUAGUGUAUCGCGGGUUUUGUUUUCUUUAAAAAAUAUUUGUGGAUAUUAGGAGAUAAUGAAAAUUAUUUUACUAUGAAAUUUUAAUAAAACUGGAAAAUAAGUAAUUUAUUUUAAGAGAUCACAAUUAAACGUUAGAUUUCCCCUUUUUAAAUUAUAAAUUUUUUUUUGACAAUUGCAUAAUAUUUUGAGCGUUGUAGGAAUGCCAUAAUAUAACCUUCCCUACGCAUAAUCGACUCUUGAGCAUGAUGGAUCCUAGACCUUCUCCUCUAUUCUCGUACCACAAAUUGCUUCAAGUGUGGGUUCGAACAAUCACAAAUUAAACGCAAAACCAAAAAUGAUUUAUUACUUUCAAUAGCAAAGUAAUUCUCUCUCAAUAGAAACCAAUAGAAUUGUAAUUCCUAGAAAAUAAAAUUUAUUUUUUGAAAAUAUAUUCUCACUACUUUCUAGCAGAAUAACAAUAUGUGAAACUUAUGUCUUGUGUUAAUAGCUCUACCAGUACUAUCUAUUUAUAGGGAGAGACACGAGAAUCCUGGUUGAAUUAGUAAAACACGAAUAAUAUUUAUUUCAUAGAAAACAAUAUUCCACCCUAAGUAGAUCAAGUUUGUAUGACGCAUGGAUCAAAGCUCAAUCUAGGAGAAAAAAAACAAAGGAAUUUUCUUUGUAAAGAAAAUUUGAGAUUGUACUAUUUUCAAAGUUAUAAAUAAAAUUAUACGCCAAAUUUUCAAGUCAAUUUUCAACUCCAAUUUUGUAUGCACAAAUUUCUAAUACACUUGGUGGGACAUUCUUUGACUUUUAUCUAUUCUCUCAAAAAGUUAAAGUUCAAAGUUACAUUAAACUCAAAGAAGAUAUUCAUUAGUAAACCACCUCACAAGCCUGCUCAAGCUAAUCCUACAACUCGUUCCACUUCAUCAUCAAACACCAAUAUUCUUGCUUAUCCUUAUGGAAUUAAACAGUCUCAUUUUCUGCAUUUUGGGUACACACUUAGUUUUGUUUGAUGCUAAAACAGUCCCCGAGCACUCCAAAACCUAUAAUUGAACAAAUAAUACUAAUUUAAUCUUACAUAACAUGAUCCCAAAUUGAAAUUGUAUCGAGGUUUUAACCCAUAAGUGACUAAACCUUACCUUCAACCGAUGAACAGUAAUUCCCACACAAACUAAGACUCCAAUUGGAGAUUACGAGCCAUUGAAUCCUCCCCUAAUUGGCAUAAACAAAACACUUCAAAAGAAAGUUAACAAAUGGAGACAAAUCACUUAUCUAAAACUUACCGAACGAUCACAGAAAAACGUGGAGUGACACGAGGCAGAGUGGGAAAAGAAAAAUCAAGAGGAUGAAGGGUGAAAGAGAGCAAAAAUUCGGUAGCAAUGAAGAGAAAAACAGCAAGAAAGUGGAGGGAUUUUAGGGAAAGUAAAAAAAAAGAUGAAUAGAAUAUUUGAUAACUACCCAAUCCCUUAUUUCUCUCUAUCAAACUCCCCACUAAAUCCACUACUCGAAUUUUUAGUCCAUCUCAAACUCUCCUGGACGCACGAGCAAAAAAUAAUGACCAUGCCAAAAUUUAAACAAAAGACCUCCUUCACACCAACACUCCACUUAUCCACCAGACCAAUAGGCUCAUUCUUUUAAUUAUUUUCCAACUUUUACUUAAAAGCCUACUGACCAAAGAUAGGGCUUAUUCAUAAAAAUACCAAAUUUUGCCCAAGACCUGGCUUGAACUUGGGACCUCUCAAACACACCCAGAACACAUAACCACUAAAGCAGACAGAAAUUUUGUGUCACACAUUCACAAUACCCAAAAUUAAAAUUUUAGGGCGUUACAAAAACACAUUAAACAAUAUCGCAUAAAACAAUCACAGUCAGAUAACAAUUCAGAAUGUCGAUUUUACAAUUUAACCACCAAUAGUAUCAUAGUAUUCACAGUUGUAAUUUCAGAAUAUCAAAUUUCCACAUCAUUCACAAUAUUCACACAUAUAUAAAUAUAUCAUAAUAGAAUUCUAGAUUUGUAUGCACAUGAUUUAGAAGAUGCCAUACAAUUUUGGGUUUUAACAGAAUAAAUCCUACCCCACAUUACAUACCAUAAUGGGAGUUCCCCUAAACUCCCUUCUCCAACACACUAGGUUGUGGAUAAACCACUAUUGGUUCACAAAUAAUAACUGUCAUUUGGCUGUGGACACAUAGCAAGUCCCCGCAAUUGGAUUCUAGAUUUGGUUGUGGAUUCACAGCAAAAAAAUCCUACAAAUGAAGCCUGCUUUUGCCUGUAGAUUAUACAACAUAUACCCGCAGUUGGAAUCUGUCUUUGGCUGUGGAUGCAGUGUAACACCUCAAACUCGACCUAGACGUUAUGGCUAAAUCUUAAUGAUUUACUUUAACUCGCUAGAAAGCCCACGAAUUUACUUUAAAAUCAUGUGGUUAAACUAGUGUUCACUUUGAUAAAUCGUUUUCCAGUUUUAGAGAAAAUUCUUGUUAAAACUGUUACUUUAUUACAAUAAAACAUUGAAGUAAUUGUAUCAUUUUGUAGUGGAAUCUACUAAGCUAUAAGGUUUUGAAAAUCGUGAUUUAGUUUGAAACAAAUCAUUUUGCAAAUAGAAAUUUAAUACUACUUAAUUUGGAAAAGCACGCUAAAACGAAAGCAAAGUCCAAAAUAAUUUACGGUUUGAAAUUCUAAAAAGCCCAAAUUAGUCAUAAAGUCUAUUUAAACCAAUUUAUCGAAAGUGUAACACCCUAAACCCGGCCUGUAUGUUAUGGCCAAAUCUAGAUGUGUUACGAAAAAAAGUUUAUAAAACGACUUCCUUGUUAUUGGCAAAUCAUCGUAGCCAUUAUUACUUAGUAUAUCUGAUUUGUUUGGAAAACUUAUUGAUAUACUUAUUUGAUUUAAAAUCGUUGCUCACUUACGCCUUUUUAUUAAACCAAAUAUUUUGCAGCGGAGUUUCUUUAAAACAUCAUAUUUUGGAAAAUCAAAUUGUUUCUUGAAAAUCGUUAUUUUAGAAAAGUUGUCAUUUUCAGAAAAAUUAUUUUAUCAGUUGUUAUGCUGAGAAAACAAAAUAAAAUCCAAAACCAAAAAUAGUCCCAAAAAGUCUAGAGAGUCCCAAAAUGACAAUACUCUUAAAACUAGACAAGUUUAAACUAAUUUUAAAAGAAUGAAAUUUUACAGAAAUGUGGACACCACUGAGCUUCCGUCGCACCGACCCACCUAAAUCUGAGGGUUACUUGAACAGAAUAAACAAACAGAGAGUGAGUUUUGAAACUUAGUGUCUAACGCGUAUAUAAACAAAAAUUCAGAAUCAAUCUCAUGCAGAACAGAUACAAGUGUAAACCUUUUAUAAAAUUAGAAUUAUACAGAUACAAAUAUGCAACAUCCUACCCUCAUCCUCUACACACCAACUCCGACCAUUCUAUCACACCACGUGGGGUAUAAAAUACCCACCCAGCCCUACACACCGUAUAGUAUUUAUAUGACACUUUUUGGAAUAAUCGCAGCAGAGUUGCCAGUAUAUAGGCGAGAUAUCACCUCACACAGAACACUUCCUCCUCAUAAUACAAAUCCCGCCCCAUAGCCAGAUACAGACAAAAUAUCAUGUAAAAUAAAUUAACAGAUACUAGAGUUAACAUAUCACGCAUGAGCGUAUAAUAGAUAUUACACAUGCUUAUGCAUAACAAAAUAGAUCAUACAUAUUGUAUUCCAUAAUACUCAUAUAAAUGUUAUUUACGUCAAUCUCAAUCUAAUAGAGUAGCUGAUUUCAUGCUUUAACUCUUAUACCACACAUACAGACCCUAUAGAAGGCCCACAGUUGAUCGAGACAACAUGUAUGUCCCUAGGGAAAAAAUUUGUAAUUUGGGCCCAUAUGCAUGUAUGAGCCCACACACCCAAAAUGGCCUUGCCCAUGUGGCUCACCUACCUAGCACUCAGCCCAUACGGUCCAAAAUGGCCUAGGUCGUGUGUCACACACAGCCGCAUGUUGCACACAGCCUACCACAUAGCGAGUCACAAAACCGUUUGGAGUUGACAAGCCUAAUUUUUGGCUUUCGUCAAUCGUCAUUUUCUUACGUUUUCAUUACACACUUGGUUUGAUUCUGACCCAAAAGCAACCCUAAGUCCACCGAAACCUAAAAAUAGCAUUCCAAUGCCCAAUUUCAGUGAACAUUUACAAAACUUAAACAAAAACUAUCCAAAAACAUAGCCUCACAAUAGCAUCCAAUGCACUCGCACACUUACCGUCAACGAAUAGGAAACACCCAACACUCAAUUCGUUGGCGGAGCACCAAUUAUGAUAAUGCAAAAAUUUUAUGGAUUCUCAACACUAUCGAUCCAAAUGUAAGAUUGAUGCUUUCCAAUUAUGAUAAUGCAAAAAUUUUAUGGGAUGGUUUACAUGAAUUUUUGUUGUUGUCAACGAUCAAUGUAUUCAAUAAUUAAAAGAAAAUAUUAGUCGUUGUUAGAAAACCAAUACUAUGAGUGUUGUAGUUUAUUUCAGUAAAUUAAAGGUUUUGUGGGAUGAACUAGACAAUCAUGAACAAUUGAUUUAUUGCAAGUGUGGACAAUGUUUAUGUAACUUAGGGAAGACGGAUGAACAAUGUCGUGAGCAUGAUCGACUUCAUCAAUUACUUCUUGCUCUCUAUUCUAAUUGUUAUGCUCAAACUAGGUUUACAUUGUUUUACCAAGAUCCUUUGCCUUCCUUAAAUCAGGCAUUCCAACAAAUUACUUAGGAGGAACAUGUACGUGGAAUUACACUGAUUAAGGAAGAGAAGUCUGAUAUUUUAGGCUUUGCUUUGCAUACAGAAGGUCAUAACAAAGGCCGAGCUAAUUGUAUUGAUAAGUCAACCUUGUUGUGCACUCAUUGCUAUCGCAAAAGGCAUGAGAUGGCUACCUAUUUUGAAUUACAUAGCCACUUGGAUUGGCGGCUUAAGAAGUAUGGGAAGCCAGAGAAGAAAAGUGAUGAUCGUGGUGGUAAGACAAGUGCACAUCUUCCACGUAAGUAUUUUAUUUCAAAGGAUCACAAUUAAACAUUAGAUUUCUCAUUUUUAAAUUUUUUUUAUUUUUUUAACAACUACGUAAUUAACGAGUACCAAUUUUGGGUGUUGUAGGGGUUCUAUAACUUUCCCUAUAUGUAAUCGACUCUUGCACCCUCUUUUUUUCUCUAGAAUUCAAUGCAAACCUUAAAUUUAUCUUUUUAAAAGAAUUUUAAAAUCUCUUUAUAAAAGACGAUUUUUUUAGGUGACCAAUCACAGUUAAGAAAAACAAAUCGGUGGCAACUCCUUUCUAAUAAAUGUAAAAAACUUUUUAAACAAAAUAAGGUUGAAAUAAUCUAGUUGUCGUUAUACUUUGAUAAAAUUUUAGAUUUAGUCCUUAUACUUAAAAGGUUAAAAAUUAAGUCUUGUUUUUAUUUAAAAAUCUUAGUCCUAUCGUUAAUAUUGUUUUUUUUUUGUCAAAAUUUGUCAAGUUGACAUAUUAAUUAGGUUUCUCUUAUAUAUCGUGGUAUAUGACUAACACAAAAUAAACAAGUUGACAAAUUCUACAAAAAAUAUCAAAGAUGAUAAUAGUUUAAUUAAAAUUUUUAAAUUAAAAAAGUAAGGGAUUAAAUUUAUAACUUUUAAAGUAUAAUGAAUGAAAUUAUUGAAAUACAAGAACUAACAACAUAUUUUAAAAAUAUUACUAGUAAAUUAUAUAUCUACAACAAGAAUUGUAACCUCUUAUAUUAUAUUCUUGUAUUUAUUUUUGCAUCUUUCAUAAUAUGAUUUAUUAAUUUUAAUAUUUUUAUAGAAUAAUAUGCUUUAAAUAGUUUUUUGUAUCAUUUAUAAAAAUUAUAAUAAACUUACAAAAUAAUUUAAUGAUAUUUAAUUAUUAAUCGAAAAAAAUGAUAUCAUAUAUAUUAUGUAUAUAUUAAGAUUCCAAAUCAUUAAUUAUAUAUCUACGCAUUAUAAUAAAUUCAUCUUUCAAAAUUUUCCUUAUAAUUAAAGCAUAAAUUAUAUUUAUAAUAAUAUAAAUAUAUUCUAUCAUAAAUAUUCUUUCAAAUAUUUUUUAAUGUUUAAUAAUAAGUUAAUUUAUAAAAUAUUCUUUCAGUAAAUUAACGUGAUGAGAUCGUUAGGUGCUUGGAUUUGGUGAAGGGGGAUGAAGAGAAAAGGGAUGGAAGUGAAUAAAAAUGUUGAGAAAUGGAAAGGGUUAGCGAGGGAAGCCGCCAUGAAAGGUGGUUCAAUGGAUAUGAACCUUCAAGCUUUUGUGGAUGAUGUUACUCAAGGUUGUUGCAAGUAAAUUUAAAAAUGUUUUUAAAUUAUUUUUUUGUUAAAAAAACAUUUUUUACUUUUUUAUGUGGCAUGCCACAUUAUCAUACUAUCAUGUGACAAUUUCUGGUGAUUUCUGUCCGCAACAUUAGUCAAAUCAACUGUUAAAUCGUUCAACUCACAGUUUUUGUUAAAUGAAGAGGUUAAUUGAUUUUUUUUUGGAAUCAUUGAGUACUCAAUUGGUGCACUUUUUUCAUAAAGGCUAAAUUAAUUUUUUAAUUUGUUAUUGUUGAAGGCUAUAGCAAUAAAAAAAAUUGAGGUAAAAAAAUAUUAGAGCUAAAUUUGUCAUUAUGCCUAAAAUGUAAAACCAAAUUUUUUUGAAAAUGAAAAAAAAUGGAAAAUCGCAAAUUCCGUCGCAUAUUUUUGCUUAAAAUUAUAGUUUUGGUCACCAAUCUUUUGAAGUAAAUAUAGGUCACCAAUAUUAUCAAUUUGUUACUUUGUAAUAACUCACCUUAAGUUAUACCCCGACGCACGAAAGGAUUAAAUGACAUUGGGAUACCAUCAAACUUGUAUCUUAAAUACACAUUUACCCCUAAUUUUAUCACAUUCUUCUUAAUUGGUAUUUAUGGUUUAGAAAAUUUUACAAAUAUAUUAUUUUUUAAGAAAUUAUAAGAAGAUUACAAAAAUUCCAAAAUAAUAUAAAAAAGCUAAGGAAAACCUAGAAAUUCAAAAAAAAAAACGUGGACAUUGAAUUUGCUGUUUCACAUUAAAUUUUUGGAGAAGUAGAAUUUUCUAACUUAUUUUCCAUCAACUUCACUUCAAUUUUCAAUCACAAUCUAUUGCAUUCAAGAGCACCACAUCUUUUGGGAUGAAACAAACCUCUCAAUUUUAAGAUAAACGGAAUCUAUUGCAUUCAAGAGCACCACGUCUUUUUGGAUGAAACAAAGCUCUCAAUUUUAGGAUAAACGGGUCUUUAGGGUUAUAAAUUGAGGUCCUUUUCCACAAUUGCGGGUGAUUCGUUGAUAAUAACCUCAACAUUUCUGUAUCACAUUUAAUUCAAUUCCACAUUCAAUUUUUAGUUUUUAGAGAGAUGAUUGGGUUACAACAAUGGUUUGAAGUGAAGAUAUUUCAAAACAAGAUGAAUACUCUACCAAUAGUCAUAAUUUAAAAUGCAGGUUAUGUUUCAUUUCAGCUAAGUUAAAUGUUAAGAUUGAGGUUAAACCUUUUAGAGGUUGCUCGCAAAAGGAUCAAACCUUUAUAAAAUUGUUUAAAUGAAGGUCAAACCUCUUAAAAUAGACAAAUAAGGGCCUAACCUUUUAAAAGGUGUUCAAAUAAGGGUUUCUCAAAUUUUGUAUAUCAGGUUAUGUAUUUUACUCUAAACACAUCGACAUUUACCUAUUUUUUCUAUAAAUUGGGUUGAAGUGCAUGAAAAAACCUUAUUUAAGCACUUCUGUAAAGGUUAAACUCUUAUUUGACUAUUUUGAAAGGUUUGAUCCUUAUAUAAGCAACCUCUAAAAGAUUGAGUACUAAUUUGACAAGAUUGAGAAAUACCUAAAUUUGUUUUCAUGAAUCAAGAAAAUAAAAAAGAAAUGUUGAGAAAUAUUUUAGAGAUUCUUAGCUUUGACAAGUUCCCUCCAUCAUCUUCCUGCCUCCAGUCCCACCUCUUCUCUUAUGCUCCUCCCAGCUUCUUGCUUUUUGUGUGUUGAAAUUUCAAAGGAACAAAAUAUCAACCUACAUCAUAAGGCACGAUUGCCAGAACUUUACUUUCUAGCCUGUCGAUCCGAUCCAAUGAAAGAAGAACAAAGAGUCUCAAGAUCUGUCAACUUUAUUUCAUUUUCAUUUUCUUUGUCAUUUUCUAUGUUUCAUGUCGAAUACAAUGAAAGAACAUAGAAAAAUGUUGCCUAUUUAUUUCCCAAUCAUCAUGAAAUUACUUGCCAUAGACUUAGAAUUUUCUCACCAAUUUUCAAGCAAUCUGACAUGAUUUCUCAAUCACAAUUAAUUGAAUUCAAGAUCUUUUUAGAUGACACAAACAUUUCAAUUUUAACACAAACCAAUAUUUAGGUUGUACUUCAGUGCUUGACAAGCACUUUCACAUUUGUGGGAUAAGAACUCUUAACAUUUUAGGAUCACAUUUAAUUCAAUUGCAUUUAAGACCUCACGAUUUUAUUCUAUAAUUUCAGUCUUAUCAGCCUUUUCGGAAACAAUAAAACGUCGACAUUAAAUUUGUUGUUGAUGCAUUCAAUUUUUUGAGGGGUCUUUGGAGUUAUAUGUGACUUUAGCAUUGACUGACUUUUUUAUAAUUAAUCUUUUAUAAUAUAUCAAUUUUAAUAACAUCGACAUGUUUUUUAGUAGGGUCUAGCAAAACCCAAUUAAAACCGAUGAUAUUGGCUUAGUUGACUCGGUCAAGUCCAUUAGAUUGAUAAAAUCAAUUUUAAAAUCAGUUAUAAUGGAUUAAGGUAAUUAAUUAUCGAGUAAUGAAAUACAUAAUCAAAUCAAUUGAUUUUGUUAGAAACUAAAAGAAAAUGAGAUAAGCUGAAAACUGAUUGCCCUUUAUUAAAAUUAACGAAUCCGCCCUUUACGUAUUAGAUAAUACGAACAUCACAUAUAUAAUAAGAAAAAUUACGUAUGAUUAUUUAUUAUCAUAAAAGGUUAGUUUAAAUUUAAAGUAAUCUAAUAUGUUUAUUGAACUUCAACUAUUAAAUAAAGUAUAAGCUAAAUAAGUAUAAAUAUUCUAGAAACCAUUUCUAACUGAUGAUAGGCUAAUUCGAUUAAUUUAUAAAAACUACAUAGUAGGGUUAUAGUCCUCAAACUACACCUAAUUUAAUAAUAUUUAUAGUUUUUUUUUUAGCCUUAAACAUUUAUAGUUUUUUGUUAAUUUGGUCCUUACUCUUUAAAAUUACAUAAAAAUUGCAAAAAAAAUUAAAAUUAAUUUUUUUUCAUAAUUUUAAUAACAUUUAUAGUUUUUUUUUUGUGUGUGGUUUGGUAACUUAUCAACUCGACUCUCACUUGUAACCAACUUUUCUAACCUUUUUCGUACCCUUAACCUAAGUCCCGUUACAACUUUCUAAAGACCUCUUUAUCAGUGUAUCAUGUCGGUUUGUUUUAUAAUGGUGGAGAUUUGUUUUUUGUAGUGGCACGAUUGCCAGAACUUUACUUUCUAGCCUAUCGAUCCGAUCCAAUGAAAGAAGAACAAAGAGUCUUAAGAUCUGUCAACUUUAUUUCAUUUUCAUUUUCUUUGUCAUUUUCUAUGUUUCUUGUCAAAUACAAUGAAAAAAGAACAUAGAAAAAUGUUGCAUAUUUAUUUCCCAUUCAUCACUCUAACAGGCCCAAUUAGCCCAGGCCCAAACAUUAAUAAAAUGUCUAGAUUACAAAAUAAUCAACUAAAAAUUAAAAGCUCAAAAAAUAAAAUAAAACCCAUUAUAUUAACCCAAAACCCCAGCCCAAUUACAUUGAAACCCAAAAAAAAAAUAGUUUUCAGAAACCCCUAGGGUUUCAGAAGCCCCUCAAUGUUAUUUUGUAUAUCUAUUUAUCUUUUUAAAUUUUCGAUAUUGUCUUGUUUUGUUUUUGUAUUAUUGUUGUUACCAUCAUUAUUCAUUAUUAUUAUUGUUGAUUUUAUUGUUCUUUGAUUAAUGUUAAUGUUAGAGUAAUAGAUGUUAUGUGAUCAUUGUUAUUAUAUGUUAUAAUUUGUUUACACUCGUAUUGUAGUCAUUUGUCAGCUUAAUAUUUUGAGUAAUAUUUUAAAUAUUACAUUAAUUUCGACCCAAAUGCAUAAUUUUUUAAUAAGUAAUAUUUUAUAUUUUGAAAUUUGAGAGAUCAUUCCCUAACUUACGGGGUCUCAAUUUUUUCGAUAAAUCUGAAUAUACUAACUAUUUUCAAAAAAUAUGUUUUAAAAUUAUCUCGGGAAUUUAAAAAGGAGCGUGUUCUAACUUACUGAAUAUGAUCUUUUUUUUAAAAUCGAGAUAAUCAAAUAACUUUCAAAUAAAUAAAUUUUCAAUGUUUAUUCUCAUAUCAGGAUUUAAAAUAUUAUAUCCUAACUCACGGGAUACAAUUCUUUUUCUCGAUUAACAUGAAAUAUGCCCGUUUUAAUUUUAUUUUUUAAGUGAUUUUAACAAAAGGAUUGUAUUUUAAAUCUCUUCAAAAUUUUCAAUUUUUCGACAUUGAGACAUUAACUAAUCAAUUAGGUACCAAUUUUGGGCGUUACGAGGGUGCUAACCCUUCCUCAUACGUAACCGACUCCCGAACCUAUUUUUCUGAAUAUUGAAGGCCAAAAUUGUUUUAAUAAAUUAAACCCUUAAGACGUGACCCCAUCACACCUCAUAAAAAUUAUCGGUGGCGACUCUCGUUUGCGUUUUUGUUUUCGUUUUCAAAAUAAAAGUCGACCCCUUGUUUUAAAAAAGGUGGUUCGAUAGCUUGGCGACUCCGUUGGGGAAAAAAAUAAGAGAGUCAAGCCACGAGUUGAUUAUUUCUUAUUUUUUGUCAGAAAUUGUGAAUUCGAUUUAAAUUUACGAUCUUUUCAUUGCAUUUUAUGGUCUGCAUCAUUUUGAUAUGCUUGCUUUACUGGUUCGAGUCUUUUAAUCUCCGCAUAUUGCAUUGCAUAACCGUUCGGUUAUACCCUUUUAAGUGGGAGUGAGAAACUAUUCAUUUGUGAGAUUUUUACCUCCGUAUAGGAUAGUGGAUUACUUUCGGGAUACAUCCGUACCUAUGUCUUCGUGAGAUUUUCAUCUCCGUAUAGUUAUAGGGAAAUGUAUUCCCCUGAACUGAACUCAGUCCGUAUGAGCCUAUAAUAGGUAAGGAUUGAGGAAUCUGCUGGUUCAGGUACCCUUUCUUUAGAACUAAACUGCAUGUAGUGAGCCCUAAGAGCAUACCGUAGGUAGAACCACUCCAAACCCCUAGUGGUCACCCAAAUAGGUGCUCUAUUUAUUUUUGCUUGCUUAUUUUUGCAUUGUACUAACCUAUUUUUUUGUUAUGAUUGCAUUGCAUUUUCAUCAUAAAAAAGAUGUGUUGAUUCACGUUCAAUUGCUAAAUAGAGAGCUUGUCAUGGAAAACGGAUUUCUUGAUAAAGUGGAAGACAAUGUGGUUAUCCGGAUAUGGUCCAAGAAAAUUUGACGAAAGAAGGGUGAUAGUCUAAUGGAGGACUACACGACCUUGCUUUAUUGCCCGAGGAUUCAAGUUGACAAAGAUUAUUUGAGAGUCCUCAAUGUCCCGACCUUUUUCAAGAAGCUAACGAGUGUCACGAGGAUGAGUGAGUAAUGAGUUGCGGCCCGGAUCAAGCAAAAAAGAGAUAGAGGAGACACCCUUUUUGAAGAGUUCGCGAGAUUUAUAUUAAUAUCAAAAUGAAGAAAAAGAUCAAUGUCUUCGCCUGGAGUAUGAAAGCAAAGCUGUAUAUAUAUCCGCUUUAUGUAAAUAAAUUUGUUUUCUAGUAAAGUUUUUCUAAUAGAAUUGAAUCAGAAUCAAUGUCUUUUUUUGCAUUCAUUCCAUUCAUCUGCAUUGCAUUUCAUUGCAUCCAAAAUUUCACAAAAGGACCCUAAUUAAUUGAAAUUGUUAUAGUUACUCUGAAAACUAAUAAAAAUCUACCAAUUAAAUAUUCCUACGGUACCCGUCGCAAAACCAAAGUAAUGGAUCAAAUAUUAGAAAGAUUAGAACAAAUUCUGAAAGACAAGCAUAAUCGUUUUUGCUUAGGGUACAAGCCAGAUACAAGACAAAGAAGGAAGGAGUUAGAGAAGAAAUAGGAAAGAAUGACAGCAUAUUUGAGCGAGGAUGAGGUCAAAUGGGAGCCUAUGAACUUUCCCUACAUAUCCAAAACUUUUGUAUCGGGAGGGAUUAUUCAUCCCGAGCGAAGAAUGCCAAGAGAAGAAAAUAUUGAAGAAAUGUUGGGAAACGUUCACAUCAAUGCCAUAUACGAAGAAGUAGUUGAAGGAUGGACCUUGUUAGAUAUCCGACCUUAUGAACCUGGGAGUGUGCUAAACAAUUGGACUACAGAAGAAAUUCCUGUAGUGUUUAGACCUUACUCAGAGUAAUAUUCAAAACACACUUGUUGCUUUUAGCCUAGAAGUGAUAAGAAUCCCUCUGUGAAAUAGGCUCAUGUAUAAACAUCAUUAUUUUAAUAAAGUAAAUCUUUGCAUUCAUUUUGAGCAAAUAUUCUUUUAUUCUUUCCAUACGAGUAAUUAUUUUAGAUUUUUCAUUAUUUUAGGAUUUUCUUCCAAAAAUCAUUCUUUUAUUACAUUCAUAAUCAUACUGUACAAAUAAUUAUUCUUAAAUUCAUUCAUUCUUUGUAUAUUCUUUUGUACCUAUAAUAGGUCCCUAGAUAUCAACGACAUGAGUGACGCUGCUACAGACUUAGAAUUUCCUUUUAAACAAGACAUGUGUUUAGAGGGAUCCCAUGACUUUGAAGAUGACGUAGACUGUGGCUUAUCUCCGGACUUGUUAAGGAUGGUAAAACAAGAGGAGAAGCAAAUCCUACUUCACAAUGAAUCAAUGGAAAUUGUGAGCUUAGAAGGGGAAAAUAGGUGAAGAUUGGGACUGACAUUGCCACAAAUACGAAGUAAGACCUCAUUGAGUUACUCUAAGAAUUCAAAGAUAUUUUUGCAUGGUCAUACUAGGAUACGCUCGGGUUAAGUACUGACAUUGUAGUACACUGCCUUCCUAUAAAAGAAGAUUGCUAGCCAGUUCAGCAGAAACUCCAGAGGAUGAGGCCUGAUAUUGUGCUAAAAAUAAAAGAAGUCAAAAAGUAAUUUGAUGUUGGGUUCUUACAAGUGGUCAAAUAUUCAGAAUGGGUAGCCAACAUCGUCUCAGUUCCUAAAAAAAAUGGGAAAGUACGAAUGUGCAUGGAUUACAGAGACUUGAACAAGGCCAGUCGAAAAGACAAUUCCCUAUUGCCUCACGUUGACACUUUGGUGGAUAAUACAGUAGGCUACUCACUUUUUUCCUUCAUGGAUGGCUUCUCUGGAUACAAUCAGAUAAAGAUGCAUCCAAAAACAUGGGAAAGAUUACAUUCGUGACCCUGUAGGAAACGUUUUACUAUAAAGUGAUGACAUUCAGAUUAAAGAAUAUGGGAGCGACGUAUCAAAGGGUGAUGGUAACCUUGUUUCAUGACAUGAUUUACAAGGAAAUCGAGGUUUAUAUUGACGAUAUGAUUGCAAAAUCUAGAACAGAAGAGGAACAUGUGCAGGUCCUGAGAAAAUUAUUCUUAAGACUGAGAAAGUUCUAGCUCAAGCUUUCCAACGAAAUGCACUUUCGGAGCUAGGUCAGGAAAGCUAUUAGGCUUCAUAGUCAGUGAAAAAGGAAUCGAGAUCAACCCAGACAAAGUCAAGGUAAUAAGAGAUUUACCUCCACUAUGCACUCAGAAGAAAGUUCGAGGUUUCCUAGGAAGACUAAAUUACAUUGCUCGGUUUAUUUCACAACUAACCGAAAAAUGUGACCCCAUAUUUCAUCUUUUAAAGAAACAUAAUCCAGAUGUAUAGGAUGAAGAAUGUCAGGAAGUUUUUGAUAGGAUAAAGCAGUACCUAUCAAAUACUCUAGUGCUGUUACCACCUAGCCCAGAUAGGCCACUGAUAUUGUAUUUAACAGUGUUUGAUAAUUUUAUGGGAUGCAUGCUAGGCCAACAUGAUGAGACAGGAAGGAAAGAAAGGGUUAUAUACUAUCUCAGUAAGAAAUUCACUGAUUAUGAAAUAAGAUACUCGUCUAUUGAGAAAUUAUGUUGUGCCUUGAUCUGGAUAACUCGGAGGCUAAGGCGGUACAUGUUGUACCAUACGACUUGACUAAUUUCAAAGUUAGACCCUUUAAAGUAUAUGAUGGAGUCAACUACUUUGAAUGGGAGGAUGGCCAGAUGGCAGAUUUUACUUUUUGAAUUUGACAUACUUUAUGUGAGCCAGAAGGCUAUAAAAUGGAGUGCAAUAGCGGAUUUUCUAGCUAGCAGAGCCUUGGAGGAUUAUGAGCCUUUAAAUUUUGAUUUUUUGAACGAGGACUUAAUGUAUGUGGCAACCACUAAAGAAAAUGCUCAAGUGGAUCGCAUUUGGAAGCUAAAAUUUGACGGAGCCUCAAAUGCUAUGGGUAAUAAAAUUGAGGCAGUCUUAGUAUCCCCGAGCAGAGAUCAUUAUCCUAUUGCUGGCAAAUUGGAUUUUGAUUGUACAAACAAUAUAGCAGAAAAUGAAGCGUGUAUUAUGGGCAUCCGUAUAGCCAAAGAAUGUAAAAUCAAAGUGCUAAAGGUAUAUGGGGAUUCUGCAUUGGUGAUAUAUCAGCUCAAAGGAGGAUGAGAGAUAAGAGACCUCAAAUUGAUUAAUUAUCGAAAGUUUAUUCUCGAAUUGAUUGAUGAGUUUGAUGAUAUUACUUUCUCCUAUCUCCCACUAGAUGAAAACCAGAUGGCUGACACGUUGGCUACUCUAGCUUUCAUGAUCAAAGUAAACAAACUAGAAGACAUGAAGCCUAUCCAGAUGAGCAUUUAUGAGACUUUGGCUCAUUGCUACAGUAUCGAGGAAGAGGAAAAGGAUGAUCAUCCUUGGUACCAAGAUAUACUGCAAUAUGUAAAGAAUCACGAGUACCCUGAUCAGGCAACGAAGAAUGAUAAGAGGACAUUGAGAAGACUAGCCACUAACUAUGUCUUACAUGGAGAGAUUUUAUACAAAAAGGGAAAGGAUCGGGUACUACUAAGAUGCUGGAUGCUAUAAAAGCUUAGAAAAUCUUGGAGGAAGUCCAUGAAGGUAUCUGCAAAAUGCAUGCCAACGGUUUCACAAUAGUAAGACAGAUUAUGAGAUUCGGGUACUACUGGUCGACCAUGGAAGGAGAUUGCAUCAAUUAUGCCAAGAAGUGCCAUAAAUGUCAAAUUUAUAGAGACAAAAUACACGCACGUUCUUCACCUCUCAACGUUAUGACUUCUCUAUGGCCUUUCUCUAUGUGGGAUAUGGAUGUCAUCGGGCCAAUAUUGCCAAAGGCUUCUAAUAGGUAUCGUUUCAUCUUCAUGGUCAUUGGUUACUUCACUAAAUAGAUGGAAGCUGAUUCAUAUGCUAAUGUCACGAAGUCAGGAGUCAGCAAGUUCUUGAAAAGGGAGAUCAUAUGUUGAUAUAUAAUGCCUGAAAGAAUCAUAUCUGACAAUACAUUGAAUUCGAAAAAUAGCAAAAUAGCGGAGGUCUGCAAUCAAUUCAAGAUCAAACACCAUAAUUCGUCACCAUAUCGCCCAAAAAUGAACGGAGCAGUGGAGGCGGCCAACUAAAAUACCAAGAAAAUUGUGGGGAAAAUGUCUGAGACUUACAAAGAUUGGCAUGAAAAAUUACCAUUUGCCCUCUUUGUUUAUCGAACAUCAAUCAGGACUUUCGUCGGGGCAACGCCUUUCUCUCUAGUUUAUAAGAUGGAGGCAGUUUUACCCAUUAAAGUUGAAAUCCCUUCUCUCUGGGUAUUGGCUGAGCUAAAGUUGGAUGAAGCUGAAUAGAUCCAACCUCGAUAUGAUCAGUUGAACCUAAUAGAAAGAAAAAGGCUAAAAGUUAUUCACCACGGUCAGAUGUACCAAAAACGAAUGAUGCGAGCCUACAACAAAAAAGUUCAUCCCAAAGAAUUCUAUGAGGGGGACCUAGUGUUGAAAAAGAUUUUUCCUCUACAAAAGAAUUUUAGAGGAAAAUGGAUGCCAAAUUAGGAAAGACCUUAUGUUGUAAUAAAGGCCUUUUCUGGAGGAGCAUUGAUUUUGAGUGAGAUGGAUGGUAAAAAUUUUCCUAAUCUUGUAAACUCAGAUUCAUUCAAGAAAUACUUCACCUAAAGAAGGAGAAGGGACCAAUGUGAAAACCUGCAAAGGGCACUUUGAGUCUUAAAAAAAAGAGACCAAGGUGAAAACCGCAAAUGGUGUCUUAAGUCCUAAAAAAAAGAGGCCAAGGUGAAAACUAGCAAAGGGCGCCUUGAGACCAAAGGGGAUUUGAGUUGAAAACCCGAAAAGAGCGACUCAAAUAUUGAUUAAAAUGGGGCAUGCAGUGAUCUUGCUAUACUUGAAUUAAUAGGAAAGGGGUAUACGACAUCUUGGGGCAUCGACAAAGUACUAUAGAUCUCCUAAACACAUUUCAAACUCAAAAUGGUCUUUAGGAAGUUUGUACAGAGAAAUUCAAGCUGCGAUGUCUAGGGCACCUAGUCUUCAUACUAUUUAUAUUAAAUUUGCUAUUCUUGGAAUACUUUAUUCUUUUCAAGAUACGUGUUCCCAAUCAAUUCCCUUUUUAUUCUUCUUUAUCCUUGAUAAUUUAUUCAUUUCGAGCUAUGCUCCAAAUCAAUUCUAUUCUUAUCCAUUGUUAUUAUCUUUUGCAAGCAUGUUGUAUUGGAAUAAUGAUUAAUAGACUAAUAAUACUUUUACAAAUAAAGUGCUGUAUAUUACUCUAAAAGUUUCUAAAUAAUACAAGAACCUAAAACAGGACUAUUGUUUAGAACGCACCGGGUUUAAAGGUUAGAAAUAUCUGAGAAGGAAGAGUCCAAAUUAAGACUAUCCCUUCGAAUUUUGUUGUCAAAAUAUUGAUUGAACAAAACGACAAGAUAUCGUAUUGGUGAACAAACGAGCAAUGAUCACCAGGUAAUAAAAAGAGGUUAUUUUGGAAAAAAAAUUACAUUGGUACGACACCUUAGGAAUGGUGUAAGAGACCAAAGAGGUUCACAUCUUGUAUUCUUGAAUUGCAAUAGGAGAGGAUUGAGAAAGAGCUAGAUAUUAUACUCCUGAAUUAUAAUGGAAGGGAAAUGGUACAAAUUUUAUGUACCAAAAGUACAGUGGAUUGAACCUUGAAGAUUACAGUAGGGGAAAUCUGAUUAAGUAAAAUAUGAAGUGUUUCUUUGGAGAUACCAGUCGAACAAGAUGGCAUUAUGACGUGUCGGUGAUAGAGCCUUAAUGAAUAAUGAGCAAUAACAACUCAAGCAUUAAGGGAUCAUUUUCAUAACAUUCUGUAUUCAUUCAUACACAUCUAGUUAGGAGAUUUUGAUUCAUUCCGAUCAUAACAUCCAAAUCACUAGACAUAAAUAGGCCCAUGAAAUGGAUUCUACAGGUCAUGUUCCCCAUAGAACAGAUGGGUGAAACCACAAAUCCUAUACCGCUGAAGUUGCAGUGGGAUGGAUUGAAGUCAUUAUGGCGAGUCUUAUCUCCCUGAAGUUGCAAUGGAGCAUAUUAAAGCUAGUAAUCUUAUCUCCCUGAAGUUGCAGUAGAGCGGAUUGAAGUUACAAGUCUUAUCCCCCUAAAGUUACAGUGGAGCAGACUGAAGAUAGUGAAUCUUAUUUCCCUGAAGCUGCAGUGGAACAAAUUGAAGCUAUAAAUUGUAGAUUUUAUCUCUCUAAAGUUGCAAUAGAGAAGAUCAUAUCAAACUUUAUCUCCCUGAAGUUGUAGUGGAACAGGUUGAAAAUACCAAUCUUAUCUCCCUGAAGUUACAGUGGAGUAGACUGAAGAUAGCGAAUCUUAUUUCUCUGAAGUUGCAGUGGAACGGAUUGAAGCUAUAAAUUACAGAUCUUAUCUCUCAGAAGUUGCAGUAAAGCAGAUCAUAGAAAACCUUAUCUCCCUGAACUUGCAGUGGAGUAGGUUGAAGUUAUAAGUCUUAUCUCCCUAAAGUUGCAGUGGAGCAGACUGAAGAUAGCGAAUCUUAUUNNNNNNNNNNNNNNNNNNNNNNNNNNNNNNNNNNNNNNNNNNNNNNNNNNNNNNNNNNNNNNNNNNNNNNNNNNNNNNNNNNNNNNNNNNNNNNNNNNNNNNNNNNNNNNNNNNNNNNNNNNNNNNNNNNNNNNNNNNNNNNNNNNNNNNNNNNNNNNNNNNNNNNNNNNNNNNNNNNNNNNNNNNNNNNNNNNNNNNNNNNNNNNNNNNNNNNNNNNNNNNNNNNNNNNNNNNNNNNNNNNNNNNNNNNNNNNNNNNNNNNNNNNNNNNNNNNNNNNNNNNNNNNNNNNNNNNNNNNNNNNNNNNNNNNNNNNNNNNNNNNNNNNNNNNNNNNNNNNNNNNNNNNNNNNNNNNNNNNNNNNNNNNNNNNNNNNNNNNNNNNNNNNNNNNNNNNNNNNNNNNNNNNNNNNNNNNNNNNNNNNNNNNNNNNNNNNNNNNNNNNNNNNNNNNNNNNNNNNNNNNNNNNNNNNNNNNNNNNNNNNNNNNNNNNNNNNNNNNNNUCAAAGGAACAAAAUAUCACCUACAUCAUAAGGCACGAUCGCCAGAACUUUACUUUCUAGCCUGUCGAUCCGAUCCAAUCCAAUGAAAGAACACAAGGAGUCUUAAGAUCUGUCAACUUUAUUUCAUUUUCAUUUCUUUGUCAUUUUCUAUGUUUCAUGUCGAAUACAAUAAAGAGAACAUAGAAAAAUGUGGCCUAUUUAUUUCCCAAUCAUCAUGAAAUUACUUGCCAUUGACUUAGAUUUUCUCACCAAUUUCAAGCAAUCUGACAUGAUUUCUCAUCACAAUUAAUUGAAUUCAAGAUCUUUUUAGAUGACACAAACAUUUCAUUUUAACACAAACCAAUAUUUCGGUUAUACUUCAGUGCUUGACAAGCACUUUCACAUUUGUGGAUAAGAACUCUUAACAUUUUAGGAUCACAUUUAAUUCAAUUGCAUUUAAGACCUCAUGGUUUUAUUCUAUAAUUUCAGUCUUAUCAGCCUUUUCGGAAACAAUAAAACGUCGACAUUAAAUUUGUUGUUGAUGCAUUCAAUUUUUUGGGUCUUUGGAGUUAUGUGACUUUAGCAUUGACUGACUUUUUUAUAAUUUAAUAAUAAGGUAAAUAUAUUAAUUUUAAUAACAUCGACAUGUUUUUUAGUAGGGUCGAGCAAAACCCAAUUAAAAUCGAUGAUAUUGGCUUAGUUGACUCGGUCAAGUCCAUUAGAUUGAUAAAAUCAUUUUUAAAAUCAGUUAUAAUGGAUAAAGGUAAUUAAUUAUCGAGUAAUGAAAUACAUAAUCAAAUCAAUUGAUUUUGUUAGAAACUAAAAGAAAAAGGGCUAAGCUGAAAAUUGAUUGCCCUUUAUUAAAAUUAACGAAUCUGUCUUUUACGUAUUAGAUAAUAUGAACAUCGCAUAUAUAAUAAGAAAAUUACGUAUGAUUAUUUAUUAUCAUAAAAGGUUAGUUUAAAUUUAAAGUAAUCUAAUAUGUUUAUUGAACUUCAACUAUUAAAUAAAGUAUAAGCUAAAUAAGUAUAAAUAUUCUAGAAACCAUUUCUAACUGAUGAUAGGCUAAUUCGAUUAAUUUAUAAAAACUAGAUAGUAGGGUUAUAGUCCUCAAACUACACCUAAUUUAAUAACAUUUAUAUUUUUUUUAGCCUUAAACAUUUAUAGUUUUGUUAAUUUGGUCCUUACUCUUUAAAAUUACAUAAAAAAUUGCAAAAAAAUUAAAAAUUAAUUUUUAUCAUGAUUUAAUAACAUUUAUAUUUUUUUUUGUGGUUUGGUAACUUAUCAACUUGACUCUUACUUGUAACCAACUUUUCUAACCUUUUUCGUACCCUUAACCUAAGUCCCGUUACAAUUUCUAAAGACCUCUUGAUUGGUGUAUCAUCUCGAUUUGUUUUUAUAGUGGUGGAGAUUUGUUUUUUGUAGUGGGCAUGAUUGCCAGAACUUUACUUUCUAUCCUGUCGAUCCGAUCCAAUGAAAGAAUAACAAAGAGGUCUUAAGAUCUGUCAACUUUAUUUCAUUUUCAUUUUCUUUGUCAUUUUCUAUGUUUCUUGUCACAUACAAUGAAAGAAGAACAUAGAAAAAUGUUGCCUAUUUAUUUCCCAAUCAUCAUUCUAACAGGCCGAAUUAGCCCAGGCCCAAACAUUAAUAAAUGUCCAGAUUACAAAAUAACCAACCAAAAAUUAAAAGCCCAAAUAAUAAAAUAAAACCCAUUACAUUAACCCAAAACUCCAGCCCAAUUACAUUGAAGCCAAAAAAAUAGUUUUUAGAAACCCCUAGGGUUUCUGGAACAAUCCGCGCCGCUCCUCCAUCCGCUUCUCCACGCACGCUGCACCUUUCCACGUGCGCCUCCAGCUGGCAGUGUACCUCCAAUGCAACAAACAAAGCAACAAGCAGCAAAAGAAAUGGAAAAACAACAAAAAAAAAAGAAGGAGCAACAAUGUAUAACAGAUUGAUAACAAAUAAUAGAAAAAAUAGCAGUAAAUAGGAAAAAAAAUUAAAAAAUAAUGAGGGUAAUUUCAUUUUUUUCUCUGUUUUGGCUAUAAAGAGAGCCGGUCAAAAUCUCUAAAGGGGGAUUUAGAAUCAAUCAGAAAACAAGUAUUUUGUACCAACAAUUAGAGAAAAAAAAUACAAAAAUAGGGAUUGAAGGUUUUUUUUUUCUUUCGUUUCGAUUUAUUUAAAAUAGCAUAGAAAAUAAAAAGAAGGCUUACCUUGCGACGCCUUCAGAUCCUCUCGAAAAGGGGCUAAAAGGCCCUAUGUGGCACAGAUUUGACCACUGUUCACGGUGGAACCGCAGCGGAGGCGCAGAGGAUUGGCAUCAAUUUAGGCAGGGUUUGAAACCCUAGCAGAGAAAAAAUUAGGGUUGAUAGAUUUUUUUUAAAAAAAUGGCAAAAUGUUGUUUUUAAAAAAUUUUGUUUUAAAAAAAUUGUUGCUUUUAUAAAGGGUGUAAAACGGCGUCGUUUAGGGCAUGUUUCGAUGGCCCCAAAACGGCGCCUUAUAAGGCAACCCCCGACGACCCGACCUGCUCCAUGGGGGAUCCGCGUGGUUUUUGUUAAAUGGGUUAUGUCUAACCCUGGCCCUUCUACUUUUUAUACUUGUUUUAAUUUGAUCCUCUUUUUAUUUAUUUUUAUUUCUUUAAAUUAAGCCUGAUAAUUUUUUUCCAUUACAUUUUAAUCCUUAAUGAAACGGCGCGUUUUAGAGGAGAAGGGAAAAUUACCCUUCUAGUCCCUUCUUGUUAUUCGAGUGUUCAGAAGGGUCCUUUUUUGUUUAUUUUUUAUUUGCCCCAAAAUUUUGUUUUAAAGCUUAAUUUAGUCCUAUUUUGUUAUUUUAGCUAUUUUAUUAUUAGAUUAAUUAAUUUAAUAUUAUUAUUACUGCUAUUAUUUUACCCCUAUUAGUUAUAUAUUUAUUAUUAUAACUAUAUCAUUAAAUCAAUUAGUUUUUACAUUAUUAUUUCCAUUCUGUUUUUUAUUUACUUACUUAAAUACUUUAAAUGCAUUUAUUUUAUUUCUUAUUUUUUUAUGAAAUUUCAAAACUUUAGACUAUUUUUUUGUUACUAUAACCCUAAUUUCAUUCAUUUUAUAAUAGUUUUUUUUUAAAAUAUUUCUUAGAUUAAUUCCCUCGAUGUUAUUUUGUAUAUUUAUUUAUCUUUUUAAAUUUUCGAUAUUGUCUUAUUGUAUUAUUGUUGUUACUAUCAUUAUUCAUUAUUAUUGUUGAUUUUAUUCUUCUUUGAUUAAUGUUUAUGUUAGAGUAAUAGGUGUUAUGUGAUCAUUGUUAUUAUAUGUUAUAAUUUGUUGACACUCGUAUUGUAGUCAUUCGUCAGCUUAAUAUUUGAGUAACAUUUUAAAUAUUACAUUAAUUUUGACCCAAAUGCAUAAUUUUUUAAUAAGUAAUAUUUCGUAUUGUGGAAUUUGAGAGAUCAUUCCCUAACUUACGGGGUCUCGAUUUUUUUGAUAAAUCUGAAUAUAAGAACUAUUUUAAAAAAAUACGUUUUAAAAUUAUCUCGGGAAUUUAAAAAGAAGCGUGUUCUAACUUACGGAAUAUGAUCUUUUUUAAAAAUCGAGAUAAUCAAAUAUCUUUCAAAUAAAUAAACUUUUCGUGUUUAUUCUCGUUUUAGGAUUUAAGAUAUUGUGUCCUAACUCACGGGACACAAUUCUUUUUCUCGAUUAACGUGAAAUACGCCCUUUUUAAUUUUAUCUUUUUAAGUGAUUUUAACAAAAGGAUUGUAUUUUAAAUCUCUUCAAAAUUUUCAAUUUUUCGACAUUGAGACAUUAACUAAUCAAUUAGGUACCAAUUUUGGGCGUUACAAGGGUGUUAACCCUUCCUUGUACAUAACCGACUCCCGAACCUAUUUUUCUGAAUAUUAUAGGCCAAAAUUGUUUUAAUAAAUUAAACCCUUAAGAGGUGACUCGAUCACAGCUCAUAAAAAUUAUCGGUGGCGACCCUUGUUUUAAAAAAGGUGGUUUCAACAGCUUGGCGACUCCGCUGGGGACAAAAAUAAGAGUCAAGCCGCGAGUUGAUUAUUUCUUAUCUUUUUGUCAGAAAUUGUGAAUUCGAUUUAAAUUUAUGAUCUUUUCAUUGCAUUUUAUGGUCUGCAUCAUUUUUAUAUGCUUGCUUUACUACUUCGAGUCUUUUAAUCUUCGCAUAUUGUAUUGCAUAACCGUUCGGUUAUACCCUUUUAAGCGGGAGUGAGAAAUUAUUCUUUCGUGAGGUUUUCACCUUCGUAUAGGAUAGUGGAUUACUUUCAGGAUACAUCCAUACCUAUGUCUUCGUGAGAUUCUCAUCUCCGUAUAGUCAUAGGGAAAUGUAUUCCCCUGAACUGAACUCAGUCCGUAUGAGCCUAUAAUGGGUGAGGAUUGAGGAAUCUGCUGGUUCAGGUACCCUUUCUUUAGAACUAAACCGCAUGUAGUGAGCCCUAAGAGCAUACCCUAGGUAGAACCACUCCAAACCCCUAGUGGUCACCCAAAUAGGUGCUCUAUUUAUUUUUGCUUGCUUGUUUUUGCCUUGUACUAACCUAUUUGUUAUGGUUAUGAGUGCAUUGCAUUUUUAUCAUAAAAAAGAUGUGUUGAUUCACGUUCAGUUGCUAAAUAGAGAGCUUGUCAUGGAAAACGAAUUUCUUGAUAAAGUGGAAGACAAUGCGGUUGUCCGGAUAUGGUCCAAGAAAAUGUGAAGAAAGAAGGGUGAUAGUCUAAUGGAGGACUACACGACCUUGCUUCGUUGCCUGAUGAUUCAAGUUGACAAAGAUUAUUCGAGAGUCUUCAAUGUCCCGACCUUUUUAAAGAAGCUAACGAGCGUCACGAGGAUGAGCGAGUAAUGAGUUGCGGCCCGGAUCAAGCAAAAAAAAGAUAGAGGAGACACCCUUUUUGAAGAGUUCACGAGAUUUAUCUUAACAUCUAGACGAAGAAAAAGAUCAAUCUCUUUGCCUAGAGUAUGAGGGCAAAGCCGUAUAUAUAUCCGCUUUAUGUAAAUAAAUUUGUUUUCUAGUAAAGUUUUUCUAAUAGAAUUGAAUCAGAAUCAACGUCUCUUUUUGCAUUCAUUCCAUUCAUCUGCAUUGCAUUUCAUUGCAUCUAGAAUUUCACAAAAGGACCCUAAUUAAUCGAAAUUGUUAUAGCUACCUUGAAAAACUAACGAAAAUUUACCAAUUAAAUAUUCCUAUGGUACCCAUUGCAAAACUAAAGUAAUGGAUCAAAUAUUAGAAAGAUUAGAACAAAUGCUGAAGGAUAAACAUAACUGCUUUGGCUUAGGGUACAAGCCAGAUACAAGACAAAGAAGAAAUAGGAAAGGAGAACACGUUUGAGCGGGGAUGAGGUCAAAUGGGAGGGAUUAUUCAUCCCAGGCGAAGAAUGCCAAGAGAAGAAAAUAUUGAAAACAUGUUGGGAAACGUUCACAUCAAUGCCAUAUACGAAGAAGCAAUUGAAGGAGUGACCUUGUUAGAUAUCCGCCCUUAUGAACCUAAGAGUGUGCUAAACAAUUGGACUGCAGAAGAAAUUCUUGUAGUGUUUAGAGCUUACUCAUAGUAAUGUUCAGAACACACUUGUUGCUUUUAGCCUAGAAGUGAUAAGAAUCCCUCUGUGAAAUAGGCUCAUGUAUAAAAAUCAUUAUUUUAAUGAAGUACAUCUUUGCAUUCAUUUUGAGCAAAUAUUCUUUUAUUCUUUUCAUACGAGUAAUUAUUUUGGAUUCUUUAAUUCUUUUGGGAUUUUCUUCCAAAAUCAUUCUUUUAUUACAUCCAUAAUCAUACUGUACAAAUAAUGUAAUAGCCUGAAUUUUCAGUGGUGUCGGAAUGGUGAUUCAAGAUCACUAAGUCUGACAAAUGAGUAGAAAAUAUUAUUAAUUUAGUAAGAAUAAGUAAAUGUGAAGUUAGGAAAAUUUUUGAAAUAGUGAAUAGUGUACUAGGAAUAAAUAUUAAAAUAAUUAAAAUAAAAAAUGAGGUAUCGAGACCUCGAAGAUUUUAAACCAAGCCAUAAGUACUUUUAGAAGUAUUUUUAGAGUGUCAUUGAGUUGGUAUUAAAGUUUCGUUAGAAAAUUUUAACGCUCGGAUAGUUAAUUAACCAAAAAGGACUAAAUUGAAAAUAGUGUAAAAUUUGUUAAAUUGUGAUUAAAUAGCUUAAGUGAUUAAAAAGGAGGGAUUUAAAAGGCAAUUAGGCCCAAAUUAUAUGGGCUGGACGGUUGGGUAAGAAAAAUCAGCAGAAUGUAAGGAGAAAACAGGGGCAAAAUUGGAAACUUAACAAAUUAAACAUAUAAAACAAAGACAAAAGUGAAAAAUCUAGAGAUCUGUUCACAAUUUAUCAGCAAAAAUGCCAUAGGAGGUCUGAAAGAAGCUGGUUUUUCAUAUAUUUGAAUCAUGUAAGUUUAAUUCUUGAUUAUUUCUUCUAAUUUUUGUGAUUUUGAUACUUUUACAAUUAGGUCCAACUAAUUAUUUCAUUAGUUUUUGAUUUCAUGGCUGAUUUUGAAAGUUACCAUUGAUGAGUGUUGGAUUUUUAUGAUGAAUAAACAUGGAAUUAAAGCUUUAAUUUUGUUAUAUGAUGAUUUUAUUAAGUAAUUUUGAUAGAAAUUGAUUUUUGGGACCUAAUUGUGAAAAAGUUUGGAAUUAGGGUUUGGUGUUGCGGUUUUGAAUAUGAAAGGCUAUGUAGUAGUCUAAAAUAGUUGGAAAAGGUGUUAAUUGAGAAAAAUUAGAUCAAUUGAGGGGUUAAUUGAGUAGGACCAAAUUGUAAAAACUGUAAAGUUUGAGGUAAAAGUGUAAUUUCGAAAAUUUAAGGGCAUAAAUUGUGAAGUGAAUUAGAAUAGAAUUAUAUGCUGAUGAAUGAAUAAAUUUGUAUUUUAGAUCGAGAACCCGAAGCAAGCCGAGGAAAAGAAAAAGUAGUUGAUUAGUCCCUGAACUUUUACAAAUUCUGCAAAUCGACCCAGGUAAGUUCAUAUGGCUGAAAUUUAAUGAUUAAAUGUUAAUUUCAUGAAUUAUGUAAUGUAUGAUGAAAUGUAUUUAGUGUUGAAAUGAGAGUAAAAUAAAAAUGCGAAAAUCGAAUAAAUGAUCAAAUUAAGCGGAACGCCGGAUUUGAGUACUUCUGAUCAAGAGACAAAGUGAUAAGUGGUAGCUUUAGCUACACUUAUCUGAUCAAGUGAAAAAGUGAUAAGUGCUACACUUAUCUGAUCAAGAGACAAAGUGAUAAGUGGUAGCUUUAGCUCACUUAUCUGAUCAAGUGAAAAAGUGAUAAGUGCUAUACUUAUCUGAUCAAGUGACAAAGUGAUAAGUGGUAGCUUAGCUACACUUAUCUGAUCAGGGCCAAAUGAUAAGUGAUCAUACGUAAGACCAUAGUUAUACUAUGGCCAAGUGAAAGUGAAGUACUCAAUUUUCCGUAACCGUUCCUUAAUUUUGAUCAAGGAUGGUAAGUGACAAAUAGGCCCAAAGAAAUUAUGGUAAAAGAAUAAGUAGUAGUGAGUUUAUACCAAGGAACUCUCCAAAGAUUGUGGUUGACAAGUAAACUUAGUAAUGGUGUAUAUUGUAUAAGUGUACAAAUGUUUGGUAAGAUUUAUGUUUGUGCCUAUGAACUUACUAAGCUUUUCUAUAAGCUUACAUGUGUGUGUUUAUUGUUUUUCUAGAUUAACGUAUUUAUACAUUCGGAGGAUCGGAUCUACUUCGAGAAUCACACUAUCCAGAUAUACUCCGGUAGAUUUUGUUAAACAACUUUUUGGAUUUAUAUGGCAUGUACAGAGAAUUGAAGUAAAAAGUAAUAGAAUGAAUGACUGAGUAUGCAAAGUAAAUUUGAAUGUGAUGGUUGUGUUAGAUAUUGAAAAAUACAUGUUUUUAGUUUGAAAUGGUUGAUUGGCUGAACUUCGUUAGUAUUCAAGUGAAGUAGUUGAAAUACUGGAAUUGGUUGUGAUUUGAAAUUUGCAGGGAAGGUUAGAUAAAUAUAAAGGGGUUAUAUUGAUUUUUUUUUUAAAUUUCAAUGGAAUAAUUUUUGGACAGCAGCAUUGAUGUAACUUUUAAAAAUCACCAAAAAUAGUGGAAAUAGAAUUAGAAGUUGAAUGAGAUAUGAAAUUAAAUCUGAAUGAGUCUAAUUUCACAUGAAAGAAGUAGAAUAAGAAAAAGAGUUAUAUAUUUUUAGAUAUUUGAAUUUUAGUGAAACAGGGCAAGAAUGUUUUUGAAGUCCCCUGUUCUGACUUUAGAAAUUUAGUAAAAAUUGUACAAAAGGAAUUAUGAAUUAUAAUUUAUAUGUUUAAAUUCCGUAAUGAGUAUAUUUUAAGUAGAAAUAAUUGGAACCACCAUAUGAAGUCUUUGCAAUGAGAUAAUUGAAUUUUAGUGACAAGAGGUCAGGAUAGUCAAUUAGUGAAAUAGGGGAGACUUCAACUAAUAAACUGUAUUAAUUUGCUAAACCAAAAAUUCUGAAAAAUUUAUGGUGAAUAUACAUAUGAGUCUAGUUUGAGGGAAAAUUUACGGAUCUAAAUUUUUAGUUUCGUAUCUUGAGUUAUAAUUAUUUUAGUGACUACUGCGCAUGUGGACAGCUUUGUUGUGAAUGGUGAAAUUAAUUUUUAAAGUAAAUUUUUAUGCCCCGAACUUUUAAGUUCAGUCAAGUAACGCCUUAUGCUCGACUCCGGCAACCGUCUUGGGUAAGGGGUGUUAUAAAUAAUUAUUCUUAAAUUCAUACAUUCUUUGUAUAUUAUUUUGUACCUACAAUAGGUCCCUAGAUAUUAACAACAUGAGUGACGUUGCUACAGACUCAGAAUUUCCUUUUAAACAAGACAUGUGUUUAGAGGGAUCCCAUGGCUUUGAAGAUGACGUAGACUGUGGCUUAUCUCUGAAUUUGUUAAGGAUGGUAAAACAAGAGGAGAAGCAAAUCCUACCUCACAAGGAAUCAAUGGAAAUUGUGAGCUUAGAAGGGGGAAAAGAGGUGAAGAUUGAGACUAACAUUGCCACAAAGACAAAGCAUGACCUCGUUGAGUUACUCCAAGAAUUUAAAGAUGUCUUCGCAUGGUCAUACCAGGAUACUCCCGGGUUAAGUACUGGCAUUGUAGUACACUACCUUCUUAUAAAAGAAGAUUGCAAGCCAGUUUAGCAGAAACUCUGAAGGAUGAGGCCUGAUAUUGUGCUAAAAAUAAAAGAAGAAGUUAAAAAGCAAUUUGAUGUUGGGUUCUUACAAGUGGUUAAAUAUUCAGAAUGAGUAGCCAACAUCGUCUCAGUCUCUAAAAAAGAUGGGAAAGUACGAAUGUGCAUAGAUUACAGAGACAUGAACAAGGCCAGCCAAAAAGAAAAUUUCCCAUUGCCUCACAUUGACACUUUGGUGGAUAAUACAGUAGGCUACUCACUGUUUUCCUUCAUGGACGACUUCUCUGGAUACAACCAGAUAAAGAUGCAUCCCAAAAACAUGGGAAAGACUACAUUCGUGACCCUAUGGGGAAUGUUUUGCUAUAAAAUGAUGUCAUUCGGAUUAAAGAAUGUGGGAGCGACGUAUCAAAGGGAAUGGUAACCUUGUUUCAUGACAUGAUGUACAAGUAAAUCGAGGUUUAUGUUGACGAUAUGAUUGCAAAAUCCAGAACAGAAGAGGAACAUGUGUAGGCCCUAAGAAAAUUAUUCUUAAGACUGAGAAAGUUCCAGCUCAAGCUUUCCAACGAAAUGCACAUUCAGAGCUAGGUUAGGAAAGCUGUUAGGCUUCACAGUUAGUGAAAAAGGAAUCGAGAUCAACCCAGAUAAAGUCAAUGCGAUACGAGAUUUACCUCUACCAUGCACUCAGAAGGAAGCUCGAGGUUUCCUAGGAAGACUGAAUUACAUUGCUCGAUACAUUUCACAACUAACCGAAAAAUGUGACACCAUAUUAAAAUAAAAAUAGAUUAAAUUGUAAGUAAAACAUAAUUUAAACAUAUGAAUACAUCAAAUUAAUAAUACUAAAUGAAUACAGUUAUUUAUGAUGAUGUUGUUGCCAAUUCCUAAUUUGGUGUCUAGUUAAUUUGUGACAUCAUAAAUUUAAGUGAUAAAUUUAAGGUUUUAUGUAUUGAUGUGGAUUCAAAUAUCACCAUAAUUUUUGUAAAUAAAAAACUAAUAAGAUAACUUAUAUUAAGUACGAAAGGGUAUUUUUAUAAUUUCUCUAAUCGAGUUGGUGCCCGGUUGACUCAUGACACUAACUCAAUCAGAAGCUUUAAUAAUAAUAUAGAUAUUCAUGUUAAAAAAACAAAAAAAAAGUACUUUAGUUCCAAAUAAUUAUAUAACAAGUAAAUUUAUAAUUGAUGAAUAAAUUUAUAAAUAAUAUAUUUAUAUGAUCUAAUAUAUUAUAUUUAUAUUAAUUAUAUAUCAUCUACAAACUUUGAAGAUCAAUUUAUUAAGUAAAAAUGAAAUUGUUAACACUAAAUCAAUUUUUAGAUUUUGUAUAGAUGAUUUAGUGAUGAUAAAAACAUUAUUAACACUAUUUUUUAAUUAACAAAAAAUUAGUGAUAUAUUUAAAUUAUAUUUAUCAUUUAUUAUUUUUAAUAAUAUUUUUUAAUUAUAUGAAGUAAAAUUAUAUUGUAUACUAAAUAUGGUACAUAUACUCUAAUUAUAACUUGAAAUUUUAUUAUAUAAAUUAAUAUAAAUUUGAAUAACAAAAUAAAAAAAAACUAAUUAGAAUAAUUUUAAAAAACAUUAUUUAAAAGUAGUUAAAAAUCACGUGCAACAGGUGAGAUCAAUGGUCUUUAGAGAAGAAAUGUUGAAGAUCAAAGUUGGAAUCUGGCCUAUAAGGCCUUUAAUUGCUUUAAUAUUAAGCAGUUCCAAACCAAGAAGAUUACCGAUUUCCUCAGGAAUUUGACCUGCACACAUGGUCGAAAAAUCAAUGUGUCAAACUACCUAUUUUGUUAGCAUAAGUCAAAGAGGUUUUCUUUUCUAUUCUACAUAAUUUGCAGAUGUUAGAUUUUAAUAUUUUUAAGCAUAUUUGUUUUCAUCAAAUUAACUAUUUUGAACUAUUUUGCCUUGAAUGAAAUAAAAUGCUCUUACUUUUGUUAUCUAUUACUAAUCAAACUCUUUUAUAAAAAAAAUACUUUAAACUAAAGAAACCAAGAAAAUUCAAUACCUUCUAGGUUAUUCAACCCCAAAUAUAAUUCUUUGAGUCGUGUCGGAUUUCCAAUACUUCUUGGAAUGAUCCCCAUCAAUUGAUUAUAGGAAAAUGACAAAAUUUUAAGGUUGUUGCAUUUGCUUAUACUUGACGGAAUGUUACCAUAUAAUUCAUUCCGACUCAAGUAAAGCCCUUCAAGCUUGGAAAGAUGUGACACAUAUCAUUAGGCAAGCUACCUGAUAGGCUAUUGUUGGAGAGAUCAAUGGCCUUCAGAGAAGAAAUGUUGAAGAUCGAAGUUGGAAUCUGACCUGUAAGGCCUUUAAUUGCUUUAAUAUUAAGCAGUUCCAAACCAAGAAGAUUACCGAUUUCCUCAAGAAUUUGACCUGCACACAUGGUCGAAAAAUCAAUGUGUCAAACUACCUAUUUUGUUAGCAUAAGUCAAAGAGGUUUUCUUUUCUGUUCUAUAGUAAUUUGGUGAUGUUAGAUUUUAAUAUAAUUCAGCACAUGUUUUUCAUCAAAUGAAAUAAAAAGUUUUUCCUUUUGUUAUCUAUUACAAAUCAAGCUCUUUUAUUAAAAAAAUACUUUAAAUUCAAGAAAUCAAGGAAAUUAAUUACCUUCUAAAUUAUUAAACCCCAAAUAUAAUUCCUGGAGUCGUGUUAGAUUUCCAAUACUUCUUGGAAUGAUCCCCAUAAAUUGAUUAUGGGGCAACAACAAAUUUUUAAGGAUGUUUCAUUUGCCUAUGCUUGACGGAAUGUUACCAGAUAACUCAUUGCUAUGCAAGUGAAGCCCUUCAAGCUCGGGAAGAUGUUGACACAUAUCAUUAGGCAAACUACCUAAUAGGCUAUUCCUGGAGAGAGCAAUAGUCUUGAGAGAAAAAUGUUGAAGAUCGAAGUCGGAAUCUGAUCUGUAAGGCCUUUAAUUGCUUGAAUAUUAAGCAUUUCCAAACUAAAAAGAUUACCGAUUUCUUCAGGAAUUUGACCUGCAGACAUAGUCGAAACAUCAAGGUGUUAAAUUUCCUAUUUUGUUAGUGUAAAUCAAAGAGGCUUUUUAUUUUUUUUCGUUAUGAAAUAAUAUGGAUAUGUUCGAUUCUAAUCAUAUUUAAGUAUAUAUUAGUUCUUGAAAGAAUGAGUUCUUAUUUUUGGUAUUUAUAUUGCAAAUAUAUAUUUUUUUAAAUUUAAAAGAAGGGAGGGGGCAAAUGUGUUUAAACUAAAGACAUCAAGGAAAAGGCAUACCAAGUAUAAUUGUUUAAGUUGUGUCAAAUUCCCAAUGCUUUUUGGAAUGAUCCCACUAAAUUGAUUAAUAGACAAUUCCAAAAUUUGAAGGUUGCAGCAUUUGUCUAUACUUGAUGGAAUAGAACUUGAUAAUUCAUUUCUACUCAAGUAAAGCUCUUUCAGCUUGGGAAGAUGGACACACAAAUCAUCGGGCAAGCCACCAGAAAGACUAUUAUCACAAAAAUGAAUCCUUUUCAAAGAAGAAAUGUUAAAGAUGGAAGAUGGAACCUGGCCAGAUAAUUGAUUGAAUCCCAAGUUCAAGAUCUCUAGAUUGGACAAGUUGACAAGUGUUUGAGGGAUCGUGCCUGUGAAGUUAUUAUUUCUCAUUUCCAACCUUUGAACUCUGUGCAAGUUCCCAAGCCAUGGUGGAAUUUCCCCAUUAAGACGGUUGUAGCUUAAUCGAAUGAUCCUCAAACGAUGCAAUUGGCCUAAUUCUUUAGCCAGAUGGCCGUAGAAAUUGUUGUUGCUCAAGUCGAUAGAAAAUAGAAAUGAAAGAUUUCCAAGGUGUGGAGGGAUAGUACCCCUAAGAUUCAUGUUUGUAAGAUUAAUCAAAGCUACAACUCUUUCAUGGAUGAUGCCACAAGAAACACCAACCCACUUACAGACAGAGGUAGAGUUCGUCCAAUUGUUUGCCAACACAUUUUGAGGAUCGACAAUGCGAUCUUUAAACUCAAAGAGUGCAAACUGAUCGGAGUUGAGAUUCCGGACUGUCAUAGCCAAGGAAACAAUAGAACAUUGUAUGAAUAAAAGUGAAAGAAGAUGAAAGCAAGUGUUGUAGUUCAUGAUGGCAAGACGAAAUAAGCCAGGAAAAGGGAAGUUGAAUUGAUGAAGAAAUAGCCAGCCAACAUGCUUAAAUAGGCUUCAACCCUUGCACACUUCUCAUACAUAAAGUUCGCUGCCAUUACAACAAGAAAACUCAUAUCUCCAUUCGUACCUAUCCAUACUUUAUUUGACUAACUUUUCCCUAACAAGUGUUCAGUAAGGAGAUAAAUCAGUUUGGAGCUAUUCACCGGCUUCUCCAAUCUUGGUUUCAAACUCCUAACCCAUCAAUUCACUUUAAUUGAAACGAUAUACACGAGUCUUUCGGCUUAUAUUUUUAAUUUAAUUUUUGUUACUUUUCAUAAUAUUUUUUGAGAAAUCCAAAUAUUCCAGUCUGAAAUUUCUUCAUUGCCACGUCUAUCUCCUGGGUAAGUCCGUGGUUAGGCAGCCCACUUUGGGAGCAGGAUUGUAAUUGUAAUUCUAUCCGACUCAUUUUACUAUUUAGAAAUAUAAAAGUAAUAUUAUAUUAUUUUUUAUAUUUUUAUAAAUUUAAUUUUAAUUAUAAUUUUUAAACAAUAAAACGAGUCAUUUGUAUUUGCCUAGUCUAAAUUGAAUCAGGAGUCAAAAAAAUUUUAAUCAUAAUUUACUAUUAUUUUAAUUAAUUAAAAUUUAACCUACUACAACUAGUAGUUGCAGAAAAAAUGUCAUUCCUUUAGAAAAACGAAAAUCCUUUAGAAAAAUGAGAACUUAUGAAGCAUUCAAUAAGAGUCAUUGGAAUAAAUGGUAACGAAAUCAUAAUUCAAUAUAAAGCUAAAAAAUGUACCAAUCUAUAUAAAUAAUGUAAGAUUUGUGAUACCUAAAUUAUUAUAUUUUCCAUAAAUAUAUGAAGAUAUUUUAUUAGGAAAUAAUUUUAUAUAUAAAAUUUUUUAUUUUCUUUUGAUAGAAAUUUAAUUAUGUUAUCUGUAGAAAAAAAUAUUUAUAGAAAUAUUAUUAGUAGAAAAUCAUAAAUUUGUGUGUGGCAAAAAAAAUUCACCACCAAGAAAGGGGCAAAUUAAACAACUUGAAACAAGUCAUUGGUUGUUUAAAAUAUUAGAUAAUAAUUUCAGUGAAGAAUCAUUAAAAUUAUGACAAAAUAACCCUAGAUAUUGUAGUAUUAAAUUGGAAAAUCUCAAUAAUAUUAUUAGAGUAAAACCUAUGAUCUAUCUAAACAAGAUAUAGAAGAUUUUGAUAUACAAAUUAAGGUUAGAAAUCAUGCGGAAAUAAAAAAGAAAAAAAAGCUAGUAUGGUCAUUAAUUAUAAAAGAUUAAAUCAAAAUAUUAUUUUUUUAUAGUUACUUGAAUUAAUCAGGCUAAACAAACAAAAUAUUUUAGUAAAUUUGACUGCAAAUCAGGAUUCUAGCAAAUCAUGAUAACAGAAAAGUCCAAACCUUUAACGGCUUUUAGUGCACCCAAUGGACAUUACCAAUGGAAAGUGAUGUCAUUUCAAUUAUGUGAUGCACCACAAAUCUUCCAAAGACGAAUGGAUUUUAUAUUUAAUAAAUAUAAAAAAAUUCUAUGUAGUCUACAUAGAUGAUAUUUUUUAUAUUUUUAGAUACACUAGAAUUACAUAAGAAACAUUUAAAUAUUAUUUCUUAAGAAUUCAUAAAAUAUAGAAUCAUAUUAAACCCUAAAAAUAUAGAGUUAGAAAAAAGAGAGAGAAUUUUUAUAAUAGUGGAAAUAAAAAAUUGUCCUCAAAAGAUUGAAGAAAAAAAGAACUUCCAACAAUUUCUAAUAUAUUCCUCCCAAAUUUUCAGUUUCAAUUUUAUUACAGAAUUUCUUUGCCGACAAUAAGAAAUUAAGAGCGCUCUUUAAGUUGAAUAUAGUCCGUCAGAUAUGGCUAUCUAUAACAUGGAACCUUUGGUUUUCAAGCUGAAUAGGAGAAUUGAUUCACUUGAUAAGUAUGAAAAAUUGAAACUGCUAAAUUUAAGUGCACUAACUCUGGAUAUCAUCAUUAUUUUUCUGUACAUUAAAGUACCUGUUUGAUAUGCGAUUUCUGCCUCAAACUAUCAACAUCUUUAACAUCCUUUUGCUAUAGUUAGCAUGGGUACUUCCUUUUAGAUUAACAGUUAGGUUUGAACUGUGAAUUAGAUUUCUGUGGCUGCUGGGAUUGAAGAAGUUAGUAUGCGAAUGACAUUGGACAAAUUUGGCAAAGUCUUCUCCAUCAGUGAAGAAAACCCCUUGGCGUAUGAAAAAUGUUCACCAUCUUAGACAUUUGUUUUCUUAUUGUAAGAAUAUUUUUAACAUUGUAACUUUUAACAUUAUUGUAAGAAUAUUUUGAAUUAUACUUCAGUUAUCAAUUUAUAUCAUAUAUCUUUUGUUGAAUUUGAAGUAUAAUUUAUAUUUGCUGUUUUUGGUUAGAUUUCAUGCUAUAGGAAGGGUUGUAUAUGGAUAGAAAUUGAAUGUUACAAAUCUGCCAAAGUUAGUGGCGUUUUUUCAUAAGAGCUGCUAAAGAAUGCUAUUUUUGGCGGUGUUUGUAAUAAAAGAGCCGCUAAAGGUCAUGUUCUUUAGCGAUGUUUGUGGGUAAAGCGCCGCUAAAGAUCAUGUUCUGUAGCUGUGUUUGUGGAUAAAGCGCCGCUAAAGAACAUGACCUUUAGCAGCGUAUUUUCACAUAAACGCCGCAAAAUUUAGCGGCUUUGUCUAUAGCGACUUUUUUUGCAGCGCUUUAAGUUUUAGCGGCGCUUUUAGGCCUAAAAAAGGGCCGCUAAAAGCCUGUUUUGCUGUAGUGAGCAUAUUUACAUUUUCGUCCCAAUUUCAACUAACACCCCAUCUAUUUCCCACUUCCCUUUUUCGGGCAAUUUCAACUAACACCUUCAUAUCAAACAUAACUAUUUUUCAAUUUUUCUUCUUUAUUUCAUUAAUAAAAUUAUCAAUCUAUUUGUUUUUAAAUAUAUAAUUUCAUUAAUAUUUUUUAAAUUAUAAUAUAAGAGUUGUUGUUUAUUUAUAGUUUUAUUACAUUAUUUACUCUCUCUUUUCUAUCAAGUUUUUUAAAUUAUAAUAUAAGAUUUAUUUUAUCAAUUUGUGGCUUAUCCAGUAUUCAUCUAUUUUAAUAAUAACUUGAGUUCCAGUCAUUAUCAUACCAGAAAGAGUUCCAUUUAUUCUUUAUCGUAAAUUUUAUAAAAAAAUAUACAUUUUAUUAUAAUACUAUAUGUGUUACGAAUAAUAUUUUAUUGUGGAUGCCCAUAAUUUUCAAAGUUGUAACCUCUAAUGUAGUAACCUUAAUGAAAUUAUGAGGCUUUUAUAUUGUAAUCAAGCCUCUAUUUAUUCUUUGUAACUUAAACAGAAGCAUAUUUUCUAUUAUAUUGAUAUUUUUUAUAGAUAUAUAUAUAUAUAUAAGGAAUCAAAUAAAAAGUUAUUUACCUUUCUAUUAUAUUGAUAUUUUCUAUUUGAUUUGUUCUUUUCUUUCACUAUUCCAUAAUAUAUUAUCAGUACGAUUUUAACCAAGAGUAACAUGUUAUUAGAUUGUGUCAAAAUUUUGUUGAGAAUCAUUAGAUUGUUUCCUUUUUCUUCUAUUUAGCCCCAAAUUGCACCCCUACACAAAAUUCAACAAAAACAUGGAAAAAUUAGUGGUGCACUCUCAUAAAUUAACCAAUUUAAUUACAUAAAAUAUGUAACUUUAGCAUUUUAUCAAUCAUGUUCUUUAGCGGCAUUUGUGGGUAAAGCGCCGCUAAAGGUCAUAUUCUUUAGCAGCGUUUGUGAUAAAAGUGCCACUAAAUAUCAUGUUCUUUAGCGGCGUUUGUGGAUAAAGCGCCGCUAAAGAACAUGACGUUUAGCAGCAUUUUUUUACAUAAACGUUGUAAAAUUUAGCGGCGUUGUCUAUAGCGACGUUUUUUGCGGUGCUUUCAAAUAGUUUUAGCGGCGCUUGUAGGCCUAAAAAAAUGCCGCUAAAAGUCUGUUUUGCUGUAUGAGCAUAUUUACAUUUUCGUCCCAAUUUCAACUAACACCCCAUCUAUUUCCCACUUCCCUUUUUCAGCCAAUUUCAACUAACACCUUCAUUUCAAACGUAAUUGUUUUUCGAUUUUUCCUCUUUAUUUCAUUAAUAAAAUUAUCAAUCUAUUUGUAUUUUAAAUAUAUAAUUUUAUUAAUAUUUUUUAAUUAUAAUAUAAGAGUUUUUGUUUAUUUAUAGUUUUAUUAUAUUAUUUACUCUCUUUUUUCUAUCAAGCUUUUUAAAUUAUAAUAUAAGAUUUAUUUUAUCAAAUGGUGGCUUAUCGAGUAUUCAUCUAUUUUAAUAAUAACUUGAGUUCCAAUCAUUAUCAUACCAGAAAGAGUUCCAUUUAUUCUUUAUCGUAAAUUUUAUAAAAAAAUAUAUAUUUUAUUAUAAUACUAUAUGUGUUAGGAAUAAUAUUUUAUUGUGGAUGCCCAUAAUUUUCAAAGUUGUAACCUCUAAUGUAGUAACCUCAAUGAAAUUAUGAGGCUUUUAUAUUGUAAUCAAGCCUCUAUUUAUUCUUUGUAACUUAAACAGAAGCAUAUUUUCUAUUAUAUUGAUAUUUUUUUAUAGAGAUAUAUACAUAAGGAAUCAAAUAAAAAGUUAUUUACCUUUCUAUUAUAUUGAUAUUUUCUAUUUGAUUUGUUCUUUUCUUUCACUAUUCCAUAAUAUAUUAUCAGUACGAUUUUAAUCAAGAGUAACAUUGUAUUAGAUUGUGUCAAAAUUUUGUUGGACUUCAAGUAUUGGAAUUUAAUUGUUUAAGUUAAGAAUCAUUAGAAUCAAUGGCUAUUUGAGAUAUGCUUGAGGAUGAUCUCAUUCUAUUCAUCACAAAGGUGGAGGUUAGAAAAUCUUUAUGUUUAAACAUUUAUAGCUUUAAAGUUAUUUUAACCUCUUAUUGUGACCUUAUAAUAUUUUGUAAUUUUUUGUAUUAUGGUAUAUAAAAAAAAUCUAACCAUAGUGAUUGAUUAGUAAUAUGAAUUUGUUAUUUGUUAUGUUUAAUAUAUAUUUUAUUUAUACUUAUUCAUUUUAUUUUUAUAUGAGUAAAUGAAGUGUUUGAAGAUUCGAAAUUUUUAUCAUCCAAGUUGAAAAUAAGUGCAAAAGUGUACAUUAUUUAAAAUAAAUUACGCAUUCAUUAAUGUUAUAUGAUAAAAUCAUUACAUGUUCUAAAGAACUAAUAUUGCAUCAAACUGUAAAAAGCUCUUGAAGAGUUAAUAUUUUACCUCCUUGUGAUACAAAAUCAUAUACAAUAUGAUAUUAUUUUUCAAAUCGAGUAGAUAUAUGUUGAGGGAAAUCUUUAUGUGGUUUACAUUAAAACCAUGGAUAGAAAUGACAUGAGAUACUCGUGUAUUUUUAUUAUAAAUAUUCCUUGAAGGAAGACACUUCACUUGUAUGAUUGACAUAUGAGAUAGUGGCAAGAAGUUCAUAGUGUUGGUAUGGUCGUCUAGAUCAUCUCAAAUCAAUAAUGAUGCAAAAUAAUUUGAAGAGAAUUUAUAUGAUUUUAUUGAAGAAUGAGAAGAUAUUUUCAUUUUGAUAAUUGUCAUCAAUACUAGUUCUUUGGAAAAAAAAUAUUGAACUAACAUAAAGUUAGAGGUUGGUUGCAUUUUUUGAUGAUAUCCAAAUAAUAUAUGAGCUCAUGUAUCACAUGUAUGCAACCCAAAGUUUACAGUAUUAUUUCUUGAAAUAAUUUGAUUCUACACAAUCUCUAUAGUAUGCAAUUUGUGCUAACAACGUUGGUGCAUUAUAUCCUAAGCUUGAUUUUCGUAGUUUUAGCUGAGAUAAUAUUAAGUUGUCUAUGCCUAUAUAUGUUAUACUUAAUGGUUAGCAAAAUUGUGCCUCCAUUUAAUUGCUUAACCAUUAAUAUAAGAAUAACUUUAAAAUAAGCAUGUAAUUUUAUUUGCAUAGAGUCAACAUGUAAGAAACAUUUGCCCCAUGAGAAUUGGCUUUCAUUUAUAAGCCAAUAGGUUUCAUAUGACUAUUUGGAUGUAAAAUAUCUAUUUUAUAUUCCACCAUAAUGCACUAAGAUGGUCCAUCAAGUAUGAAGUUGAGAAAAUUUAGAAUUUUUAUUUGAUGGUAAAAGUUGAAAAGAGAUAUAUACUUAUAAUUUUGAAAAAAAUAGUCAUGUUGCAAAUUUUUCUCAAUAUUAGGGGGAGACAAGUUGGACAAAUAAGGAUAAUUAUGUCAUCACUUUUUGUGAUCCCUCACUAAUAUUAUGUGCACAAAGUUUGAAGGAAAAAAGUAUUUGCUAGACAUGUUUAGUGAUGACACUUAGAGAUUGUAUAUACUAGAUGAUACAUAUACCAGCUAAAAUGUUCCAAAUAAUUAUGAGUCCUAGAAGGACAUAGUGAUAAAAAUAAUUUUUGGGCACGCUAGAAGGAUAAAAAACUAGUUCAUUCUAUAAAUCAAAAAAUUCUUGAAAGAAAAGAGUAAGAAAUGAAGCUGGCCACACAUUAAAGGAAACGAGUACUCAUGAAGAGACCUAAGGCAUAACUUUUAAUAAAACCCCAAAAGAGGUUCAAUACAUGGAAUUAUGAAUAUAAUAAGAUAUCUCGAUUAGUUAUAUCAUAACUAAAGAUGAUGGGGUUGAUAAAAGGAAAUUGUUGUUAACAACGAUAAUCUAAGUAGAACAUUUCAAUAUUAUGGUAAAAUGAGUAUUUUGAAUGAAAAUAUACUUGAAAGUAUUUAGAUGGGAACAACUCAUCAAAAUAAAUAGACGUUUCUAUUAUAACUUAUGAAAUGUGUCUCGGACAUGAAGUCCAAACAUUCGACAGGUGUAAAGCCAAGUGGAGUAUAUGUUAGCAUAAUAGUGAAAAAAUACAAAUCAUAAUAUAUAAAAUUGACUUGUAAGACAAACUUUCCCAAGACACUUGAUUUUGAUUAUGAAAAAUGAUUAAUUUGUGAUCUUAUCAAUUGAACAUACUUUGUAUAAUCAACAAAUUAUUAAUUAACCUCAUUUAACCAAUUUCCUUCAACACAUUUCAAAUCAAAUUAAUGUGUUGAGCACGCCCUUAACCCUUUUUCUUGAUUCAUUGCAUAGUCUAUUUCCAAGUACCAUAAUCAUCAACAUUUCAAUAUAUAAAGUCAUAACAUAAUGAAUCAUAGUUAGAAUUUUUUUUACCCUAUUAACCAAGUAUGGAACAAAAAUAAAAACCUAAUUUGUCAAGCUCAUUCAAUCAGCUUAUAUAUUAUAAGAAGAGCCUAAGUAUAAAUCCUAUACAUGAUUUCAAAUUCAACUAUUUAUAUUUGAGAUUCAAUUUAAAAUUCAUACUGAAAUUAUCAAAUUAACUCGUAAGCUACUCACGCUAAACAUUAAGGUACUCGAAUUCAAGUGGCUAGAUAUCAUAAACACUUUUAGCUUGUAAAACUAUUUCUAAGGGUCAGCCCAGAAUCAUGGUUGAACCCAAAAUCUGGUAACAAAAAUUUAAUUGAGCCAUCAGCCUAAAACAAAAAAGGCUUAAAAGGUUGGCACCCGAACAAUCAAAGAUAAACACCACCAUAUGCCACUCCCUGAAUCCGAUACAUACAAUAACACCCUUCACCACUUUUAUUCUUCUCCUUUUUUUUAACCUCAAUUUGGAUGGUCGCAUUUCUCUUUUUAGUGCUUUAUAGGGUUUGGGCUUUCAGAAUCCUCAGAGAUGCAAUUCAUGGAUCCCUCUAAGAAAUGCAAGCUUGAUGAAAAUGGUAUUAUUUCAACGGCAUCAGAACCUGACCCAAUCACCAAACUAACCCCACAAGAUGGCCGCAAGCUAAUCGAGCAAUUUAUCGUCGAUCAACUCCUUGACGUCCUCCAAGAUGCUGUUUGUUGUCACCUUGAUGUUCUUUCCGCCGUACACUCUAUUGCCGAUCAAGAUCCAUCUCAAAGGAAGCUUUUCAUCCGUGGUUGGGUUGGGAUACUACAACCCAACCCAACCCACAUUAGCAUACUACCAUGCGGUAACUUCUAGUGAUUUCUGUCUGUAACAUUAGACAGGUUAACAGUUAAAUCGUUCAACUGAAAGAUUUCUUUGAAGGAAGAGGUCAAUUGAUUUUUUUUGGAAUCAUUGUGUACUCAGUUGCAUUUAAGACGGGUAUCAUUCAUAAAGUAUAUAUCUACAUCAAGAAUGGUAGCCUCUUAUAUUAUAUUCAUGUAUUUAUUUUGCAUCUUUAAUUAUAAUAGGAUUUUUUUUGUUUAUUUAUAGUUUUAAUUAUAAUAUUUUUUAAAUAUGCCAAAGUAAAUUAUGUACCAAUUUUAAACUUCUCCUAGGUAAUUUAACGUAAGGGCAUUUAUGUUAUUUUACCACUUAUGAUAAAACUAACCUAAUUUUAGAUCUAAGUGUUUACCAACCUUCUUUUAGUCAAAUUAUGCAAGCCUAAAAUUUUUAGCUUAAUUUGAGUUUGUUUACUAUGUCUAAUUCAAGUUUUAUUAUUAAGAACUAAAUUGUAACUUAAACAAAUUAGAAUACCAAUUUAAAGAGACAAAAAUUCAAAGCCCCAAAACCCACACGGGCAUGUGGGUAAGUGACACAGGCGUGUGGAAACUGGAGCUAUCACACACGGGUGAGUGGGACUGAAAAAUAUGAAAUAAAUUAAUCCAUUUAAAUUUCCAACAACCAUGCUAUACUACCAAACCAAAUAAUGUUAGAAGCUUUGAAUAGGGGCGAAUCUUAAAAAAAAUAGAAGAAUUAGAAUUAAAUUAUAAAAUUUUGAGAAGUUGUCAUGUAUUAAUUUAUUAUUUUUUAAAGGGUCUUAAUAGAUUUUUUUUCCCCAUUUUGGUUUGGCCAAUACCCCUGUCUGCCUCUUUCAAUUUGCUUCAACCCUUAGCCCAAUAUUCGAUUUGUUGUGGAAGUUUGACGCAUAAAAAUUCCUUUUUUAGAGGUUUAAAUUAUAAAUUUUUAUUAACAAAAUAUAAAAGAAAAAAACAUGUGUAGACAAGCCAAGAAACCUUUGGGAUCAUACAGGUGAUUUUGAGAUGUUCAUGGUUAUUUUGGUGGAGAGGGUAAAAAAGAAACAAAUGAUUCAUUAUAUAUGAUAUAAUUAUGAAAUUCAAGCCAUAUAUUGUAUGUUUCAUCCAUACAAAUUUCUUGUAGCAUUAAAUGACUCGUAGGCUUGCUGAAUUUCUUUGAAAGGCCCAAAGGCAAUUUAACAUUCACAAAAUAAUCUCUAAAUAGUGUAAAGACAAAUCAAAUCCACAGUAGCAUUAGAGUUGAUUAAGCUAAGCAUUGGCAAAUAUUACUUUGAUUUUGCAUGCAAUAUUGGCAAAACCCCCUCUUACAUUAGAAAAACAACAUAAUCCAUGAAACAUUGAUAGCCCAAUACAAAUUUCAUCGAGAAAAAAGUCUCUUUGUUUUGUAGAACAUGAUAGUAAAGAUGUGGAGUUUCGUUCUUCUUAUUGGCCUCCUUUAGUUUUCCUUGAUCAACAACCACUAGCCAAAAACACAAUUAGAUUAGAUUAUGAAUGAUACUUUCAACUAUGACAAUAUUAAAUACAAACCACUCUAAAUAACUCUAAAUAAAUGGAAAGCAGCAAAUUACCAGACGAGGCAAGCUAGCUCAAUUAAGACCAUUGUGUUAUACUUGUCUCUGAAUUGAAAAAUUUAGAAGGAAAUAAAGAGAAAGACUUAGAAAAUACUUGAAAACAGAAAAAAAAAUUAUGUCAUUUAAAAUAAAAAAUUUCUAUUCAAGCCAUUUAAAAUUUGUAAGAUUUUUAAAAUUUUAAAAUGAUAAAGGUAAAAUUGUACUUUGGCACCCCAAAAAUGAUAAAACUUUGAUUUAAUUAUUUAAAAAUUAUAAAAAUAUAGGCUAUUAAAAUGGUGAAAUUAUAUUUUUACUAUAGUAAAAAUUACAAUUUAAUUUCACCCCUAAAAGGAUUUUCUGGCUUCGCACCUAAUAAAAUCUUUGGCAAAAGACUAAAAUAAAAUUAUACCAUGAAUGGAAAAAGAAACUAAUAAAAUCCAAUCUAACAAAGAAAAUAACUUGAUGUCCAAAAGCUACCAUAAACCGUAAUUCAUGGGAAGGCUUGUUGCUUAUUUUAUUGGUUUCCAUUUUGAAAGAAGUUUGAAUUUUGAAGAGAGCCUACUACGUGAAAGCAAAAGAAAAAAAAAUAGUUUAUAUGAUUAAAAUUCCAGAAUAGAUUAAAAAUGUUGAAUUAAAGAUAAAAUUAAGUGUGAAUUAAUAACCACAAGUGUACUCUUUACUCACCAUCUCUGUUAAAAAUGUUGGAUGUUGUUUAGCAACCUUUGUUUGAUUUUCUUCAGCUCAACCACAACAUCUUUCAUAUCUUUUCUUUCUUCUGGUAACUCAGCUGAACAAUUCAAAGCCAACUCCAUGAUAGAUGAAAUACAAUUUGCUUUAACAACAAUGUACUCAUCCUCUCUUCUUAAUAAAUCAACAUCUGCAAUUUCUAUCGCUCCUUUAGGCAAUGAUCUUUCCAUCCAAUGCCUUAUACUCUCUUCUUCAACAAAAACCUUAUCAGUUGGCUUUUUCUUUGUGAAAGUUUCUAUAAGGACGAUCCCAUAACUAUAGACGUCAGAUUUUAUAGAAACAAUUCCUGCUGAUCCAAAUUCUGCAUUUCAAGUAUAAUUAGAACAUCAUUCAUCCUCAAUUAUUUCUAAAACGCUUAUUCAAAUAUCUAUCCACAUACACGUGAAACAAGAAUAUAAAAUACAAAUUAGGAAAAUAAUCAUACAAAAAUAAAAAAAAGAAUUCACCUGGUGCCAUAUACCCAAUAGUUGCAAGAGUCAUGGUUUGCUUCAUUACUUCACCUUCUCCCAACAAUUUGGCAACGCCAAAAUCUCCAACAUGUGCAACCAUGUCUUCAUCUAGUAAAAUAUUGCUUGGUUUUAUGUCACAAUGAAUUAUAGGUGUUGGAUGUCCAUUGUGGAGGUGUUCUAUAGCUACCGCAACAUCUAUCAUUAUGUCGACCCUUUGUAUGAUACCAAGGAAACAAUUUUCAGAAUGUAACCAUUUCUCAAGGUUUCCAUUAGACAUGUAAUCAAGCACCAAGGCUUUGAAGUCAACACUUGAGCAGUAAGUAAUGACCUUCACAAUAUUACGAUGAACUAUAUUAAGCAUAGCAUCACAUUCAAUGUCAAAACUCCUAAAUGCUCCCUCUGUUUGCAAAUUGAAAACUUUUAUUGCAACUUCCAUUCCAUCUGAAAGCCUCCCUUUAUAUACAUAUCCAAAACUCCCUGAACCAAGCGUAUUGCUUUCCUCAAAUCCAUUAGUUGCUCGUGAAAGUUCAGCAUGUGAAAUUCUUCUCAGUGUCUUCAAAGACAACAAAUCAUCUUUAACUGGUAGAGCUGUACUCCUUUGGCAUCUUCUAUACAUAAUAGUUAAGACUAUUAGUACUAGGACAAUACCAAUUGUUGGUAAACCAUACCUAAAAGCAUGCAAUAUAAUCAUUUGGGAGUUUUUGUGGAUGUCAUUUUUGCAAGGUGGGACUAGCAAUCUAGGUGGACCACAAAGUGCACAAUUAUUCAUGAAUGAUGUGCUAGAAAAGUUUGAAAAACAUCCUUUGCUGGGAAUUUCCCCUUCAAGUCUAUUGAAAGACACAUUAAAAUACUUUAGAUAUAAAAGCUUUUCCAAAGAUUUGGGAAUGACUCCAGAGAGAUUGUUAUUGCAUAAAUCCAAGAAUUCCAAACUAAUCAACCCAUCAAAUGAUUCAGGGAUAUGACCAUGUAGUAUAUUAUUUGAUAAAUCUAAUGAAACCAAAGUUUGAAGACCCCCAAAUGUGGAUAAGAUAUCGCCCAUGAGAAGAUUCCUUGAUAAAUUUAGUCUCAGUAGACUCCUAAAGUUUCCAACAUCAAUAGCAUGCGAAUUGUGAAGAUGGUUUGAUGAUAAAUCUAUUUCUAAGAUAUCUUUAAGAUUCCAUAAAGUUGAGGGUAUUGCGGAACUCAAUUUGUUGGAAUCUAACCAAAGAUAUCUCAAAGCAGAAAUAUUACCUAAACAAGAGGGUAUGGAUCCAUGCAGCUUAUUCAACCCUAAAUACAUCUUGAAUAGUCUCUCCAAACCACAGAGGCUUUCUGGGAUAGGCCCUUCUAAUUUAUUAGAGGAAAGAAAUAGACCUUGGAGAUUUAUCAUUCCUCCUAUUGAUGCUGGAAUCAAUCCACUUAAUUUAUUAUAGCCAAGUUGUAAAACCAACAUGUUGCUUAAGUUACCUAUUUCCAUAGGAAUAAUGCCUUGAAGCUCACACUCUGUGGCACGAAAGUAUUGAAGGGAUUUUGAAAGGUUCCCGAAAUAAGUAGGAAGAACGCCACUCAAUGGAUUUCCUGAAACAAUUAUUCUUUUCAAAUGCUUGCAAUUCGUCAAAGAAGAAAGAAAGCUCCACUCAUGAUCAGUAGCAGAUCCUGUGAUCAAAUUAUUGUUUACGAUUCCGAACCAUUCAAGGUGUCUUAAGCUGCCAAGCAUUUUAGGGAUUGGGCCAGAGAAUAAGUUUUCUGACAAGGAUAGAAUCUUAAGCAUGGAAGCAUUGGAGAUAGAGUUGGGAAUGUUUCCGCUAAGUUUAUUUCCCCACAGUAAAAGAAUCUGAAGCUUUGGAGCAUUGGUAAUGGGUGGUAAAUUACCUGUAAAAUAGCAUCUUUUAGAAAACAUAUUCAUUGAAUACCAAAUUCACAAAAUAUAUAAUACAUUAAAAUAAAAACUGUAAAACUUUAAAUCAAUUAAGAAUAAAAUUUUGGCAUGGAAAAAUGUGAUGAAAUCAAUUAGAAAGUUGAGACAUAAUAAGAAGUUUUGAGUAGUAAUUAGUCCUUGUGAUUUGUAUAGACAAAACAUAUAAUACACUGAUAAUUUUUUUAAAAUAUUGUAAAACCUGAAAUAAAAUAAAAAAUAAAAGUUUGGCACAAGAAUGUGGCAUCUAAUCAUUCUUAAAAAUAAGACUAACAUUAAAUAAUAAUUAGUUAUGAUUUGAGAAACAAAAAUGUUAAAGAUGUAAACUGGUAUGAUUUUUAUCUAUUGGGUUAAUUAUUUAUUUUUAUUAAAUUAUAUAUAGUGUAAAAUUUAAAGAUUAUUAUUUGCUCAAAAUUUUUGUAUUUUUCGUAUAUUUGAAAUUUAAUCUUUAUAUUUUUUUAUUUUCUGUGAUUUAGUCUCUCUACUUUUUAAAUUGAAAAUUUUAAGUUUAUUUAUUAACACUGUUAAAAAGUUUUUGUGUUAGUAUGGCAUUUUGAAAAAUAAAAUAAACUUGAUAUCUAUGUUUUUAAUUAUUCCAAAUACUGUUUUACUAUUCCAAGAUAAAUUAUUUGUGUCUAGACCAAUAUCUGAAGAACUAUUGUUGCAUGUUUAAUUAUUCUAAAGAAUUGUUGAUUGAGUCUUAGUUGAAGUGCACUAUUCUCCUAUUUAUGAAUUGGGGAGUUGAUAAAGUACUAAAUUUUGAUAUAUUUUAAAAAAUUAAAAAUUUAUUAAAAUAUUUUUAUAAAAAUUGAUUGUACCAAAAUAUACAAUUUUAAUAUCAAAUUUUUAAUUUUUUAAAAAUAUUAGCGAAUAUAUACUUUAUUUCAAGUUACACAAUUUUUACUAGUUUUUAACUUUUUUUUUAAAUUUUUAUCGUCUUUUAUAAUUUCAUAUAAUUUUUUAUAAUUUUUUACAAUAUUUACAAUUUCUAACAAUUUUUAAUAAUUUUAUUAUUUAUUAUAAAUUUAAAAAUUAACAAAUUUUUAUUUUUUUAAAACAAUUAUAUAUUUAUAAUGUAGUUAUUUUUUUAUAAUUUUUUUUGAAAUUUAAAGAUUUUUUUGGUUUUUUCUAGAUGAUGAUGCCAUCAUGAUGUCAUCAUAUGCCACAUGGCAAUUUAUAAUUAGUUGACUAUCUCAAUCUAUUUUUUUAACGUCCAAUGGACUAAAACAAGAACACCUGAUAAUGUUAGAGACUACACUAGGAAUGUUUGAUAAUAUUAGGUACUAAAGUGGGCAAAAAAAAUUAAGGACUAUAUUAAAAAUAUAUCUAUAAUAUAUAUAAAUGCAUGGAUUUUGAGAAACUUUUGAAAUGACAAAUAUAUAGUCUUUGUUUUUUUUUACUAUAUUAUUGAAUUUUUUAUUUUAAAUAUUUUUUUAUUACUUUUAAGAUUUAUCAUAUGUAUGGAUAAAAAUUUUGGUUUUACUAAAAUAUUUGGUUAAAUAAAUUCACUUUAUAAAAAAAUUUAGCAUCCUUAUAAAUAACAAUUUUGAUUCCAUUAAAAAAAUUAUUUAAUAAUAUAUAAUAAAAAUUUAAAAUUUAUAUUGAAUCACUUUAUACUUAAAUUAUUAUUAGAAACUUUAUCAUACACAUAUGUGUAUGAGAACCACGUUUUCAGAACUUAAAUUUGUGUUCUAAAAUAACUUAUGAUAAAUAAUUAAAUGUAUAAUUUGAAAUUAUAUUGAAAUAAAAAUAGAUUAAAUUGUAAGUAAAACAUAUAUAAUUUAAACAUAUGAAUACAUCAAAUUAAAAAUACUAAAUGAAUACAUUUAUUUAUGAUGAUGUUGUUGUCAAUUCAUAAGUUGGUGUCGAGUUAAUUUGUGACAUCAUAAUUUUAAGUGAUAAAUUUAAGGUUUUAUGUAUUGAUGUCGAUUCAAAUAUCACCAUAAUUUUUUUAAAUAAAAAACUAAAGCACCCUCAAAUAAUAUAACUUAUAUUAAAUAUGAAAGGGUAUUUUUGUAAUUUCUCUAACGAGUUGGUGCCCGGUUGACUCAUGACACCAACUCAAUCAAAAGCUUCAAUAAUAAUAUAGAUAUUCACGUUUAAAAAAAGUACUUUAGUUCGAAAUAAUUAUAUAACAAGUAAUUUUAUAAUUGAUGAAUAAUUUUAUAAAAAUAUAUUUAUAUAAUCUAAUAUAUUAUAUUUAUAUUAAUUAUAUAUCAUCUACAAACUUUGAAGAUCAAUUUAUUAAGUAUCAGGAAAAGAAAAAAUGAAAUUGAAUUAACACUAAAUCAAUUUUUAGAUUUUGUACAGAUGAUUUAAUGAUGAUAAAAACAUUAUUAGCACUAUUUUUGAAUUAACAAAAAAUUAGUGAUAUAUUUUAAUUAUAUUUUUUAUUUUUUAUUUUUAAUAAUAUUUUUUUAAUUAUAUGAAGUAAAAUUAUAUUGUAUACUAAAUAUGGUACAUAUACUUUAAUUAAAACUUGAAAAAUUAUUAUAUAAAUUAAUAUAUUUUAAUUAUAUUCAACCAUUUGAAUAACAAAAUUAAAAAAAACUAAUUAGAAUUAUUUACUUUUUAAAGUUUAAUGGAAAAUAAAAAAUUAAAAAUAAAUCAAUUCAUAUAAAUCUUAUUGUUUAUUAUCAGAUUAAAAUGAUAAAAGUAUAUGACAUACAUAGAAGAAACAAAUUCAACACAAUGUUUUUGGAGUUUGGAAAAAAUUAAAGUGAAAAACAUACCUUCUAAUUUGUUGUUAAAUAGAUCUAUUUCUUCGAGCGUAGUUGAAUUAAAAAUACUUGAUGGAAUCUGACCUGCACACAUAGUCGAAAAUUGAAGUGAAAUCAAACUCUUUUGUGAAAAAAAUAUUACCAGAUAAUUCAUUCCAACCCAGGUAAAGCCCUUCAAGCUUGGGAAGAUGUUGACACAUAUCAUUAAGCAAACUACCUGAUAGGCUAUUGUUGGAGAGAUCAAUGGUCUUCAGAGAAGAAAUGUUGAAGAUCGAAGUUGGAAUCUGACCUGUAAGGCCUUUAAUUGCUUUAAUACUAAGCAUCUCCAAACCAAGAAGAUUACCGAUUUCCUCGGGAAUUUGACCUGCACACAUAGUCAAAAAAUCAAGGUGUCAAACUAUCUAUUUUGUUAGCAUAAGUCAAAGAGGUUUUCUUUUCUGUUCUACAGUAAUUUGAAGAUGUUAGAUUUUAAUAUAUUUCAGCAUAUGUUUUUCAUCAAAUGAAAUAAAAAGUUUUUCCUUUUUAUUAUCUAUUACAAGUCAAACUCUUUUAUAAAAAAAAAUACUUUAAAUUCAAGAAAUCAAGGAAAUUGAUUACCUUCUAGAUUAUUAAACCGCAAAUAUAAUUCCAGGAGUCGUGUUAGAUUUCCAAUACUUCUUGGAAUGAUCCCCGUCAAUUGAUUCAAGGACAAGGACAAAUUUUUAAGGUUGCUGCAUUUUCCCAUACUUGACGGAAUGUUACCAGAUAACUCGUUGCUAUGCAAGUAAAGCACUUCAAGCUUGGGAAGAUGUUGACACAUAUCAUUAGGCAAACUACCUGAUAGGCUAUUGUUGGAGAGAACAAUGGUCUUCAGAGCAGAAAUGUUGAAGAUCGAAGUUGGAAUCUGACCUGUAAGGCCUUUAAUUGCUUGAAUAUUAAGCAUUUCCAAACCAAGAAGAUUACCGAUUUCCUCAGGAAUUUGACCUGCACACAUGGUCGAAAAAUCAAGGUGUCAAACUACCUAUUUUGUUAGCAUAAGUCAAAGAGGUUUUCUUUUCUGUUCUACAGUAAUUUGAAGAUGUUAGAUUUUAAUAUAUUUCAGCAUAUGUUUUUCAUCAAAUGAAAUAAAAAGUUUUUCCUUUUUAUUAUCUAUUACAAGUCAAACUCUUUUAUAAAAAAAAUACUUUAAAUUCAAGAAAUCAAGGAAAUUGAUUACCUUCUAGAUUAUUAAACCCCAAAUAUAAUUCCAGGAGUCGUGUUAGAUUUCCAAUACUUCUUGGAAUGAUCCCCGUCAAUUGAUUCAAGGACAAGGACAAAUUUUUAAGGUUGCUGCAUUUUCCCAUACUUGACGGAAUGUUACUAGAUAACUCGUUGCUAUGCAAGUAAAGCACUUCAAGCUUGGGAAGAUGUUGACACAUAUCAUUAGGCAAACUAUCUGAUAGGCUAUUGUUGGAGAGAACAAUGGUCUUCAGAGCAGAAAUGUUGAAGAUCGAAGUUGGAAUCUGACCUGUAAGGCCUUUAAUUGCUUGAAUAUUAAGCAUUUCCAAACCAAGAAGAUUACCGAUUUCCUCAGGAAUUUGACCUGCACACAUGGUCGAAAAAUCAAGGUGUCAAACUACCUAUUUUGUUAGCAUAAGUCAAAGAGGUUUUCUUUUCUGUUCUACAGUAAUUUGAAGAUGUUAGAUUUUAAUAUAUUUCAGCAUAUGUUUUUCAUCAAAUGAAAUAAAAAGUUUUUCCUUUUUAUUAUCUAUUACAAGUCAAACUCUUUUAUAAAAAAAAUACUUUAAAUUCAAGAAAUCAAGGAAAUUGAUUACCUUCUAGAUUAUUAAACCCCAAAUAUAAUUCCAGGAGUCGUGUUAGAUUUCCAAUACUUCUUGGAAUGAUCCCCAUAAAUUGAUUAUAGGAGAAGGACAAUUUUUUUAAGUUGCUGCAUUUGCCCAUACUUGACGGAAUGUUACUAGAUAAAUCAUUCCGACUCAGGUGAAGCCCUUCAAGCUUGGGAAGAUAUUGACACAUAUCAUUAGGCAAACUACCUGAUAGGCUAUUGCUGGAGAUAUCAAUAAUCUUCAGAGAAGAAAUCUUUAAGAUGGAAGAUGGAACCUGACCAGAUAAUUGAUUGAAUCCCAAGUUUAAGAUCACUAGAUUAGACAUGUUAACAAGUGUUUCAGGGAUUGUGCCUGUAAAGUUAUUAUUUUUCAUUUUUAGCCUUCGAACUCUCUGUAAGUUCCCAAGCCAUGAUGGAAUUUCCCCAUUCAGACGGUUGUAGCUUAAUUGAAGGAUCCUCAAACGAUGCAAUUGGCCCAAUUCUUUAGGGAGAUGGCCAUAGAAAUGGUUGCUACUCAAGUCGAGAGAGAGUAGAAAUGAAAGAUUUCCAAGGUGUGGAGGGAUAGUACCCCUAAGAUUCAUGCUUGUAAGAUUCAAAGCUAUAACUCUUUUAUGGAGGAUGCCACAAGAAACACCAGUCCAAUUGCAAACAGAGGUUGAGGCCAUCCAAUUGUCUGCCAAGACAUUUUGAGGAUCGGCAAUGCGAUCCUUAAACUCGAGAAGUGCAAAUUGAUCGGAGUUGAGAUUCUUGGCUGUCAUAGCCAAGCAAAGUACGGAACAUGAUAUGAAUAAAGCUAAGAGAAGAUGAAAGCAAGUUUUGUAGUUCAUGAUUGCAAGACGGAAUAAGGCAAGAAAAUAAAAAAAGUAGGAAAAGGGAAGUUGAGUUGAUAAAAUAGUUUGGAUGAUGAAGAAAAGCCCAGAGAGCAUACUUUAAUAUGUUUCAACCCUCGCACACUUGAUAAACUUGAUAAAUAUAUUUUGAUCUAAUAAAUGUAAAAAACUUUUUAAACAAAAUAAGGUUGAAAUAAUCUAUUUGUCCUUAUACUUUGAUAAAAUUUGAGAUUUAGUCCUUAUACUUAAAAGGAUAAAAGUGUUGUAGUUCUUGUUGUUUUUAUUUAAAAAUCUUAGUCCUAUCGUUAAUUUUUUGGGUCAAAAUUUGUCAACUGUACAUAUUAAUUAGGUUUCCCUUAUAUGUUGUUGUAUAUGACUAACACAAAAUAAGCAAGUUGACAAAUUAUGACAAAAAUAAUCAAAGAUGAUAAUAAUUUAAUUAAAAUUUUCAAAUUGAAUUAAUAACCUUUAACAUAUAAGGAAUGGAUAUCAAAUAUUUAUAGGAAAAAAGGGACUAACAACAUAUUUUAACCACAAAAUAAUAUGAGUGAUUAGAAUGAAUCUAAAAGAGACUAACAACAUAUUGAUAACUUUGAAAUCUCCUUCGAUCAUCCUUUUUCUACGUAGAAAAUGAAAAUUAAUUAGCAUCUAAAGUGUCAAUUAAUGAAACCUUCAAAAGAAAAUGUGAAAGUGAUUUAUCAAAAAAUAAUAUUUUAACUUAUAAAAUAUUUAAUUACAUUUAGUAAUUUAUCAAUCAAAAUUUAAUUAACAUCCAUCAAUACUUCAUACAUAAGUAAAUUUACCAUUUAACUCAGAUUUAACUUUGCAAGUAAACUUAAAAUUUUAUUUAAUUUUGUCACUAAAUUUAAUUUGUUCAAUAUAGAUUUUGGUGACUUAAAACAAAAUUAAUAAAAAAUUAUAUUCUUUCAGACAUCUUUUUAAUGUUUAAUAAUAAAAUAAUUUAUAAAAUAUACUUUCAUUGGACACAAGCAAGGCGAUGAACCACUGACCAAAUUAAUUUGGAUAUAUCUUUUUUCCAAAUAAAGUGAAUUUACGAGUUUUGUUUUUUUUUUAAUAUUUUUGUGGAUAUCAAGUGAUACCAAAAAUUAUUUCACUAAGAAAUUUUAAUUCACUUGAAAAGUUAGUGUUUUAUUUCAAGGGGUCAUAAUUAUAAAUUUUAAAUUUUUUGACAAUUGUGUAAUUAAUAAAUACCAAUUUUGACUGUUGUAGGGCUAGUACAAUCUCCCUUACGCAUAACCGACUCUUGAACCUACUAUUUUCUCUAGAAUUUAACGCAGACCUUAAAUUUAUCUUUUAAAAAGAAUUUUAAAAUCUCUAUAUAAAAGGUGUAAAAAUAUAUAUUUUAUUAAUUACUAUAUAUUAUUUUAUUUUCAGAAUAAUAAAUAGUUUAAAAUAUGCUGCUAGUCCCUAUAGUUUAAAAGUUAAAAAGUUUUUGGCAUCUUGAGUGCAUCAAAUUUCUCCUUUUAUUAUUAAAUGUUUUAUUUUAGUUACUCUAAUUAAAUAUAUCCAAAUUGUAAUAGAGUUAAUAUUUAUUAUAUAAAAAAAUAUUUUAAUUUUUUUUCAAUUGUAGUUUAAUUCUAGUAGAAAUAUUUCAUUUAUAAAAUCAUAAAACUUUAAAAUAUUAACUUUGUUAAAUAAAAAAUGAUUUUUUUAAACUGUAAAUUUUGACUUUAUUAACCCAAAUGGGUCUUUAGGGUUAAACUUCAGUAAUUGACGAGCUCUUCCACAAACUGUGGAUGAUUUGGGGAUAAAAACUUCAAUAAUUCUAGAGUUAAAGUGUAAAUUUACUACUAUAUUAUAAGUAAAUAUUGAAAUUUAUCACUAAAUUUUAAUUGAUACUUGUCAUUACACUUUGAAAAUAUAAGUAAAUUUAUCAUUUAACUCAUAUGUGAUUGAAGUUUGCAAGUAAACUUAAAAUUUUAUUUAAUUUUGUCACUAAAUUUGAUUUAUUUAAUUAUAUUUACAACUCAAUAUAGAUUUGGUGACUUAAAACAAAAUUAAUAAAAAAACUAUUCUUUCAGAUAACUUUUAAUGUUAACUAAUAAGUUGAUUUAUAAAAUAUACUUUCAUUGGACACAAGCAUCCAAGGCGGUGAACAAACCACUGGUCAAAUUAAUUUGGAGAUAUCCUUUUUGCGUUUUUCUUUUUUUUUAAAAAUAUUUUUAAUAUUUUUGUGGAUAUCUCCAAAUACCAAAAAUUAUUUCACUAAGGAAUUAAUUAGUAUUUUAAGGGUUCACAAUUAAACUUUAGACUUUUUAUUUUUAAAUUUGGAAUUUUUUGACAAUUGCAUAAUUAACAAGUACUAAUUUAGAGUGUUGCAGGAUUAUUACAACCUUCCCUACACGUAACAGACUCUUGAACCUACUUUUUUCUCUAGAACUCAAUGCAAACCUCAAAUUUAUCUUUUUAAAAGAAUUUUAAAAUAUCUAUAUAAAAGGUGAUUUUUUUACCGAUCACACUUAACAAAAUUUUAAAAAUUAUUAAUUUCUUUUUGAAAUUUAAAGUGAUCUAAAACUAUAUUUUUAAGUGCUUUAGACCAUGCGGUGCUGAUUUCUUUAUUGUAUUAAAUGCUUGCAAUCACUCCUUGUAUCUUAUACUUGAGUUGUAACAAAACCAAUUGUCACGUGUCAUAAUGUUCUACUGAUGCUGAAACUGAAGUUUUUGUUAUAUUAAUAGAGCUUGUCCUUCAACGCGUAUAACAAGUGUUUGUUAUUUUUUCCUUCAAAUUGUAUGAUCUCAUUCAUUAAAUAAAUUAAUGAAUUUCCCUUUAAAAAAUAUAAUUUUAAAAAUUAAAUACUUUAUAAGAUAUUUAAAACUAUUUAAAAAAUUGUAAGCGUUAAAACAAUCAACAAGAUAUAUUUUUCUUUAAAAAAUCAAUAAAAAUAUGUUUAAAAUUUUAUAUGAAAUUAAAAAUUUUUUAACAAUAAUAUAUUUUAAAAUUAUUUACACCUUUUUUUAUAUAUUUUUCCUAACAUAUCGUUAUUUUCAACACUAUCGUAAUCCUAUUUUGAUAAUUCCCUUUCCAUACAUCCUUUUUCUACAUAGAAUUUCAAAAGAAAAUGUGAAUUAAUGCAGACUUGAGAAGACCUAGAGGUAAGUCACCCAAUGAAACUGACCUAAACCGACUUAUGGACCAAUCAAACAAUAAUUUUGUAUCUCAUAAUAUAUUUAAUUACAUUAAUUAGCUUAUCAAUCAAAACUUAAUUAAAAUCCAUCAAUAAAGUUGCUGAUUGUAUGGCUAAGGCAUAUGGAGGCAUAAUUGAGCAGCUGGUUAUCUUGGAAGAUCCUUCGCGUUAUGUAAGAUAUUGGCUUGAAGGAGAUAUUAGACAGUCGUUGGUCACUGAUGAUAAAUUUCAUUUGGAUUGAAGCAGGCUUAAUUUUCUAAGUUUAUGUUCAACCAGAAAAAAAAUCUAAAUUGUAAUAGAAUUAACAUUUAGUGUAUAAAAAAUAUCUUAAAAAUUAUUUUUUCAAUUGCAAUUCAAUUCCACAAAUACUGACGAUGAACCCUGAAACGGACAUGAAAAUUACAAAAAGAAAAAAAGCACAUCUAUUAUCAAACCAGCAAUCCAUGCCUAAACUGAGAGAGAUGAACCCUAUGAUAGAUUGUGACACCCCAAAGUCGACCGGGAUAGAUCGGCCCGAAUUCGAAGCAUUACAUUAGCCACCUAAAUGACUCUCUAGCUAACGACCACCCAAGACACACCCCGACCUUAUAACACCUCAAUCUUAUCUAAUUAUUAGUUAUUUAUUAAUACCAAAGUAAAUUAUGAGCCAAUUUUAAACUUUUCCUAGGUAAUUUAACCUACGGGCAUUUACGUUAUUUUACCACCUAUGGUAAAACUAACCCGAUUUUAGAUCUAAGUGUUUACUGGCCUUCUUUUAGUCAAAUUAUGCAAGGUUAAAAUUUUUAGGUGAUUUUGAGUUCAUUUACUAUGUCUAAUUCAAGUUUUAUUAUUUAGGACUAAAUUGUAACUUAAACAAAUUUGAAUACCAAUUUAAAGAGACAAAAAUUUAAAACCCCCAAAACCACACGAGCAUGUAGGUAAAUGACACGGGAGUGUGGAAACUGGAGCAAUCACACACAGGCGUGUGGGAUUGAAAAAUAUGAAAUAAAUUAAUUAUGGUGUUAAAUUCUUCCAUCAAUUGUACAUAAUUUUGAUUGGUAUAGUAAUAAAUUUAGCCUUCAAUGUUUAAAUAUUUUGUCAUUUUGGCCUUAAUUUUAAAAAAAAAUUCAAGAAAUUCAACCUCAACAUUCACAUAUUUACACAAACGUUGCGGGAAAUUUUUGUUAAAUUAAGACCAAAUUGCAAGUAUAAAUUUUGAGGGCUAAAUUUAUUAUUAUACCAACAAAAACCAUGUACAUUUUAUGGAAAAUUAACAUCCUGAUUAAUUAUUCUUAGUAGCUCACUUUCAAAAUUAAUAGGGACUAAAUUGCUCUGAUUUUUUAAGGGUGACCAAUUUCUUCAAUUUGGAAAUUGAGAGAGACUAUUCAGAUAUUUUACAUAUUUUUUAUAAAUAUAUUUUUUUAAUAUAAAAUAUAGUUGUUCACACACAUCGUGAGUAUGAUAAAAUAUUUUUAUUGUUGAUUGAAUUGGUGUCAAAAAUUAACUCGAGACCAACUCAAGAUUAAGAAUAACAAUAUGAUAAAUAAUUUAUUUAUUUAAUAUUCUGAAUUUAAAAUAUUGAUGUAAAUUUUAAGACAUGCAUGUCUUGUAGAAUUGAGAUUAUACUUUUUGAGUAUUGAGUCAGUUUUCCACAAUUGUGGGUCUCUAUUUGAGCAACACAAUUUCAACAUUUCUUCAUCUCGCUUAAUCCAAAUGCAUUUAGGAUUUUUUUUUUUAUAUCAUUGUUUCAAAAACGAUAAAAAAAAAAGUGGACAUUGAAUUUUCUGUUUCACAUUCAAUUUUUGGAGAAGUAGAAUUUUCUAACUUAUUUUCCAUCAACUUCACUUCAAUUUUCAAUCACAAUCUAUUGCAUUCAAGAGCACCACAUCAUUUUGGAUGAAACAAACCUCUCAAUUUUAAGAUAAACGGAAUCUAUUGCAUUCAAGAGCACCACAUCUUUUUGGAUGAAACAAAGCUCUCAAUUUUAAGAUAAACGGGUCUUUAGGGUUAUUAAUUAAGGGCAUUUUCCACAAUUGGCAUCGUUAUUUGCGGGUGAUUCGGGGAUAAUAACAUCAACAUUUCUGUAUCACAUUUAAUUCAAUUCCACAUUUAAGUUUUAAUUUUUAGAGAGAUGAUUGGGUUACAACAAUGGUUUGAAGUGAAGAUAUUUCAAAAGAAGGCAAAUAUAUCAAUUUUUUAAGGGGUCUUUGGAGUUAUAUGUGACUUUAGCAUUAUUGACCGACUUUUUUAUAGUUAAUCUUUUAUAAUAAGUUAAUUAUAUCAAUUUUAAUAACAUCGACAUGUUUUUUAGUAGGGUCGAUCAAAACCCAAUUAAAACCUUUCAUCACUGCAAAAAUGAAAAUAAUAGAAAUGAAAGACUAGCCAUUGUAUGAGAUUUAUAAUUGUAACUGUCAACGAAAUUGGGAGAAAUUUUUAAAUUUUAUGAAAUUUUAAAAUUAAACUGUCAAUAAUAGAAAAUUGCCUGAGUGACUUGGGAUAAGAGCUUGAACAUUUCUGGAUCACAUUACAUUUAAGAUGGGUCUUUAAGGUUAUACUUUAGUUUUUGAGAACAUUUUCCACAAUUUGCCAUCGUUAUUUGUGGGGUAAGUGGUUGAACACUUCUGGAUCACAUUGCAUUUAGGACGGGUAUCAUUCAUAGACUGACUUUUCUAUAAUUAGUCCUUGCUUUACUUUAGGUGGAUUCUUCCAACUAGUCCAAGAAUUAUUGUACAGUUACAUUUAAUCUUUUUAAAUGAGACAAACAUUUCAAAUUUGUCGUUACUAUUUGUGAGUAAUUUGGGGGUAAGAAGUUUAACACUUCUGGAUGUCUUAUAGAAUUGUGAUUAUACUUUUUGAGUAUUGACUCAGUUGUCCACAAUUGUGGGUCUCUAUUUGAGCAAAACAAUUUCAACAUUUCUCCAUCUCGUUUAAUCCAAAUGCAUUUAUGCAUUUCUUAUAUCAUUGAAUUUGCUGUUUCACAUUCAAAAAUUGGACAAGUAGAAUUUUCUAACCUAUUUUCCGUUAACUUCACUUGAAUUUUCAAUCACAAUCAAUUGCAUUCAAGAGCACCACAUCUUUUUGGAUAAAACAAAACUUUCAAUUUUAAGGUAAACGGGUCUUUAGGGUUAUACGGGGGCCUUUUCCACAAUUGCCAUCAUUAUUUGCGGGUGAUUUUGGGAUAAUAACUCGAAUAUUUCUGGAUCACAUUUAAUUCAAUUUUUAAAUUUUAGAGAGAUGUUUGGGUUACAACAAUUUUCAUCAUUAAGUUUAAUAGAACAUUUGGGAGGAAAAAGAGCAAAAAAAUGAGCGAAAACCGAAAAAUGGGGGCAAAGUAUAGGACCCACACUAGCUGACCUAUUCCACUUGACUGUGCAUCAAUUUCGUAGAUUUGCACUUUGACCUACAAAAAAAUACGAAUUUUAGGCUUUUCGGGCAUUCUAAGAUGUACAUAUGACAAAAAUAAAAAGAUAUAAGAGAACCUUUUAGAAUAUUCAAGAAAACAACUCCAAAGACACCACUAAAGCCGACUCUGAAGCAAAUUUUCAUUAAGAUGGAAGAUUCCUAAUUGACCACUAAAGCCGACUCUAAAGCAGACUUUCAUUAAAAUGGAAGAUUCCUAAUUGAUUUCUUAGGAGAUUAUCAUGAGUUUCUUUAUUCCUUUCAAUUAUACUACCCUUUGGAUGUUUUUAUUUUUAAUCAUGAACUAAUUUUCUAAAUACCUAAGAGAGAUAAACCCUAUGAUAGAUUGUGACACCCCAAAGCUGACCUGGACAACCGACCCAAAUUCGAAACAUUACAUUAGCCAUCUAAGUGACUUUCUAGCUAACGACCAGCCAAGACACACCCUAACCUUAUUGUACAAGCCCAAUUUUGACCAAGACCAAACCAAAUAAAUUAACAGUCCAUAAGAGUCCAAAUUACAACUAGCCUGAUAUGGCCCAAAUAAAAAACAACAACCCAAGCCCAAACCCAACCCUCGUAGCCCAAAGCCCACAAACUAAAAAAUUUCAGCAGAAAAAAGAAAGUUGCUAACCCUACGCGCCAUGCCUGGGUCCUCUGCCACUGACCGCAUGCCUCUGCCACCGUAUCUCACAGCCUCUGCCACGCCUCUGCUGCCUACAAGAAACCAACAAAGCACAAAAUGACAACAGCAAUAGAGGUCAAAUCGAAAAACAACAAAAAAUAGAUUACGAAUCAUUUAGAUUGGCUAUAAAGGCCGAAAUAUUAACCUUGUAAUGCUUCUUCUUUUUUUUUGACGAACAUUAGAAAAAUAAAAAACAGAAAACAAGUUUAGAAGGUAGAUUUUUUUCAUUUUCAAAUUUGCAUUUCUUUUCCCUGUGUAUUUUCUUUUCUUCUAUUUUUUUUUACAUGCAACUAGUAAGAACAAAGAAAGAGAAAGAAAAACCUCGCCUGGAAUAGCCCCUCAAGUCCGGUCGUCGAAGGCCCUUUUCCUGUUGUCAAAAUCGAACCUAAAAAGGGGGCUAGGGUGCCCUCUCCUGGUCUUUUAGGGCAACAUCGGCCACCAGUCAGGUGGCACUACGGCGGCGCUCACGGCCAAAACCGUAGGCCGAGCGGGGUGGGGGUUUGAGAGAGGGAGCUCUCUGAAAUUUUUUUAAACAAAUGGGAUGAAACUGAUUUUCUUUGGGUUUUUUUUUAUUUCAUACUAAGUAUGAAACGGCGACGUUUUGGGCUUAAGCAGCCAUGGCCAAAACGACGCCAUUUUACGUCGUUUCCCCUAUACCCACGCGCGCGACCCGACCCACCAGGGGAUCCGCAUGUUUUUGCUCUGAGGGGAUAUUUGCGCAAUCUGCCCCUACGCCUUUUUGACGUAUUCAAUUCGGUUUUUUAUUAUUUUUUAUUUUAGCCAUGUAUUUUUGCUUCCGAUUCAAGUUGGUCCUUAGACCAUGUGUUGUUCCACAGUUAAAACGCCGCACUUUAGGAUUGGGGAAUAUUUCCCUGAAAGUCCCUCGCGCUUUGAGUGCGUUUCAUUUCGGUCCCGAGCCACCCCUUUUAUUUAUUUGCAAUUUAGACCGCGAGUUCUAAUCCGAUUUCAAUUUAAUCCUUAUUCCAUGUAAUUAUUUUAUUUUCUUUUUCUUUAAAAAUUAAUUUUUUUAUUUAUAAAAAGGACCUCUUUUAUUAUUAUUAUUUAUUUUAAGUUUUACAUAUAUUAUUUAUUUUAAAUGUUUUGCCUAAUAUUUACUUAAUUUUUUUAUUAUAUUAUUUUUUUAAACUACUAUAUAUAUUGCCUCUUAGAAUUUAUAUAUAUAUAUAUUAUUUUAAUAAAAAAUAAAGAAUACUGUUUUUAAUUAUUUUAAACUAUCUUAGUAUUUUUUUUUUCAUUUUAAAGUUUUAUAUUGUUUGUUUGAGACAUUUUGCCAUACAUUUCGAGUUCAUCUCAUAAGUUAUUUGUCUUAUACUAUUACCUACAUAAAAUUGUUCUUUAUUAUUUCAUUUCGUUUGCUUGGACUAUUAAUAUUGAUAUGUUAAAAUGUUGCACGUGGUGUGAUUAUUAUCAUUAUGUACGUUGUAAUUAGUUUAUUUUUUUCGCAUUAUUGCCAUUAUGUGUAUUAUUCCGUUUACUCGUAUUUCCAUGCUAUGGUAAUUCAUUCGUAUAUCAUGUUGUUCGAAAAUUAUUUCACCAUAUUAUAAAUUGUCACCCCAUCAACGCAACCCUUUUGUUCACGCAUUAUUUCAAACAUUACAUUUUUUACCCAAACAUGCAAAAAUGAAAUUUUCAAAUAAGGCAAUAUUUUGUGUAUUGGCGAUUCGAGAAAAUUGUAUCCUAACUUACGGGGUUUCAGUCUUUCUCAUUAAAACUAAUAGCAAAAUACCAUUUUUAAAAUAUCAAAAAAAUGAUGAAAGGAACCUAAAUAAGGCAAUAUUUUGCGUUUGGAAAUUCGAGAAAAUGUACCCUAACGUGCUAGGUUUCGAUUCUUUCGUUUAACCAAAUAGCCAAAUAUUCUCUUAAAAUUUCAAAGUAUGGGUUUUGGAACUGUCGAAACCACUUUUUUUGAAAAACAAAAAAAUUAGUUGUCGACUUUAACAACGAGAAUUGGAGUCAGAGUCGCCACUGAUCUUUUAAUGAGGUGUGAUCGGAUCACCUUGAAAACAAUUUUAGGUCUGCGAAUUUUGAGAAAAUUGAUUCGGGAGUCGGUUACACACGAGGAAGGGUUAGCACCCAUGUAACGCCCAAAAUUGGUACCGAAUUGAUUGUUUAAUGUCUUAGUGUCGAGAAUUUGAAAAGAUUUUAAAAUACAAUCCUUUGAAAAGAAAAUUUGAAUAAGAUGAAUUGGAUGAUGAGACUCACUUAUUUCAAAGAAAUAAAUUGUCACACUCAGUAAGUUAGAAUGCAACAUUUUAAAUCCUCAAAAUUAAGUUUAUCUUUUGACUUUUAAAACCUAUGCAUUUUGAGAAGGAUAUCCGAUUAUUUGGGUCAAAUGAAAAAAUCAAAACCCAAUAAGUUAGGGUUCGAUUUCACAAAAUUCCUAAAUAUCGAAUAUUGCCUUAAUUUUCAUAUAUUAGAAAAAUCCUCGCCUUGAGAAAACAACAUGUCAUAUCCAAUGCGUUAGGACACAACGCAUCGAAUUCCCGAGAAUGAGCUUUUUGUUUAUGUGUUUUAAUUAAAGAAUAAUCUCGAUUAUUUAGAUUCGAUGAGGAAAAUUGGAACCCAAUACGUUAGGGCUCAAUUCUUUCAAAAAUCUCAAAUUCCGAGUGUCGCGUUAUUUUAACAAAACUUUUUGAAUAAAAAUGCUCUCAAUAUUUGAAUGAUAUUAAACGUAAUAUUUUGACAAAUAAAAACCAUGAAAUAAUAACGUACAACGCGAAAUGGUGAUUCAUAAAUUAAUGUACGCUAAUGAACGACAAAGAAUCGAUAGAUACGAGCAAGCAAUACAAUACACGUAAGAGCAAUUAUCUCACAUCAUAUACAAAUAAUAACUUUAAUAUUCAAAAGCUAAUGAACUAAAAACUAAUCUUAAACGAAGCUCCAAGCGAAUUAAUACAAAAAUAUGCAACAAGAUUUGAAGAAUAAAAUAACAUGAAGGAAGGGAAAAUAUAUUUAAAAUAAAUCAUAUAUAUAUAUAUAGAAAUUUGAAGUAAAUUAAAAAUAAGGUUAAAAAUAAAUACUACAUAAAAUAAUAGUAUCCAAAUAAAUUUUAAAACAAAUAUCAUAUAAGAAGAAAAUCAAAUACAUAAAAUAAUAUACAUAUAUUAAUUUAAGAUAAGUAAUAUAUAGGGAGUGAAAAGCUUCAUGUAAGUAAUAAUAUAUGCUAAUAUGCAAAAAGUGAAAUAAACUAAAUAUAUGCGGAUAUUUAAAAGAAGUAAAGUAUCUAUAUAUAGCAAUAGGUAUAAAAAAUAUAUAUAGUUUAAAAUUAAAUAAUAUAUACAUUACGUACAUACAUAUAUGUAUAAUAAAAAUAGUUUAAAAAUAGUAACAAAUAAUAAUGAUAAGUAAUAUAUAUAAAUAGGUAAAUAGAAAUGUAAUCAAAUAUAAUAAUGAUAACAAUAAUAAAUAGUAAUAAAAAUAAUAAUAGUAAAUUAAUUAAUAGCAAAAAAUAUCAAUUAGGACUAAAUUGGAAUGAAAAUAGAAAUUUUGGGGCCAAUCCGCAAUAAAUAAAAACAAAAAGGGGCCGAAUUGGGUGCGCGAGGAACAAUGAGGGAGUAAAGCGGAAACUCCAAAACGCUGCAUUGCGGCAUGGACUAAAAUAAAACGAAAAUCAAAUUAAAGGGCGAAAAUUAAAAAGAAAAGAAUCGAUUCGAACAUGCCACAAAAGAGAGAGGACCAUUUGCGCAAAUCUCCCAACAGAGGCCAAAACGCGCGGAUCCUUCCCCGGGUCGGGUCACCGCACGGGUCAUGAGCUACCAAACGGUGUCAUUUUUGACGUAUGGAUAACGUAAAACGGUGUCGUAUUACACUAUUAUUUAAACAAGGUUUUAAAUAAAAAAACAAAAAAAGACAAAUGCUGCCUACGUUUUAAAAAAAAACUGCUUGUUCUUUGCUAGGGUUUUGCCCUAGCUUCUGCGCCGCUCGAACGUACUGCCGUUCAGAAACUUACAAUCCUCGUCCAAACUCCAAUCGCAAUGAAGCGAACAAGGGUGCGACGGCCACCCUAAAGGUAAAUCUUCACUUCUCUUUUCUCUUUUAUUAUUUUCGCAUAAAAACGAAGCGAAUAAGUAAAAUAAAAUAAAAUAAAUAUGAGAAUCACCUUAAAAAACAAUGAUAUUCGAUUUCUUUUUUCUCUUUUUUGUAUUUAGUAUUCGUAACCGUUUACAGAUUUGGUUGGCUCUUUUUAUAGAUGAAAUUAGUGAGAAAGAGAAAAAAAAUCGAAGAAUAUUUUUUUUACAUUUUUCCUUAUUUACUGCUAUCUUCUCUUAUUUGCUAUCGAUUUCUGCUCUUUUUGUUUGCUUGUCCUUCUUGCAGUUAUGGCAUACGGAGGGUGGACGUGGUGGCCACAAAGGCGCGCGUGAGGCGUGGCUCGACUGCUCGGCUGAAGUUGUAUCAGAAACCGCUAGGGUUUUCUGAUUCCUUCUUUGUUUUGGGCUCAUUGGACUAAAAGUUUUUAGGCUAGUGGGCUAGGUUAAAUUUAGGUUUUGGGUUAUACUUCAUUUAUUGAGGGCCUUUUUAACAAUUGCCAUCAUUAUUCGCGGGUGAUUUGGGGAUAAUAACUUGAACAUUUCAGGAUCACAUUCAAUUCAAUUUUUAAAUUUUAGAGAGAUGUUUGGGUUACAACAAUUGCCAUCAUUAUGUUUAAUAGAACACUUGGGAGGAAAAGGAACAAAAAAAUGAGCGAAAACCGAAAAAUGGGGGCAAACUAUAGGACCCACACGGGCUGACCUAUUCCACUUGACUUUGUGACCCUCACGGUCGCGUGGCAAACCACGUCAAUUUCAUAGAUUUGCACUUUGAACUGCGAAAAAAUACGAAUUUUAGGCUUUUCGAGCAUUCUAAGAUGCAUAUAUGACACAAAUAAGGAGAUAGGAGAGAACCUUCCUAGAAUAUUCAAGAAAACAACUCCAAAGACACCACUAAAGCCGACUCUGAAGCAAAUUUUCAUUAAGAUGGAAGAUUUCUAAUUGAUUUCUUAGGAGAUUAUCAUGAGUUUCUUUAUUCAUUUCAGUUAUACUGCCCUUUGAAUGUUUUUAUUUUUAAUCAUGAACUAAAUUUCUAAAUACCUAAGAGAGAUGAACCCUAUGAUAGAUUGUAACACCCCAAAGCCGACUGGCACAGACCGGCCCAAAUUCGAAACAUUACAUUAGCCACCUAAGUAACUUUCUAGCUAACGACCACCCAAGACACACCCUAACCUUGUAACACCUCAAUCUUAUCUAAUUAUUAGUUAUUUAUUAAUGGCAAAGUAAAUUAUAAGCCAAUUUUGAACUUUUUCUAGGUAAUUUAACCUAAGAGCAUUUAAGUCAUUUUACCACCUAUGGUAAAACUAACCCUGUAAUAGCCAAUUUUGGAUGGCCCGAUAAUAAAAAGUCCAAAAAUCAAAGUCCACAUAGUUGAAUUACAUAAAUUGACCCAAUACACAAACCAAAACUAAACAUCUAGCCCGAAUAGCCCAAUAACCAAAAAAAUAAUAAGCCCAAAACCCCAGGCCCAAUAAACUCUGACCUGAUUUGAAGAACACUCCAGAAACCCUAAGGGUUCCUGGAACCUUUCAGCCACCACAGCAACCAGGGCCCUUCCUCGCAUGUGUAGCGCCUCCGCGCACGUGCGCCUCCUCUAGCUGGCUCCUGCAACAGAACACACGAGCAGCAACAACAAGUAAAGCAAGGGAAAAAUAGAAUAACAGCAAAAAAGAAUAAAAUAAUAGAAAAAAAGAUGUAAAAUAAUUUCUGUAAUUUUUAUUAUUCGGCUAUAUAAAGUCAUUGGUGAUACUGUAAAAAAGGAUUACGGAUUCAAAAGAAAAGAAAAAAAAUCAAAUAGCAUUAUAUUUUUAAUGUUGUUUCUGAUUUCUACUUCUUUUUUCUUUUUCCUUUGAUUUGUUUAUAUUUGCUGAUUAAAAGAUAAAAAAAGGGGAAGUUCUUACUUACAUAUUGCCCUGCCGGAGCCUUCAUCCCUUCUGUUUCAAAUCGGAAUUGGGUGGGCAAUGGUCUAAUUGAAAACGGCACACAGAGGGUAGAUUUUAGGGAAAUAGUCAUUUUCACUUAAUUAACCAUGCAAACAUCAAAAUUUCUCAAUGAAAUUUUACUACGACCUUAAUAAAAUCCUGUAGACAGUAAAUAAAUAAUAAAAUAUUAAUUUACUUGUCAAAAUUGUGGUCUCAAAACCAUUGUUCUGAUAUAACUGAAAACGUGCUGUUACCACUCUCCCCCUAAAGGAAUUUUUGUCCCCGAAAAUCUAACUAGAAAAUAAGUUCUGGUAUUGUACUUUCAUAGCUUCUUCUGGUUCCCAGGUAGCCUCUUCUAUUUUGUGACGUUUCCAAAAAAAUUUAACUAAAUCUGUACUUUUAUUUCUCAAUUCUUUAACUUCCUAAGCUAAAAUUCUAAUUGGUUCUUCACUGUACGUCAUACCUAGCUGGUUAUCAACAUCUGCUGGUGAAAUCACGUGUGAAGGAUCUGAUUGAUAUCAUCGUAAUAUUGAUACAUGAAAUAAAUUAUGAAUAUUCUCUAACUUUGACAUCAAAGCCAAUUGAUAAGCUACUGGUCCAAUCCUCUUAAUGAUCUUAUAUGGACCGAUAAAUCGCAGACUAAGCUUUUCUUUUCGACAAAAAUGGAGAACUUUUCUCCAAGGCGGUACUUUUAGAAAUACUUAGUCCUCGACUUGAAACUCUAUAUCUUUUUUUGUUCAAAUCUGCAUAAGAUUUCUGACGAUCAGAAGUAGCUUCAAAUUGUCACGUAUCACUUAACCUUUACUUUGGUUUCUCAAAUCAAAUCAACACUGAAUAACUUUUUCUUGAUCAGCUCCAAUAUAACAGAGUUCGACAUUUCUGACUAUAUAAAGGUUCAUAUGGUGCCAUUUUAAUGCUCACCUAAUAACUGUUAUUGUAUGGAAAUUCAACCAAUAGUAGAAAUCUCUUCUAGUUACCUUCAAACUCUAAAAUACAACAUCGGAGCAUGUCUUCAAGUAUCUAAAUUACUGGCCAAGACUGGCCAUUAGUUUGUGGAUGAAAUGCUGUAUUGAAAUGCAGUCGAGUAUCCAGAGCUUCAUGUAACUUACCCUAGAAUCUAGAAGUAAAUUGUGGAUUUCUAUCAGAGAUAAUGGAUACCGGCACACCUUGUAAUUUGACAAUCUCAAAAACAUACAAUUCUACCAACUUCUGAAAUGAAAAAUCCAUACGCACUGGAAUGAAAUGUGUGAAUUUCAUCAAAUGAUCUACAAUAACCCAAACAACAUCUUUUUUUCUCAAAGAUAGAGGCAAUCCUGAUACAAAAUCCAUUGUAACAUGUUAGACUUUUGUUAGGUAACUAAUGGAAGAGUGAUAAAAAUAUUUAAAUUUGAAAAUUUGAGUUGCUAAAAAGAAAAGUUCAUAAUUAGGUGAUCAAAAUAGAAUGAAUUGAAUAGUUGUGAGACUAUUCUUGUACUUUACCCUUUAAUUACUUUUUUUUAUGGAUAUGUAUUAUUAAUUUUAAAUUUAUAAUAAUGCAUUGCUAAAUAAUUGCAAAAAAAAAUUAUAGACAUUAAUUUUUUGGAGAGGAUAGGCAUCUCUAAAUAAUGAUUAUUUAGAGUUGAAAAUUGUCCAUAAAUAUUUUUGGCAAUUUGUUUUUGAGGUGUAUGGUUGAUAAAGUAUGAUCGAUAGAUUAUGAAGUGAAGCUAAAUGUGUGUUUGACUGGGUGAAAUGUAACACCUUAAACUCAGCCUAGACGUUACGACCAGAUCAGGAAGUGUUACGUAAUUGUUUGAAAAUUCAGUUCUCAUAUAAUUUUGGAAUCCGUUUUGAAUUCUUAAAAUUUCAAAUUAUUUGAAAACAUUCUUUGUCUAGCUAUUUUGUUGAAAACACUAUUUGCUUAUAUUAUAAAACUCAUAAUUUUGCAGCGGAAAAUUCUUUAGCAUUUUUUUUAAAAUGCUAUCCUUAUUUCUUGAAAUUCAUUACUUUUGUAGGAAAUAAAAGUGAUUUUUAUUGAUAAAAUAUUUUAACGACAUUUUAUGUAAAUCGAAAAUAAAAACCUCAAAAACAAAUCAGAACAGUCAAAAAGUCCAAAAUUUACAAAACACCAAAAUUCCCAAAUUUUAAAUAAUUAAAAUAAAUGCAAUAUCUUUUAUAACCGAGCUACCCUCGCACCGACCCGCCUAAGUUUGAGGAUUACUUGAAAGUAUCAUUUAAACAGAAAGUGAGUUUAUGAAACUCAGUGUAAAACAAUUAACUUAAAACAGUUAAAGCAUAUCAAACAAAUUUAACAGUAUCAAAGUCUUAACAAAACAAUACAGAUACAUAUUUAUUUUUCCUACCCCCAUCUGCUACACACCAUCUCCGACCAUCCCAACACACCAUAUGGGGUAUAAAACACCCAUCUAACCCUACACAUCACUUAGUGUCGUUUAAGAAACUUACAGAAGAAUCGUAGUUGCACUACCAGAUAAAUAGGUGAAUUAUCACCUUUUCAAAUAUACUUCCUCCACAUAGUAAAACCCAUCAUAAUAACAGAUACAGUACAUAUCAAUAAUCAGUAAUAAGCAUAACACAUACAUAUAGCAUCGAUGCAUAACAUAUAUAUAGUACUUUUACCAGUUUUCCUAUAGCCCAUUACAUAAUUUACUCGUCAUAUGCAGCUUCAGAUACAGAACAAAUAUCAAAAUUCAUGCGAACAGAUGACUAACUUUUUAUAUUUUUUAGUCCAUUUAAGCACAUAUUGACCCCAUGGAAGACCCAUAGUCGAUCUAAGUGACGUGAACGGUCCUGAGGAAAGUUUUAGAAUGUUGGGCCCAUACGCCCUGUGUAGCCUACAUGGCCCAAAUUGCUCAAACCGUGUGUCACACACGGUCCAACACAUGGCCUGUCACACAACCAUGUGUUGCACAUGGCCUACCAUAGGACCUAACACAUGACCGUGUGGCUCUGUUCGCUGAUUUUCAAGUUUCUCGUUACACUUCUGAUUCUAUUUUAACACGAAAGCAGCCACAAGAUAACCAUUACCUAAUACGAAAACCAAAUCACCAAAUGAGACAAUUUUUCUCAAACCCGAUUUACAAAAUCAAUUUUACCAAUAACAAAGUUAAUGAUGAAAUUCAGUCCAAAUCUCCAACCUUGAUUCUUACCCUCAAGAAAAAGUAGUCCAAAUAACGAUUCUAAGUCGUCGAGUAACUAAUCGCCUUGUGAACUACACCUAAAACCAAAACAAUUGAUUAACAUCGAUAAAUCACACCAACCAGAACUCAACAUAAUCGAAGCUAACGAAGGCAAGAUUCCAUAACAGAAGAGAAGUAGGCAAUACUUAUGCACGAAUCAAAUUACACUUAACAUAGCAGAGUAUCCACCACCGAUUUGGAAAGGCAUAAAGAACAACAUUCAAGAAUGAACAAAAGAUUGAGAAAAGAACAAGAGCAGGAAAAAGAAACGAAAAUUGAGGGCCUUCUCUACUAAAAUCCACGUGAAAGAAAAGAAAGUAAUAAAGAAAAAAAAAUAGAACCAGAAAGCAAAAAAAUCGAGAACAUGUAAACAAAUGGGAGCAAAAAUUGGGGAUUGAAAUUAUUUUAAUCAAUUAAUUCCCUGCCAUUUAAAAAAACAAUAAAAUAAAAUAAAUAUCUUAAUAACCACCCACUAAACUUAGAUAAGUACCCAGAUUCUUUUCAAGAAUUUGAAUUUAAUCUAAACUUAUCCACUUGAAUAACACAAAGCAUAAAAUAUUUCGCUUGCUUGCAUGGAAGCUUGAAUACAUGACCAAUGAGUACUCAAGAAUUUAACCACUAAACCAGUAAAUUUAUUCUUGUCAUAGAUUUAAUGAUAAUAAUAUUUAAGCUGGAUAAACAGAGAUAGACUUAGAAACAAAAAUAAUUGAAAUUUUCUAAAGAAGUGCAACUUAAACCCAAGACCUCAAACUCACAAGACACUUCACCACUAAAACAAACACUUUCUAAUGACAAAUUUUAUCAAAUUAUGUAUACGAAAUUUGGGGUGUUACACGGAAAGUGGAGGGAUGGGAGGAAGGAGUGAACAAGUGGAAAAAAAAUAAAUUUUGAGUAUGCUUAAUUGAAAAGAAAGUGAGAGGAAAGAAGAUAAGAGAAAUGAUCAUUUUCCAUUCCAAUGAAUAAAAAUGAAUCAUUCCAAAUUGGAAAGAUGAGAUGAAAGAAAAUGAGAAAUAUGUGUAUGAUAGUUUAAAAGAAUGUAUUUUUGAAAUGAUUUAUUUUCUUUCAUUUCAUUUUUUCAACUCUACCAAACAAUGAAUGGAACUGGAGUAAAAAUUAAAAGUAGAAAACUAGAAGAAUGAAAAAAUAAUUUUUAUUUUUAUUUUUCUAUUUUUCCUACCAAACACAUCUAUGAAAUUUUCCACCCGUUAAAUCUUCCAUUCUUUCAAUUUUUGUUACAGUCUAGAAAGCAAAACUUUAAUGUUGAAAAUUUAAUUCCAUAGCAGAUAGAUUACGAAGUGAAACUAAACGCUAAAAUGAUUAUAUUAUGAAUAUGAAAUCUCCAUUAAUUCUGAAACUGUAUUACCAAUGGAGAAGUAUUGAUUUCUAAUUGUAAAAAUGUGAAGAGAACAGGUUUACUUUUACAAGUAAGAAUUUUUUGAGCAUCCUUCAUAUUUUUACAAUUAAAAGCCAACUCCAUAGUCAAUUUGCUUUGAGAAUGAACUGUGUAUCUUCAAGACUUCCAGCUUCAGUACAGAUUAAGUUGAGCAUUGGAUGAACUUGCCAAGGCUUCUCAGACCAUUGCACUUCUUCCACUAUAUUCAGCAUUUCUUGAAAAUAUUCAUGCAACACUAUUGGUAACAUGGAUUUCUGACAUUAGAAAAGUAGCAAAAUUUGUGGAACUUUGAUAGCCCCAUUGACAAUAAGGAAUGAUGGGUUCCAUUCUUCUUAUUAAUCUCCCUUUUUUCCCCUUGAUUAAGCACUGGUUAUUUGAAAGCAAAACACAUAGUUGGAUUAGAUUGUAAAAUUAGCACCUAAAAACAUAAUUUUCAUUUUAGCACAGGGUGAUUUAGAUGAAACAACUCUAAUUUUUAAAACAAAUGCUGAACACACAUUAACUGAAAGGAACAAACCUGAAGAGGCAAGGAAGCUCAACCAAGACCACUGUGAUCUAUUUGUCUCAACAUUAAACAAUUAAAGAAGAUUAGAUAGAAACUUAGAGAACACUUCCAAAGAUAUAAGCUUUCUUCAAUUCAUCAAACGAUUACAUAAAUUUCUUAAAUUGCAAUCAAACAUAACAAACCUUAUACUUGACUAAAAGUAAACCAGCUUCCCCAUCAUUUAGGCUUCUCUACCAAGCAAUGUUUCAAAUGUUAUAAGGCUCAGCAUGGAACUCAUGGAUAGGUUUUAGGAGGCCUCUCUGAUACAGAAACAAUAUGAAGUGCAUUAACAGAUCAACAACUCCUAUUGGUAGGAAAUUCAAACAUCCUUAGUUUAAGAAAAUUACAUUUUAAUAGAUCAAAUUCAGUAUAGAAUAUCUUUACCUUGUUCUUAGCUUGGCGCCUUUGACUUGUCAGCCAUCUUACAAUACGAUUCAAUUGCUUUAACUCACCCUCUGGGGUUCGAUACCUCAAAAACUUUUAACGCCAAUGACAAGAUAACAAAUAAUUUAACAAGUAAAUGAAAUUGAAAUGCAUACCUUAAAACUCCUUUUUGGUACAAAAGUAAAAACACAUUUUACAGAAAAGAAAGCAAGGAAAAAUCCAAAUAUAGAAGUACAACAAUGUUGAAAUCCCAAGAAAAGAUAAAAGAACAUAAAAAUUAACAAACACAAGCAACUAAGUAGACAAAUAAUCAGUCUAACACAUAGAAAUAACUUAAUCCCUCAAUGCUAUCAUAGAGUGAAAUUGUUGGAAGGGUCUGCUUCUGCUGUUAGUUCUGCUGUUGAGAGACUUGCAAAGAGAUAUCCUAGUACACAAGGGCAAAUGAGUGAGCAAAGAGUUUACGUAUUAUAUAUAGAACAUGAUUCAUCGAGGAUGAAUCUUAUAUAUAUAUAUGGUUAAAAUACAAAAAUGAAAUUAAAUAUGGAGUUAAACACAUACCAAAAGUAAGUUAAUAACCACAAGCAUACUCAUCGUUCGAUGAUGUUUAGAAACCUUUGUUUGAUCUUCUUUAGCUCAAACACAACAUCCUUCAUAUCUUUUCUUUCUUCUGGCAACUCAGCUGAACAAUCCAAAGCUAACUCCAUGAUAGAAGAAAUACAAUUUGUGUUGGUGCAAGAGGCAGCAGCAAGCUGAUUUCAGCUUUGCUUAAACAGCAAGUCUCGAGGCUUGCAGCAGAAACAAUCAAGGAAGAAAAACUUACAAUGGAAAACAGAAAAGAAAGAGAGAGAUUUGAAUGAAAAUGAGCUAAAUUUUCAUUAACAUUUUUAAGAAGGCAUGAUGCCAAUACAUAUAAGGGAUUACAAUAGCAAAACAAACAAGUUACCACCUAAUAACUUACCUAACACCACAAAUUUGCCUAGUAACUUGGUAAACUUGUUUGAAUACAUAAACAGCUACCUAAACUUGUCAUUCAUGACUUAAUUACAUCAAAAUGCAGCUACCAACUAAGUUUGAUCCUAACUAAAUACAAAACAUUCAUUUAAAGAAACUAAAUGAAUAGCUUCAGCUUGCUGCACCAAUUUGCUGUUGAAGCACGUUCCCUGCAUGGCCACCUUUGCUGCUGCAUGGGAGCUGACUUCAACACUCCUCCUCAGCUUUUAUGCAGCAGACUCCUAGUUCCCUCUUUAGGCUUAGAAAUCUUGAUACACCAAGAGACUUUGUGAAGAUAUCAGCAAUCUGAUUUUCAGAGCUGCAAUGAAUCAGCUCAAUUUCUCGAGCUUGUUCCAUCUCCCUUAUCACAUGUAGUUUAAUAUCGAAGUGUUUUGUCCUACCAUGGAAGACAGGAUUUUUGGCAAUAGCAACUGCUGACUUGUUGUCACAAUGUAUCACAGUUGCUUCAUUCUGCUGUAGGUUUAAAUCACUCAAAAUUUUUCUCAGCCACACAGCUUGAUUAACAGCAUUAGCAGCUGCUACAUACUCAGCUUCAGCUGUUGACUGAGCCACCAUUGUUUGUUUUCUUGAGCUCCAACAAAUCAUUGCAGAGCCAAGUGUAAAAGCAUAACCAGAGGUGCUCUUCAUGUCAUCUUUUGAACCAGCCCAAUCGCUAUCUGUAUAGCCAAUCAAUUUCAACUCCUUGACCCUUUUGAAACAUAUACCAUGGUUCAAGGUACCUUUGAUAUACCUCAGAACCCUUUUUCCUGCUUUGUAAUGCUGCUGAUUACAGCAAUGCAUGAAUCGUGACAGCAUGCUCACAGCAAAUAGAAUAUCAGGUCUUGUUGCUGUCAAAUACAACAAACAGCCAAUAAGGCUUCUAUAAUCUGUUUCACAGACAGAUUCAUGUUCCUCUUGGCUCGAUAGCUUCAUGCCAAUAGCCAUUGGUGUGCUCAUUGGUUUACAAUUCUCCAUUGAGAAUUUAGCCAGCACUUUCAAGGCAAAUGUCUUUUGUUUCAAGAGGAUUCCUCCUUCUACUUGAUUGACUUCUAAGACAAGGGCUCUAGAUACCAAUAAUUUGCUUUAAUAACAAAAUUAUCAUCCUCUCUUCUUAAUAAAUCAGCAUCCACAAUGUCUAUCAUUCCUUCAGAUAAUAAUCUUUUCACCCAAUGCCUUAUGGUCAUUUCAUCACCAAAAAUUUCAUCUGUUGGCCUUUUCCUAGUGAAAGUUUCUAUGAGGACAAUUCCAUAACUAUAGAUGUCACAUUUUAUAGAAACAAUUCCCGUUGAUCCAAAUUCUGCAUUUUAAGCAUAAGUAAUCCUGGAUUAUUUCUAAUAUGUUUACCACUAUAUAUAGACAUACACAAAAAAUAAUCAUUAAUUAAAAAAACUCAAAAAUUCACCUGGUGCCAUAUAACCAAUAGUUGCAAGAGUCAUGGUUUGCUUCACUACAUCACCUUCUCCCAACAAUUUCGCAAUGCCAAAAUCUCCCACAUGAGCAACCAUGUCUUCAUCUAGUAGAAUAUUGCUUGGUUUUAGGUCACAAUGAAUUACAGGUGUUGGAUGUCCAGUGUGGAGAUAUUUUAGAGCAGCCGCAACAUCUACCAUUGUGUUGAUCCUUUGUAUGAUAUCAAGGAAACAACUGUUUGAAUGUAACCAUUUCUCAAGAUUUCCAUUAGACAUGAAAUCAAGCACCAAGGCUUUGAAGUCAACAUUGGAGCAGCAAGUAAUGACCUUGACAAGAUUACGAUGAACUAUGUUACGCAUAGCUUCACAUUCAAUGUCAAAGCUCCUAAAUGCUCCUUCUAUUUGCAAAUUGAAAACUUUUAUUGCAACUUCCAUUCCAUCCGAAAGCCUCCCUUUAUAUACAUAUCCAAAACUUCCUGAACCAAGCAUAUUGUGCUCCUCAAAUCCACUAGUUGCCCGUGAAAGUUCGGCAUGUGAAAUUCUUCUCCAUGUUCCCAAACAUAGUGAAUCAUCCGUAAUUGGUAGAGUUGUACUCCUAAUUCGGAAUCUUCUAUAUAUAAUAACUAAGACUAGUAGUAACAUGACAAUACAAAUUAUUGGUAAACCGUACCUUAAAUCAUGCAAUACACCCAUCUUGGAAUUUUUGCGGAUGUCAUUUUUGCAAGGUGGGACUAGCAAUCUUGGUGGACCACAAAGUGCAUAAUUCUUCAUGAAUGAUGUGCUUGGAAAGUUUGGAAAACAUCCUUUGCUAGGAAUUUCCCCUUCAAGUCUAUUGAAGGACACAUUAAAAUACUUUAGAUAUAAAAGCUUUUCCAAAGAUUUGGGAAUAACUCCAGAGAGAUUGUUAUUGCACAAAUUCAAAAAUGUCAAACUAAUCAAACCACCAAAUGAUUCGGGGAUAUGACCAUGUAUAUUAUUUGAUAAAUCUAAGAAAACCAAAGUUUCAAGACCCCCAAAUGUGGACAAGAUAUCUCCUGUGAAAAGAUUCCUUGAUAAAUUUAGUUUCAGCAGACUCCUCAAAUAUCCAACAUCAAGAGCAUGUGAACCGUUAAGGUAAUUUGAUGAUAAAUCUACUUCUAAGAUAUCUUUAAGUUUCCACAAAGUUGAGGGUAUUGCCGAACUCAAUUUGUUGGAAUUUAAAUAAAGAUAUCUCAAAGAAGUAAUAUUACCCAAACAAGAGGGUAUGGAUCCAUCCAGCUUAUUCAACCCUAAAAACAUCUCGUAUAGUCUCUCCAAACCACAGAGGCUUUUUAAGAUAGGUCCUCCUAAUUUAUUAGAGUAAAGAUCUAGACCUUGGAGAUUUUUCAUUCCUCCAAUUGAUGUCGGAAUAAAACCACUUAAUUUAUUAUGGCCAAGUUGUAAAAGUAAUAGGUUGCUUAAGUUACCUAUUUCUAUUGGAAUAUUGCCUUUAAGCUCACAAUCAGUAGCGUAAAAGUAUAUAAGGGAUGCUGAAAGGUUCCCAAUAUUAGUAGGAAGAGUGCUAUUCAAAGCAUUUUCUAAAAUAUCUACUCUUGUCAAAUUCUUGCAAUUUGUCAAAGAAGAAAGAAAGGCCCACUCAUGAUUUAUAGUAGAUCCCAUGGUCAAAUAGUUGUUUGUUAUUCGGAACCAUUCAAGGUGUCGUAAGUUACCAAACGUUUCAGGAAUUGGGCCAGAGAAGAAGUUAUCUCCCAAGUCUAGAACCUUAAGCAUGGAAGCAUUCAAGAUAGAGUUGGGAAUGUUUCCGAGAAGUUUAUUUCGACGCAACGAAAGAAAAUUCAGCUUUGGAGCCUCGAUCAUGGGUGGCAAGGUACCUGUAAAAGUUUCAUCUUUUAGUGUAUAUAUAUAUUCUCAUUCAAUACCAAAUUCUCGAUAUAUAUAUUACACAAAUACAUUUUUAAAAGGAAAAAUGUAAAACUUCAAAUCAAAUAAAAAUAAAAUUUUCACAUGGAAAAAUGCAAUUAAAUCAAUCUUAAAAAUGACACAUAAUAAGAAGUUCUGAAUAGUAAUUAGUCACUUAUGAUUUGUAUUAAAUAAUAAAAAUAAAUAAAACCAUUUUUAAUAAAGGGUGCAUAAAAAAUUAAAAUAAAAUUUUGAUUAAUUGAUAAAUUUAAGGUUUUAUUAUUGAUGUGAGUUCAAAUCUCACCAUAAUUUUUUUUUACUUUUUUUAAAUAAAAAGUAUUAAAUACCUUUAAAUAAUAAAAUUUAUUUUAAAUACAAAAGGAUAUUAUUAUAAUUGCUCUAAUCGAGUUUGUGCUUGGUUAACUCAUGACACUUAACCAAGCACCAACUUAAUUAGAAACUUAAAUUACAACAUAGAUAUUCACAUGCACCAAAAAAAGUAAAAAAAAAAAUUAGUUUCUAAUAACAAAUUUUAAUGAUUUAUAUAACAAGUAACUUUCUAAUUCACAUAAUUUUUUUAUAAAUAAUAUAUUUAUAUAAUCUAAUCUAUUAUAUUUAUAUUAAUUAUAUAUCAUCAAUGAAUCAUCAGUAAAUUUUUAUGAUCAAUUUACUGAUUAUUAAGUAAGAGUAAAAAAUUAAAUUAAAUAAUGAAAAACUAUUUUUUACAUUUGGUACAUAUGCUUUAUGAUGAUAAUUAAAAAAAAGUAUUAACACUAUUUCUGAAUUAACAAAAAUAAUUAAUAUAUUUUAAUUAUAUUUAUUAUUUAUUAUUUUGAAUAAUAUUGCUUUUUUUAAUUACAUGAAAUAAAAACAUAUUAUAUAUUAAAUAUGAUACAUAUGCUUUAAUUAUGGCUUAAAUUUUAUUAAUAUAUUUGAACUAUUAAAUAAACUAAAAUAUUUUAAUUAUGUUUAGCCGUGUGAAUAAAAAACUAAUUAAAAAAUUAUUUAAAAAAUUAAAUGUGUAAAAUCAAGUGGAAUAUCAUAAUCUAUGUAUAUGAAUGUAUAAUGUGAGAAAUGAUUAUAUGAAAUUGAGAUAUCAUGCCAUUUGUGUUUCUAGUAAUUUAAUGUCAUUUCAUUAUUUUCAUCUUAAAUUUCAGCAUAUCAUGUUGGAUUUGAUUUUUUUUUUCAAGAGAAAAAUGUUGAAAUGACAUUAAAUCAUUAAAUUAUUAAAAAUGAAUACAAAUGACAUGGUAUCCCAGUUUCAUACAAUCCCUUUUCAUGUAUAUGUAAUAUGUGGUUGUUUCAAUUUUUAAAAUAAAAUAUAUUUUCCACAUUGGUUUCUUUUCUUCCAAAGAUUAAGUAUUUCUAAUAUUUUUAUAUUUGUUGCUUAUAUAAAAUAGAUUAGUUUAUGCAAUAAAAAUUUAAUUACUUUUUUUAAGCUUAAUGGAAAUUAAAAGUUUUAAAAUAAAUCAAUUCAAAUAAAUUUUAUUGUUUAUUAUCAAAUUAAUAAAUUUUAAUGAAGUAUAUGAUCAAAAAAGGAGAACAAAUGAAAGUGAAAAACAUACCUUCCAAAUUGUUGUCAUAUAGAUAUAUUCCUUCGAGCAUAGUUUAAUUAAGGGUCAGUUCUUCAUUACUUUUGAAAAGUGUUUUUGAAAAGUUUAGUUUCAAAUUUGAGUGUUUAGCAUUGCUGUCAAAAAGUAGUUUUCGGAAAUAAAAUGUCCAUUUUAGACAUGUUAUUAUCAAGUAACAAAUAUGCAUUUAAAUAAUAUUUAAAUUAGUUAAUAUUAUUAUAUUUUAGUAAGAAUAUAAAAAAAUAUUAUAACUUGUUGUUAAUAUUUUAAUAUAUGAAAUAUAAAUUUUAAAUAUUUUUAAGAAAUAAAUAUUAAUUAUUUAUAAAAUUUAAUUAGAAUAUAUAAACUAUAUUUUAAAUAUUUAAAUACAACCAUUAAAUAUUUGUAAUUAGUAUUUUAAAAAAUAUUUUUUAUUUUUAAUUAAUGAUUUUAACACAUUUGUAAUUAAGCACCAAGAAAAAAAAGGAAAAUACUAUGUUAUUGGAGGGUUGAAAAAGUAAUUAAGCACCAAAAGUGCUUUUGAGGAAGGAAAAGCUAAAAUUUUUAGCUUCUCCUUCUCAACUCCUUUUGAGAAGUGCUUUUCAAAAGUACUUAUGAAAAGCUAAAAAUGAGACUAACACUGAAUAAUAAUUAGUUAUGAUUUGGGAAACAAAAAUGUUAAAGCCAUUAUUUAUCUUUAUUAAAUUAUAGUGUAAAAUUUAAAGAUUAUUAUCUUCUCAAUUUUUUUUUUAUUUUUCGUAUAUUUGAAAUUUAAUCUUUAUAUUUUUUAUUUUCUAUGAUUUAGUCUCUCUACUUUUUGAAUUGAAAAUUUUAGGUUCAUUUAUUAAUACAGUAAAAAAAGUUUUUGUGUUAGUAUGGCAUUUUGAAAAAUAAAAUAAACUUGAUAUCUAUGUUUUUAAUUAUUCCAAAUAUUGUUUUAUUAUUUCAAGAUAAAUUAUUUGUGUCUAGACCAAUUUCUUAAGAACUAUUGUUGCAUGUUUAAUUAUUCAAAAGAAUUGUUGAUUGAGUCUUAGCUUGAUUGGCAUGUGCAUUGUUACCAAUGUAGGAGAAUGUGGGUUCAAGUAUGUUGAAGUGUAUUAUUCUCUUGUUUAUAAAUUGGGGAGUUGGUUAAGUAUUAAAUUUUGAUAUAUUUUAAAAUAUUAAAAAUUUUUUAAAAUAUUUUUUAAAAAAAUUGAUUGUACCACAAUAUACAAUUUUAAUAUAAAUUUUUUAAUUUUUAAAAAAAAAUAUUAGCGACUAUAUACCUUAUUUCAAGUUACACAGUUUUUACUAGUUUUUAACUUUUUUUAAAAAAAAUUUAUCGUCUUUUAUAAUUUCUAAUAAUUUUUUAUAUUUUUGCAAUAUUUAAAAAUUUCUACCAAUUUUUAAUAAUUUUAUUAUUUUUUUAUUUUUACACAAUUAUAUAUUUAUAAUGUAGUUAUUUUUUUAUAUAACUUUACUUGAAAUUUUAAAGAUUUUUUUGGUUUUUUUCUAGAUGAUGAUGCCAUCAUGAUGUCAUCAUAUACCACAUGGCAAUUUAUGAUUAGUUGGAUAUCUCAAUCUAAUUUUUAAUGUCGAAUGGACUAAACUAAGAACACCUGAUAAUGUUAGAGACUAUACUAGCAAUGUUUGAUAAUAUUAGGUACUAAAGUGAGCAAAUAAAUAUUAAGGACCAAAGUAAAAAAAAAAAAAAGCAAUAUGUUGUAGGGAAUAAACUGUGCAUUAAGCCAUUAAAAAUAUAUCUAUAAUAUAUUUAAAUGCAUGGAUUUUGAGAAGCUUUUGAACUGAUAAUUAUAUAGUCUUUGUUGUUUACUAUAUUAUUGAAUUUGUUAUUUUAAAUAUUUUUUUUACUUUUAAGAUUUAUCUAAGAAUUUUGGUUUUACUAAAAUAUUUGGUUAAGUAAAUUCACUUCAUAAGAAAAUUUAGCAUCCUUAUAAAUAACAAUUUUGAUUCUAUUAAAAAUAUUAUUUUAAAAAAUAUAUAACAAUAAAUUAAAAUUUAUAUUGAAUUACUUUAUACUUCAAUUAUUAUUAGAAACUUUAUCAUACACAUACGUGUAUGAGAAUCACGUAUUUAGAACAUAAAUUUAUGUUUUAAAAUAACUUAUGAUAAAUAAUGAAAUGUAUAAUUUGAAACUAUUUAAUAAUAACACAUGGCAUAUCUACCAUAUUAAAAUAAAAAUAGAUUAAAUUGUAAGUAAAACAUAAUUUAAACAUAUGAAUACAUCUAAUUAAGAAUACUAAAUGAAUACAGUUAUUUAUGAUGAUGUUGUUGUCGAUUCCUAAGUUGGUGUCGAGUUAAUUUGUAACAUCAUCAAUUUCAGUGAUAAAUUUAAGGUUUUAUGUAUUGAUGUGGAUUCAAAUAUCACCAAUUUUUUAAAUAAAAUUUAAAAUAAAUAUAUUUUCCACAUUGGUUUCUUUUCUUCUACCGACAAAGGAUUUCUAAUGAUUUUAAAAAAAAUUUUUCUUAUAUAAAAUAGAUUAGUUUAUGUAAUAAAAAAUAAUUUCUUUUUUAAAGUUUAAUGGAAAUUAAAAAAAAUCAAUUCAUAUAAAUCUUAUUGUUUAUUAUCAAAUUCAACACAAUGUUUUUGGAGUUUGGAAAAAAUUAAAGUGAAAAACAUACCUUUUAAUUUGUUGUUAAAUUAAAAAAUUAAAAAUAAAUCAAUUCAUAUAAAUUUUAUUGUUUAUUAUUAGAUUAAAAUGAUAAAAGUAUAUGACAUAAAUAGAAGAAACAAAUUCAACACAAUGUUUAUGGAGUUUGGAAAAUAUUAAAGUGAAAACCAUACCUUCUAAUUUGUUGUCAAAUAGAACUAUUACUUCGAGCGUAGUUGAAUUAAAAAUACUUGAUGGAAUCUUACCUGCACACAUAGUCGAAAAAUCAAGGUGUCAAACUGCCUAUUUUGUUAGCAUAAGUUAAAGAGGUGUUCUUUUCUGUUCUACAGUAAUUUGGAGAUGUUACAUUUUAAUAUAUUUCAGCAUAUGUUUUUCAUCAAAUGAAAUAAAAACUUUUUCCUUCUGUAAUCUAUUACAAAUCGAACUAUUUUAUUAAAAAAAUACUUUGAAUUCAAGAUAUCAAAGAAAUUGAUUACCUUCUAGAUUAUUAAAUCCCAAAUAUAAUUCUCUGAGUUGUGUCAGAUUUCCAAUACUUCUUGGAAUGAUCCCCGUCAAUUGAUUCAAGGACAAGGACAAAAUUUUAAGGUUGCUGCACUUGCCCAUACUUGACGGAAUGUUACCAGAUAACUCAUUUCUAUCUAAGUAAAGCCCUUCAAGCUUGGGAAGAUGUUGACACAUAUCAUUAUGAAAACUACCUGAUAGGCUAUUGUUGGAGAGAACAAUGGUCUUCAGAGAAGAAAUGUUGAAGAUCGAAGUUGGAAUCUGACUUGUAAGGCCUUUAAUUGCUUGAAUAUUAAGCAAUUCCAAACCAUGAAGAUUACCGAUUUCCUCAGGAAUUUGACCUGCACACAUAGUCGAAAAAUCAAGGUGUCAAACUACUUAUUUUGUUAGCAUAAGUCAAAGAGGUUUUCUUUUCUGUUCUACAAUAAUUUGGAGAUGUUACAUUUUAAUAUAUUUCAGAAUAUGUUUUUCAUCAAAUGAAAUAAAAACUUUUUCCUUCUGUAAUCUAUUACAAAUCAAACUAUUUUAUUAAAAAAAUACUUUGAAUUCAAGAUAUCAAAGAAAUUGAUUACCUUCUAGAUUAUUAAAUCCCAAAUAUAAUUCUCUGAGUUGUGUUAGAUUUCCAAUACUUCUUGGAAUGAUCCCCGUCAAUUGAUUCAAGGACAAGGACAAAAUUUUAAGGUUGCUGCACUUGCCCAUACUUGACGGAAUGUUACCAGAUAACUCAUUUCUAUCCAAGUAAAGCCCUUCAAGCUUGGGAAGAUGUUGACACAUAUCAUUAUGAAAACUACCUGAUAGGCUAUUGUUGGAGAGAACAAUGGUCUUCAGAGAAGAAAUGUUGAAGAUCGAAGUUGGAAUCUGACUUGUAAGGCCUUUAAUUGCUUGAAUAUUAAGCAAUUCCAAACCAUGAAGAUUACCGAUUUCCUCAGGAAUUUGACCUGCACACAUAGUCGAAAAAUCAAGGUGUCAAACUACUUAUUUUGUUAGCAUAAGUCAAAGAGGUUUUCUUUUCUGUUCUACAAUAAUUUGGAGAUGUUACAUUUUAAUAUAUUUCAGAAUAUGUUUUUCAUCAAAUGAAAUAAAAACUUUUUCCUUCUGUAAUCUAUUACAAAUCAAACUAUUUUAUUAAAAAAAUACUUUGAAUUCAAGAUAUCAAAGAAAUUGAUUACCUUCUAGAUUAUUAAAUCCCAAAUAUAAUUCUCUGAGUUGUGUUAGAUUUCCAAUACUUCUUGGAAUGAUCCCCGUCAAUUGAUUCAAGGACAAGGACAAAAUUUUAAGGUUGCUGCACUUGCCCAUACUUGACGGAAUGUUACCAGAUAACUCAUUUCUAUCCAAGUAAAGCCCUUCAAGCUUGGGAAGAUGUUGACACAUAUCAUUAUGAAAACUACCUGAUAGGCUAUUGUUGGAGAGAACAAUGGUCUUCAGAGAAGAAAUGUUGAAGAUCGAAGUUGGAAUCUGACUUGUAAGGCCUUUAAUUGCUUGAAUAUUAAGCAAUUCCAAACCAUGAAGAUUACCGAUUUCCUCAGGAAUUUGACCUGCACACAUAGUCGAAAAAUCAAGGUGUCAAACUACUUAUUUUGUUAGCAUAAGUCAAAGAGGUUUUCUUUUCUGUUCUACAAUAAUUUGGAGAUGUUACAUUUUAAUAUAUUUCAAAAUAUGUUUUUCAUCAAAUGAAAUAAAAACUUUUUCCUUCUGUAAUCUAUUACAAAUCAAACUAUUUUAUUAAAAAAAUACUUUGAAUUCAAGAUAUCAAAGAAAUUGAUUACCUUCUAGAUUAUUAAAUCCCAAAUAUAAUUCUCUGAGUUGUGUCAGAUUUCCAAUACUUCUUGGAAUGAUCCCCGUCAAUUGAUUCAAGGACAAGGACAAAAUUUUAAGGUUGCUGCACUUGCCCAUACUUGACGGAAUGUUACUAGAUAAUUCAUUUCUAUCCAAGUAAAGCCCUUCAAGCUUGGGAAGAUGUUGACACAUAUCAUUAUGAAAACUACCUAAUAGGCUAUUGCUGGAGAGAACAAUGGUCUUCAGAGAAGAUAUCUUGAAGAUGGAAGAUGGAACCUGACCAGAUAAUUGAUUGAGUCCCAAGUUCAAGAUCUCUAGAUUAGAUAUGUUAACAAGUGUUUCAAGGAUUGUGCCUGUAAAGUAAUUAUUUUUCAUUUGCAGCCUUUGAACUCUCUGUAAGUUCCCAAGCCAUGAUGGAAUUUCCCCAUUCAGACGGUUGUAGCUUAAUUGAAGGAUCCUCAAACGAUGCAAUUGGCCCAAUUCUUUAGGGAGAUGGCCAUAGAAAUGGUUGCUACUCAAGUCGAGAGAGAGUAGAAAUGAAAGAUUUCCAAGAUGUGGAGGGAUAGUACCCCUAAGAUUCAUGCUUGUAAGAUUCAAAGCUGUAACUCUUUUAUGGAGGAUGCCACAAGAGACACCAAUCCAAUUGCAAGCAGAGGUUGAGGCCGUCCAAUUGUUUGCCAAGACAUUUUGAGGACCGGCAAUGCGAUCCUUAAACUCGAGAAGUGCAAACUGAUCGGAGUUGAGAUUCCUGACCGUCAUAGCCAAGCAAAGUACGGAACAUGGUAUGAAUAAAGCUAAGAGAAUAUGAAAGCAAGUUUUGCAGUUCAUGAUUGCAAGACGGAAUAAGGCAAGAAAAUAAAAAAAGUAGGAAAAGGGAAGUUGAGUUGAUAAAAUAGUUUGGAUGAUGAAGAAAAGCCUAGAGAGCAUGCUUUAAUAUGUUUCAACCCUCGCACACUUGAUAAACUUGAUAAAAAUAUUUUGAUCUAAUAAAUGUAAAAAAAUUUAAACAAAAUAAGGUUCAAAUAAUCUAUUUGUCCUUAUAUUUUGAUAAAAUUUGAGAUUAGUCCUUAUACUUAAAAGGUUAAAAAUAAAGUUUUCUUUUUUAUUUAAAAAUCUUAGUCCUAUCGUUAAUUUUUUUUUGGUCAAAAUUUGUCAACUGUACAUAUUAAUUAGGUUUCCCUUAUAUGUCGUUGUAUAUGACUAACACAAAAUAAGCAAGUUGACAAAUUAUGACAAAAAGUAUCAAAGAUGAUAAUAAUUUGAUUAAAAUUUUUAAAUUGAAUUAAUAACCUUUAACAUAUAAGGAAUGGAUAUCAAAUUUUUAUAGGAAAAAAGGGACUAACAACAUAUUUUAACCACAAAAUAAUACGAGUGAUUAGAAUGAAUCUAAAAUUUUAUAGAAAUAAAAGAGACUAACAACAUAGUUAUAACUUUGAAAAUUAAAAUAAUACGAGUGAUUAGAAUGAAUCUAAAAUUUUAUAGAAAUAAAAGAGACUAAAACAUAUUUAUAGCAUCUAAAGUGUCAAGUAAUGAAACCGUCAAAAGAAAAUGUGAAAGUGAUUUAUCAAACAAUAAUAUUCUAACUUAUAAUAUAUUUAAUUACAUUUAGUAAUUUAUCAAUCAAAAUUUAUUUAACAUCCAUCAAUACUUCAUACAAAAUUUACCAUUUAACUCAGAUUUAACUUUGCAAGUAAACUUAAAAUUUUAUUUAAUUUUCUCACUAAAUUUAAUUUGUUCAAUAUAGAUUUUGGUGAGUUAAAACAAAAUUAAUAAAAUAUUAUAUUCUUUCAGACAUCUUUUUAAUGUUUAAUAAUAAGUUAAUUUAUAAAAUAUACUUUGAUUGGACACAAGCCUCCAAGGCGAUGAACCACUGAUCAAAUUAAUUUGGAGAUAUCUUUUUUUCCAAAUAAAGUGAAUUUACGAGUUUUGUUUUUUUAAAUAUUUUUAAUAUUUUUGUGGAUAUCAAGCGAUAUCAAACACUAUUUCACUAAAAAAUUUUAAUUCACUCGAAAAGUUAGUGUUUUAUUUCAGGGGUCAUAAUUAAUCAUUAGAUUUCUCAAUUAUAAAUUUUGAAUUUUUUGACAAUUGCGUAAUUAAUAAGUACCAAAUUUGAGUGUUGUAGGGCUAGUACAAUCUCCCUUACACAUAAUUGACUCUUGAACCUACUCUUUUCUUUAGAAUUCAACGCAGACCUCAAAUUUAUGUUUUGAAAAGAAUUUUAAAAUAUCUGUAUAAAAGGUGUAAAAAUGUAUAUUUUAUUAAUUACUAUAUAUUCUUUUAUUUUCAGAAUAAUAAAUUGUUUAAAAUAUGUUAUUAGUCCCUAUAAUUUAAAAGUAUUUGGGAUCUUGAGUGCAUCAAAUUCCUCCUUUUAUUAUUAAAUGUUUUAUUGUAGUUAACAUUUAUUAUAUAAAAAUAUUUUAAAUUUUUUUCAAUUGCAGUUUAAUUCUAGUAGAAAUAUUUCAUUUAUAAAAUCAUAAAACUUUAAAAUAUUAACUUUUUUAAAUAAAAAAUGAUUUUUUUAAACAGUAAAUGUUGACUUUAUUAACACAAAUGGGUCUUUAGGGUUAAACUUCAUAAAUUGACGAGCUCUUCUACAAACUGUGGAUGAUUUGGGGAUAAGAACUUUAAUAAUUAUGGAGUUAAAGUGUAAAUUUACCCCUAUAUUAUAAGUAAAUAUUGAAAUUUAUCACUAUAUUUUAAUUGAUACUUAUCAUUACACUUUAAAAAUAUAAGUAAAUUUACCAUUUAACUCAUAUGUGAUUGAACUUUGCAAGUAGACUUAAAAUUUUAUUUAAUUUUGUCACUAAAUUUGAUUUAUUUAAUUAAAUUUACAACUCAAUAUAGAUUUUGGUGACUUAAAACAAAAUUAAUAAAAAACUAUUCUUUCAGAUAAUUUUUAAUGUUUACUAAUAAGUUGAUUUAUAAAAUAUACUUUCAUUGGACACAAGCAUCCAAGGCGAAUAUCAACAGAUACUCAAAAUUAUUUCACUAAGGAAUUAAUUAGUAUUUUAUUUUAAGGGUUCACAAUUAAACAUUAGAUUUUUCAUUUUUAAAUUUUGAUUCUUUUGACAAUGCGUAAUUAACAAGUUGAGUUAAUAUCGAUAUUGUUGUUAGUGCAGAAGAAUGUGAGUUCAAUCAUGUUUAAACACGUUUUAUCUUCCAAUUUAAGAGUUGGAGAGGAUUCUCAAUAGUUAAAUUAUAUAAGUUUUUGUCUAUUUAAAAUUGAUUUAUAAAUAAUAUAAAUAAAAAUAUUUAAAAUAUAUAUAUUCAUAUUGAUCGGCAUUUUCAUUAUUAGACUUUUUUCCCUACAGGUAAAAGUAUUUAUGGACAGGAUGAUGUAAAAUUAUGACCUGAAUAAUUUUAAACCUUUCAUCACUGCAAAAACGAAAAUAAUAGAAAUGAAAGACUAGCCAUUGUAUGAAAUUUAAAAUUAAACUGUGAACAAUAGAAAAUUGCCCGCGUGACUUGGGAUAAGAGGUUGAACAUUUCUGGAUCACAUUACAUUUAAGAUGGGUCUUUAAGGUUAUGCUUUAGUUAUUGAGAACAUUUUCCACAAUUUCCCAUCGUUAUUUGUGGGGUAAGUGGUUGAACACUUCUAGAUCACAUUGCAUUUGGGACGGGUCUUUGGAUUUAUAUGAUACUUUAACAUAGACUGACUUUUCUAUAAUUAGUCCUUGCUUUACUUUGGGUGGAUUCUUCCAACUGUCCAAGAAUUAUUGUACAAUUACAAUUAAUCUUUUUAAAUGAGACAAAAAUUUCAAAUUUGUCAUUACUAUUUGUGAGUGAUUUAGGGGUAAGAAGUUUAACACUUCUGGAUGUGUUAUAGAAUUGUGAUUAUACUUUUUGAGUAUUGACUCAGUUUUCCACAAUUGUGGGUCUCUCUUUGAGCAAAACAAUUUGAACAAUUCUUCAUCUCGUUUAAUCCAAAUACAUUUAUGCAUGUCUUAUAUCAUUGAAUUUGCUGUUUCACAUUUAAUUUUUGGACAAGUAGAACUUUCUAACCUAUUUUCCAUCAACUUCACUUGAAUUUUCACUCACAAUCAAUUGCAUUCAAGAGCACCACAUCUUUUUGGAUGAAACAAAACUUUCAAUUUUAAGAUAAACGGGUCUUUAAGGUUAUACUUCAUUUAUUGAGGGCCUUUUCCACAAUUGCCAUCAUUAUUUGCGGGUGAUUUGGGGAUAAUAACUUGAACAUUUCUCGAUCACAUUUAAUUCAAUUUUUAAAUUUUAGAGAGAUGUUUAGGUUACAACAAUUGCCAUCAUUCUGUUUAAUAGAACAUUUGGGAGGAAAAGGAGAAAAAAUUAGCGAAAACCGAAAAAUGGGGGCAAACUAUAGGAACCACACGGGCUUACCUAUUCCACACGACUGUGUGACCCAUACGGUCGUGUGGCAAGCCAUGUCAAUUUCAUAAGUUUGCACUCUGAACUGCGAAAAAAAUAUAAAUUUUAGGUUUUUCGGGCAUUCUAAGACAUAUAUAUGACAAAAAUAAGAAGAUAGGAGAGAACCUUCCUAGAAUAUUCAAGAAAACAACUCCAAAGACACCACUAAAGCCGACUCUGAAGUAUAUUUUCAUUAAGAUUGAAGAUUUCUAAUUGAUUUCUUAGGAGAUUAUCAUGAGUUCUUUUAUUUCUUUCAGUUAUACUGCCCUUUGGAUGUUUUUAUUUCUAAGCAUGAACUAAUUUUCUAAAUACCUAAGAGAGAUGAACCCUAUGAUAGAUUAUGACACCCCAAAGCUGGCAGGGAUAGACUGGCCCAAAUUCAAAGCAUUACAUUUGCCACCUAAGUAACUCUUUAGCUAACGACCACCCAAGACACACCCGAACCUUAUAACACCUCAAUCUUAUCUAAUUAUUAGUUAUUUAUUAAUGCCGAAGUAAAUUAUGAGCCAAUUUUAAACUUUUCCUAGGUAAUUUAACCUAAGGGCAUUUAUGUCAUUUUACCACAUAUGGUAAAACUAACCCCAUUUUAGAUAUCACUGUUCAAACCCAUGAGUUUUGUUUUCUUUUUUGUAAAAAAAUAUAUCAAGAGAUACCAAAAAUUAUUUUACUAAGAAAUUUUAAUUCACUCAAAAAGCAAGUGUUUUAUUUCAAGGGAUCACAAUUAAACAUUAGAUUUCUCAUUUUAAUUUUUUUUAAUAACUAAGUAAUUAACGAGUACCAAUUUUGGGUGUUGUAGGGGUGCUAUAACUUUUCCUAUACGUAAUCGACUCUUGAACUCACCUUUUUUUCCUCUAGAAUUCAAUCUUUUUAAAAGAAUUUUAAAAUCUCUUUAUAAAAGACGAUUUUUUUAGGUGACCAAUCACACUUAACAAAAAAAAUCGGUGGCAACUCCUUUCCGAUAAAUGUAAAAAACUUUUUGAACAAAAUAAGGUUGAAAUAAUCUAAUUGUCAUUAUACUUUGAUAAAAUUUGAGUUUUAGUCCUUAAACUUAAAAGUUUAAAAAUUAAUUCUUGUUUUUAUUUAAAAAUUUGAGUUUUUAAAAAUUAAUUAGGUUUAUCUUAUAUAUCGUGGUAUAUGACUAACAUAAAAUAAACAAGUUGACAAAUUCUGACAAAAAAAUAUCAAAGAUGAUAAUAAUUUAAUUAAAAUUUUUAAAUUAAAAAAAUAAGGAAUUAAAUUUAUAACUUUCAAAGUAUAAGGAAUGAACUUAUUGAAAUACAAGAACUAACAACAUAUUUUAAAAUAUUACUAGUAAAUUAUAUAUCUACAACAAGAAUUGUAACCUCUUAUAUUAUACUCUUGUAUCUACUUUGCAUCUUUCAUUAUAAUAUGAUUUAUUAAUUUUAAUAUUUUUAUAGAAUAAUAUGCUUUAAACUAUUUUUUUGUAUCAUUUAUAAAAAUUAUAAUAAACUUACAAAAUGAUUUAAUGAUAUUUAAUUAUUAAUAGAAAAAAAUGAUAUCAUAUAUAUUCUAUAUAUAUUAAGAUUCCGAAUCAUUAAUUAUAUAUCUACACAUUAUAAUAAAUUCAUCUUUCAAAAUUUUCCUUAUAAUUAAAUCAUAAAUUAUAUUUAUAAUAUUAUAAAUAUAUUAUAUCAUAAAUAUUCUUUCAAAUAGUUUUAAAUGUUUAAUAAUAAGUUAACUUAUAAAAUAUUCUUUUAGUAAAUUAACGUGAUGAGAUCGUUAGGUGUUUGGAUUUGGUGAAGGGGGAUGAAGAGAAAAGGGAUGGAAGUGAAUAAAAAUGUUGAGAAAUGGAAAGGAUUAGCGAGGGAAGCCGCCAUGAAAGGUGGUUCAAUUGAUAUAUAUGGACCUUCAAGCUUUUGUGGAUGAUGUUACUCAAGGUUGUUUCAAGUAAAUUUAAAAAUGUUUUUUAAAAUUAUUUUUUUGUUAAAAAAUUUGUUUAUUUUUUAUGUGGCAUGCCACAUUAUCAUACUAUCAUGUGACAGCUCCUGGUGAUUUCUGUCCAUAACAUUAGUCAAAUCAAUUGUUAAAUCGUUCAACUCAGAGUUUUUGUUAAAUGAAGAGGUCAAUUGAUUUUUUUUGGAAUCAUUGAGUACUCAAUUGGUGCACUUUUUCAUAAAGGCUAAAUUAAUUUUUUUAAUUUGUUAUUGUUGAGGGCUAUAGCAAUAAAAAAAAUUGAGGUAAAAUGAAAAAAAAUGUUAGAGCUAAAUUUGUCAUUAUGCCUAAAAUGUAAAAUCAAAAUUUUUUGAAAAUGAAAAAAAAAUGGAAAAUCACAAAUUCUGUCGCAUAUGUUUGCUUAAAAUUAUAGUUUUGGUCACCAAUCUUUUGAAGUAAAUAUAUGGUCACCAAUAUUAUCCAUUUGUUACUUUGUAAUAACUUACCUUAAAGUUAUACCCCAAGAAAGGAUUAAAUGACAUUGGAAUACCAUAAAACUUGUAUCUUUUUUUAUUCAUCUAAUACCAAUUUAACAUUUUCAUUUUAAAAAAUUGACAUAUUAUUUCGAAUUUUAUCUUUUUCAAGAUGAAAAUAUUGAAAUGAUGUUAAAUUAUUAGAAAGAGAUACAAGUUUCAUGGUAUCUCAAAUUCAUUUAAUCUUUCUCUCUCUAAAAAAGCUGAUGUAACACAUUAAUGACAUCAUUUCAAACAAAGUUUUAGGUCAAAUUUUUCAUCUAGUCAUUGUAAUUGUUUUUAGGUGAAUUUCAUUAUUAUUCUUUUAUUUUCUUUGGCUUAAAUACACAUUUACCCCUAAUUUUAUCACAUUCUCCUUAAUUGGUAUUUAUGGUUUAGAAAAUUUUACAAAUAUAUUAUUUUUUAAGAAAUUAUAAGAAGAUUACAAAAAUUCCAAAAUAAUAUAAAAAAGCUAAGGAAAACCUAGAAAUUCAAAAAAAAAAAAACGUGGACAUUGAAUUUGCUGUUUCACAUUCAAUUUUUGGAGAAGUAGAAUUUUCUAACUUAUUUUCCAUCAACUUCACUUCAAUUUUCAAUCACAAUCUAUUGCAUUCAAGAGCACCACAUCUUUUGGGAUGAAACAAACCUCUCAAUUUUAAGAUAAACGGAAUCAAUUGCAUUCAAGAGCACCACGUCUUUUUGGAUGAAACAAAGCUCUCAAUUUUAGGAUAAACGGGUCUUUAGGGUUAUAAAUUGAGGUCCUUUUCCACAAUUGCGGGUGAUUCGUUGAUAAUAACCUCAACAUUUCUGUAUCACAUUUAAUUCAAUUCCACAUUCAAUUUUUAGUUUUUAGAGAGAUGAUUGGGUUACAACAAUGGUUUGAAGUGAAGAUAUUUCAAAACAAGAUGAAUACUCUACCAAUAGUCAUAAUUUAAAAUGCAGGUUAUGUUUCAUUUCAGCUAAGUUAAAUGUUAAGAUUGAGGUUAAACCUUUUAGAGGUUGCUCGCAAAAGGAUCAAACCUUUAUAAAAUUGUUUAAAUGAAGGUCAAACCUCUUAAAAUAGACAAAUAAGGGCCUAACCUUUUAAAAGGUGUUCAAAUAAGGGUUUCUCAAAUUUUGUAUAUCAGGUUAUGUAUUUUACUCUAAACACAUCGACAUUUACCUAUUUUUUCUAUAAAUUGGGUUGAAGUGCAUGAAAAAACCUUAUUUAAGCACUUCUGUAAAGGUUAAACUCUUAUUUGACUAUUUUGAAAGGUUUGAUCCUUAUAUAACAACCUCUAAAAGAUUGAGCACUAAUUUGACAAGAUUGAGAAAUACCUAAAUUUGUUUUCAUGAAUCAAGAAAAUAAAAAAGAAAUGUUGAGAAAUAUUUUAGAGAUUCUUAGCUUUGACAAGUUCCCUCCAUCAUCUUCCUGCCUCCAGUCCCACCUCUUCUCUUAUGCUCCUCCCAGCUUCUUGCUUUUUGUGUGUUGAAAAUUCAAAGGAACAAAAUAUCAACCUACAUUGCCAGAACUUUACUUUCUAGCCUGUCGAUCCGAUCCAAUGAAAGAAGAACAAAGAGUCUCAAGAUCUGUCAACUUUAUUUCAUUUUCAUUUUCUUUGUCAUUUUCUAUGUUUCAUGUCGAAUACAAUGAAAGAACAUAGAAAAAUGUUGCCUAUUUAUUUCCCAAUCAUCAUGAAAUUACUUGCCAUAGACUUAGAAUUUUCUCACCAAUUUUCAAGCAAUCUGACAUGAUUUCUCAAUCACAAUUAAUUGAAUUCAAGAUCUUUUUAGAUGACACAAACAUUUCAAUUUUAACACAAACCAAUAUUUAGGUUGUACUUCAGUGCUUGACAAGCACUUUCACAUUUGUGGGAUAAGAACUCUUAACAUUUUAGGAUCACAUUUAAUUCAAUUGCAUUUAAGACCUCACGAUUUUAUUCUAUAAUUUCAGUCUUAUCAGCCUUUUCGGAAACAAUAAAACGUCGACAUUAAAUUUGUUGUUGAUGCAUUCAAUUUUUUGAGGGGUCUUUGGAGUUAUAUGUGACUUUAGCAUUGACUGACUUUUUUAUAAUUAAUCUUUUAUAAUAUAUCAAUUUUAAUAACAACGACAUGUUUUUUAGUAGGGUCGAGCAAAACCCAAUUAAAACCGAUGAUAUUGGCUUAGUUGACUCGGUCAAGUCCAUUAGAUUGAUAAAAUCAAUUUUAAAAUCAGUUAUAAUGGAUUAAGGUAAUUAAUUAUCGAGUAAUGAAAUACAUAAUCAAAUCAAUUGAUUUUGUUAGAAACUAAAAGAAAAUGAGAUAAGAUGAAAACUGAUUGCCCUUUAUUAAAAUUAACGAAUCCGCCUUUUACGUAUUAGAUAAUACGAACAUCACAUAUAUAAUAAGAAAAAUUACGUAUGAUUAUUUAUUAUCAUAAAAGGUUAGUUUAAAUUUAAAAUAAUCUAAUAUGUUUAUUGAACUUCAACUAUUAAAUAAAGUAUAAGCUAAAUAAGUAUAAAUAUUCUAGAAACCAUUUCUAACUGAUGAUAGGCUAAUUCGAUUAAUUUAUAAAAACUACAUAGUAGGGUUAUAGUCCUCAAACUACACCUAAUUUAAUAACAUUUAUAGUUUUUUUUUAGCCUUAAACAUUUAUAGUUUUUUGUUAAUUUGGUCCUUACUCUUUAAAAUUACAUAAAAAUUGCAAAAAAAAAAUUAAAAUUAAUUUUUUUUCAUAAUUUUAAUAACAUUUAUAGUUUUUUUUUGUGUGUGUGGUUUGGUAACUUAUCAACUCGACUCUCACUUGUAACCAACUUUUCUAACCUUUUUCGUACCCUUAACCUAAGUCCCGUUACAACUUUCUAAAGACCUCUUUAUUAGUGUAUCAUGUCGGUUUGUUUUAUAAUGGUGGAGAUUUGUUUUUUGUAGUGGCACGAUUGCCAGAACUUUACUUUCUAGCCUAUCGAUCCGAUCAAAUGAAAGAAGAACAAAGAGUCUUAAGAUCUGUCAACUUUAUUUCAUUUUCAUUUUCUUUGUCAUUUUCUAUGUUUCUUGUCAAAUACAAUGAAAAAAGAACAUAGAAAAAUGUUGCAUAUUUAUUUCCCAUUCAUCACUCUAACAGGCCCAAUUAGCCCAGGCCCAAACAUUAAUAAAAUGUCUAGAUUACAAAAUAAUCAACUAAAAAUUAAAAGCUCAAAAAAUAAAAUAAAACCCAUUAUAUUAACCCAAAACCCCAGCCCAAUUACAUUGAAACCCAAAAAAAAAAUAGUUUUCAGAAACCCUAAGGUUUCAGAAGCCCCUCAAUGUUAUUUUGUAUAUCUAUUUAUCUUUUUAAAUUUUCGAUAUUGUCUUGUUUUGUUUUUGUAUUAUUGUUGUUACCAUCAUUAUUCAUUAUUAUUAUUGUUGAUUUUAUUGUUCUUUGAUUAAUGUUAAUGUUAGAGUAAUAGAUGUUAUGUGAUCAUUGUUAUUAUAUGUUAUAAUUUGUUUACACUCGUAUUGUAGUCAUUUGUCAGCUUAAUAUUUUGAGUAAUAUUUUAAAUAUUACAUUAAUUUCGACCCAAAUGCAUAAUUUUUUAAUAAGUAAUAUUUUAUAUUUUGAAAUUUGAGAGAUCAUUCCCUAACUUACGGGGUCUCGAUUUUUUCGAUAAAUCUGAAUAUACUAACUAUUUUCAAAAAAUAUGUUUUAAAAUUAUCUCGGGAAUUUAAAAAGGAGCGUGUUCUAACUUACUGAAUAUGAUCUUUUUUUUUAAAAUCGAGAUAAUCAAAUAACUUUCAAAUAAAUAAAUUUUCAAUGUUUAUUCUCAUAUCAGGAUUUAAAAUAUUAUGUCCUAACUCACGGGAUACAAUUCUUUUUCUCGAUUAACAUGAAAUAUGCCCGUUUUAAUUUUAUUUUUUAAGUGAUUUUAACAAAAGGAUUGUAUUUUAAAUCUCUUCAAAAUUUUCAAUUUUUCGACAUUGAGACAUUAACUAAUCAAUUAGGUACCAAUUUUGGGCGUUACGAGGGUGCUAACCCUUCCUCGUACGUAACCGACUCCCGAACCUAUUUUUCUGAAUAUUGAAGGCCAAAAUUGUUUUAAUAAAUUAAACCCUUAAGACGUGACCCCAUCACACCUCAUAAAAAUUAUCGGUGGCGACUCUCGUUUGCGUUUUUGUUUUCGUUUUCAAAAUAAAAGUCGACCCCUUGUUUUAAAAAAGGUGGUUCGAUAGCUUGGCGACUCCGUUGAGGAAAAAAAUAAGAGAGUCAAGCCACGAGUUGAUUAUUUCUUAUUUUUUUGUCAGAAAUUGUGAAUUCGAUUUAAAUUUACGAUCUUUUCAUUGCAUUUUAUGGUCUGCAUCAGUUUGAUAUGCUUGCUUUACUGGUUCGAGUCUUUUAAUCUCCGCAUAUUGCAUUGCAUAACCGUUCGGUUAUACCCUUUUAAGUGGGAGUGAGAAACUAUUCAUUUGUGAGAUUUUUACCUCCGUAUAGGAUAGUGGAUUACUUUCGGGAUACAUCCGUACCUAUGUCUUCGUGAGAUUUUCAUCUCCGUAUAGUUAUAGGGAAAUGUAUUCCCCUGAACUGAACUCAGUCCGUAUGAGCCUAUAAUAGGUAAGGAUUGAGGAAUCUGCUGGUUCAGGUACCCUUUCUUUAGAACUAAACUGCAUGUAGUGAGCCCUAAGAGCAUACCGUAGGUAGAACCACUCCAAACCCCUAGUGGUCACCCAAAUAGGUGCUCUAUUUAUUUUUGCUUGCUUAUUUUUGCAUUGUACUAACCUAUUUUUUGUUAUGAUUGCAUUGCAUUUUCAUCAUAAAAAAGAUGUGUUGAUUCACGUUCAAUUGCUAAAUAGAGAGCUUGUCAUGGGAAACGGAUUUCUUGAUAAAGUGGAAGACAAUGUGGUUAUCCGGAUAUGGUCCAAGAAAAUUUGACGAAAGAAGGGUGAUAGUCUAAUGGAGGACUACACGACCUUGCUUUAUUGCCCGAGGAUUCAAGUUGACAAAGAUUAUUCGAGAGUCCUCAAUGUCCCGACCUUUUUCAAGAAGCUAACGAGUGUCACGAGGAUGAGUGAGUAAUGAGUUGCGGCCCGGAUCAAGCAAAAAAGAGAUAGAGGAGACACCCUUUUUGAAGAGUUCGCGAGAUUUAUAUUAAUAUCAAAAUGAAGAAAAAGAUCAAUGUCUUCGCCUGGAGUAUGAAAGCAAAGCUGUAUAUAUAUCCGCUUUAUGUAAAUAAAUUUUUUUUCUAGUAAAGUUUUUCUAAUAGAAUUGAAUCAGAAUCAAUGUCUUUUUUUGCAUUCAUUCCAUUCAUCUGCAUUGCAUUUCAUUGCAUCCAAAAUUUCACAAAAGGACCCUAAUUAAUCGAAAUUGUUAUAGUUACUCUGAAAACUAAUAAAAAUCUACCAAUUAAAUAUUCCUACGGUACCCGUCGCAAAACCAAAGUAAUGGAUCAAAUAUUAGAAAGAUUAGAACAAAUUCUGAAGGACAAGCAUAAUCGUUUUUGCUUAGGGUACAAGCCAGAUACAAGACAAAGAAGGAAGGAGUUAGAGAAGAAAUAGGAAAGAAUGACAGCACAUUUGAGCGAGGAUGAGGUCAAAUGGGAGCCUAUGAACUUUCCCUACAUAUCCAAAACUUUUGUAUCGGGAGGGAUUAUUCAUCCCGAGCGAAGAAUGCCAAGAGAAGAAAAUAUUGAAGAAAUGUUGGGAAACGUUCACAUCAAUGCCAUAUACGAAGAAGUAGUUGAAGGAUGGACCUUGUUAGAUAUCCGACCUUAUGAACCUGAGAGUGUGCUAAACAAUUGGACUACAGAAGAAAUUCCUGUAGUGUUUAGACCUUACUCAGAGUAAUAUUCAAAACACACUUGUUGCUUUUAGCCUAGAAGUGAUAAGAAUCCCUCUGUGAAAUAGGCUCAUGUAUAAACAUCAUUAUUUUAAUAAAGUAAAUCUUUGCAUUCAUUUUGAGCAAAUAUUCUUUUAUUCUUUCCAUACGAGUAAUUAUUUUAGAUUUUUCAUUAUUUUAGGAUUUUCUUCCAAAAAUCAUUCUUUUAUUACAUUCAUAAUCAUACUGUACAAAUAAUUAUUCUUAAAUUCAUUCAUUCUUUGUAUAUUCUUUUGUACCUAUAAUAGGUCCCUAGACAUCAACGACAUGAGUGACGCUGCUACAGACUUAGAAUUUCCUUUUAAACAAGACAUGUGUUUAGAGGGAUCCCAUGACUUUGAAGAUGACGUAGACUGUGGCUUAUCUCCGGACUUGUUAAGGAUGGUAAAACAAGAGGAGAAGCAAAUCCUACUUCACAAUGAAUCAAUGGAAAUUGUGAGCUUAGAAGGGGAAAAUAGGUGAAGAUUGGGACUGACAUUGCCACAAAUACGAAGUAAGACCUCAUUGAGUUACUCUAAGAAUUCAAAGAUAUUUUUGCAUGGUCAUACUAGGAUACGCUCGGGUUAAGUACUGACAUUGUAGUACACUGCCUUCCUAUAAAAGAAGAUUGCUAGCCAGUUCAGCAGAAACUCCAGAGGAUGAUGCCUGAUAUUGUGCUAAAAAUAAAAGAAGUCAAAAAGUAAUUUGAUGUUGGGUUCUUACAAGUGGUCAAAUAUUCAGAAUGGGUAGCCAACAUCGUCUCAGUUCCUAAAAAAAUGGGAAAGUACGAAUGUGCAUGGAUUAUAGAGACUUGAACAAGGCCAGUCGAAAAGACAAUUCCCUAUUGCCUCACGUUGACACUUUGGUGGAUAAUACAGUAGGCUACUCACUUUUUUCCUUCAUGGAUGGCUUCUCUGGAUACAAUCAGAUAAAGAUGCAUCCAAAAACAUGGGAAAGAUUACAUUCGUGACCCUGUGGGAAACGUUUUACUAUAAAGUGAUGACAUUCGGAUUAAAGAAUAUGGGAGCGACGUAUCAAAGGGUGAUGGUAACCUUGUUUCAUGACAUGAUUUACAAGGAAAUCGAGGUUUAUAUUGACGAUAUGAUUGCAAAAUCUAGAACAGAAGAGGAACAUGUGCAGGUCCUGAGAAAAUUAUUCUUAAGACUGAGAAAGUUCUAGCUCAAGCUUUCCAACGAAAUGCACUUUCGGAGCUAGGUCAGGAAAGCUAUUAGGCUUCAUAGUCAGUGAAAAAGGAAUCGAGAUCAACCCAGACAAAGUUAAGGUAAUAAGAGAUUUACCUCCACUAUGCACUCAGAAGAAAGUUUGAGGUUUCCUAGGAAGACUAAAUUACAUUGCUCAGUUUAUUUCACAACUAACCGAAAAAUGUGACCCCAUAUUUCAUCUUUUAAAGAAACAUAAUCCAGAUGUAUAGGAUGAAGAAUGUCAGGAAGUUUUUGAUAGGAUAAAGCAGUACCUAUCAAAUACUCUAGUGUUGUUACCACCUAGCCCAGAUAGGCCACUGAUAUUAUAUUUAACAGUGUUUGAUAAUUUUAUGGGAUGCAUGCUAGGCCAACAUGAUGAGACAGGAAAGAAAGAAAGGGUUAUAUACUAUCUCAGUAAGAAAUUCACUGAUUAUGAAAUAAGAUACUCGUCUAUUGAGAAAUUAUGUUGUGCCUUGAUCUGGAUAACUCGGAGGCUAAGGCAGUACAUGUUGUACCAUACGACUUGACUAAUUUCAAAGUUAGACCCUUUAAAGUAUAUGAUGGAGUCAACUACUUUGAAUGGGAGGAUGGCCAGAUGGCAGAUUUUACUUUUUGAAUUUGACAUACUUUAUGUGAGCCAGAAGGCUAUAAAAUGGAGUGCAAUAGCGGAUUUUCUAGCUAGCAGAGCCUUGGAGGAUUAUGAGCCUUUAAAUUUUGAUUUUUUGAACGAGGACUUAAUGUAUGUGGCAACCACUAAAGAAAAUGCUCAAGUGGAUCGCAUUUGGAAGCUAAAAUUUGACGGAGCCUCAAAUGCUAUGGGCAAUAAAAUUGAGGCAGUCUUAGUAUCCCCGAGCAGAGAUCAUUAUCCUAUUGCUGGCAAAUUGGAUUUUGAUUGUACAAACAAUAUAGCAGAAAAUGAAGCGUGUAUCAUGGGCAUCCGUAUAGCCAAAGAAUGUAAAAUCAAAGUGCUAAAGGUAUAUGGGGAUUCUGCAUUGGUGAUAUAUCAGCUUAAAGGAGGAUGGGAUAUAAGAGACCUCAAAUUGAUUAAUUAUCGAAAGUUGAUUCUCGAAUUGAUUGAUGAGUUUGAUGAUAUUACUUUCUCCUAUCUCCCACUAGAUGAAAACCAGAUGGCUGACACGUUGGCUACUCUAGCUUUCAUGAUCAAAGUAAACAAACUAGAAGACAUGAAGCCUAUCCAGAUGAGCAUUUAUGAGACUUUGGCUCAUUGCUACAGUAUCGAGGAAGAGGAAAAGGAUGAUCAUCCUUGGUACCAAGAUAUACUGCAAUAUGUAAAGAAUCACGAGUACCCUGAUCAGGCAACGAAGAAUGAUAAGAGGACAUUGAGAAGACUAGCCACUAACUAUGUCUUAGAUGGAGAGAUUUUAUACAAAAAGGGAAAGGAUCGGGUACUACUAAGAUGCUGGAUGCUAUAAAAGCUUAGAAAAUCUUGGAGGAAGUCCAUGAAGGUAUCUGCAAAAUGCAUGCCAAUGGUUUCACAAUAGUAAGACAGAUUAUGAGAUUCGGGUACUACUGGUCGACCAUGGAAGGAGAUUGCAUCAAUUAUGCCAAGAAGUGCCAUAAAUGUCAAAUUUAUGGAGACAAAAUACACGCACGUUCUUCACCUCUCAACGUUAUGACUUCUCUAUGGCCUUUCUCCAUGUGGGAUAUGGAUGUCAUCGGGCCAAUAUUGCCAAAGGCUUCUAAUAGGUAUCGUUUCAUCUUCAUGGUCAUUGGUUACUUCACUAAAUAGAUGGAAGCUGAUUCAUAUGCUAAUGUCAUGAAGUCAGGAGUCAGCAAGUUCUUGAGAAAGUCAGGAGUCAGCAAGCUGAUUCAUAUGCUGAUUCAUAUGCUAAUGUCACGAAGUCAGGAGUCAGAGAUAGAAAAGCAAGUACAUUGUACCUAAGUCAGAAGGGGUACAUUGAGAAAGUUCUUUACAAUUGUACCAAAGUCAGAAGGGGUACAUUGAGAAAGUUCUUUGCAAAUUCAAUAUGCAGAAUGCUAAGCCUAUUAGUACUCCUUUAGCAGCCCAUUUCAAACUAUCAUCGGCUUUGUCUCUACAAUCAAAUGAUGAGAUUGAGUACAUGUCACAUGUUUCAUACUCUAGUACAGUGGGAUCUCUCAUGUAUGCUAUAGUUUGUUCACAUCCAGAUUUAUCAUAUACAGUCAAUGCAGUUAGUAGAUACGUGGCGAAUCCUGGUAAAGAACAUUGGAAAGUAGUUUAGUGGAUUUUAAUAUACUUACAAGGUACUACUGAUGUUUGCUUACAGUUUAGAAGAACUAGAUAUGGAGUCAUUGGGUAUGUUGAUGUUGAUUUUGCUGAAGACCUUGCUAGAAGAAAAUUUCUCAUAGGUUAUAUCUUGACAAUCGGAAGUUGUGCAAUCAGUUGGAAAGCCACUUUGCAAACUACAGUUGCUUUGUCUUCCAUUGAAGUUGAGUACAUGGUGAUUACUUAGGCCUGUAAAGAAGCUAUUUAGUUGAAUAGACUCUUUAGUGAACUCAAUGAAGACCUUCAAAUCAAUACAGUAUUUUGUGACAGUCAGAGUGCCAUCUUCCUUACAAAAGAUCAAAUGUUUCAUGAGAGAACAAAACAUAUUGAUGUUCGGUAUCAUUUUGUUCAUGAUAUUAUUGCUCAUGGUGAUAUUGUUGUGAGCAAAAUUAGUACUCAUGAAAAGCCUGAUUGGUGUUUAUUGUUGAAGUUAAACCCUUAAGGGGUUUUAUGGAAGAGGCGGAAAACUUGGUCGUUAAAAGUUUACGAUGAAGAACUAGUUUAUUGAGAAUUCGUGUCAAGGUGGAGAUUGUUAGAAUUAAGUGACCUGAAUCCUUAUUUAAAUAAAAUAUAGUGGUAAAAUAAAAUAAAAGUAAAAUCUCUAUAGAACUACACUUCUUUUAUUUUAUUUUAGAAUAAGGUUUUUAAACCUUAUUAAACUCCAUCUAUUUCAUAUUGAUUAGAAUAAGGUGUUCCAAUCUUACUACACUCCUAUUAGAAUAUGGUUUUACAAGCCUAUAAAUAGACAUAGUCUACUCCUAUUGUAAUUAUUUAAAUUUGACAUAGUGAAUUUUCUUAUCCUCUGCCCAUGGUUUUUUCUCGAAAGGGUUUCCAUGUAAAAUUUGUGUGUUCUUUAUUUUUUCUCUCUUUUUUCUUUGCGAUACAUUGUUAUUACCGACGUUCUAUUUUUAAUAAUAACCAUAAUUCGAAAACAUUAAAACUUAAAUUAAAUGUCAUGCAAAAUAAAACAAGCAUCAAUCUAAAUCUCAUGCCACGAUUCAAAAUAAUUUAUUGUAGUCUUCGACAAUAAAAAAUCAUAUAAUGAACCUAAAUUUUUUUUUAAUUUAAUAAUGUGUCGAGACCUUACAGAUGUCUCGUCCGCAUCCUAUCCUAGUGGAUUAUCUGUAAGGAUGAAAAUUUAAAGGGGAGUGAGCUAUGACACUUAGUGUGAGUUCAUUCAUAAUAAAUUCAAUGCAAAUGGUUGGUAAGACACAUUAAUUAAUAUCACAUAAAGUAAUCACAGUCAAAUAAUAGUUCAGAAUGUCGAUUUUAGAAUUUAACUACCAAUAGUUUCACUGUAUUCACAGUUGUAAUUUCAGAAUAUCAAAUUUCCACAUCAUUCACAAUAUUCACAUAUAUAUAAAUAUAUCAUAACAAAAUUCCAAAUUUGUGUGCACAUGAUUUAGAAGAUGCCAUACAAUUUUGCGUUUUAAUAGAAUAAAUCCUACCCCACGUUACAUAUCAUAAUGGGAGUUCCCUUAAACUCCCUUCUCUAACACUACAAGUUGUGGAUAAACCACUACUCGUCUGUAGAUAAUAACUAUCAUUCGGCUGUGGACACAAAGCAACUCCCCACAGUUGGAUUCUAGCUUUAGCUGUGGGUUCACAGCAAAAAGUCCUGCAAAUGAAGCCUAUUUUUUCUGUAGAUUAUAUAACAUAUACCCGCAGUUUGAAUCUGCCUUUGGUUAUGGAUGCACUAUAACACCCCAAACCUGACCUGGAUGUUAUGGCUAAAUCCUGAUGAUUUACUUUAACUCAUUUGAAAACCCAGAAAUUUACUUUGAAAUCCUGUGGUUAAACUAGUGUUCACUUUCAUAAAUCGUGAAAGUAUGUGAUUAUUGAGGACAUGCUGAGCAUGUCAAAUGAAUGUGAAAAGUAUUGUGAUAUGAUUAUGUAUGAGAUUGUGUAACAUAUUGCAUAUGCAUUGGGUUCAGUUUUUUGGUUGACGGAGGAGUUUUGUGGAGUACCGUCAGUAUAUUAAGCUCGCAUUAUUCGUGGUCAGUGCACUACACCUGGAGUACCGAGGGGAUUGGCAAUUUUAUCGGAUAUUAUAUGUUAUUGGUAAUUGUAUCGCACUAUUGGGUAUUCGGCAGCUUUUCUGCAUUAUUGAUUAUUCGGUGGUUUUACCACAUCGAGCUAUGCUCAUAAUGUUUUGGAGACUGGCAGACGGGUUCUGGGGAACCCGUGGUAUGUAGCAAAUGGUAUGGGUAGGAACCUUUUUGUAUUGCAUCAUGUGCACGACAUAUUCGAAUGUUAUUGGUUUAUGCUACGCAUUGUAUUUUGUCGUAUUGAAUGGCAUUAAAAUUAAUGAUUGUCACUCGAAUGAAUUAUGACCUAUGCUCAUACACUGUUUGACAUUAAUUUGAUAAUGACUAUGAAACGAUAUGAAAUUCCUAUGAUGAUUCUGUUUUCUUCUGUUAAAGCUAAUUUGUUUCAUUAUAUUCGAUCUUUAUGUUUGUUUAAAUAAUUUUUCGACUCAGACUGAGCUUUUCAUAAGCUCACCACUAACAGUGUUUAACUUUUCAGGUAAACCUCAAAAAUAGGACUGAACUCAGCAUUCGAAGAAUCACCUUGGACCUUGAAUUAUUUUUUUAAUAAGUAUUAAUCAAUCUCUAAUGGUUUUGGUUUGUAAUUUUUAAUUAUUUCUAGUUUGUGGCUUGAUGACUUUUCUUCUGGGUUUUUUGCAUGCAUUGAUUACUCAAGCAUAAUAACCGGAUAAUACAUGAUAUCAGGCUUAAGUAAAAUUUGAUAAUGUUCCCUAGUUUUCGCUACAUUGCAAAGGAUUCAUUUUUGAAAAACAAAUCGAUAAAGGUAACUAAGUUUUCAAAAUGACUUGAAAAAUGGUUUUUUCGCUGCAUUAGUUUAACAUCAAUUUUUUUUGAAGGAGAGCGACAAGCAAAUGGUUUUUCUAAAACCACAUUAUUAACAAUAAAAUGAAUUCUAAGUAUACACAACCUAAUGAAUGAAUGCUUUUAAGCUAACUCAAAGUACAACUAUGGUUUUCUCUAAAAUGAUUUUAUUCAAGGUUUUCAGAAGUAAUGUAAGUUAGCUUAGCCAUUUCGGUGCCUCAUGUAGCCUUCUCAAUCUAGCCAUAACGUCUAGGCCAGGUUUGGGAGGUUACAGGAUUUAUAGGGAUUGUGGUAUAAAUUUUCUUUUGGACAUUCGUAAAGUGUUAUUUGGACUGAACUUUAGAAACUACAGAUUUUAUACUGAGCCUAAAUUUACGAAGUUUUUGCGUGGUUUUUACGAAAAUGAAACUAAUAUGAUUUUUUGAGACUAUGAUUUUUUUUAACACUCCAAUUUGAAAUUGUACAAGAAACGUCAAUUUGAAUUAUUUUUUAAUGUUUUUUAUGCCAAUUAAAUAUUGUUUCAAAACAUAGCUAAGUAUUAUUUAAUUUCCUAAAGAUGAAGCAAACACUGAACAAUCUAAAACUUCAAUGACUUGUUUGCAAUUUUUGUUUUUCCUUAAUUGUCUCCAGUUUGAUUCAAUUCUUGAUCUAUACGAUUAUUCCAUUCAAUUCAUCAAUAUUGAACAUUUAUACAUUAUGUCAUGUCAUGAAUGAACUUAGAUAAAUUCAUUUUUUGAUAUCCUUAAAGUUUUAUAUUUAUUUCAAUUUAGUCUCUAAAAUCGAAAUAGUCAUAACUUUAAAUUCUGAACUUUGGUUUGAAAAUCGACCUCAAUUUCAUUAUAGACUCUCUACUAUCCAUUAUUAUCAAAAUUUCACAUCAAUUUCACAAUUUAUUCACUUUAGUUAUUAUGUACAAAAUCAACAACCAAACAUCACAAUUUAGUCAUUUUUCAUAAUUUAAGCUUAAAAUCUAUCAAUUUAACACCAAUUUGUUCAAGAAAUCAACCAUGAAAGCUAUAAAAAAGACUUUAACAAUUUUGCAAAUUGGUACAUAGGUUAUUUAAAUCAAACUCUCAUUACCUCAAAAAUACUAUUUAAAUCAAACUCUCAUUACCUCAAAAAUACAAAAAAAAAAUACGAAAAUGAUUUAGAAAUGCAUACCAAUUGAGGACUGAAAGUUUGAAGCUCAAAAAUGGCUUUUUCCCUUGAGGUUUUAUGUUGAUUAGAUGAUGAAGAAGAAGAAAUAAAGAUGACAACUUGCACUAAGUCACCUUUAUAUACUUAGAUUAAAUCUUAACUAAUCAAAUUUAAUUAAUUAACCUUAAUCACAAUUAAUAAAAAAUUAGUGGAGGUUAACAUCAUCCUACACUAUUUGAUAUAACCAAAUGAUCUAUUUACCAUUUUGAACCUUUAGCUAAUUAGAAAUCUAUAGAGAUAAUACUUUUAAAAUUUAGUCUUUAUACCUUAAUUAAGCAAUUAAUAGACAAAGUUGAAGGUUUAAAAUUUAAUAUUCUAUUAUACGAACUCUAUAAAUAUUCAUAUUUAAUAUUUACGGACCCGAAUUACAAAAAUGAAAUUCUGAAAUUGUAUUUUCCAGUACCACUGAAAAUUGGACAAUUACGUAACCUAUUUGCACCAACGGGCCAAACAUGGCAAAUACUUGACAUGUAUGUUUUCAUAUCUUCAUCUAUUCUCUUCAAUAUAAUAACAUCCAAUAAUUGUAACAUCCACUGUAAUGUGCAGAAGCGCGACAUUUUCAUUCUAGAAGAAAGGUAUAAUUGAAACAAAAUUAAAAUAAAGAAUUCAAUACAAAAUCAACAGACAUUCCAGUUAAUACUUAUCAAUUAUUUGCAGCUUCACUGCUCCAAUUAAGAUGGUUUUUAGUCGAAUAUGGUAAAUGAAAUCAAUGAACACCAGCUACUUGAACGAGUGAAUCAAAGUCCUGAUAUGUGCCGGCUUAUUGGGGAAAAAAUAUAUGGGUUAGUUUUGCAGCAAUUCAUGAUCAUACAUUUUAUAACCUUUGCUUACAAUUAUUUACUAACUAAUCAUUCAAUGAAUGGAGGCCUCAAACUCAGCCACUAAACUUUAUUCUUUAUUUUUAGAUACAUAUUAUUUGAUCACUUCAUACAGCCUAUUACUCAUAUUAACUUCCAAUUUCCCUUCUUUAGGUUAGUUGCAAAUGUACAGCUUUUUCUAGAAGAAGAAAAUUGUCAAGAGCCACCUGUUCAAGAGAGGCGCAAACAGAAUGCAACAAUACCUGACCUACUUACGGCACAGCCAAGUAAUCAUGUGUUUCUAUGCUAGAUCAUUAAAUCAAUGACUACAAAUUUCAUGCCAUGGUUGUGUAUCAUUUAUGCCAUUGAUGCUGCUAUUUUCUAUUCUAAUGCAUAAUAGGGAUUUAGCGUUUUUACCGUUAAAAUUGUGUCCUUUAAUUUUGGCUCUUUUCAAUUGUUGAUCAUGUCCACCUAUGCUUUAUUUUACUACUAUUGCUUUCUUUAACGAUAGAUGAUUGAAUCGGUAGAAUUUUAUUAAUCCUCUACAUGUUUUAUCUUGACGUAUGGAUACUAAGCAUUCCUUGGAUUGUGCCCUCUUUGUUCAUUUUUUCUUUUUCUUGGAACCUUAUUACAUGUUGUACCACUCCAGUUUUUUGGAGAUUUCUUAUGCAGAGGAACCAAUGGCAAGAGACUCUAAAAAUCCUACUCUUUUUUAUACCUUCCUCACCUCUUUGUGAUAUUAUAGCUGAAAUAAAAUGUAUGCUAAUACAUGAAAUGUUUCCUCUUGCCUUUCUUUUUGUAGUACUAAAACUACAAAUAGUGUCUGCAAAACUCUUUAGAGAAAAACAAAUGUCUGUAAAUCUCUUUUCCCGUAAUCUUAUCUUUUCUUCAUUGUAAUAGUUGGACAACUUUUUGUUGAAGACAAUGUCAACUACCGGGAUAAGUUAUUGUAAGCAUCUUUUCUUUAAGUGUUUCAUAUUAAAAACAAACACUGUUAUUGUUUAUUUUGUAGUCUAAAUUAUGAUAAUUUCUGCACAAAAUUCACAUAAAUGGUUACCCUCCCGAAGCGGAGCGAGGGUGAUGCUUACUAGUUAUUAAGAAAACAGGACCUUGUAGGGCUUAACUGUUGAAUCAAGAAAGAAAUUUCUUUUAAUGCCGUUAAUUUUUUUUAAAGCUGAUUUUUUUUUACAAAUUAAAGUUUUGAUUGUAUGUUAAUUGCUUGAGGGAAGGUCGGAUACUUUAUUACCCCUAUUUUUAUUUGUUAUAUAUUUUAGCCAUAAUGAUUUUUUUGGCCCUACAACUUUACCAAAAAAAUCAUAUUAGCUUUCAUUUAGUUUUCGUCUCUUUUAACCCUUUAACUUGUAUUUUUUUGUCAAAUCACCUCAAAAUGGAUCGAAAACUUAACAUUUGUGAACUUGAUGAUGUGCAUUCACAUGAAUUGUCACAUGGAUGACAAGUCAACAUUUAUUUUUUUUAAAAAACUUAAAAAAUAUUAAAUAAAAUAUUUUUAAUAUUUUUUAAUUAUUUUUAAUUUAAAAAAGUUUUUAAAUAUUUUUAAUUUUUAAAAAUUAAUUAAACCCAGACAUGGAAAUUCACAUCUAUGUGUCACAGGCCGUGGAUUAAAGCCCGUGACCAUUGUGCAUAGAACACCCCAUUGAAGUCAACUUAUUAAACGAGGUUCAUUUGACCCGCAUGAACUGGCCCGACUCAUGGAACCCGUGGAGAAGCCCAUCUACUUGAAGCCUUGGUGGUCUAGUGAAAUACUCCAAUAAAACUAGAAUUACUAGGGUAAAUAGUGUAUAUCUUAAAUGGAUAAGAUUGUAUAGAGUUUAAAUCCUUUAUGACUCUCAAUUGCAGAUAAGCUCUAAUCUUGACCAUCGAUAUAACUCAAUCUAUAUCGUUGCUUCUAGGGAGCUCAACUAUAAGUAGAGGCCUCCCCUUCAUUUUUAUCCAUUCCAUUCAUAGUUGUGAAUAUAUUUGAGAGCAUUUACUCAAACACCUUGUGUACAUUGCUUUUAUUUGGCUAUUAUGCUCUUUUGAGCUUCUGUCUUUGAGUAUCACAUCCCAAAAUUGGGCCAAAAAGAAAUAUGGGGAAAAUUGAGUUUUAAUUUUUUUUAAACAUAUGGUAAGGGAAGUAGAAUGCCUUAAAAUUAUUUUUUGUUAGAAAACUAAUAAGAAUGAGUUUGUUGUUUUAGUGUUAAUGCCUUAGCCUACCCAUAGGUCCCAAGUUUGAAUCCCUUGGUGAGGAUUCAACCAACAUAUUUUUAUUUCCUUGUUUUUACAACACCAAAAGUGACAAAUUUUAAAAUAACCCAGCCCAAAAACUAUUUUUUUAAUUUAGUCCUUAAUUUAAAAUUUUCCCAAACCUACAUAAAUUUUUAAAACCUAUUCCAAUUAGGAAAAAUAAGCAUUAUAAAUAGACAAUUUCAAAACAAACCCUAGAAUUUCAUCUAGCAAAUUUUCAAGAAAACAUCCAUAAAAACUUUCUUUUCCAAAUAAAACUUUCAAGCUAAAGAAAUCGAAAUCUUCAAAAUCAUCCCUCAAGUAGAUCUUCAAUCUCUUCUCCAGCACUAAGGUUUCUAAGUAUUCAAAAUAGGUGUGGAAACUAAACCUAAAUCUUUGUGUAUAAUUGAAUCUAAUAGCAAGUAGAGAACCAGUAUAGACUAACCCUAGGAGAAACCCCCUGUAUGUGCAAUCAUGUAGGUGUGAGCCUAUAGAUGCAAAACCCCUUGUACAUGAAAACCCCAUGCAUGCAAACCCUUACGUGAAACCCUCCUUUCAUGCGAACCCUAUAUGAAUACCAUGUGAACCCUAGAUUAUAGUUGUGAACCCUAGGUUGUUAUGUGGAUACCCAUACUGUGAACCCAUGUGCACAAACAUAUAGGAAUAUUCAUGCGAACCCCCUUGCAUGCGAACCCUAGUUAGUAUACAUACGGGUCUCAUAUUUACAUGCAAACCACUACUGGUGCGAGUCAAUUAUAUGAUAUCACAUACGAACCCUACUAUUACAUGCAAACCUUUAUACAGUUAUAUUCGAACCUUUUUUUGUUAAAACAGGUGAGACUUGUCUAGUAUUACAUACGACCCUACAUAUACCUAAUUUGCUAACUCAUAUGUUAAAAGUAUGUGAACCUAUCUAUGCUUGUUAUGCGAACUCACAUGUUAGCAGUAUGUGAACCUAUAUAUAUCAGUUAUGCAAACUCACAUGUUAGCAGUAUACGAACCCAUAAGUCUGUUAUGCAAACUCACACGUUGGUAUGCGAACCCUAUAUACACCUUUAUGCAAACUCACACAUUAACAGUAUGCGACCCUAUAUACGCCUUCAUGCAAACUCAUAUGAUUAGCAGCAUGCGAUCUCUAUAUUUAUGCGAACCCUUGUAAUAAAAAAUAUGCGAACCUUAACUUGCGAACCCUAGGCAGGAACCCUGCACUCGCAAAGCCUUCUUCCGGACCUGUACAUAUACUAGAUAACCAAGCCUAUUAGUUUACAUUAAAUCACUGUACAUAUGAGACUGUUUGUUUACAUGCACAAGUUAUAUGUGCAUUUACUAUUCGAUACAAGAGUACAUAUCGACCUUUUGAUGAGAAUUCAAAGAUUAACGAUGAUAAUUCCAACAAUCCGUGUAAGAAUGAGUUAAAUCGAGAAUUGAUGUAAUUUAAGGUAAUAAAGUUAAUUUUUCAGUAAUAAAUGAAAAAUUGUUAUCGAAAGAAACGAUGGGUAAAAAAAUGAGAGUUUUAAAGAAAAGAGAGGAAAACUUCAAUUUAGGGUUGAAAAGGAACUAAAAAUCCAUGUGAAAUCAGGAAAAAAUAUAAAAUACCUAGGAUUAAGAAAUUUGAGGGGGUUGAAUGGUAAAAUACCCUUUUUGCUUAAAAAUGGAAAUGGGGAUUGAGUUUGGCAUGACUUGAACCUUGGAAGCAAAGGAAAAAAUUGCAAAGGCCUUACCAUUUGAAGGCUACCCACAUUUGGUAUAUUUUUACACUAUUUGAUAUAUAUCCUAGCUUAGUUUUGAUCAUAGGUUGUUAAAAAAGCAAGGGGUAAGAGUGUGGCUUCAACCUUAGUUCUCUAGUUAGUACACUAAGCUCUUAACCAUUAAGAUUAAGGCUCAUCUCUUAGUCAAUUAAUUCAUCUAACUCUAUAUAUUUUGGGAUGUUACAUCUUGAAUUAGAAAAACCCGUAAAAUGCAUGUAGACUUGUAUUGCUUGGUACUUGGCAGUAUAUAUGUUGACUUGUAUGUUGAUUAAGCUAGCUUAAUUAAGACCAAUGUGUUAGACUUGUCUAUGCAUUGAACAAUCUAAAAGAAAAUGAAGAAAAAGACUCUGAAAACACUUGAAAACAGAUGAAACUCAUAUGUCAUCGACUAGUUAAACUAUGAUCACUCAUAAUAGACCUUGUAUUUGACUUUUUGUUGAGGGAAAUUGACUCCUUCGGGAGAAGUUUCCUAAGUGUUGCUUGUCAAGCAGUCAGUGUUGCCCUAAACAACUAAAGGUAUUGUCCCCAUGUCGAGAUUUUACCCCCAGCCUCUGCAAAAUAAUCAUGAAGAAUACGUGCGAGGGAAUUCAAACACCAACCAAUGCAUGUGUUGCCUUUACCUUGCCACCAUCUUUGGGAACCCAUAAGGAUAAAAUCCCAACAAGAGAAUUGUAUCAGAGGGGUCUGUCAACACAAUGAAUGAAAUUUAAAUGCAUACCUUCUUUUUUUUUAAUGAAAGUAAAUAUCAUAUUUAAUUAGAGAAAAGCAACGAAAAAUCUAACAAUAAAAUCCUUAGCAAAAGAUUAAAACACAAUUGUACCAUAAAUUAAAUAAGAAACUAAAAAAAUUCAAAUCUAACAAAGACAGUAACUUGAUUCCUCAAAGCUACCACAAACAGUAAUUCAUAGGAAGGCCUGCUGCUCAAUUUAUAGGUUUCCAUCUUGAUUUUGCAAAAGAAGUUUGAAUUCCGAAGAGAGCCUAGUACAUGAGAGAAAAUGAUUGAGCAAAAUAAAGAAAAUUAGUUUAUUAAUUUUCAUUAUGUAUAACACAAACUUCAUGGAGACGGAUACCAACAUACUAGAUAUCUAUGAUUAAAAUGCUAGAAUAGAUUAAAAAUGUUGAAUUAAUGAUUAAAUUAAGAGUGAAUUAUUAAGCGCAAGUGUACUCAUUACUCACCAUCUUUGUUAAACAUGUUUAAUGUUGUUUAGCAUCCUUUGCUUGAUUUUCUUUAGCUCAACCAUAACAUGUUUCAUAUCUAUUCUUUCUUCUGGUAACUCAGCUGUGAUGGAUGAAAUACAAUUUGCUUUAACAACAAAGUACUCAUCCUCUCUUUUUAAUAAAUCAACAUCUGCAGUUUCUAUCACUCCUUUAGACAGUGAACUUUCCAUCCAAUGCCUUAUAGUCACUUCUUCAGCAAAAUAAUUAUCAGUUGGCUUUUUCUUCGUGAAAGUUUCUAUAAGGACAAUCGCAUAACUAUAGACAUCACAUUUUCUAGAAACAAUUCCUGCUGAUCCAAAUUUUGCAUUUCAAGCAUAAAUAUUAGAGCAUCAUUAAUCCUUAAUUAUUUCUAAAAUGUUUACUCAAAUGUACAAAUGAAACAAAAAUAUAAAAUGAAAAUCAAGAAAAUAAUCAUAAAAAGAAUUCACCUGGUGCCAUAUACCCGAUUGUGGUUUGCUUCACUACAUCACCUUCUCCCAAAAAGUUGGAAAUGCCAAAAUCUCCCAUAUGUGCAACCAUGUCUUUAUCUAGUAAAAUAUUGCUUGGUUUGAAGUCAGAAUGAAUCAUAGGUGUUGGAUGUCCGUAGUGGAGAUGUUCUAUAGCUGUCGCAACAUCUAUCAUUAUGUCAACCCUUUGUAUGAUAUCAAGGAAACAGUUUUUAGAAUGUAGCCAUUUCUCAAGAUUUCCAUUUGACAUGUAAUCAAACACCAAGGCUUUUUUAAAAAUAAAAUAAACUUGGUAUCCAAAAUUUUUUUGUGUUGACAUGGCAUUUUUAAAAAUAAAAUAAACUAGGUAUCUGUGUAACAAAAAUAAAAUUGUAAUAGGCCUAAUUUUAGUAAAGAAUGUUAACGAUGUUAAGAAUUCUUUAAAAUUCACAUAAUCAUUUUUAUUAGAAUAAAGUAUUUAGACUUGACUAAUUAUAUUAUAAAAAUUAAGAUACCAAAUUAUGUCAAAAUUAAAGUUAUAGAUUAAAUCUCAAUUUUAACAUUCUUAUAAUUUGAAAAAGUAGAAGAUUGGAAUUAAAUAAAUUUAUAAUCCUUAAUUGUAAAUUUGAUAAUUCCUAUUAAUCUAAAUUAUUACAAUAAUGUGCUUACAAUGCUUGGUUUUACUUAAUGAGUGAUAUUAAAUUAAUUAAAAAAUUACAUAAAAAUCAAAUAUCUUAUUUCUAAUAAUAAUAUUACUACUCCCUCACAAAACUAUAUUUCACUUGAAAGAAAUUCUAUUCCCUUCAAAAAAAAAUUACCAUCUUAAAACACUUCAAUCUUUUAAAAAAUCUUAAUGCACACUUUAAUCCCUAAAUUAUAUCACUUUUUUAACUUUAGUCUUAAAUUAUUUUUUUUGAUUUUAGUCCCUAAUAUUAUUAAACGUUUCCAGUUUAGUUCAUUGGACAAUAAAAAUUGAUUGUCGUUGGGAUAUCCAACCAAUCAUACACUACCACAUAUUGUACGAUGAUAUCAUUAUGACAUCACCAACAAAAAAAACCUUAAAAAUCUUUAAAAAUGACAAAAAAUUAUUAUAAUUAUUUAAAAAUAGAAAAAAACUAAAAUUAUAAAAAUAAAAAAUCUAUGUAAAAUAUAAAAAUUUACAUAAAAUUUAAAAAUAUAUUAGAUAUUUUAAUAUCUUUAAAAUUUUAUAAAUCACAUUUACUAGAGUUUGAACCUAUGAUUAUUGUCAACAAUUGUUUUAUGACUCAAUUAAUCAUAAUUUAUAAUUGGUAGAUCUUUUUACGUGAUAAACUUGGAUAAUUUUUUUUCAAAUUAUUUAAAUAAUGAAAAGUAAUAUUAUUUCAAAUAAAUAAUAAAUUAUAUAAUAUUUUUAAUUAUUCCAAAUAUUUUUUUUACUAUAUUAAGAUAAAUUAUUUGUCUCUAGACCAAUAUCUUAAGAACUAUUGUCGUAUGUUUAACUAUUCUAAAGAACUUUGGUAUAAAAUAGAAAAAGCAUGUGCACAAUGGUAAAUAGGGAGUCGAGUCAAAUAAACUUGUUGCCAGUAAUGCUGGCAAAGUACUAAAAAUUGAUGUAUUUUAAAAUAUUAAAAAUUUGAUAUAAAAAUUUAUUCAAAUUUUUAUUAUAAUAAUUUUAAAUAUUUUUUUAUAAAAAUUGAUUGUACUACAAUAUACAAUUUCAAUAUCAAAUUUUUAAUAUUUUAAAUGUGAUUAGCGAAUGUAUACUUUAUUUCAAGUUACACAACUUUUACUAGUAUUUUAAUUUUUUUAUUUUUUACAAUCUUUUAUUAUUUCUAAUAUUUUUUAUAUUUUUUACAAUAUUUAAAAAUUUAUAAUAACUUUUAAUAAUUUUAUUAUUUUUAGAAAUUAAAAGAAUUGACAAUUUUUUUAUUUUUUAAACAAUUAUAAAUUUAUAAUGUAGUUAAUUUUAUUUAAGUUUAUUUGAAUUUUAUGUUAUUUUAAAAAAAAAUUAUUUUUGCAAUCGUGACAUCAGCAUAUGACACGUGGUAAUUUAUGAUUAGAUGAAUAUUCGGUUUUUUUUUUAACGUCCAAAGGAUUAUGCUGAGAACACCUGGUAAUGUUAAGGACUACACUAAGAGCAUUUGAUAAUAUUAGGUACUAAAGUGGGCCUAAAAAACAUUAAGGACCAAAGCAAAAAAAAUGCUAUACUUGAACUUUCAAAAUUAUCUUUCAUUUAGUUAGGAUUAAUAUUUAACGAUUUAACAUUUAAAAAUUUGUAGUAUUGAGGUUAAAAAAUGAGUAAGAGGUGGUGGAUGGUUCAUAUAAUGGUGAGGCACAAAGAACCAUUUUAAAAUAAGAGAAGGGAGGGGUGCUUAUUCUUGAGGUUAAGAAUGAGUAUUUAUAGGUGAGGUUAAUCAUCCUUGAUCAUUAGACCUUGACAAGUGUUUGAUGCCAGUCUUAUCGUGGUUGGCCACUAAGGGAAUGAUGGACCUCUAGGUAGUGAUGGAAUUUACAUGAAUUAGAUGAGAUUAGGAUGACAAUUUGGAUUUUGAAUUCGGAUAAUAUUGGAAUUAAAAUUUUGAAAUUACUAUCUGUUGCAUAUUUGAAGUGAAUGCGGAUAGAUGUUUCAGAUUUAUAUUAGUCGAAUAUACAUUACUUAUUCGAAUAGAUGUAGAUUGGAAUUUAGAUAUCUGAAUCAACUAGUCACGAAAUGUGUAUAGUUUUGAUUAUAUAUAAAAAAAUUUGGUGGAUUCAAUUUUGAAUUUUCGUGGAUUUGGAUAUCCAGAACAUGAUUGAAAUUUUUAAAGUUACUCCUUUUUUGUUGAUUCAGAUAUUUGACGAAUAAUAGUACUUAACUUAAGCCAAAUUUAGAUAGUAAUACUCGGAUAAUUUGUAUAUAAUAAAUAAAUUUUGAUUUUCAAGCAAAUAUGCAUAUUCAAAUUCUAAUAAUUCAAAAAAUGUAGAUACUAACCUAUUGCCAUUCCUAGGCAAGAGUACCCUACGUGUGAUCCAUGCACAGAAGGAUCCAACAUCUUUCACUGAUGAGGUAGAUUAGAAGCAUCACGUACCAGGCAUAUAUGUAUCAAUGAGGUCUAUAGCAGGCAAAGUGUAGCCCCAACUGAAAUCAUAGUUGACGAGGUUGUAGUUGGGCGACAUGAUGGUGACAAAAGCCACUCUGGUAAAAUAUUAAUAGCAAUCGCCCUCCAAUUAAUGAGAAGUUAUAAAGUGACCUAAUUAAAUGGUAGCAUAGUUUACCAUAAGUGUCAUAUGUGUUGUAAGGCAUGAGCUCAAACCCUACCAAACUCAAAUGAUCAAAUUUCCUUGGUACCGUUUGUCCCAACAAGGCGCUCCCACUCUGUUGAACCUGUCACCUCUUUAGGUAGCUUUAGGCACUUGAGAUCUUUACAAAGUCGAGAGGUAAAAUUAUUGGAAAAAAAACUCGAUUUGAAAAUGGUUUUCUUGCACAGUAGAAAAAUAAAAUUUUGAAAAUCAACUUGGUUUGUGAUAUUUAUAGCAAAAAAACCUUAACUGAAUUCAUACAUGUGUUUUUGGAUAAGUGGAUCCUUGAUGUUUUCAGGCUUUCAACCAAACGAUCUUUUGCACUAUUCUCGUACCACGAACUGCUUCGAGUGUGGCCUCAAACCAAUUGAAUCAAAACACAAAACUAGAAAAGGUUUUCCUUUUUGAGUGAAAACCAAAAUUCUCUCUUCUUUAAUAGAAAUCGGUAAAAUUAUUAUUAUGAAAAAUAUGUUUAUAAGUUGAGAAUAAAUUCUCUCUAUUUUUUGACAGAAUAACAAUCUCUCAAAAGUUGUGUAAAUAGCUCUACUGGUGCCAUUUAUUUAUAGGAAGAGAAAGUAGAACCCUUGUAGAGUUGUAAAAGUUUAUAUCCACUAGAAAAAUAAUAUCCUAGCCUAUCUAGGAUAUAGGAAGCAACAACCCUAGUUAAUGAUACUAGGGUUUUGUCGUUCCACCUCCUUAUAUGAGGGGUUUUAGGCCUCUCUCACAUCGGGUCCAAGUACAAGUACUUCUUAAAUAUAAACUUGUAUUUGAUAUAUUGAUUACGUAUGAAUUUAUAUAUUGUGAGUAAAAUUUGUAUUUGAUAUAUUAAUAAUGUAUAAAUUUAUAUAUUGUUAAUACAUCAUAUGUUUAAAAAAUCUAAUAAUUAUAUAUUAUUUUCAAUAAUUUUUAAAUUUAUUAAUUGAUUUAUUGGUAUAUUAAUAUUAUUUUUUAGUAAUAUGUAAAUUUAUACCCAGUCAAUUUAUGAAAUAACAUUUAGUGAGUGGAAUAUAUAUAAAAGAAGAUAUUCUAAAUCUUUCUAAGCUUUAUAAUUCUUCCUUAAAAUAGAAAAAGAAAUAAAUUGUUGAUAUAGAUAUGUUGAUAAGAUUUUCAUGUAGGACUUUUCUGUAAUUCAUGAUUUUGUUACAUGCAUUAAUUGUAAUUGUGAUAUUUUAUAUUUUAUUUAUAUAAAUCAUGUUAAAUUUGAUUUAAAUUCCUUUUUUAAUUAUUUAUUCUUUUAAGAAAUUUCAAGUAUUCAAUAAAUAUUAAUGUAUACAUUUCCUUAAAUUGAUAUAAUAGUGAUAUCAGAUUAGUUUAAAAUUUUGCGUGUAUGACAAGUACAAUUAUAUUGAUAGAUUCAAUAGUCGGAUUAUUCAAAUAUUACUCCUACAAAUAUAUAUGUAUGAAGAAGUAUAAACUACUUUAAUUUUACACUGGUAUAAGUAGAUCUCUCUCUUACAUCUGUUGUAUAUUUGAUUUUGAUUCAAACGUACUCAUUUAAAGAAAUAAAUACAUCAAUUUAUUUUUAUAUUGAAUAAGUAUAAUUAUUUGAAUAUGAAAUAUAUAGAUGUAAAAUGAUGGUAUAUCAAUAACGAUGUUAGAUGUUUGUGAAAAUUGAAUCAAAUCAAUAUUUCAUGUAUAAAAUUGCACAAUGGACCAAAGUUCAUGUACAGUUUUGAUCUUUAUAUCUGAAAUUUAUUAAUGAAAAUUAUUUUCCAAAAGAUCACAUUGAGUAAGUUUAAUUUAAAUUUAAAUAUUUAUAUUUUUUCUCAUAUAGAAUUAUAAUUUUUUUAAAAGAAGUGUAUACUAAUUGUUGAAAGAUUUUCGACUCUUUUGGAAAGUCUUCAAAGUGGCAUAUUUUGAAGAUGGUGGACCCUCAACACGUCCAAUAUUAUCAUUGGUUAAGGUUUUUGUUGGAUCUAGUGUCCUAAGUGUAGUACUUUUUAUCAAUAUACAGUUGUAAAUUUUGUUAACAAAUUGGUUAAUAAAACAAAUUUAUCGAUUAUAUUAAUAUACUUUAUAUAAUUGUCCUAACAUAGUUUUUGCAUGCAAAGCAAAAUGGAAGCAAAUGUUGCUCAUUGGUUGCCUAAAUAUUUAACUAAUACUAAGCGGUAUUAUGUGUAUAAAAAACAGCUUGUAUUAGUAGACAAAUCUAAACAUGUCCUUAGCAUAAUUGGAAAUGAGUAAAUUGAUUGAAAAACUAAUAUGUCGUCUAUCAAGCGUAACUGGGGAGAUUCCUUGUCUUGGGCAUCGAAGCGGAUGACUCCCAAAAGGUAGAGACAUAGAUGUGACUGACUUGACUGGUAGUACAUUGGAUAGGACACAAAUAGAAUAGAUCCUGAAUUUGUUUAUGGACUUAUUCACUUGUGAUGUCCAUAGUGUGGCAUACAUAAAUCUUGAAUAGAUAGCGGAGUGUGACUUUUACACUUUGAUGUAAGUAAAAAUGUAAGUUCAAAUAGAUAAGGAACCAAAAUCUAGUACAUUUGGUUUACGACUUCUGUAGUAUGUAGCAUCAUUCAUAAUAGUGAAAUUCAUAGCCCAAAUCAUGGGUAAAUGAUAUCCUCUCAUUGACAUUACAUGGUUAAUGAAAAGUAAAUGUGGCCACGGGUUGUCCGUCUUUGUGAUGGAAACUUGAUCACUAAUUGAUAAUGAUUGAUUUUUCACGAAAGAAGCUGUAAUGGUUACCAUGAGAUAAAAUAUGAUCAUAUUGGGAGAACAAAUAUUAUCACAAAGAGAUCAAGGAUAUCCUAUGAGGGUAACACACUAAUGACAAGGUUAUUGGACGAGCAUUAAGUAGUUACUUUCGUAAUGGUAUGUCGUUGGGGAUAUUUCAUUCACGACACUAUAGUGGAAUGACUUCAUGACUAAAUGAUUUUAUAAUUAAUAGGUAAAAAAACAGAAUUUAAUUAUAAAUCAUUUGAGCCUCAACUCCAUAUGUCUACUCGGUCCCCCCACUGUUAGUUCAUUGAAACCAAAAAUGAAUUGCACGUUUGAAUGGAAAUCAGCGAAAUGGAUAGAAAAAGAGAAAUGAGAAACAUUCAGAAAUGAUUAUGGUCUCCUCUAAAAUGGAGAAAUGGAAUAAUUUGAAAAUGAAUGUAGGUUUCCAAAAAUGGAAAUAGAAAUGAAAAUGGAAACUUGCAAUUUUAUAUAUGAUUACUUAAAAAAUGAUGGAAGAAUGAGUUUAUAUUUUUUGACUGUUUUGAAGCUCGAAAAUGAAAAUAAAUCAUUCAGUCAUAGUGAACAUAUUGAGUUGUGUCAUAUUAAAUGAAUUUUCUUGAAAUUUUAUUGGAGGUAAAAUUGCCAAAAUUUUAAUGCGUAAAAUUGUCAUGAGAAAAUAAUUUAAUAUGUAAAUAUUAAAAUUUAUUUUGGAAAUAGAAAAAUUGAAUCGGGUUGGACCAUAUUACAAAGUACUAGAUCAAAAAGGCCCAGAAAGUACUCGUACUUGGACCUGAUGUGAGAGAGGCCCAAAACCCCUCAUGUAAGGUGGGACGGCAAAACCCUAUUAACUAGGGUUGUCGACCCUUAUAUCCUAGAUAGGCUAGGAUAUUAUUUUUCUAGCAGAAAUAAACUUUUACAACUCUACAUGGGUUCUAUUUUCUUCUCCUAUAAAUAGAUGGCACCAAUAGAGCUAUUUAUACAACUUUUGAGAGAUUAUUAUUCUACCGAAAAGUAGAGAGAAUUUAUUCUCAACUUAUAAACAUAUUUUUUAGAAUAACAGCUUUACCGAUUUCUAUUAAAGAAGAGAGAAUUUUCGUUUUCACCCUAAAAGAAAACCUUUUCUAGUUUUGUGUUUUGAUUCAAUUGGUUUGAGCCCACACUCGAAGCAAUUCGUGGUACGAGAAUAGCGCAGAAGAUCGUUUGGUUGAAAGCCUGAAAACAUCAAGGAUUCACCCAUCUAAAAACACAUGUAUGAAUUCGGUUAAGGUUUUUUUGCUACAAAUAUCACAAACCGAGUUGAUUUUCAAAAUUUUAACUUUUGCUGUGCAAGAAAACCAUUUUCAAACUGAGUUUUUUUUCAACAAUUUUAUCUCUCAACUUUGUAAAGAGCUCAAGUGCCUAAAGCUACCUAAAGAGGUGACAGGUUCAAUAGAGUAGGAGUGCCUUGUUGGGACAAACGGUACGUGACGCAUGACCACCUACCAAGGAAAUUUGAGCAUUUGAGUUUGGUAGGGUUUGAGCUCAUGCCUUACAACAAAUAUGGCACUUAUGGACAACUGCUACCAUUUAAUUAGGUCACUUUAUAACUUCUCAUUAAUUGGAGGGCGAUUGUUAUUAAUAUUUUUCCAGAGUAGCUUUUGUCACCAUCACCUCGGCCAACUACAACCUCGUCAACUAUGACUUCAGUUGAGGGCUACACUUUGCCAGCUUUAGACCUCAUCAAUACAUAUAUGCCUAGUACAUGAUACUUCUAAUAUACCUCGUUAGUGAAAGAUGUUGGAUCCUUCUAUGCAUGGAUCACACGUAGGCUACUCUUGCUUAGGAAUGGCAAUAGGUUAGUAUAUACAUUUCUUGAAUUAUUAGAAUUUGAAUAUGCAUAUUUGCUUAAAAAUCAAAAUUUGUUUAUUAUCUAUAAAUUAUCUGAGUAUUACUAUCUAAAUUUGGCUUAAUUUAAGUACUAUUAUCUGUAAAAUAUCUGAAUCCGCAAAAAAAGAGCAAUUUAAAAAUUUUCAAUCAUUUUUUGGAUAUCCAAAUUCACGAAAAUUCAAAAUUGAAUCCACCAAAUUUUUUAUAUAUAUAAUCAAAACUAUACACAUUUCAUUACUAGUUGAUUUAGAUAUCGAAAUUCCAAUCUACAUCUGCUAUUCGAAUAAGUAAUUUUGUAACACCUUAAAUAAUUUAAGUCUGUUUUUGUGAAAUUUGACACAAAAUGUGUACCUGCUUCAGUGGUUAAGUGUUCUAGGUGUGUGUGUGAGGUAUUGGGUUCAAUUCCUACUUUUGGAAAAACUUUGUUAUUUUAUAUCCAAGCCUAACUCUUAUUGAGUGGGCUUAUGUUAAAUUGUUUGUUAAUCCAUAUCAAAAUAAGCUUGUAGGUUUGAGUGGUAAGGAGUUGGUGUGUAGGAGGUCCUAUGUUUGAAUCCCUACGUGAGCGUAGGUAUUAAUUUUUGCUCGGUUGUCUGAUAGAGUUUGAGUGGUCUUGAAAGUCUGAGGUUGUUAAGGUUGAGUGUUAGUGGGAAGUUAGGAUAUUUUGGAGGGAUUUUUAUGUUGAUUAUUAUUUUAUUUUAUUCCUUUUUCAAAUUUUCUUCUCUCUUCCCAAAAUUUCCCUCUAAUGUUAUUCUUCAAGUUUUUUUUGUUGUCUCUAAUAUUUUUCCCCCUUUUCAUUAAAUCUUUGUUUUGUUCUUCUUUUUUUUAUUAUGUUCGUCAACCUACCAUUCGAUCGUGCCAUUGGAGUUGUCGAGUUAUCUAAUCGGUUGGUAAGUAAAACUUUGCUUCCCUUUAACUUUUGAUUUGGGAUUAUAGUGAUUUCAAUAUGUAGCAAUUGAUUAGUGGAACUUCGUGUUUAAGAGAAGAAUAGGGAGCAAUGAAUUGCACUCCAACGAUUUAGUGUGCGUUGAAGUGGUUUGUCAUCGAUGGUAAGUCAGUUUCGUGUUGUUUCUUGUCUUCAAAUUCAUUAAUGAAUCUACUAAAUCAAUGCUGGGUACUUUAAUUUUAGGAUUCAGAAGGCUCGGGAGUAUUUUUGCAUUAAAAUCAUAAUAGGUGUGUCCCUAAAACACAGAAAGUUAGGUUUCGAUAAAAGCCAAAAAUGCAUUCUGUCGAUGCCACAAGGGCGUGUGCCUGGCCGUGUGGCUAGUCGUGUGUGAGACACGGCCGUGUGUUUGACGAGGGUGUGGCUAUGCGCAAGCCACGGUCGUGUGGUAGUGUAAGUGUGGUUGUGUAGGCCAUACGGGCUAGGCCAAUCUAGGUUUGUGGGCCUACACGGGCAUGCCACACGGACGUGUAGAGGCCCACACGGCCAUGUAGGCCCACAAUUUUGAGAUUUUCCCUAAGGUUGCACGGUUCGUUUCGAACGAUUGUGGUCCUACCAUAGGGUCGGUAAGGGCUAAUCAAACCCUAAAUUAUGUGAUAUGAUAUUCUGAUAGUACACCUUGUGUAGGAUGUCGAUAUGUACAUCUGUUUUAUUUACGUAUAUAUAUGCUAUCUGUAUAUGAGCAUGUUAUGCAUGAUAUUACUGUAUCUGUUAUUUCUAUAUUAUGUAUCUGUGAUUGGGGUGGGUUUUGUAUAUGUAGAGAAAGUGAUCUGUAGGAUAACACUUCCAUUAUAUUUUAGCAGUUGACUGCAUAUUAUUUGUAAUGUGUAGCAUUGACAUUAUAUGGUGUGUAGGGAGGGGUGGGUGCUUUUAGCCCCAUAUGGUGUGAUGGGAUGGUCGAAGAUGUUGUGUAGAGGAUGGGAGUAGGAUUCUGUAUAUCUGUACUACUUAUCUGAUUCUGUUAUCUGUAUCUGGAAUGGAUAUAAGUCUAGAUCUUGAUCUGACUGUAUAUAAGACUUCUAUUUGUAUUGCAUGUCUAUUUUUGUUAGGUUACACAAUGAGUUUACGAAAACUCACAUCUGUUUGUCUGUUCUGUUCAGGUCUAUAGACUUAGGCGAAUCAGAGUGACGGAGCCUCACGGUAACCACGAGAUUGUAAACUAUUUAAGAUUAUGGUUUUUAUUUAAUUUAAGGAUUCUUUCUGGAAGUUUGUAAUAAUUGGGCUUUCUAGAAUAUUUGACUUUUAUUUCAAUUUUGGAGGCGUUUUAACUUUUAUGGCCACGUUUGACCAAAUUCUGAUUUUACUAAAAUAAAGGAUUUUCUGAAUACACGAAUUAGAUUUCCAAGAUUCAAUGCUUUUUGAAAACUUCCGCUGCAGAUUAUGUUUUGGAAAAUGAAUGAAUUAAAUAAUGCUUCUAGUAACAGAUAGUACACUUGGGGUGAUUUAUCGAACGACUUAACAAAGCUUUAUCAAAAGAUCACUAUUUUCAAAACCCUUCCAUGUAACACUCUUAGAUUCGGCCACAACGUCUAGGCCAGGAUUGGGGUGUUACAUUUAAUGGUAUCAGAGUCAGGUUGCAAAACUCGAGCUGUGAAUUUUGGGUUUCAAAAUUAUGUUUUGAAAAAGAACAGGUUUUCAAAUAAUUUGGAUCAUUUUGAAUAAGUAUGUGGUACACUGAGUCUCCGGCGUUGAUCCUAUGAGUACUUUUGAACUUAGAUAAAACUUUCUGAAAACACUAUAGUUAGUACUUUCUGAAACUGUACUGAGUUAGUUAAAAAAUAAAAACCUCUGAAAUAUGUUCAAACUUUUGAUAAUUUGAGCAUAAAAUAUCUGUUAAUAAACAUUGGAGCUGAUGCAUAAAAUUUUAUAAUGUAGAUAAAUUUUAAAAUAUAUAAUGAGCACUUGUGGAACUCGCGGUCAUGGUAUUCGUGGGCUCAGUGGGGGCCAUAGGGGGCUGGAGCUGAGUCUUUUUCUAUGGGCAAUAUGCCAAACUUAGAUAUGAGUAAGCUACGGUUUCACUUGCUACUGAGACAAGGUCUCAAAGCCAGUUGGCUAGGGACGAUGCACUAUCCCAAGCCAUGUUAAGGGUGUUGGAGAGGGUCACUGGACCCCAUUCUGGAUCUGUGGGCCAUAGGAUGGUAACUGAACAACUCUGGUCCAAUGGAGCUGAGCUGUUUAGGGGUGUCAUUGAAGUCGCUCCUACUGUGGUCGAGUAUUGGUUGGAGGGCACAAAGAGGAUUCUGAACGACAUCGAUUGUACUCCUAAGUAGAAAUUUAAUGGUGCAGCCUCUCUACUUCGCGAUGAGGCAUAUCAGUGGGGGUUGUCAGUUGAGGAGGGUACUCAACGGGACUGUCUGAACUAGGAUUAUUUUAAGACUACCUUUCAGGGGAAGUAUGUGGGCGCGAGCUAUGUUGAUACUUAUAGGCGUGGGUUCAUGAAUCUCACGCAAUGUGAUAAACCAGUGGCUAAGUAUGAGGCAGAGUUUCUAAGGUUAAACCGCUACGCUUGAGGCAUGGUGGUGACUAAAUUUGAGAAAUUCAUCUGUUUUAAGGAUAGCUUGAGGUAUAAUCUGAGGGUACUGAUUGCUCCACAGAGGGAGCAAGAGUUCACAGUUCUUGUGGAUAAGGUGAAGAUCGCAGAGGAGAUUAAGUGCGUGGAGCGCUAAAAUAGGGAUCGUGAGUGAGGCAAGAAUAAGAGGGAUUCAGAGUCCUCUAGUUCUGUUAAGAGGGCUGUUAGAGUAGGGGUUCCUAUUACUUCUAAUAGGAUUCAGCCACGUGAUGAUUGUGGUAGGCACCAUCCGGGUGAGUGUUGGAGGAGGUUGGGGGCUUGUCUGAGGUGUUGGUAUUUGCAACACCACAUUAGAGAAUGUUCACUCCAUGCAGAUUAGAUGCAAGCUUUAGGAUCAAGUUUUAUACAACCUUAGAGGGCAGUUCAGUAGCCAUCUAAGGGCCGUGGUCCGACUAGGGGUGGUAAUGGUAUGGGUCGAGGACAUAGAACAUCGGGAAAAGGUGUUAGUUAGACUGAGGCAAGGCAGCCUGCACUGGUUUAUGCUACUCAAUGCCGAGAGGAUAGAGACGCUCAUUAUGUUAUCACAGGUACUUCUUUAUUUUUGGUGUUCCAUAUACUGCUCUGAUAGACAUAGGUUCUACUCAUUCCUAUAUAGGUAGUACUAUUUCUAAAAAUUUAGGGAUUUUUGGUGAGGGUGUUUCUAGUGAAAUUAUUGUACUGAGUCCGUUAGGGCAGUCUUUUCAUGUAAGUAGACUUUAUAGGAAUGUGCCUUUGGAAGUACAAGGGAUUGUGUUUUCGGCAUAUCUGAUGGAGUUACUAUUUGGGGAGUUUGACUUAAUUUUGGGUAUAGAUUAGUUGGUUGAGCUUUGAGUUAGCUUGGAUUGCACAACUAAGAGGGUCAGUCUGAGGGCUGUGGAUGAAAGAGAGAUAGUAGUGAUCGGUGAGCAUCGAGAUUAUCUACCUAAUGUGAUCUCCGCUCUUGUGGCUGAAGAAUUGGAUCAGAAAGGGUGUGAGGCGUAUUUGGCUUACGUCAGUGUUCUAGUUUCUAGGGACUCUUCUAUCCGGGAUAUCAGAACAAUAAGGUAAUUUUUGGAUGUAUUUCUUGAGGAAUUAUCGGGUUUACCUCCGAAUUGAGAAGUUGAGUUUGGUAUUGAGCUUCUACCAGGUACAUCUUCGGUGUCCAUCGCUCCCUAUCAAAUGGCAUCGAAGGAGCUUACAGAGCUUAAGGCUCAACUUCAAGAGCUUUUGCAUCGUGGUUUCAUCCAUCCUAGUGUGUUUCUGUGGGGGGCACCGGUUCUGUUUGUAAAGAAAAAUGAUGGUACCACAAGGUUGUGUAUUGACUACCUACAGUUGAAUAAACUAACAGUAAAGAAUAAAUAUCCACUUUCGAGGAUUUAGGACUUAUUUGAUCAGUUCCGAGGGGCUGCAGUGUUUUCAAAAAUAGACCUUCAUCCUGGGUAUCAUCAGCUUAACAUUAGAUUUUCAAAUUUAAAAAUUAAAAUUUUUUUUACAGCUGCAUAAUUAAUAAGAUAUCAAUUUUGAGUGUUGUAGAAGUGUUAUAACCUUCUCAACGCAUAACCAACUCUUGAAUUCACUUUUUUCUCUAAAAUUCUACAUAGAACACAAAUUUAUUUUUUAAAUAUAUUUUAAAUCUCGCAAUAUUUUUAGGCGAUUCACCAAAGAAUAAAAACCUAGGAGGUGAUUCCUCCUUUUUAAUAAAACCUUGUGCUUUUGCAAACACCAAAUUAUUGCUAAGCUUUACAUUAAUAGACAUGAUUUAUUUGUUCGUUAUUAUUAUUUCUAUGAUUAUAAUAUUAUACUUAUCGGACUACAAUCAUAACCAUGUUUAUUAUAAUUCAAUAAAAAGAAAUAAGUGUUGGGUGUAAUGGCAAGGUUCAUUACACUCUUAAUAAGAGAUCAGGGUUUUGGACAAAGGAAGAAUAUGAUUCGAAUUUUGGAGACGACAUUCUUAAAAUGAGCAACCACGAAGCCCGAUUAUGAACCAUAAAAUGAACAUGAAAAGUACAAAAAAUACGUCUAUUAUCAAAUUAGUAAUCCAUCCCAAGGCUUAAAUUAACAAAAUUCACCAUGCAACCAUGUAGACUAUUUUACGUAUAUACUAUAUUCAUUCUUCAUGCAAAAUGUUUAUUAUAUUUAAAAAUUAAAAUAUAUGGUUCAUUGAGUUUUAGUUGAGUUAAUAUUGAUAUUGUUGUUAGUGCAGAAGAAUGUGAGUUCAAACAUGUUUAAACGCGUUUUUCUUCCAAUUUAGGAGUUGGAAAGGGUUUUCAAUAGUUAAAUUAUAUAAGUUUUUUUGUCUAAUUAAAAUUGAUUUAUAAACAAUAUAAAUAAAAAGAUUUAAAAUAUAUAUAUUCAUAUUGAUGGGCUUUUUCAUUAUUAGACUUUUUUCCUUACAGGUAAAAGUAUAUAUGGACAGGAUGAUGUAAAAUUAUGACCUGAAUAAUUUUAAACCUUUCAUGACUACAAAAAUGAAAAUAAUAGAAAUGAAAGACUAGCCAUUGUAUGAAAUUUAUAAUUGAACUGCCAACAAAAUUGGGAGAAAUUUUUAAAUUUUAUGAAAUUUUAAAAUUAAACUAUCAAUAAUAGAAAAUUGCCUGAGUGACUUGGGAUUAGAGGUUGAACAUUUCUGGACCACAAUACAUUUAAGAUGGGUCUUUAAGGUUAUACUUUAGUUAUUGAGAACAUUUUCCACAAAUUGUCAUUAUUGUUUACUGCAGCAAAACAGGCUUUUAGCAUCGUUUUCUUAGGCCUAUAGCAGCUUUUUCACAAGCGCCGCAAAAAAUGCCACUAUAGACAACGCUGUUAAAUUUUGCGGCAUUUUAGAACAUGACCUUUAGCGACACUUUACCCAAAAAUGCCACUGAAGAACAUGAUCUUUAGCGGCGCUUUCCCAUAAACACCGCUAAAGAACUUGAUCUUUAGCAGCGCUUUUAUCACAAACGUCGCUAAAGAACAUGACCUUUAGCGGUGCUUUUAUCACAAACGCCGCUAAAGAGCAUGGCCUUUAGUGGUGCUUUUAUCACAAACACCGUUAAAAGUACCGUUCUUUAGCAGCGUUUAUGAAAAAACACCACUAACUUUGGCAGAUUUGUAACAUCCAAUUUUCAUCCAUAUACAACCCUUCCUGUAGCAUGAAAUCCAACCAAAAACAACAAAUCUAAAUGAUACUUCAAAUUCUACGAAAGAUAUAUGAUAUAAAUUGAUAACUGAAGUAUAAUUCAAAAUAUUCUUACAAUAAUGUUAAAAGUUACAAAGUUAAAAAUAUUCUUACAAUAAGAAAACAAAUGUCUAAGAUGGCAGAUUUUGCAACUGCUGAAACAUCUUCAUCAUAUUCUGAAGCUGUAGCUGCAGUGUAUAGUACUUUCUAAUUGAAUAAACACAAAUCUAUUUUUCAACAGCUAUAACAAAUCAGCUAUAAACCUUCAACAGGACCAGUACUUGCAAAAACCUCUUGGAGUAGUGGUUCAGCCCACCUACCUACAGUUUCUCAAAAAUUAAAAUAAAAAAUUAAAAGUUAAAGAAAAAAACAGAAAAAAGAAGAGAUAAAUAAAACUAUAUAAGUAACUUUCUAAGUUGUUAAAAAGAUGCAAGAACAUGCAAGCAUCUAUCAGAUUCCAAAAACCAUUUAACUAUCAAUUAAAAGAGCCAUUAGCUUAGAAUUUUGCACAGAGGGUCAUAGCCACGUAUCCAAUAAGUAGACUCAUGAAGGAAAGUGUCUCUAAUUCAUGCAGUUAUAAGCAUAGAAGUGACUAGGGUAUGUGCUUAAGCAAGAAGGGGAAAUAAGCGACUCACAAUAUACAAAUAAAACAAAAUGGAAAAAGGGGAAAAAUAAGUAAAAAAAACCUAGGCAAACACUCACACACUGCGGCAAGUACUUGGAUCAAAACCAGGAGGCAAAUUUCCACUUGGUAUUGGCUCUAUCUGCAGAAUAGAAAAGUGAAAAAUAAAAAAGAAGAGAAAAGAAGAAACGAUGUACAAAAAAGUUAGGUCCCACUCAACUCAAUUCUAAAGCCUCCAUAUCCAAGAAAAAGGAUGAGUUUUUGAAGAAAUCUAAUAGUCAACCUAAAAGAACAAGCAAGAUGCUAACUACGACCAUGACAAAUGUAAGCAUCACUUCUCCUACUUUGGCAAUACUUUCCACUUGAAAAGACAACAGACUUCCUUGCUUUUACUAUUAUCACAUUUUCCCUUUUCAUUUUUUCAGUGCCGACCUGAAAAAAUAUAUUUUAGCCUCAUCUAAAUAAGACAUACUUUAGCAGAACAACAGACUGUAGAUCAGACCCAAUUCAAGGGUAAUGCAGUCCAAAGUUCCUUGAGCUCCCUCCUCCAAAGUGAAAAACAAAUCUAUAUCUUUCUGCAUGAUUCAAACAAAAAUGACUGUUGGACAUGUAACUCAGAAAGAAUGCAAAUACAUUGAAAGCACCACAGACUUUAUAAAUUAGCUUCAUGCUGUUAAAUUUCAACACUAUAAACCUAACAAAUCCCAGAACGAAAUGCGGGAAUCAUGUCUUAAACUCUAAUACUCAAACAAGAGACAGAUAAAUUGCACGUUUUUUUUAUAUAAUAUUUACAAACUAGAGAUAAAGAUGUAGAAAAAUAUAAACAUGGACAUGGACAAAAAGACUAAUUGACUGUGCAUGUGUGCCAGAGAGAUGGCAACUAAACAUUAUCCAAACACAAUCAUUUCUCAACAUUUGCAAAACAAAAUGAAGAUUAAGAUUAGCGGUAAACUAAAUAAAACCAAAGAAGUGAGAACCACAAGUAAAUGAGAAAGAAAACAAAAUAGAGAACCUAAUAGCUUUCCCAUUGAACUUCGUAUAAAAGAAAUAACAACAUUUGAACUUCAAGCAAAUAAAAAUGUAAAAUAUUUAGAAUCAAAACAAUCUUUUAUCAAAAUUCAAACCAAAAACAAUGAGCUUCACUCUAUACAAGAAGCAUGUUAACGUCAUAGGCUUUCUCAUUUCUGGAAACCAAAUCCAGAAACGUCUCCCACCAAAAAUCAAGAAAAUAACUUUUGUUUUUGAAAAUCACAUUCAAAUCGCGAAAUAGGAGCAAGGUCCUUCGAAUUCAAGCAAAGUUGAUGGUAAAAGCUUAGCUUUCAAAGGUCAAACAUCACAGCAUUAAAUAUAAAACUAACCCAAUCUCCACCAAUUCAAAAACAAGAAACCAAACACAAGAAGAUCCAAACACGAUUUCGAAAAAAGAAAAAUAGAUAUUCCUGAAAACCGGAUCAAAAACUAGCAUAUACUUAAUGAAAAGAGAAAUUGACGAAAAAUCACAGGAGAUCUGCAUGCAAAUAGAAGCACACUUUUGCUUGAUUAUUCGCUUAAAAAAGUAACAAUGGAAAAUAAGAUGCAAGUGCUAGGUAAAACCAUCAUGUCUUCUUACUCACCACAAACAAAGGCCCUCUAGGACCUUCAUGAAUUUUUGUCUCAUAAGUGCUUCUAUUGUGAGCCCGAACAGCUUGAUAGCCCACAAGAUAAGGAUAUCGAUCUUCACCCUACAGAUUAACAAGGCUAAAUCCACUUAAAUGAAACACCAUUAGUCCAUAACAAUUUACUUCAAUUUUCUGCUGUUAGUUCAAAUAUGUAUUUUUUUUAAUUUGCCAAAACUUGUUAGGAUCGAAGAUUCGGAAUUCCUAAAUUUCAAUUCAAAUUUACACAAUACUUGCAGAAAAAUAUACUACUAUUAGAGACACCGGCAAUCAACCAGAGUUCUUUAGUUUUCGAUCAAGUUAUUCGGCAGGUAUCUAUAUUGAUUACACAAAAAAAAAAAAUCUUACACCGUGAGAAUGUCGAGUAAAUUGCAAAUAGAAAAGCAAACGAACCCUAGAGGAGCUCCAAUACUUCUUCUCCCAAGGGCCUUUGUAUAGAGAUCCAAUGGAAAUGAUCUCUAGAUCGUCUAAUUUCGCUGUUUGUUCUGCUUCUUUAGUUUUCGCCAUUCAAAGAAAUGAGAAGAAAGCAAGAUUUCCAAACAACUAACAAUAAGCGAGUAGAGAGGAUUUUCAAGAUAGACGAAGACAUAACAUUUUAAAAUAGCAAGAACUAAAAUCUUAAAAUGCGUCAUUUCCCUCGAAAUUCUAAAUAAAAACUUUAUUUGAUUAGGAAAAAUGUGAAUUGAUUUUGGGAAAAAGAAGGGAAAAAAAAAAGAAAAGAUUUCAUUUGAAAUAUUGGGAUAAAAAAUAUAAUUACAAAAGGACCCCGUUUUGAAAAAAACAUAUUCGUGGCGUUUGGAAAAAAAGUCACUAUUGCUCGACUUUUAGCGACAUUUGGACCAAAAACGCUACUAUUGUUCAACUUUUUUCUGCAUUUACAACAAAAAAGCCGCUAUUGCUUACCUUUUGCGGCUUUUUUUUAUAAAUGCCGCUAGCGCUUGACUUUUUUACAAUUUUUAUAUUGAAUUAUUGUAUCUUUCAUAUAAAUUUUAAAUGAAUAAUUUUUUAAAUUUUAAGUAAUAUUUAAAAGAAUUAGAUAAAAUUAUAAUUUUUAGUUUUUGUAUUUCAUUUUUAUUUUUGUAUUUGAUUUUUAUUUGUUAUAAGUUUGUCCUAUCCAAAAUAGAUAGUUACCUAUCCAUAUCAAUCUGUUACUUUUUUUAUUUAUUUAUCAAUGUUUUUUUAAAUCUAAUAUUUAAAUAUAUCAAUUGGUUUAGAUUAAAUAUUUUUAAAUAUAAAAGCAUUAAUUGAUUGUAUAAAAUUUCAUCAUUUAACAAAUCUCAAGUAAACCUUAAAUCUUAAACCAUUUAAUAUUUAUAAAGUUUAUCUAUUAUCUCUUACAUAAUUUAAACUAUAAUCAUAAUUUUAAUAUAUUAAAAUUAAAAUUAUCUCUUUUACAAUUAUAUAAUAAAUUAUUUAAUAUAUAAAUUAAAAAAUACUAAUUAAUCUAAACUCUAAACCCCUAUCCCCUAAACCUUAAAUCAUAAAACAUAAACCCUAAAUCCCUAACCCUUAACCCCUAACCCCUAAACCUUAAACCCCAACCCUUAAACCAAAAAUCAUAAACCAUAAACUAUAAUCCCUAAACCCAUAAUCCAUAAACCUUAAAAUAGUAACUCCUAAACCAUAAACCAUAACCCUAAACCCUAAACUAUAAUGAUAAUUAAUUCAAUAUUUUAAAAUUAAUUCUAUCUCUUUUAUAAUUAUAUAAGAAAUUAUUUAAUAUAUAAAUUAAAAAACAAUCAGUCAUGAACCCAAAAAACUUUAAAAUUAUUUUAAAUAAUAGUAUUUUCAUUUUUUUUCAUUUUUAACAAAUAUUUUCUAUGUUUUUACUUUCAAAAUUUGUCUACGUGUCAUUAUUUUUUUCUGAAAAUUUUAAAUAUUCAAUUAAAAAUAAAUUUUAUUUUAAUUAAUAUAAAUAAACCAGUUAAAUAAUAAAUAGACAAAUAAAAUAUUUUUUGCGACAUUUUUGAUAAAGUGCGGCUAAAUCUCGAUCUAUAGUUGCGUUUUACAAAAAAGCGUUGCUAAUGCCACUAAAGCUCAACAUACAACGUCUUACUGAAUUUUUUGCGGCAUUUUUCAAAAAGCACGACUAAUGCUUGAUCUAUAGUGGCGUUUUUCAAGAAGCGCCGCUAAUGCCACUAAAGCUCAAUAUAAAGGUACCUGAGUCUAGUUUUAAAGACAUCAAGUGGAUCUUAAUUCGGAAUUUUGUAGCUCAAGAUAUAAAUUUAUGUUAAUCUUGUUAUCUUUCUUAUUUUAGAAUUGAUUACAUGAAAGUUAAUUGCUAAUACUAUUAGUUAAUUAUUAGUUUUCUUCAAAUCAAAUUAAAACCCGAAAGGUCCCUCUUUUUUUAUAUUAGUUUUAGUUUUCCAUUAAAUUUGUUUCUUUGUAAUAAAAUUAAAUUAUAGAAAUAACAUUAAAAUUUUAAAUAAAAGUAGUUCACAAUAAUUUAUUAUUUAAAAAACUCCCUGAAAUUUAAAAUUAUUGUUAUAAGUAUACCAUUAAAUCAUACAGAAUUUAAUUUUUCUUUCAAAUACUACAGUUAAUAAGGAAAGAGAAUAUAGUACAUAUCAAUAAAACUUUUAAAAAAGAAAUAUUGUUUGUAAUACCAAUUUUUUCUGCCCGGGCCCAUACAAAAUAAAAUACAGCAGGCCCAUCUACAGACCAAACCCAUAUUCAAAAAAAAACCUAGGCUAAGAAGCAGCAAGCUUCAGCCGCACGCCCAACAGCAGCCUCCCUAACCGCCGCCGCAUCCUCCGCGCACAUACACCUCUUCCACGGCCUCCAUACCUACGAGAAAAGCGGAUCCAAACAGCAAUAGACGCAGCCAAUAAUGAAAUAGGAUUUUUUACUUUUUUUUUGCUGUAAUUUUGGCUAUAAAAAGCCAUCAAAAAUCUGUAAAAAAGGGGAGGGAUUUUUGGAGUUUAAAAGAUACGAAAUAGAGGGAAAGAACAGAGAUCGAACUUGUUUUUUUUAAAGGUUUUUUUCGUUUUACUUUGCAGUGCCUAUUGUUUUUAUUUCCAUAUUUUUUUCUUUUAUUUUCAUUUUGUUUUAUUUAAAAUAACAAAGGAAAGAAAGAAGAGGGGAAGAUCUUACCUCUUUCGCCGGAGCUGACGAGCCGUUGCCACCACCGACGAUUGGGCCGUGGCGCAUGGGAAAUGGCGGCGCAAGGACGCUAGGAGUCCAAACCUAGCAGAGCAAAACAGGGGGGGAGGGCUUUGUUUUUUUCUCUUCGGUUGUAAUUAAUUUUGAAAGAAAAAAUUUGUUUUAAAUAACAAAAGUGAAACGGCGCCGUUUUGAUGGCCAGACCCGCGCGUUCUGGCUUUAAGUGGGAAAUUUUCGCUUUCAGUCCCUUCUUUUUGCGACACGUUUCAAUCAAGCCCAAUUGUUGUUUUUUAAAUUUAGCCAUGUACUUUAUUUUUUGUUUCAAAUUGGCCCUUUGUUGCGCAGCGCUUUGGAGGGUGGGAUUAAUUUCCCUUUAGGUCCCCAUGGUCGUUCGCGCGUUCAAGUUGGUCCCUUUUUGUUUAUUCUCGAAUUUACCCCAUUCUUUUGUCUUUAAGUUCAAUUUAGUCUAUUUUUUUUGAACUAUUCAACUUUUUUUUUUUGUAAUUAUUAUAUUAUACCAUCAUUAUUUAUUAUUAUUAUUAAUACUAUACUUAUUAUUUUUCAUGAACAUACGCAUUUUAUAUAAUAUAUGUUCUAAUUUCAAAAAACGUUUUACUUUUGUAAAUGUUAUUUUAAUUUCAAAAACGUUUUCCGCUUUUUGUAAAUAUAUAAUUCUAUAUUUUAUUAUAAAUAUUUUUUUUCCUCUAUUUUACAAAUGUAUAUAUAUAUGAAUCUACAUACGCAUUUUAAAAUACGCAUGCACCUUACAUAUCUAUAUAUAUAUAUUUUAUUCUACUUACAUAAUUUUUAUAUACAUUUAUAUUUGAUAUAGAUAUACAUUUUUGUAAUAUAUAUAUUUCUCAUAUGUUAUAAUUCAAAACAUACAUUUAUACAUUUUCUAUAAUAUACAUACACUUUCCAUUUUUUAAUUAUUGUAAAUAUUUUUUUUGUUAUUUCAUGUAUCCCAUUAUUUUAUAUACAUAUUGUACAUAUAUAUAUGUAUUUGAAUAUAUACGUAUACGAAUUUUCGUGAUUUACCUAUGUAUAUAUACUUAUAUAUUUUAUUUUUCUAUUUUGUAAAUAUAUACACAUCUACAUGUUCUUUAUUCUAUUUUUACAAUUUUCAUUACAUGUAUACAUGCAUAUUUUUUAGAAAUUAUUAUAAGUUUGUUGUAUAUAUUUCUUCACUUGCCUUUUUAUAUGUACACUUAUAUUUAUGUGUUAAGUAUGCGCCCCCUCAUAUUUUCGAAUUUGCUUGUAUAUUGUACUUGUAUAUAUAUUGUAAAUACAUAUUCAUAUACGUUUUACAUUAAAGUUUUGUUUCACAUUGUACCUUAACCUUAACAUACCCUUUUGAAAAUAUAUUUUGGUUUUAACCAUUCAUCAAGGUUAUUUUCUUGAUUUAAAAGUUUUUUUUUUGAAUAAAAGCAUUAUUUGAGGUUUGGGAUUUUCGAGGGAAAUUGAGCCCUAACGUAUUGGGUUCUGAUUUUCUUUGUCAAUCUUAAAUGAUCGAGAAUACUCUUUAUUCAAAAUGCAUUAGUAUAAAAAUCAUUUUUGGGAACUUAACUUGUUGUGCCCUAACGUAUUGGGUGUGGCCAGUUACUUUCUCGAAAUGAAGAUUUUCGCAUAAAAUAAAAGUGAUAUUCAAAGUUCGGGGAUUAUGAGGAAUCGUACCCUAACGUAUUGGGACUCGAUUUCUUUACAUGACUUGAACAAUUGGUUAUCCUUUUGCAAAUUUCAUCAUUCAAGCUUAUUUUAAAAUCUUUUUUAACUUUCGACACUAAGACAUCAAAUAAUCAAUUUGGUACCGAUUUUGGGCGUUACGAGGGUGCUAACCCUUCCUCGUGCGUAACUGACUCCCAGACUCGUUUUCUCAAAAUUCGUAGGCCAAAAUAAUUUUUUUAAAAGGUGGGCCGAUCACACCUUAGUAAAAGAAUCGGUGGCGACUCCAGUUUUAUUUUUAAAAGUCGACAACUAAAUUUUUGUUUUCAAAAAAACGGUUUCGACAUUGUUUAAUUAGUUAAUUUAAAAAUCAAUAGAGUCUAAAAACGGUCAGAAUGAAAUAUUAGAUUUUAUAAGAUUUCAUUAUUCUAAAAAAUAAAAUACGACAAUGCUUAAAAAUUUUAUCAAAAAAGUUUUAAAUUUUAUAUAAAAUUAAAAAAAACAGUAUUAAAAUUUUUUAUAACAAAUUUAAAUAUUAAUUAGUAAAUUAUUUUUGUAAUAUUUAUAUGUAUUUUCAUUUUUAUAAAUACUAUUAAAAUUUAUUAAAAAAAUUGAAUGCUAUUUAAAAACAUUAUUAAAAAAUAAAAUAUUAUAUGAAAGUUAAAAUGACCUAAAAACAUAUUUUAAAAAUUUAAAUACUUUAUACAAUAUUUAAAACUGUUUAAAAAUUUCUAAACCCUAAAAAAUCAAUAAAAUAUAAUUUUUUUUCUAAGAAAUCAAUAAAAAUAUAUUUAUAAUUGAACUGUCAACAAAAUUGUGAGAAAUAUUUAAAUUUUAUGAAAUUUUAAACUUAAACUGUCAAUAAUAGAAAAUUACCUCAGUGACUUGGGAUAAGAAGUUCAACAUUUAUGGAUCACAUCGUUAUGAUCGAUCGUAGGCCUUUCGUGGGGUCGAUAUAUAAUCAAAUAGACUGUAAAUUAUGAAAUCCGGUGAACUAAUACUAUAAAUUCUGAUAUCUAUUCAUAUAUUUGAGAUGUUAUUUGUUAAAUAAACCUUGUAAUAGGCUAUGAGAAACUUGAGAAAUAUUAUGUAUGCUUUGUAUCUGUUAUGUCAUACAUGUAUAACUGUAUUAUGUCCGAUUCUGUUCUAUUCUUUUCUGUAUUUGCAUCUGGGGUGGGUUAUAUUAUGUGGAGGAAGUGUUUCUUUGAAUGGCGAUAAUUCGCCUAUUACACUGGCAGCUCAGCUACAAAUAUUCUGAAAAGUGUCAUAUCGACACUAAGUGGUGUGUAGGGCUGGAUGAGUGUUUCAUACCCCAUAUGGUGUGUUGGGAUGGUCGGAACUAGUGUGUAGCGGAUGGGGUAGGAAUAUAUGUCUGUAUUUGUACUGCUCUAAUAUGAAUAUGUUCUGCUAAAUCUAUCUGAUAUAAAUUAACUGUUUAAAGUUAUUCGUUAUACAUUGAGUUUUGUAAACUCACUUUCUGUUUGUUUGAUAUUUUUUGGUAAUCCUCUGACUUUGACAAAUCGGUGCGAAAGAGCUCAGUUAAAUUGAUUUAGUUUCAUUAUCUAUUAUAAUUAAAUUUUGGGUUAUUGUGUUUUAUUAUUUUUGGACUGUUGGGAAUUUUUGGAUUGUUUUGGUUUUUGAGAUUUUAUUUUCAAUUUUUGCAUGAUACUAUUAAAAAUGUUUUAUCGGAAAUGUUUGUUUUCUUGCGAAACAACUGAUUUCAGAAAAAUAAACUUAGUUUUCCAAACAUAAUGAUCUAAGAAUUUCCACUGCUAAUAAUUCAUUUUAGAAAAAGUAAGCAAACAUCGUUUCAACUAUAAAGUUAAGUUAGAUGUAUUUUUCUCUUAAAUUGAGGUUUAAGUAAUAAAAGUUUACGACAUUUUUCCAAAUUGUACAAAAAAUUGGAUUUACAAUUGUUUUAUAUAACAUCUCUAGAUUUGGCCAUAGCGUCUAGUUGGAUUUCGGGUGUUAUAUUUAGUGAUAUCAGGUCAGGUUGCAAAACUUAGGCUGUGAAAUUUUCGGUUCAAAAUUUUGUGAAAACUAUUUUUCGAGUAAAGUUUGUCGAAACUACUUUUUGGAAACAAAAAAUAGCGUUGACUUAAAAUAUGAAAAUUGGAGUCGCCACCAAUCUUUUUUAUUUAGGUGUGAUCGGAUCACCUCCUAAUUUAAUCAUUUUAAUAAAAGUUAAAAUUUACUAAAACGAUAAUUUUUGGUCUACAAAAUUCAGAAAAUGGGUUCAGGAGUCGGUUACGCACGAGGAAGGAUUAGCACCCUCGAUACGCCCAAAAUUGGUACCUAGUUGAUUAAUUAAUGUCUUAAUGCUGAAUAUCAAAAACUCGAAAAGAUUAAAAAUACGAUCUUUUUAUUAAAAAACUUGUAUAAAUCAAAAUGUGUGCUAAGACCCCCUUAUUUCGGGAGAUAGAAUGUCACAUCCAAUGAGUGAGGAUGUGAUGUUUCGCAACCUCAAAAAUGAGAUUGUCUUUUGAUUUUUAAAACUCAUGCAGUGAAGUUUAAAAAUGAUAUUCAAUUGUUUAAGUCAGAUGAAAAAUCGAAGCGCAAUAUGUUAGGGCACAAUUCCUCAAAAUUCUAAAUAUUGAAUAUUGCCUUUAUUAUUUUUUAGAAAAAUCCUCAUCUUGAGAAAACAACAUGUCAUAUCCAAUGCAUUAGGACACAACGUAUCGAAUUCCUGAGAAUGAGCUUUUUAUUUAUGUGUUUUGAUUAAAGAAUAUUCCCAAUUAUUUAGAUUCAACGAGGAAAAUUGGAACCUAAUACGUUAGGGCUCAAUCCUCUCGAAGAUCCCAAAUACCGAGUAUUGCGUUAUCUUGAAACCUUUUGAAUAAAAUGAUUCCCAAAACUUAAACCAUAUUAAACAUAAUUUUUGAGCAAAUAAAGCAUGAUGGAAAUGAUAAUAUGCAAUGCGAAGUAAUAAUUCGUAAGCCAAAAAAAAAUACUCUAAUGGAUGACAAAUAAUCAAUAAGUACAAGUAAGCGAUACAAUACACAUAAGGGCAAUAGUCACAUAUUAUGUAAAUACAAACAUUAAUCUUUGCAAGCUAAUCUAAAAAAAAUACCAAACAAAUUAACAAAUAUGAAAUGUGACAAGUUUUUGAAAUAACUAAAAAACAAACAACAUGUAAGAAGGGAAAUUAUAAUCAAUAAAUUAUAUUUACAAAAAUGAAAGUUUGAAAUAAAUCAAAUAGUAUUAAAAAUAAAUACUACAUAAAAUAAUAGUAUUUAAAUAAAUUUUAAAGUAAAUUGUAUAAGUAGAAAAUCAAAAUAAAUAGUACACAAAAUAACAUACAUAUAUUAAUCUAAACAAGUAAUACAUGAAAACUUAAUAUAAAUUAUAAUGUAUGCAUAUAAUAAUGUAUAUAAAAAAGUUGAGAUAAACCAAGUAUAUAAUAAAAUAGGGUUUUAAGAUAUAAAUUAUGUAUAUAUAAAAAUAGGUUUUUAAAAAAUAUAUAUAAACACAUUUGAAAGAAAACUUAAAGUUAACAAUUAUAAUAAUAUGAAAUCAAUAAUAUAUAUAUAGAAUAAAAAUACUUUAAUAUAAAUUAUACAUGUAUAUAAAAUAGUAUAAUAAAAAUAUUUUUAUAUAAAUCUUCAAAACAUAGAAAUAUAUAAAGUGAAUUUUUUUAAAAAAUAAAUUAAAAAUAAAAAUCAUUAAAAAUAUAUACAUUAUAUUGGAUUUUAAAGAAUAAUACAUUAUAAAAUUAAAUGAUAAUAUAUGACAAUAAUAUAAAAACCUAUAGUAGAAUAAAAUUACGUAUAUAAAAAGGUUAGACUAAUAUAAAAAAGAUAAUAAUAGAUUAAUAUUAAACCCAUUAUUUUAAUAGCAAAAAUCACAAAGCAAUGGACUAAUUUGUAAUGAAAACAGAAACUUAAGGGCAAAUCUGAAAUAAAUAAAAAGAAAAGGAUCGGAUCAAAACACGCUAUACAAGCGGAGGGACCAUUUGCGCAAAUAUCUCUCUGAAGCAAAAACAUGCGGAUCCUUCCCCUAGGUUGGGUCACCGCGCGGGUCAAAACCCACCAAACAGCGUCGUUUUGGCGCUAUGGACCUUAGCUCAAAAUGGCGCCAUAUUAUACUAUUAUUUAAACAAAACCUUCUUUUUUUAAAACAUUUGCAGCCUGAGUUUAAAAAAAAAAUUUGCUGCUCAUGUUCUCUGCUAGGGUUUCAACGCUAGUUUCACGAGGCCGAAAGCUCCGCCGAUCUUCGGCCUUACAGCCCUUGCCCGAACUUUGACUGUGACGAAGCGAACAAGGAUCCAAUCGGCGCUAACACUGAGGUAAAUCCCUUCCCUCUUCUUUAUUUUUAUUUUACAAACAUUAACAAUAAUAAACGAACAUCGAAGAAACAGAAAAGAAAAAAGAAAUCAAAAAGAAAAAAAAUCAGAUUUCAAAUCACCUCACAAAAAUUUAAUUGCUUUCUGAUUUCUUUGGUAUCUUUUUUUUACUUAUUUCGUAUUGUUCGCGUAAAAAACUUACGAAGGUCUUUUCUUCUAUUUUAUAGCCAAAAUCUAAAAUAUAUAUAUAAUAUAUGUUUUUUUCUGUGCUAUUUUUUCGUCCUAUUUGCAGGUAUGAAGACCAGCUGGCAGUGUACGGAGGCGGUGGUGCAGCACGCGCUUGGCUGAGGCGACUAGAGGCAUGCGGCGGCUGGGUCUGCUGGGGUUUAAUUUGGGCCUGGGAUUGGGUUUGAUUUAAUGGGUUUGAUUUUUGGGCCGUAAAUGGGCUUUUUAAUAUUAGACUUUUAUUUUUUAUUUGGAUUAUUAUUAUUUUUUGUGUAUGUGGGUCGGGGCAGAAAUUGGGCUCUACAAAUUUCAUUUCUGCAUUAAUCUGAAAAUUAAUUAUGUGAAAUAUCGAGUCUCUGACGUUGAUCCUGUAAGUACUUCUGACUUAGAUAAACUUUAGUUUUAGAAAACUCUAAAAUUAUUAGAACUGUACUUGGAUAGUUAGAGACUGAAACAUCUCUAUAAAUUCUUUUGAUAACUUUUUGAGUAUAAAAUGUUUGCUAAUAAAUACUAAAAUUGAUACAUAAAAUUCGUAAUAUAGGUAAUAUAUACGAUGAGUACUCGUGGAACACAUGGACGUGGUAACCGUAGGCAUGGCGGGCGCCGAAGAGAGGCUCGAGCUGAGUCAUCCUCGAUGGGUACCUGAUAGGCUAUUGUUGGAGAGAGCAAUAGUCUUGAGAGAAGAAAUUUUGAAGAUCAAAGUCAAAAUCUGACAUGUAAGGCCUUUAAUUGCUUGAAUAAUAAGCAUUUCCAAACUAAAAGGAUUACGAUUUCUUCAAGAAUUUGACCUGCAGACAUAGUUGAAACAUCAAGGUGUUAAAUUACCUAUUUUGUUAGUGUAAAUCAAAGAGGCUUUUUAUUUUUUUUUUCGUUGUGAAAUAAUAUGGAUAUGUUAGAUUCUAAUCAUAUUUAAGUAUAUAUUAGUUCUUGAAGAGUUCUUAUUUUUUGGUAUUUAUAUUGCAAAUAUUUUUUUUAAAAUUAAGAAAAAAGGGGGGGGGGCAAAUGUGUAUAAACUACAGACAUCAAGGAGAAGGCAUACCUUCUAGGUUAUUUAACCCCAAGUAUAAUUGUUUAAGUUGUGUCAAAUUCCCAAUGCUUUUUGGAAUGAUCCCACUAAAUUGAUUAACAGACAAUUCCAAAAUUUGAAAGUUGCAGCAUUUGUCUAUACUUGAUGGAAUAGAACUUGAUAAUUCAUUUCUACUGAUCAAGUAAAGCUCUUUAAGCUUGGGAAGAUGGACACACAAAUCAUCGGGCAAGCCACCAGAAAGACUAUUAUCACGAAAAUGAAUCCUUUUCAAAGAAGAAAUGUUAAAGAUGGAAGAUGCAACCUGGCCAGGUAAUUGAUAAAACUUUGACUUAAUCCUUUAAAAAAUGUAAAAAUAUAGGCUAUUAAAAUGGUAAAAUUACAUUUUUACUAUUGUAAAAAUUACAAUUUAAUUUCACUCCUAAAAAGAUUUUCUGGCUUCGACCCUAAUAAAUUCUUUGGCAAAAGAUUAAAAUAAAAUUAUACCGUAAAUGAAAAAAAGAAACUAAGAAAAUCCAAUCUAACAAAGAAAAUAACUUGAUGUCCAAAAGCUACCAUAAACCGUAAUUCAUGGGAAGGCUUGUUGCUCAUUUUAUUGGUUUCCAUUUUGAUUUUGCAAAAGAAGUUUGAAUUUUGAAGAGAGCCUACUACGUGAGAGCAAAAGAAAAAAAAUAGUUUAUAUGAUUAAAAUUCCAGAAUAGAUUAAAAAUGUUGAAUUAAAGAUAAAAUUACUCACCAUCUCUGUUAAAAAUGUUGGAUGUUGUUUAGCAACCUUUGUUUGAUUUUCUUCAGCUCAACCACAACAUCUUUCAUAUCUUUUCUUUCUUCUGGCAACUCAGCUGAACAAUUCAAAGCCAACUCCAUGAUAGAUGAAAUACAAUUUGCUUUAACAACAAUGUACUCAUCCUCUCUUCUUAAUAAAUCAACAUCUGCAAUUUCUAUCGCUCCUUUAGGCAAUGAACUUUCCAUCCAAUGCCUUAUAGUCUCUUCUUCAACAAAAGCAUUAUCAGUUGGCUUUUUCUUUGUGAAAGUUUCUAUAAGGACGAUCCCAUAACUAUAGACGUCAGAUUUUAUAGAAACAACUCCUGCUGAUCCAAAUUCUGCAUUUCAAGUAUAAUUAGAGCAUCGUUCAUCCUCAAUUAUUUCUAAAAUGCUUAUUCAAAUAUAUAUCCACAUACACAUGAAACAAAAAUAUAAAAUGCAAAUUAGGAAAAUAAUCAUACAAAAAUAAAAAAAGAAUUCACCUGGUGCCAUAUACCCGAUAGUUGCAAGAGUCAUGGUUUGCUUCAUUACUUCACCUUCUCCCAACAAUUUGGCAACGCCAAAAUCUCCAACAUGUGCAACCAUGUCUUCAUCUAGUAAAAUAUUGCUUGGUUUUAUGUCACAAUGAAUUAUAGGUGUUGGAUGUCCAUUGUGGAGGUGUUCUAUAGCUACCGCAACAUCUAUCAUUAUCUCGACCCUUUGUAUGAUAUCAAGGAAACAAUUUUCAGAAUGUAACCAUUUAUCAAGGUUUCCAUUAGACAUGUAACCAAGCACCAAGGCUUUGAAGUCAACACUUGAGCAGCAAGUAAUGACCUUCACAAUAUUACGAUGAACUAUAUUACGCAUAGCAUCACAUUCAAUGUCAAAACUCCUAAAUGCUCUCUCUGUUUGCAAAUUGAAAACUUUUAUUGCAACUUCCAUUCCAUCUGAAAGCCUCCCUUUAUAUACAUAUCCAAAACUCCCUGAACCAAGCAUAUUGCUUUCCUCAAAUCCAUUAGUUGCUCGUGAAAGUUCAGCAUGUGAAAUUCUUCUCGGUGUCUUCAAAGACAACAAAUCAUCUUUAACUGGUAGAGUUGUACUCCUUUGGCAUCUUCUAUACAUAAUAGUUAAGACUAUUAGUACUACGACAAUACCAAUUGUUGGUAAACCAUACCUAAAAGCAUGCAAUAUAAUCAUUUGGGAGUUUUUGUGGAUGUCGUUUUUGCAAGGUGGGACUAGCAAUCUAGGUGGACCACAAAGUGCACAAUUCUUCAUGAAUGAUGUGCUAGAAAUGUUUGAAAAACAUCCUUUGCUGGGAAUUUCCCCUUCAAGUCUAUUGAAAGACACAUUAAAAUACUUUAGAUAUAAAAGCUGUUCCAAAGAUUUGGGAAUGACUCCAGAGAAAUUGUUAUUGCAUAAAUCCAAGAAUUCCAAACUAAUCAACCCAUCAAAUGAUUCAGGGAUACGACCAUGUAGUAUAUUAUUUGAUAAAUCUAAUGAAACCAAAGUUUGAAGACCCCCAAAUGUGGAUAAGAUAUCGCCCAUGAGAAGAUUCCUUGAUAAAUUUAGUCUCAGUAGACUCCUAAAAUUUCCAACAUCAAUAGCAUGUGAAUUGUGAAGACGGUUUGAUGAUAAAUCUAUUUCUAAGAUAUCUUUAAGACUCCACAAAGUUGAGGGUAUUGUAGAACUCAAUUUGUUGGAAUCUAACCAAAGAUAUCUCAAAGCAGAAAUAUUACCUAAACAAGAGGGUAUGGAUCCAUGCAGCUUAUUCAACCCUAAAUGCAUCCCGUAUAGUCUCUCCAAACCACAGAGGCUUUCUGGGAUAGGCCCUCCUAAUUUAUUAGAGGAAAGAUCUAGACCUUGCAGAUUCCGCAGUCCUCCUAUUGAUGCUGGAAUGAAUCCACUUAAUUUAUUAUGGCCAAGUUCUAAAACCAAUAAGUUGGUUAAGUUACCUAUUUCCAUAGGAAUAAUGCCUUGAAGCUCACAAUUAUAGGCAAGAAAGAAUUGAAGGGAUUUUGAAAGGUUCCCGAUAUAAGUAGGAAGAACACCACUCAAUGGAUUUCCUGAAACUCCUAUGGCUUUCAAAUUCCUACAAUUCGUCAAAGAAGAAAGAAAGCUCCAGUCAUGAUCAGUAGCAGAUCCUGUGAUCAAAUUAUUGUCAAAGAUUUUGAGCACUUCAAGGUGUUUUAAGCUGCCUAGCGUUUUAGGGAUUGGGCCAGAGAAUAAGUUAUGUGACAAGGAUAGAAUCUUAAGCAUGGAAGCAUUGGAGAUAGAGUUGGGAAUGUUUCCGCUAAGUUUAUUUCCCCACAAUAAAAGAAUCUCAAGCUUUGGAGCAUUGGUGAUGGGUGGUAAAUUACCUGUAAAAUAGCAUCUUUUAGUAUACAUAUUCACAAAAUAUAUAAUACAUUAAAAUAAAAACUGUAAAACUUUAAAUCAAUUAAGAAUAAAAUUUUGGCAUGGAAAAAUGUGAUGAAAUCAAUUAGAAAGUUGAGACAUAAUAAGAAGUUUUGAGUACUAAUUAGUCUUUGUGAUUUGUAUAGACAAAACAUAUAAUACACUAAUAAUUUUUUAAAAUAUUGUAAAACUUGAAAUAAAAUAAAAAUAAAAGUUUGGCAUGAGAAUGUGGCAUCUAAUCAAUCUUAAAAAUGAGACUCACACUGAAUAAUAAUUAGUUAUGAUUUGGGAAACAAAAAUGUUAAAGCCAUUGUUUUUAAUGUAAACUGGUAUGAUUCUUAUCUAUUGGGUUAAUUAUUUAUUUUUAUUAAAUUAUAGUGUAAAAUUUAAAUAUUAUUAUUUGCUCAAAAUUUUUGUAUUUUUCGUAUAUUUGAAAUUCAAUCUUUAUAUUUUUUAUUUUCUGUGAUUUAGUCUCUCUACUUUUUUUAUUAAAAAUUUUAGGUUCAUUUAUUAACACUGUUAAAAAGUUUUUGUAUUAGUAUGACAUUUUGAAAAAUAAAAUAAACUUGAUAUCUAUGUUUUUAAUUAUUCCAAAUAUUGUUUUACUAUUUCAAGAUAAAUUAUUUGUGUCUAGACCAAUAUCUUAAGAACUAUUGUUGCAUGUUUAAUUAUUCUAAAAAAUUAUUGAUUGAGUCUUAGCUUGAUUGGCAUGUGCAUUGUUGCCAAUAUAAGAGAAUGUGGGAUCAAAUAUGCUGAAGUUCAUUAUCCUCCUAUUAUGAAUUGGGGAGUUGGUAAAGUAUUAAAUUUUGAUAUAUUUUAAAAUAUUAAAAAUUUAUUAAAAUAUUUUUUAUAAAAAUCGGUUGUACCACAAUAUACAAUUUUAAUAUCAAAUUUUUAAUAUUUUUAAAAUAUUAGCGAAUAUAUACUUUAUUUCAAGUUACACAAUUUUUACUAGUUUUUAACUUUUUUUAAAAUUUUUAUCGUCUUUUAUAAUUUCUAAUAAUUUUUUACAAUAUUUAACAAUUUCUAACCAUUUUUAAUAAUUUUAUUACUUAUUAAAAAUUAACAAAUUAACUAUUUUUUAUUUUUUUAAAACAAUUAUAUAUUUAUAAUGUAGUUAUUUUUUUAUAAUUUUAUUUGAAAUUUUAAAGUUUUUUUGGUUUGUUUUCUAGAUGAUGAUGCCAUCAUGAUGUCAUCAUAUGCCACAUGGCAAUUUAUGAUUAGUUGAAUAUCUCAAUUUAUUUUUUUAAUGUCCAAUGGACUAAACCAAGAACACUUGAUUAUGUUAGAGACUACACUAGGAAUGUUUGAUAACAUUAGGUACUAAAGUAGGAAAAAAAAAAAAAGGAGCAAUACGAUGUAGGGAGUAAACUGUGCAUUAAGCCAUUAAAAAUAUAUCUAUAAUAUAUAUAAAUGCAUGGAUUUUGAGAAACUUUUGAAAUGAUAAUUAUAUAGUCUUUGUUUUUUUACUAUAUUAUUGAAUUUGUUAUUUUAAAUAUUUUUUUAUUACUUUUAAGAUUUAUCAUAUGUAUGGAUAAGAAUUUUGGUUUUACUAAAAUAUUUGGUUAAAUAAAUUCACUUCAUAAGAAGAUUUAGCAUCCUUGUAAAUAACAAUUUUGAUUCUAUUAAAAAAUUAUUUUAAAAUAUAUAUAAUAAAAUUUUAAAAUUUAUAUUGAAUUACUUUAUACUUAAAUUAUUAUUAGAAACUUUAUCAUACACAUACGUGUAUGAGAACUAUGUAUUUAGAACAUAAAUUUGUGUUUUAAAAUAACUUAUGAUAAAUAAUGAAAUGUAUAAUUUGAAACUAUUUAAUAAAAACACAUGGCUUAUCUACAAUAUUAAAAUAAAAAUAGCUUAAAUUGUAAGCAAAACAUAAUUUAAACAUAUGAAUACAUUAAAUUAAGAAUACUAAAUGAAUACAGUUAUUUAUGAUGGUGUUGUCUUCAAUUCCUAAGUUGGUGUCAAGUUAAUUUGUGACAUCAUAAAUUUAAGGUUUUAUGUAUUGAUGUGGAUUCAAAUAUCACCAUUUUUUUUAAAAUAAAAUUUAAAAUAAAUACAUUUUCCACAUUGGUUUCUUUUCUUCUACAGACAAAGGAUUUCUAAUGAUUUUUUUUUUAAAAAAAAUUACUUAUAUAAAAUAGAUUAGUUUAUGCAAUAAAAAUAAUUUCUUUUUUAAAGUUUAAUAGAAAUUAAAAAACAAAAAAAAAAUCAAUUCAUAUAAAGCUUAUUGUUUAUUAUCAGAUUAAAAUGAUAAAAGUAUACGAUAAACCCAUACUUGACGGAAUGUUACCAGAUAAUUCAUUUUUAUUCUAGUAAAGCCCUUCAAGCUUGAGAAUAUGUUGACACAUAUCAUUAGGCAAACUACCUGAUAGGUUAUUGUUGGAGAGAUCAAUGGCCUUCAGAGAAGAAAUGUUGAAGAUCGAAGUUGGAAUCUGACCUGUAAGGCCUUUAAUUUCUCUAAUAUUAAGCAGUUCCAAACCAAGAAGAUUACCGAUUUCCUCAGGAAUUUGAUCUGCACACAUAGUCGAAAAAUCAAGAUGUGAAACUACCUAUUUUGUUAGCAUAAGUCAAAGAGGUUUUCUUUUCUGUUCUACAUAAUUUGCAGAUGUUAGAUUUUAAUAUUUUUAAGCAUAUUUGUUUUCAUCAAAUUAACUAUUUUGAACUAUUUUGCCUUGAAUGAAAUAAAAUGCUCAUAUUUUUGUUAUCUAUUACUAAUCAAACUCUUUUAUAAAAAAAAAUACUUUAAACUAAAGAAACCAAGAAAAUUCAAUACCUUCUAAGUUAUUCAACUCCAAAUAUAAUUCUUUGAGUCGUGUCAGAUUUCCAAUACUUCUUGGAAUGAUCCCCCUCAAUUUAUUAUCGGAAAAUGCCAAUAUUUUAAGGUUGCUGCAUUUGCCCAUACUUGAUGGAAUGUUACCAGAUAAUUCAUUUUUAUUCAAGUAAAGCCCUUCAAGCUUGGGAAGAUGUUGACACAUAUCAUUAGGCAAACUACCUGAUAGGCUAUUGCUGGAGAGAGCAAUAGUCUUGAGAGAAUAAAUGUUGAAGAUCGAAGUUGGAAUUUGACCUGUAAAGCCUUUAAUUGCUUGAAUACUAAGCAUUUCCAAAUUAAAAAGAUUACCGAUUUCUUCAGGAAUUUGACCUGCUGACAUAGUCGAAACAUCAAGGUGUUAAAUUACCUAUUUUGUUAGUGUAAAUCAAAGAGGAUUUUUAUUUUUCUCGUUAUGAAAUAAUAUGGAUAUGUUAGAUUCUAAUCAUAUUUAAGUAUAUAUUAGUUCUUGAAAGAAAGAGUUCUUAGUAUUUAUAUUGCAAAUAUUUUUUUUAAAAUUUAAAAAAAGGGGGGGGGCAAAUGUGUUUAAACUAAAGAGAUCAAGGAAAAGGCAUACCAUCUAGGUUAUUUAACCCCAAGUAUACUUGUUUAAGUUGUGUCAAAUUCCCAAUGCUUUUUGGAAUGAUCCCACUAAAUUGAUUAAUAGACAAUUCCAAAAUUUGAAGGUUGCAGCAUUUGUCUAUACUUGAUGGAAUAGAACUUGAUAAUUCAUUUCUACUCAAGUAAAGCUCUUUAAGCUUGGGAAGAUGGACACACAGAUCAUCGGGUAAGCCACCAGAAAGACUAUUAUCACGAAAAUGAAUCCUUUUCAAAGAAGAAAUGUUAAAGAUGGAAGAUGGAACCAGGCCAGAUAAUUGAUUGAAUCCCAAGUUCAAGAUCUCUAGAUUGGAUAAGUUGACAAGUGUUUGAGGGAUUGUGCCUGUGAAGUUAUUAUUUCUCAUUUCCAACCUUUGAACUCUGUGCAAGUUCCCAAGCCAUGAUGGAAUUUCCCCAUUAAGACGGUUGUAGCUUAAUCGAAUGAUCCUCAAACGAUGCAAUUGGCCCAAUUCUUUAGGCAGAUGGCCAUAGAAAUUGUUGUUGCUCAGGUCGAGAGAAAAUAGAAAUGAAAGAUUUCCAAGGUGUGGAGGGAUAGUACCCCUAAGAUUCAUGUUUGUAAGAUUCAAAGCUACAACUCUUUCAUGGAUGAUGUCACAAGAAACACCAGCCCACUUACAAACAGAGGUAGAGUUCGUCCAAUUGUUUGCCAACACAUUUUGAGGAUCGACAAUGCGAUCUUUAAACUCAAAGAGUGCAAACUGAUAGGAGUUGAGAUUCCGGACUGUCAUAGCCAAGGAAACAAUGGAACAUUGUAAGAAUAAAAGUGAAAGAAGAUGAAAGCAAGUGUUGUAGUUCAUGAUGGCAAGACGAAAUAAGCCAGGAAAAGGGAAGUUGAAUUGAUGAAGAAAUACCCAGCCAACAUGCUUAAAUAGGCUUCAACCCUUGCACACUUCUCAUACAUAAAGUUCACUGCCAUUACAACAAGAAAACUCGUAUCUCCAUUCAUACCUAUCCAUACUUUAUUUGACUAACUUUUCCCUAACAGGUGUUCAGUAAGGAGACAAAUCACUUUGGAGCUAUUCACCGACUUCUCCAACCUUGGUUUCAAACUCCGUCCAACCUUGGUUUCAAACUCCUAGCCCAUCAAUUCACUUUAAUUGAAACGAUAUACACGAGUCUUUCGGCUUAUAUUUUUAACUUACUAAUUCUCUUUUUAAUUUAUUUUUUGUUACUUGUCAUAAUAUUUUUUGAGAAAUCCAAUAUUCCAGUCUGAAAUUUCUUCAUUGCCACGUCUAUCUCCUCGGUAAGUUCGUGGCUAGGCGGCCCACUUUGGGGGCAGGAUUGUAAUUUUAGUUCUAUCCGACUCAUUUUACUAUUUAGAAAUAUAAAAGUAAUAUUUAUUAAUUUUUAUAUUUUUAUAAAUUUAAAUUUAAUUUUAAUUUUUAAACAAUAAAACGAGUCAUUUUUAUUUGCCUAGGCCAAAUUGAAUCAGGAGUGAAAAUUUUUUUAAUCAUAAUUUACUAUUAUUUUAAUUAAUUAAAUUUUAAUUUACUAUAACUAGUAGUUGCAAAAAAAAUGACAUUCCUUUAGAAAAAUGAGAACUUAUGAAGCAUUCAAUAAGAGUUGUUGGAAUACAUGGUAACGAAACCAUAAUUCGAUAUAAAACUAUAUAAAUAAUGUAAGAUUUGUGAUACCUAAAUUGUUAUGUUUUCUAUAAAUAUAUGGAGAUUUUUUAUUAGGAAAUAAUUUUAUAUAUCAACAUUUGUUAUUUUCUUUUGAUAGAAAUUUAAUUAUGUUAUCUGUAGAAAAAAAUAUUUAUAGAAAUAUCAUUAGUAGAAAAUCAUAAAUUUGUGUGUGGCAAAAAAUUUUCACCACCAAGAAAGGGACAAAUUAAACAACUUGAAAGUCAUUGGUUGUUUAAAAUAUUAGAUAAUAAUUUUAGUGAAGAAUCAUUAAAAUUAUGACAAAAUAACCCUAGAUAUUGUAGUAUUAAAUUAGAAAAUCUCAAUAAUAUUAUUAGAGUAAAACCUAUGAUGUAUCUAAACAAGAUAUAGAAGAAUUUGAUAUACAAAUUAAGGGUAGAAAUCAUACGGAAAUAAUAAAAAACAAGAAAAAGCUAGUAUGGUCAUUAAUUAUAAAAGAUUAAAUCAAAAUAUUAUUUUUUGUAGUUACUUGAAUUAAUCAGGAUAAACAAACAAAAUAUUUUAGUAAAUUUGACUGUAAAUCAGGAUUCUAGUAAAUCAUGCUAACAGAAAAAUCUAAACCUUUAACAGCUUUUAGUGCACCCAAUGGACAUUACCAAUGAAAAGUGAUGUCAUUUCAAUUAUGUGAUGCACCACAAAUCUUCCAAAGACAAAUAGAUUUUAUAUUUAAUAAAUAUAAAAAAAUACUAUGUAGUUUACAUAGAUGAUAUUUUGAUAUUUUCAGAUACACUAGAAUUACAUAAGAAACAUUUAAAUAUUAUUUCUUAAGAAUUCAUAAAAUAUAGAAUCAUAUUAAACCCUAAAAAUAUAGAGUUAGAAAAAACAGAGAGAAUUUUUACAAUAGUGGAAAUAAAAAAUUGUCCUCAAUUUUAUUACAGAAAUUUCUUUGCCGACAAUAAGAAAAGAGCAUAUUCACAUUUUCGUCGCAAUUUCAACUAACACCCAAUCUCUUUCCCACUUUCCUUUUUCGGCCAAUUUCAAACGUAGCUGUUUUUCGAUUUUUCCUCUUGAUUUCAUUAAUAAAAUGAUCAAUCUAUUUGUUUUUUAAAUAUAUGAUUUUAUUAAUAUUUUUUAAUUAUAAUAUAAGAGUUGUUGUUUAUUUAUAGUUUUAUUACAUUAUUUAAUCUCUUUUUUAUAUCAAGUUUUUUAAAUUAUAAUAUAAGAUUUAUUUUAUCAAAUUGUGGCUUAUCAAAUGUUCAUCUAUUUUAAUAAUAACUUGAGUUCGAAUCAUUAUCAUACCAGAAAGAGUUCCCUUUAUUCUUUAUCGUAAAUUUUAUAAGAAAUUAUAUUUUAUUACAAUACUAUAUGUGUUAGAAUAAUAUUUUAUUGUGGAUGCCCAUAAUUCUCGAAGUUGUAACCUCGAAUGUAGUAACCUCAAUGAAAUUAUGAGGCUUUUAUAUUGUAAUCAAGCCUCUAUCUAUUCUUUGUAUUCUUUGUAGAAAAUAUGAAGUUGAUUUUACUUUAUUAAAAAAUUUAAAAUAAAUUAUCUUGUUUUUUUUAAAUGAGUUAACCAAAUUAGCAUAUUUAUUUUGAUCUAAAAUUAUCCAAAAUAAUAUAAAAUAUUAUAUUAAUAAAAUUAAAACUAUGAAAUAAUUUUUUUUAAAGAUUAUUAUUUACUUUUAUCAAACAAUACAAUUAUAUUCAGUACUUAUAUUUACUAGUUUACCAAACAGUUUUCCAAUAUGAAUUCAACACUUAUCAAAUUCAGUAUUAAAAAUUCAGUGCUUAAUUUUUUAGCACUUAACUUUUCAAUUCAUCAAGCACGUCUAAUUCAAUUUAUACAAUUCCCUAUUUGUAUCUCUAUGAAUUUAUAAAAUCCUUCUCGCAUUUAGUUGUUGGGAUCUUUAUAUGAAGAUAGAUGCUUUUAUUUUUUAUUGGUUCACUUUUAAUUGUAUUGAUUUAUUUAAUUUUAAUUUUGAUUAAUAUAUAUGAUUAUUGUGGAAUGGGAGUAAAAGUAUUUACUUCUCAUAAACUUUGAAAUAUUCACCCUGUCUACAUAUUAAUUAUUGUAAAAUUUGAAUUGAAAUUAUGCCAUAAAAGGUGGAGGUUAGAAAACCUCUUAUUGAGACCUUAUAAUAUUUUGUAAUUUUUUGUGUUAUGGUAUAUAAAAAAAUAUCUAACCAUAGUGAUUGAUUAGUAAUAUAAAUUUGUUAUUUGUUAUGUUUAAUAUAUAUUUUAUUUAUACUUAUUCAUUUUAUUUUUAUAUGAGUAAAUGAAGUGUUUGAAGAUUCGAAAUUUUUAUCAUCCAUGUUGAAAAUAACUGCAAAAGUGUAUAUUAUUUAAAAUAAAUUACGCAUUCAUUAAUGUUAUGUGAUAAAAUCAUUACAUUUUCUGAAGAACUAAUAUUGCAUCAAACUGUAAAAAGCUCUUGAAGAGCUAAUAUUUAUCUCCCUGUGAUGCAAAAUCUUGUAAAACAUGAUAUUAUUUUUCAAAUCAAGAAGAUUUAUGUUGAAGGAAAUAUUUAUGUGUUUUACAUUAAAACCAUGGAUAGAAAUGACAUGAGACACUCAUGUAUUUGCAUUAUAAAUAUUCCUUGAAGGAAUACACUUCACUUGUAUGAUUGACAUAUGAGAUAAUAGCAAGAAGUUUAUAGUGUUGGUAUGGCCGGCUAGACCAUCUCAAGUCAAUAAUGAUGCAAAAUAAUUUGAAGAGAAUUUAUAUGAUUUUAUUGAAGAAUGAGAAGUUAUUUUCAUUUUGAUAAUUGUCAUCAACAAUAGUUCUUUGGAAAAAAAAAUAUUGAACUAACAUCAACUAAAGUUAGAGGUUGGUUCAUGGUUGCAUUUUUUGAUGAUAUCCAAAUAAUAUAUGAGCUCAUGUAUCACAUGUAUGCAACCCAAAGUUUACAGUAUUAUUUCUUGAAAUAAUUUGAUUCUACACAAUCUCUAUAGCAUGCAAUUUGUGCUAACAACACUGGUGCAUUAUAUCCUAAGCUUGAUUUUCGUAGUUUUAGCUGAGAUAAUAUUAAGUUGUCUAUGCCUAUAUAUAUUAUACUUAAUGGUUAGCAAAAUUAUGCCUCCAUUUAAUUGCUUAACCAUUAAUAUAAGAAUAGCUUUAAAAUAAGCAUGUAAUUUUAUUUGCAUCGAGCCAACAUGUAAGAAAUAUUUGUCCCAUGAGAAUUAGCUUUUAUUUAUAAGCCAAUAGGUUUCAUUUAUGACUAUUUGGAUGUAAAAUAUCUAUUUUAUAUUCCACCAUAAUGCACUAAGAUGGACCAUCAAGUAUGAAGUUGAGAAAAAUUAGAAUUUUUAUUUGAUGGUAAAAGUUGCAAAGAGAUAUAUAUUUAUAAUUUUGAAAAAAAUAGUCAUGUUGCAAAUUUUCUCAGUAUUAGAGGGAGACAAGUUGGACAAAUACGUAUAAUUAUGUCAUCACUUUUUGUGACCCCUCACUAAUCUUAUGUGCACAAAGUUUGAAGGAAAAAAAUAAUUUGCUAGACAUGUUUAGUGAUGACAUUUAGAGAUUGUAUAUAUUGGAUGAUACAUAUACCAGCUAAAAUGUUCCAAAUAAUUAUGCGUCCUAGAAGGACAAAGUGAUAAAAAUAAUUUUUGGGCACGCUAGAAGGAUGAAAAACUAGUUGGUUCUAUAAAUAAAAAAAUUCUUGACAGAAAAGAGUAAGAAAUGAAUAUGGCCACACGUUAAAGGAGACGAGUACUCAUGAAGAGACCCAAGGUAUAACUUUUAAUAAAACCCCAAAAGAGGUUCAAUACAUGAAAUUAUGAAUAUAAUAAGUGUAAUAACCAAAUUUUUCCCGGGCCCAAUGCCAAACAAAUAAAACCCAAACCAAAUAAAUAAAAUAAGAGUCCAAAUUAUAGUCCAUUAGGGCCCAAUUCAGACCAGCCCACUAUUCAAUCAGACCAGCCGAACAACAAAAAAAAAACCUAGUAGCCCACAGCCCAACUAAGCCUAAAAAAUUUUCAGCAAAAGAAAAAACCCUAGCUGCCAUGCUAGCCGCCGCUCCUGCCCUAGCCUCUGCCCACUAUCGUACGCCACCUCUGCCAUCACCAUUAGCCUCUGACACCUGCAAAACAGCAAACAACAUGCAACAACAGAGAAGAAGACGACAAGCAAAAAACAAAUCACUAAAGGACAAAAAUAAUGAUAACAAAUAGCCUUAGUUUGGCUAUAAAAGCACAAAAAUGAAAACUUUGUACUUCUUUGGCAAGAUUAAUACAAAAAAGAAAAGAUUUGAACUUUUUAGGGUGAUAUUUCAUUUUUUUUUACGCUUUAGAUCUAUUUUUUUAUUUCAUCUUCAUCUACGAAAAUAAUAGAAAAAAGACUUUGAUUUCAAGGUGAUAUUUUGUUGUUUUUUAGAUCUAGUGUUUUUUUAUUUAUUUUUAUCUACAAAAAUAAAAAAAAAGGAAAAGAGAAACGUACCUAAUUCACCCCAUGGCUCCGUCGACGGAAGUCCCAUCGCCAUCGUCGGAAUCGGGCUUAAAAGGGGAAGGUUUUUAUUUUUCUUUACUUUUUUUUUGGAUUUUUCGUCUCAAGAAAUGGACUAAGGGAGGGGAAAUGGCCAAAAUGGUCUUUUUCCGAUGAACUCUGGCAACCACAUGUGGCAGUUAACAGUGCCGGUGCUCGGUGGCUGCGGUGGAGCCAUGGUGGUGUCCCAUGGCCGGAUCUAGAGAGGAAGCCUUUGAGAGGGAGAGAGUUUCUAACAUUUUUUUUAUUUUCUAAGGCAGAAAUGAAUUUUUGAAAAAAAAAAGUUGGGUUUUAUAAGUGCGUGAAAUGGCGCCAUUUUGCGCAAGUGCACAUCGACGUCGAAACGACAUCGUUUACCCCUUUACCCGCUCGCCCGAGUCUGGCUCGAUGAAGGUCCGCAUAUUUUCAUGCCUGAUGGGUUAUUUCCCUGCCCGAUCCUUCCGCUUUUGGGCUUCUUCUCAAUCUGGUCCUGAUCCUACUUUUUCCCGCCUUUUAAAUUGUACCAUUUAAUUUCAUUUCAUUUUCAACUCGGUCCCUCGGCUGACCAAAGGAAAUGAUGCGCAUAAAGUUAAGGGAUAUUUUCCCUUUCAAUCCCCAAUAUUUUUAGAGCGAUGCAUUUUAAUCCCUAACCUUUCAUUCCAAUCUUUUACACAUAUUAUUUCAUUUUAUUCGUUUAUUUAUUGACUUAUCAUUUUUACCCUCUUUUUAUACUUAAAAAUAUAUAUUAUUUACACUAUUACUUGCAUUUUUUUACUAUUAAAUUAUUAUUUUUAAUGUAUUAUAUUCCCAUUAUUUUACCAUUUUAUUUAUUUUGAUACUUUCAUGUCACAUUUAUUUAUUUUAAUAUUGCCAUUAUUUAUUUUAUUUUAUUCUUAUGUUUUUUAGUAUUUUAUUAUUUCUUUUAUUGUUCACGGUUUUUUUUUCAUGUUAUACAUUUUUAUCUUUCUAAUCAUGCAUUUUUCCUUUUUUUAUUUUGUUUUAGGUUACGUUAUUUAUUAUUAUUAUUAUGAUAAUAUUAUUAUAAUUAUAUUACCAUUAUUAUAGAAUUCCUUUAUUUGUAUAUUCCAUUAUAACUAUUAUUAUUAUUAGUAGUCUUUAACUCACUUCUAUUUUUAUUAUUAUUUUUUAGAAUAGUAGUCAACAUGCUUAUCCUUAUUGUUAUUUGGUGUUGUUCUUAUGAUUUUAUCAUCAUUAUUGUUGUAUUUCAUUUUUUGUUCACUCUUUAAAUAUUUUGUUCAUAUAGUUAUUUUACACUAUUGCAAUAUUGUUGCAUUACGCAUUAUGUUUCUUAUAUAAUAAUUAUUUUGCUUUCACGCGAUGUUCGAAUCAAUUAAACAUGAAUCUUCUCAAUUAUUACAUUAAUUGUUACUUAAGUUCAAAAAGAAAAUUUUCAAAAUAAGGCAAUAUUUUGCGUUUUGGAAAUUCGAGAAAUCAUACCCUAACUUACGAGGUUUCGAUUUUCUCGUUAAACUUAAAUAGCAAAAUAUUCUUUUAAAUUUCAAAAUGCAUGCAAUUUCAAUAAAAAUCAAAGGCAAGCUUAUUCUCUAAGGUUCCAAAUAUCGCGUCCUAACUUACGGGAUGUGACAUUUCGUUACCUCGAGACGAGUAGGUCUUCAACACUCUUUUCGAUUUAUUCGAGCGUUUUUAAUAACAUUAAUAAAAAGGGAUCGUAUUUUAAAUUUCUAUUCAAGUUUUCAACCUUGGACAUUAAGACAUUACUUAAUCAACUAGGUACCACCUUUGGGUGUAUUGAGGGUGUGUUUUCUAGAUUUUGUAGACCAAAUAUUAUCGUUUUUAGUAAAUUUAAAUUUUUAUUAAAAUGAUUAAAUUACAAGUGUUGACACCAUUUUUUCGAUGAAAAACGGGGUCGACUUGGGUUUUAAAAAAAAUGAAAAACGGGAGUCGCCACCAAUCCUUUUUGAUAAGGUGUGAUUGGGUCACCUUGAAAAAUGGUUGUUUUUAAUAAAUGAUUUGAUUUUAUUAAAACAACGGUUUUGGUCCAUGAAAUUUAGAAAACGGGUUCGGGAGUCGAUUACGUACGAGGAAGGAUUAGCACCCUCGUAACGCCCAAAAAUUGGUACCUAGUUGGUUAGCUAAUGUCUUGAUGUCGAAAAUUGAGAACUUGGAAAAAAUUAAAAAUACGAUCCUUGUAUUAAAAUGAAAAUUUUAGGAAAAGGGGGGGGCAUACUUCACGCUAAUCGAGAAAGAGAAUCAUAUCCAGUAAGUUAGGACACAAUGUCUCGAAUUCCCGAUACGCGAAUGAAUGCCAAAAUUUUACUUAUUUAAAAGACAUUUUAGCCGUCUCGAAUUUAAAAAUGAAAUCACGACCAGUAAGUUAGGACGUGAUUUUUUAAAACUUGAGUUUGAAAAGAUUCGUGCAUCUAGAUUUAUCGUGAAAAUCAAUACCCAGUAAGUUAGGGUACGAUUUUCUUGAAUUUAAACACGAAAUGCCAUUUUUUAAAACAAAUUUUGUUAUAUCGAGUGAAAUAAAAACACAAAGUCGUAGUAAAAAAAUGUGUAAGCAAAUUACAUUGUUAUGCAUGGCAAAAUCAUAAUGAAUACAAAAGUAUAAAAAUGAUACGAGCAAUAAAAACAAUAUAAAAUAAAUAAAAGUCAAACCUACAAUAAUAUUAAAUAACAAUGUAUAUAAACAAAUAAAAUUAAAACAUUCAUUCAAAAUAAUAAUGAAAAUGAAAUAAAUAAAUAGUAAAUACAAAAUAAAACAAUAGUAAUGAAUAAAAAUAAUAUAAUAUAUAUAUGUAUGUUAGAAUUAUAAAGUAUAAAAAUAUACGUAUGUGUAUAUAAGAAUAUGUAAGCAUGUAUAUAUACAUAGAUUAUAAAAUAUAGAUAUUUAUAUAAAAAUGAGUAUUUGUAUUAAAUAAGUUGAAAAAAUAUAUAUAUAUAUACCUACAUAUAUAUAAAAAAUUAUAUAAUAAUAACAAUAUAAUAAAACACAUAUAUCUAAAAUUUACAUAAGUAAAUAUAAAUAAAAACAUACUAAUAACAAUAAUAUUAAUAGUAAAAUGAUAAUACAUAAAAAUGAUGAAGAAAAUAAUAAAAAUGCUUAAAAGGGGACUAAAUCGAAGUAAGAACCAAAAAAAAAGGGGCAAAAUCGAAAUAAAGACAAGAGGGACUAAAUUGUAACGCGCGCUGAAAGAGGGGGACCAACAAGGUAAACAAACCAAAGCCUCAAAACGUUGCUCUGUAAAGGACUGAAAUGAGACAAAAAUAAAAUUUUGUGGCCAAAUUGCAAAUAUGCGAAAAACUUCCAUGAAAUCGCUACAAAAUCAAAGGGACUAAUUGCGCAAAUAGACCCUUAAACAAAAACGCGCGGAUCCUUGGGUGCGGGUCGGGUCGACGUGCGGAUCCCCUCACCAAAACGGCGUCGUUUUGUGUUUAAUAUAAAUAUAAAAAAAAGGGCUAAAAAAAACAGUUUCAUCAUUUUUGUUGAAAAACAAAGAGAAACCUCUCUCUUUUUUCCCUUUCUCAGGCUCAGAUUCCGGAGAUGGCCCGGCCUAGGCUUCUGGCGAAUCUCCGCCGUAGAGCCACCGUGUGUGGCGGCCGGAGGUCCAAAAUCGGACCUUUUCGGUCCCUUUUUGAAACUGAGAAUCCCUAGGGUACGGAUCUGGGACCAAACCCCCGAAAAAAAGAAUCGGAGACCUGAAGAACGAGGGGAAACCGCUCGUCUUCUCUCCUCCGGCGCGGCGCAGGUAAGGUUUCUUUUUCCUUUAUUUAUAUUACGUAAAAAAAACAUACAAAAAGAAAAAAAAAGAAAAUAGAGUUUAAAAAAAAUCUAAAAUAGAAAUGAGAGAAAAUCACCUCUCAAGUUUUCUUGUUUUUUAUUUCUUUUUGCUAAUAUCUGUUUCUUCUUUUUACAAAAGUUGAUGGAAGAAGAAAAAAUUACAUUUUGUUGGCUUUUUAUAGCCGACUUCUACUACUGCCUGUGUUAUUUGCUCUCUGUUUCUUUGUUUUGUUUCUUCUUUGCAGGUGACGGCGCAAGUGGUGGUGGUGACGUGACCGUGGCAGUGGCGGCGUGACGUUGGCGGCGGCGGCAGGCCAAAGGUCAAUAGGUGUGGAGCCUAGGGUUUUAGUUUUUGAAACCCUAGGCAGAUUUUUUUAGGGGAAUUGGGCCUUAGCUAUUGGGUUGUUCGGGUUUGGGCCUCGGGUUAGGCUAGUUGGGCUUUGAGGUUGGGUUGUUUUGUAAUGUGCUUUGGUGUUUGGGCUGGUAGCUGGUGGGUAAGGUUUAUUGUUUUGGGUUCUUGGGCCUGGUUCUGUUUGGUUAGGGUAAUGGGCCAUUUGGGUCUGGGCAUAAAAUUGGGCUAUACAACAAGGUGACCCGAUUACACCUCAUCAAAAAGGAUUGGUGGCGACUCCCAUUUUCAUUUUCAUUUCUUUUUAAAUCAAAGUCAACCCGUUUUUAAAAAAAAUGGUUUCGACAAUAAGAUAUAUUGAUUAGUUAUGUCAUAACUAAAGAUGAUGGAGUUGACAAAAGGAAAUUGUAGUUAACAACGAAUAAUCUACGUAGAACAUUUCAAUAUUAUGGAAAAAUGAGUAUUUACCAACCUUCUUUUAGUCAAAUUAUGCAAGCCUAAAAUUUUUAGCUUAAUUUGAGUUUGUUGACUAUGUCUAAUUCAAGUUUUAUUAUUAAGGACUAAAUUGUAACUUAAAAAAAUUAGAAUACCAAUUUAAAGAGACAAAAAUUCAAAACCCCAAAACCCACAUGGGCAUGUGGGUAAGUGACACAGGCGUGUGGAGACUGGAGCUAUCACACACGGGCGAGUGGGACAGAAAAAUAUGAAAUAAAUUAAUCCACUUAAAUUUCAAACAACCAUGCUAUACUACCAAACCAAAUAAUGCUAGAAGCUUUGAAUAGGGGUGAAUCGAAAAAAAAAAUAAAAGAAUUAGAAUUAAAUUAUAAAAUUUUCAGAAGUUAUCAUGUAUUAAUUUAUUAUUUUUUAAAGGGUCUUAAUAGAAUUUUUUUUUUCCAUUUUGGUUUGGCCAAUACCCCUGUCUACCUCUUUCAAUUUGCUUCAACCCUAAACCUAAUAUUCAAUUUGUUGUGGAAGUUUGACGCAUAAAAAUUUCUUUUUUAGAGGUUUAAAUUAUAAAUUUUUGAAAGUUUAAAAUAAAUUUUCAUUUUUAUUAACAAAAUAUAAAAGAAAAAAAACAUGUGUAGACAAACCAAGAAACCUUUGGGAUCAUACGGGUGAUUUUGAUGAUGUUAAUGGUUAUUUUGAUGGAGAGGGUGAAAAAGAAACAAAUGAUUCAUAUAUAUAAUAUAAUUAUGAAAUUCAAGCCAUAUAUUGUAUGUUUCAUCCAUAAAAAUUUCAUGGGAGGUCCGAAGGUAAUUAAAUGACUUGUAGGCUUGCUGAAUUUCUUUGAAAGGCCCAAUGGCAAUUUAACAUUCACAAAAUAAUCUCUAAAUACUGUAAAGACAAAAUCAAAUCCACAGCAGCAUUAGAGUUGAUUAAGCUAAGCAUUGGCAAAUAUUACUUUGAUUUUGCAUGCAAUAUUAGCAAAACCCCCUCUUACAUUAGAUAAACAACAUACUCCAUGAAACAUUGAUAGCCCAAAUACAAAUUUCAUCGACAAAAAAGUCUCUUUGUUUUGUAGAACAUGAUAGUAAAAAUGUGGAGUUUCGUUCUUCUUAUUGGCCUCCUUUAGUUUUCCUUGAUCAACAACCACUAGCCAAAAACACAAUUAGAUUAGAUUAUGAAUGAUACGUUCAACUAUGACAUUAUUAAAUAUAAAACACUCUAAAUAACUCUAAAUAAAUGGAAAGCAACAAAUUACCUAACGAGGCAAGCUAGCUCAAUUAAGACCAUUGUGUUAUACUUGUCUCUGAAUUGAAAAAUUUAGAAGGAAAUAAAGAGAAAGACUUAGAAAAUAUUUGAAAACAGAUAAAACUUAUAUGUCAUUUAAAAUAAAAAUUUUGUAUUUAAGCCGUUUAAAAUUUUUAAGAUUUUUGAAAUUUUAAAACGAUAAAGGUAAAAUUGUACUUUGGCACACCAAAAAUGAUAAAACUUUGAUUUAAUCCUUUAGAAAUUAUAAAAAUAUAGGCUAUUAAAAUGGUGAAAUUACCUUUUUACUAUAGUAAAAAUUACAAUUUAAUUUCACUUUAAGAUUUUCUGACUUCGCCCCUAAUAAAAUCUUUGGCAAAAGAUUAAAAUAAAAUUAUACCGUAAAUGGAAAAAGAAACAAAGAAAAUCCAAUCUAACAAAGAAAAUAACUUAUUUCCAAAAGCUACCAUAAACCGUAAUUCAUGGGAAGAGAGCCUAGUACGUGAGAGCAAAAGUAAAAACAAAUAGUUUAUAUGAUUAAAAUUCCAGAAUAGGUUAAAAAUGUUGAAUUAAAGAUAAAAUUAAGCGUGAAUUAAUAACCACAAGUGUACUCUUUACUCACCAUCUCUGUUAAAAAUGUUGGAUGUUGUUUAGCAACCUUUGUUUGAUUUUCUUCAGCUCAACCACAACAUCUUUCAUUUCUUUUCUUUCUUCUGGUAACUCAGCUGAACAAUUCAAAGCCAACUCCAUGAUAGAUGAAAUACAAUUUGCUUUAACAACAAUGUUCUCAUCCUCUCUUCUUAGUAAAUCAACAUCUGCAAUUUCUAUCGCUCCUUUAGGCAAUGAACUUUCCAUCCAAUGCCUUAUAGUCUCUUCUUCAACAAAAACAUUAUCAGUUGGCUUUCUCUUUGUGAAAGUUUCUAUAAGGACGAUCUCAUAACUAUAAACGUCAGAUUUUAUAGAAACAAGUCCUGCAGAUCCAAAUUCUGCAUUUCAAGUAUAAUUAGAACAUCAUCAGUCCUCAAUUAUUUGAUAAAUCUAUGUAUAUCCACAUACACGAGAAACAAAAAUAUAAAACGCAAAUUAGGAAAAUAAUCGUACAAAGAUAAAAAAAGAAUUCACCUGGUGCCAUAUACCCGAUUGUUGCAAGAGUCAUGGUUUGCUUCAUUACUUCACCUUCUCCCAACAAUUUGGCAACGCCAAAAUCUCCAACAUGUGCAACCAUGUCUUCAUCUAGUAAAAUAUUGCUUGGUUUUAUGUCACAAUGAAUUAUAGGGGUUGGAUGUCCAUUGUGGAGGUGUUCUAUAGCCACCGCAACAUCUAUCAUUAUGUCGACCCUUUGUAUGAUAUCAAGGAAACAAUUUUUAGAAUGUAACCAUUUCUCAAGGUUUCCAUUAGACAUGUAAUCAAGCACCAAGGCUUUGAAGUCAACACUUGAGCAGCAAGUAAUGACCUUCACAAUAUUACGAUGAACUAUAUUAAUCAUAGCAUCACAUUCAAUGUCAAAACUCCUAAAUGCUCCCUCUGUUUGCAAAUUGAAAACUUUUAUUGCAACUUCCAUUCCAUCUGAAAGCCUCCCUUUAUAUACAUAUCCAAAACUCCCUGAACCAAGCAUAUUGCUUUCCUCAAAUCCAUUAGUUGCUCGUGAAAGUUCAGCAUAUGAAAUUCUUCUCGGUGUCUUCAAAGACAACAAAUCAUCUUUAAUUGGUAGAGCUGUAUUAGCUAAUGUUUCAAAAUUUAAUGUUGGUUCAUUAGAACCGUAUAAACCGAGACCCAAAAACUCCUUCUUUGGCAUCUUCUAUACAUAAUAGUUAAGACUAUUAGUACUACGACAAUACCAAUUGUUGGUAAACCAUACCUAAAAGCAUGCAAUAUAAUCGUUUGGGAGUUUUUGUGGAUGUCGUUUUUACAAGGUGGGACUAGCAAUCUAGGUGGACCACAAAGUGCAUAAUUCUUCAUGAAUGAUGUGCUAGAAAAGUUUGAAAAACAUCCUUCACUGGGAAUUUCCCCUUCAAGUCUAUUGAAAGACACAUUAAAAUACUUUAGAUAUAAAAGCUUUUCCAAAGAUUUGGGAAUGACUCCAGAGAGAUUGUUAUUGCAUAAAUCCAAGAAUUCCAAACUAAUCAACCCAUCAAAUGAUUCAGGGAUAUGACCAUGUAGUAUAUUAUUUGAUAAAUCUAAUGAAACCAAAGUUAUAAGACCCCCAAAUGUGGAUAAGAUAUCGCCCGUGAGAAGAUUCCUUGAUAAAUUUAGUUUCAGUAGACUCUUCAAAUUUCCAACAUCAAUAGCAUGUGAAUUGUGAAGAUGGUUUGAUGAUAAGUCUAUUUCUAAGAUAUCUUUAAGAUUCCACAAAGUUGAGGGUAUUGUAGAACUCAAUUUGUUGGAAUCUAAGUAAAGAUAUCCCAAAGAAGUAAUAUUACCCAAACAAGAGGGUAUGGAUCCAUGCAGCUUAUUCAACCCUAAAUACAUCUUGUAUAGUCUCUCCAAAUCACAAAGGCUUUCUGAGAUGGGCCCUCCUAAUUUAUUAGAGGAAAGAUAUAGACCUUGGAGAUUUCUCAUUCCUCCUAUUGAUGCUGGAAUCAAUCCACUUAAUUUAUUAUAGUCAAGUUGUAAAAGCAAUAGGUUGGUUAAGUUACCUAUUUCCAUAGGAAUAAUGCCUUGAAGCUCACACUCAUCGGCAUAAAAGUAUUGAAGGGAUUUUGAAAGGUUCCCAAUAUAAGUAGGAAGAACGCCACUCAAUGGAUUUCCUGAAACAUCUAUUGUGCUCAAAUUCCUACAAUUCGUCAAAGAAGAAAUAAAGCUCCACUCAUGAUCAGUAGAAGAUCCUGUGAUCAAAUUAUUGUCAAAGAUUUUGAGCACUUCAAGGUGUCUUAAGUUGCCAAGCGUUUUAGGGAUUGGGCCAGAGAAUAAGUUAUGCGCCAAGUCUAGUUCCUUAAGCAUGGAAGCAUUGAAGAUAGAGUUGGGAAUGUUUCCGCUAAGUUUAUUUCUCCACAAUAAAAGAAUCUCAAGCUUUGGAGCAUUGGUGAUUGGUGGUAAAUCACCUGUGAAAUAGCAUCUUUUAGUAUACACAUUCAUUGAAUACCAAAUUCACAAAAUAUAUAAUACAUUAAAAUAAAAACUGUAAAACUUUAAAUCAAUUAAGAAUAAAAUUUUGGCAUGGAAAAAUGUGAUGAAAUCAAUUAGAAAGUUGAGACAUAAUAAGAAGUUUUGAGUAGUAAUUACUCAUGAUUUC